GAAGAGCGUGAAAACCACUGGUGUCCACGAUGCCAGUUCAGGCGAGGUUCAUCAGGAUAGCAAAAGCGAAGAUCGUUGCAGGCAUGGUUGCUGCCACUGGUACCAUGGACACUGCCAAAGAUGCUGUCGAACUGCCGAGGAGACCCCUGAAGCCACAUCUGGAGAUGAGGAUACCGUAACCGCAGAUCGUUGCAGACAUGGUUGCUGCCGCUGGUACCAUGGACAUUGCCAAAGUUGCUGUCCACCUGCUGAGGAGACUUGCAGACAUGGUUGCUGCCACUGGUACCAUGGACACUGCCAAAGAUGCUGUUGAACUGCUGAGGAGACCCCUGAAGCUACAUCCGGAGAUGAGGUCAAAAAUUAAUGCUAAAUAAAUAAGGGUGUGACACAGGAUCCGUGACACCUAUAUUAUUACCUUAAUAUGUUAUGUUGUGUUUGCCUUUGAUGGUUGAUUUCCUAUAUGUGUAAAAGACUUGUGCGGCUUCUCUUUGAAUUGGUGUAGAAUCAACAGGGGAAGCAUGUAAUGAGUACUCAGUUCGAGUGCUCUUCUUAUGUUGUUGUCAUGUUGAAUAAAUAAAUCUACUUGAUCAUCUACUACAAUUGAUGGUCUCUAUCUCAGUUACAUCAGAAACUUCUGUACCUUGGACCUGCUAGAAUUUUGUGUGAUUGAUAUAAGACGUGCAGCAUGUUCAAUAUAUGUAUAUAUGUGCUUCUUCAUCGUGCGAUGCCAUUACACAAUGUGAAAGAAUUCAGCAUCGACGGAGUGAAACGUACCCAAUCCUGUUCCUGAGAAAGGAAAAAAAGUCCCUCAAAAAUGAACAUUUUGGAUGCCAUCAAGAUUUUUAUUUGAAUGCCAUUUGGAUAUCUGAAUGUUGUUUUUCUUACCUUUAGCUUCGUUCAAGGUCUUUUUGGUGGAAAUGCUUCGUUUAUACGAAUUUUCCUACUUGGUUAAUGCUUCUAUUACACUUGUACAAUACACAUUUAAAAGUCUAACACAAUAAAAGCUUGUGUAGUUCAUAUAUUUCAUUUCGAGAAUGUUCGUACUUUUCAGCUAAACUAUAAAAAUACGUAAUAAAUUCUUGAUACAUUAUACUUUACGAACAAGGCUCUAAAUUUUAAAAAUAUUUAAUACUAUCACUUAUCAAUAACUCCACAUGUUAAUUUGUCUUCCAAUUCAGUAAAUUAUAGUAGCUAAUUCUCAAAGCUAACCGACACCAAAACUCCCUCACUUGUUCACCUCCUAGUGGAUUUAUACUAAUUACAUUGCAUUUAUUUCCUAAGCAUCAGUUUUGUAACCCCUCAUAUUAAAUCUCAAUGAUUGAUUUUAACGGUUACCAAUGCGUCUAGUAAUUGGCUUGCUAUUAAUUUGAACUAGACAUUUAUUAGGUCUAGUAGAAUUUAUUCCUUCUUAUCAUUAGCUAACAAGACUUCUACAAUUUCGGGUUUUGCUUAGAAAUCAGUCUGAUAGGUUAACUUGCUUCGACCAACUUUAUGAGUUGCUUUUUUUUUUUUUUUCCAUAUUUGACAUUUCAUGUUACUUUAAUAUGGGGACCAAGUUAGUAUUGUUGACAUUUCAUAUCUAAGACUUCUUAAUUAAUUGAUUUGUUAUAAGAACUAUAACGUAUGCGUGUUUUGUAAGCUUUCAUGUUCUUUUUUUUUUCAAUUCUUGUGGACCAGCAACGGAUAGUUUCUUCUAGUACCAAGCUUCCUUUGAAGUUCUUUAUUUUUUUUUUUGUGUGUCCAAAUGUAAAUUAAAAGAACCAACAACUUUGAACAAGUCUAUAUCUAGUAAAGAUAGAUAUAAAGAGGGAUACUAUAUCACUGCAACAAAAAAGGGAUUUGGCGAGGAGCAAAAGUCCACGCCAAAAGUUUUGACUUUCUCGCCAAUUAAUUUCAGCAAGAAAAUGCUUCCUCCCCAAGUUUCUUGCUAGAUGCUCGUUGCUAAAAGUUAUUAGCGAGGAUAUUGCUACUUUUCUCUCUAAUGAAACAGAUCAAUAGCAAGGGUUGACCUCCUCUCCAAUCUGAUUCAAAUACUAUGGCAAGAAAAACUUUCCUCACCACUAAAGUUAAAAACUCCCCACAAAAAUCAGUAGUUCCUAGCAAAUAGUCAAGGUGUUUUGCUAGGAAAAAUAGUGCAUCCUCACCAAUAGUGUAGAAUUAGCAAGUAGUCUUUUGACAAAUCUGCAAUGCCCUGCGUACCAGAUAAACAUUUUUGGCCAGGAAAGUUUCUUCUCUAAUAAGCAAUAAUUGAUUAUUGCCUAACUGUUUGGUGGGAAAAUGUUCCUCUCCAAUGCUGUUAUGAACAUUUCUUAAUCCCAUUUUAGCAUGCUAAUCUUAAUUCUUUGAGCAAAUUACUGGGUGGUGACAGGUUGUCGCUGCCUGUGCAAUAAUAAAAUUAAACCUAACUGCCUGUGAAAUUUGAUUUCAAGCUCAAUCAAAUUCUAAGAGUCAAUGAUAAGAUCGAAAAAUGUGGGACCAUUGUUAAGAUGUAGACGGAGAUGGUUGCUUAUUGAGCGUUGGAAGUAUUUCAUAUGCAAGUUGUAAUUAUAUCUCAACUUGUAUAAUUUUAAUUUAGGGAGAAUUAUAAUUUUGGUCCCCAAUCUAUAGUGUAUGCCCAGAUUAAGUCCCCAAUCUAUUUCUAAAAUCAAUUUUGGUCCCUAAUCUAUUCAAUUUUGCGCUAAAAGUGGACAAUUGACGGAAUUUGUUCAAUUUCAAUCGGAACCAUGUCACGUGAGAUCACGUGCCGACACUAAAACCCCCUUUUCAAUUUUUUUAAUUUCCGAAACACUUUUUUUAAUAUUUUCAACUCUGUCUUGCCUUUAGACAUAUUAAACAAAGACAUUAAUUGCUAAAAUUCUCUAAUUAAGGACUGGAGCCCACCAAAAAGGUUGAAUAUCAAACAGAGGAAAAGAAGCUGUCGUCCACUACUUCCUUCUUUCCUCAUCUUCUUUCUUCCAACUCAAGAAGAAACCCUAGGAGCUUCAAUCCCAUUCUAAUCAGACAAAACCAUUUUCACGUCAUUGUGACAAAAAGUUGCAAGAUCUGGGCAAAAACUUUGUAUCGAGUCUCUUCUAUUUUCAAUUUAGCUCCUCAUGGAACCAAUGAAAAAUUGCGACUGCAAGCAGCGAGCAAUAAUGGUUACUUCUUGGAUAGACAACAAUCCUGGGAGAAGAUAUUUCACUUGUGCAAUGAAGAAGGUAUGAUUGUCUCUGUUUCUGAUUUCGAGAUUUCUGUCUCUAUUUCUGAGUUUUGUGCUAAAGCUUUAUGAUGUUGGCUGUGAAGGGUGACAGAGGAAAAGGAUGCGAUUAUUUUGAAUGGCAUGAUCCGAAAAUGUGUAGAUGGUCAACAGCCCUGAUUCCUGGACUACUACAUAGCAUGAACUCUAAGAAUGCUACAAUUGAGAGGCUAAGAGCAAGGGAAAGAAAAUUACUGGUAGCAAUUUUGUUGUUGCUACUUCUGCUGGUUAUUGUGUUAUUGGUGUAAAACUCAAGAAGGUUGGACAGACUUGGUAUCAACUAAGCAGCUUAAGGAAAAUGUGUUAAGUAUUAAGCUAAGCUAGGUACUGUCUGAACUUAGAGAUGAAAGAUAUUCAUCCAGAUUGUAAUUUUGACUUUUUUUUUGUUGGAAUGGGUGAAUGUGUAAGUUAGAAUGUACUAUCAGGCUAGUACAUUCUGUUUAUUGAAUGAAUGAAUAUAUUGGAUGUUCCAAUUUGCUUUUAAUUAGUUGUUUCUAAAGUUCAUUUACAAUUUAACUGGAUGUUGAGUUCUCCUUGAAAAAUGAAUUAAAUUUGAGAAACACCACAAAACAGAAUGAAAACUUGAAUGAAAGCAGAAUGUAAAGAAACACCAGAAAACAGGAUGAAGUAAAUUCACUGCAAUCCCUACCUAGAAUCCUAUAUAAAACUUGAAACAACAAGUUAUGAUAAUUUCCACAAUCCAGAACUACCAGAAAACAGAAUGAAAACUGAACUUCAAAAUGUGGAAGCAAGCAAAAUAAAAUGACCAGAAUUCACGUUCACAAUCUAUGUGCAAGAUAAAAGAAGAAUUCAUUGCUGGAUUGGAACCAAUGAACAAAAGAUACAUUCAGUGAUCAUUACAACCAUCAAAUAGACAUUGUUUUGUCAUUUGCCAGAAAUGAUUUCAAAAUGGCCAGAAUGUCAUGUUCACGCUGGCUUGUUCUCAAGAUACAAAAGCUACUAAUCUGACAAAAGCUACUACUAAUCAAAUUCAGCAACACAACCACUCCAAAAGCUACUGAUUAACAACAUUAAGUUAGGUACUGAUUAGCAACAUCCAAAAAGUGCUGAUUAGCUACUCUUCAGCUAGUUGAUGCUAGCUUUUCCUUUGUCAUUCCAAGGUGGAUUUGAACAUCUCUGAUCCUAAAACGUAUCCCUGUUCCUCCUUGGCCAACUGGUUGACUGCUAUGUACCACAAAAUUCUCUGGGAUCCCAAAAGCUUCAUGCAAGUUUGGUUGAGCAGUAGGGGCAGAACUGAUUAUAUUGUCAUUACCAGUUGCUGGGUUAUUUAGUGAUGAAUCUAUUUGCUUUGCAUUUCAUUUGGUGUCAUUUCUCUGCAAUACAUCAGCAUUUAAUCACUAAAUAUUGAACUCACAAGAAACAAUAGCACUAUGUACAUUAAGUAAUAAAAAUACAACAGAUUUUCUUGAUGUUUUUGUUCUCCUUUUCUUUGCAUUUGAAGUGUUGCCUCUAACCUGCAACAAAGCAUAAAAUGCAUUAGCUGCUACAAUGUUACAAACAUAGUUCAUGUAUAUCUAUUUACACAAAUUACACGCCUGACUUACAGAGUUAUCUAUUCUCAUGUCAUCUAGUUGUGAGAGACUCAUAUCCUCCUGAUUUGCUUGUGUUUCCUGCCCCUGUUCAAUCAUUUGAUUGGGUGCAACACCUGCUUCCUCUCUAAGCUUGCAUGUUCGUGUGUUAUGGCCUUGCUUACCACAGAAUGAGCAUUUACAAAUUUGACCAAAUCUCCUCACCUUCUUGCCCUGCUCCUUUGUUUGCUGUAUCUCAUCAGCAGAUUUUCUCCUCUGUUUCUUUGGUGUUCCUGGUGCUCUUCCAUAAGUUGGUGGCAGGGGUGGCUGAACAUCUACAUCUUCCCACUCAUGCUCUCCAUUCACAGGUAAAAUGCAAGGAUCAUAACACUUAAGAUACGUUUCAACACUGUAACAGUCAUCAAUGUACUGCAUAGGGUCCUUCAUAGCAAUCCACAAAGUUGAAAUUGCAUGAGCACAUGGUAUCCCUGUCAAAUCCCAUUUCCUGCAUGAGCAAGUCCUAUCCUCAAUAUUGACUGCCCACUUUUCAGCAUAAGGAUCAGCAACUUCAAAACUGAUAUCAUUUGAUUUGUAAGGCACACAAUAAGUUGCCUUGUCAAUAUUGACCUUCAUCCUUUUUCUAAUUUUUGGACAGAAACCAAAUUUGCUCCACUUUUUCCUAACUAUAUCUCUAUUUUCUUGCAUUCUUUGCAUGAUAACAUGCCUCAAUGCCUCCAUCAUGACAACAAUGGACCCUUCCCUGGCAUAUAAUAUUUUGCUGUUAAAUGAUUCGCAUAUGUUAUUCAACAACAUAUCACAUUUAGGGAAUGUUCUGAAGUGUGAUCUACUCCACUCUGCUGGAUUCUUGUCCUCUAACCACUUAAUUGCAUCAACAUCCAGUUCUGCUAUGCCUUCCAUUCUUCUUAUAAAUUGUGCAUGAGUAGUUGCCUUAGCUGCUUUCCAUAAGGCUUGCCUCAUGGCUGUCCCUUUGAAUCCAGCAGCUACCAUAUUGCUAUGCAUAUGCUUCACACAAAAUCUAUGAUCAGCCCCUGGAAAAAUUGAAUCACAUGCCUGAAUUAUGCCCUUCUGCUUGUCACUCAUUAUGGUCCAUUCAUAGUCAUUUUCAAUUUUUAGAUCCUCCUUAAGUAAAGUAAGAAACCAAAUCCAGGAAUCCUUAGUUUCUCCCUCAGUUGCUGCAUAAGCAAUUGGAUACAAACCAUUAUUUGGAUCAGUAAUACUCCACCAGACGCACCUUUAAGAAAAGUCCCAUCUAACCCAAACACAGGCCUGCAAGCAGCUAAAAAUCCUUUUUUCACCCCAGCAAAGCACAUGUACAAUCUUUGAAAUUUCCCUUGUUUGGUGACUGAAUCACAGUAGUCUUCUACAACCUUCAUUACUAUAGUACUACCUGGGUUACUUCUCAAGAUUUCAUUGAUAUAUUUGGGCAACUUAUUGUACUGGUCCACAUCACUACCUUGGACCAACUCCCUGCUAAUUUUUCUAGCUCUAUAGCCUUGAUGUCUGCUCAAAUAGCACUUGUUCUCUUUCAUUACCAGGUUUUUGAAGCUAGCAGUAUCCAGCUUGGGAUUCUCCCUAAAUGUGUUAACAUAUUUUCUGCCAAUCCACCCAGAUUUCACACUCUUGUUAUGAUAUGAAAACCCACACUUGUGUUUCUGCUGGAAUGUCCUAACUUUUAGUCUGCCAUCACCUUUCAACUUCCUAGCAUAUAUGCACCAGUCACAGCCUUUUUUAGGACAAAUUGCCCUGCAUCUAAUGGUGUCACUCUUGAUAAAUUUAAAUGGUCUACCCCGCUUGAUAUUCCAGGUUCUAACUGCCUCUUUAAACUCCUUGAAUGUGGUAAAUACCUGCCUAAUUUCAAGGUUGGGGUUAUCUGCAUGUUUGGGGUCAUACAUAGGGGGUCUGCAAUGACUCUCUUCAUCUGAACCUUGGAGACUAUCAAUAUCUGAACCUGAAUCUGGUGCAACAUCCAUGUCAGAGUUGUCAUCAUCAGUAUCAGAAUUACUCACUGUUAGUCCCCUAGUUUCCUUUUUUUCAUUCCUCUUAAGCUGCUCUUUUCUGUGAUUUUCUACCCCUAACCAUUCUAAAUUAUGAUCAACAUCUUCUUCAUACUCAUUGUCAUCAGAAUUUUGCUCAUAAUCAGAAUCUUUUCCUGAAAAUUCUCCAGAAUCAGAACCUAAGGUGUAUUGACUAUCAGAUUCAUCAUAUUCAUCUUCUAAUACAAAAUCUUCAUCAUCAAUAUCAGACCCCCACUGUGAUGCUAAUAACUCACUAAAAGAAACCUCUAUGUACAACUCAACUACCCUUCCAUACUCAAACUGAUCAACACAAUAGGCAUGCAAUUCUCUAUCAUGCUCUAACAAACGGAAGCCACGUUCCUCUAUCAAAAUGUGGUACUUUUUGUCACCUAUAGCCCCAACCUGACUUUCUAACAUUCUAUCCAUUUCAAAAAGGCUUAUACUUGUGACCUCUACAUGAUCAAAUACCCUUAAUUCACCUCCCUCAUAAUGAAGAUCAGGUUUAGUUUCGCAUUUUCCCCAUAAGUGACACUUCAUAGUCACUUCCGUGCUAUCACUGUCUACAUUAAAAAAAAACAAAAACAACACAGGCCAUAAUUUAGAUGACAGAAAUAGGUGCUGCUAGCAAACAGACAAUAAAAAAUGCAUACUUUAGCAAACAUUCAAAGACAAGGACCAUCAAUUGCAGUAAAAUAAGUCCCACUUGUACAGUAAGAACCAGCAUGAUAAGAUCCCGUUUAGAGACACACAUGGACCACACCACAAAUGACAAAUUUUUUCCUUAGUUUUUCAAGAUUGGUCGUUAAUACAGCCAAAAUUGUCAGAUUUUCCCCCCCAAGUACAAAAAGCAUCUUUUUUCCACUAUAUUCUAACAUUAUAGUUAGCGAUUGUGCAUAUAUAUCACAAAAAGAAGGCAAAAUCCCAUACCAUAAUUAGGUGCUGCCAGCUUGUUCAUUUCCUUAGGUCUCACUGCCAUUUCUACUUUGCAAUGCCAUGAGCAGCUUCAGCUUGACUGAAUUCAGCAGAUUUUUCCUUAAUUUUUUCACGUUUUGAUUCUCGAUUUUGGCUCUUAGGGUUCGGUGAGGUGUUUGCUGAAGAGAGUUUGCCCAGGUUGAGUAGUGGACGACAGCUUCUUUUCCUCUGUCUGAUAUUCAACCUUUUUGGUGGGCUCCAGUCCUUAAUUAGAGAAUUUUAGCAAUUAAUGUCUUUGUUUAAUAUGUCUAAAGGCAAGGCAGAGGUGAAAAUAUUAAAAAAAAGGGUUUCGGAAAUUAAAAAAAUUGAAAAGGGGGUUUUAGUGUCGGCACGUGAUCUCACGUGACAUGGUUCCGAUUGAAAUUGAACAAAUUCCAUCGAUUGUCCACUUUUAGCGCAAAAUUGAAUAGAUUAGGGACCAAAAUUGAUUUUAGAAAUAGAUUGGGGACUUAAUCUGGGCAUACACUAUAGAUUGGGGACCAAAAUUACAAUUCUCCCUUUAAUUUAAUAAGAUUAAAUUAAUGACAAUGCCAAUGAUUUCUGCGUCAUGCAUGACAUUCUUUUUUCUUGUACUCUCCCAAAAGCUGAAAAUUCUCAUCUCAAUCUCCUCCUCCAGCGAUGGCUGCAUGUCUGCACAUGUUCCCCCACAACAAGAAUAAUGAAUCAAUUGCCAUAAUUGCACGCAUUUAAAUUUUCUGAGCUGAUGAUAAAUUGCAUAGUUUUGAUUUUUUCUGUUUCCGGUUCCCGCUCUAGCUACUUCUAGAUUUAUUAAUUGGGGAAUAAAAGAAGAAGGAAUAAAUUAUACCUUAUUUAAUUACUUUUUUAGUCAGGAUAUCUAUAGUGGAUGUAAUUAUCUCUAUAGAAAUGAAUGAAGCAUCCUAGCUUGUGAUCAUUAUCCUCUGUUGCAAUUCUCUUGUUCAAACUUCAAAUUAAGGUUUUGUUUAAUAACCCAAUUCAAUACUUAAAUUUAAUAGAUUCAGAUCUUAACAUGUUCAGAUACGUUUGAUAACCAAAAUUUAAACAUCUGAAUAAAUUAAGUGGCACUAAAUUUUUUAGACAAAACUUGCUCCUAAAAAUAAGUAAUAAACUAUUUACUUAUCACUUAAUAUGAUAUAUACUCAAAUGUAUCAGAUUUAAUAGAUAACAAUUUAAUAAUUUAAUGAAUUCAAAUUUCAAAUUUUAGAUUUCAAUUUUAUCAAACGCACCCUAACUCAGUGCGAACUGAAUAUGAAAUCCAAAGUUGAAAAUCCAAGAGGUUAGAACUUUGAAACAAUAGAGCCUCUAGGCAUAUUCAGCAUUUUUACAUUCUACUGAUUUAGGGCAUCUUCAAUUAUCAGUUUCAACUCCAUAGUAUAAUAUAGAUAUUACCUCUAAUAGUUGUACGCACUUACACAACAAAUACAGAUUGUGAAAUUAAUUGUAUAAGUUUGAUAUUUUGUAGGUAUUGGGAUAUAAUUUUCACGUUUAGGAAAAAGAAAAUAUGUUAGUAAGUAAUAAUGUGAUACCCCUUGUCCCACGUUGGAAGUGGGAGAAAAAGGAUUGAUAUAUAUAAGAUUUGGUCUCAUAAGUUACUAGUUAUUUGGAAUAACCAUUUCGGGAUAGUGAAUUUCGACACAAAAAUUACUUAGGCCAACCAUAGGCUUGGAUGGUGACAAAUAACUUACUAGAAGCUAGGUAUAUUUAUGUUUAGAUGUCCUGAAAGCAGAGUAGUUCAUAAUCUAGAUAAUGGUAACGAUAUGAUGAGAAUGAGAAGUUAUAUGGUAAACUUUAUCGAUUAAUAAUUUCAUCAAGGCAUCAUAUACAAGCAUGAUGAAACAAUCCCAACUUUCAUUCUUUUGUUAAAUCUUAGUUUUUUUGUCUUAAAUUUUUUUCAAAUAAAGGAAGGAUGGAAUUUAAGCAGUAGAGGGGUGGAAGGGGAAUUUGAAUUCAAAAUCUCUAAUUUCUAAGCUUUUCACUAAGCAAUCGUCAAAACCAAAAAAAAAAUAAAUAAAUAAAAAAUGAGGACCUUGUGGUCAAUGCUCCUAUUCGAAGAUUUAUUCCUUUGGUUUGUCAUCAUCUCCCUCUAUUGAAAUCUAAGUACCCUUGGUUGACAAUUUGUUUCCCUGAGCAUCCAUCAACACUUUUAUAUAGUAUUAGAUUAGAUUAGAUUGUCAAUGCACCAUCAAUAUCCUUAAAUAUAAUAGCUUAAGUAUAGUAAUCAAAAUACUGUUAGUAAUCUGUAUGAUUAUUCUUUAUCCUUUAAUGUUUUAGUUUUAGGAAGAUCACAUAUGCUGCGUAUAAAGCAUGCCAUAGGCUAAAUUAAGGUAAAUUAAGUACAUUGCUAAACUGGAGAGCAUUGCUAAAUUAAGUACUUUAAGAUAAAGACUUAAGCAGCCAGAUCCAUUUGAUGUCAGCAGCUUCAAUAUCCACCUCAAAAUAAAUUAGCCUUUGUUCUAGAUUUAGCUUAAUGCUAAGUCCCUUCACCAUUCUUAGUAAUAAUUCAAUUCUGCCUCAAUUUUCAAAAUAUAUCCCAAAUAUAUGAAUAUCUUGAAACCAUCCUUCAAUCUCAUUACCUACUUAACAAAAUGUUCCAUAAACACAAAUAUAUUAAUGAAUUUGGAGUUGGUUUGAAGUAUUAAAGAGAACCGCAAGCUAGAAUUUUCCAUAUAUUCAAACAAGAAAUUGGAAAAAUCUGACUAGCUUGCAACGAGUACUACAUCUCAAGACAAGGGAUCUUUUCAGUCACUCUUUUAUUGUAUCGAAGACCUACUUGCAUCUAUGAAUAAGCAAUACUGAGUGAUUUUAGAUGUGAAGUUGAUUCCAUGUGGUAGGACAACUUUGGUUUUCAAAAAUAAGGGCAGUCCAAUUCACUCAAUACAAAAAAAAAAAAAUUUAAAUGAUAAUAUUCAAAGGAACGUCUAUCUUACCUAAAAAAACAAACAAACAAAAAAAAAACAAUAAAAAGGAGAUUGAUAUCCUAUCCAGUAUCCACAGAUUGAACAAUAGCCACAUUAUCUUAUAAUUCUUAAUGAUCAUUAGCUGAACUAUCAACUUUAGCAGUCAAGAAAGGCUGUAACUUGUAUAAGGACAAUAAAUUCUUUAUUCCCGCGUCCGGAGACUUGAGACAUGGACGCUUCAUUAGUCAAUAAUAAAGUGUGGAAUUCGACGAAUAUUCUUAGCUCGUUCAAGAUAACAGAGAAGAUUCACUCUUGUACAAGCAACAGGCACAGCUACUUAAACAAUUGGAUAAUUUCAUAAACCUUGGCUGAAGUUUUGGACAAUUUCAGUACCCCUCUUAUUUUCAAUAUUACGCUGACCAUUCUUACUUUAACUAAUGUAGUAACCAAUUCAGCCCAUAUCAGUAAAAGAAAUGGAAUAAAUUGACAAGAAAUGGUGUCAUCACAUUUUGUUCCACAUUUACCCUUAUAGACCCUAAAAGAAAUAUUGUAACAUAGGACAAAUUUUACUUCGUACCUUCGAACUUGAAUCACUUUUCUAUUCUCUUACUCUAAACAUUAAUUUUGAACGCUUUCCAUGUGACUGGGGGCAACAGCACAACAGAGCUCUUCUUAAGUCUCUGAUCGUUAGUGUCACAUGACCAUUGCUAAUUAUGCUAUUGCUUUUGAAUGGAAAUAGCAUAAAAGUCUUGGUGAAUGAACAAAUUGAAUAGACCAUUUUGCAGAGCAGUGAAAUAUUCCGAAGCCGUGAAGCACAGUGAUAAGCUACAAAUUAUAGUAAUUUAUAUUUAUUAAUUGUCAAUGAAUGGUUUUAUUUGAGCUAUAAUUAGAAUGGAAGUUGCCUAAUUUAAGUAUAUUUUGGUUUUUGCGGGAAAAGCACGCAAUUGAGGAGGAGAUGACUAAAAAACGCAACAAAAGAAGAAGAAACGUUGGGCUGCCAGGACACAAGGAUCAUCGGGUGGAUCCUUUGUCCAACGCCAAACAGUGAAAGGGACUUUGUGAGGACUUCUUCCAGUUUCAAUGAUUUCUGGAGAAAUUUCUAAAUUAUGAUGAAUUUUAAAAAAAUUCUACAAAGGGGGCAUUUUGAGUAUGAGAUUACGUCUAAGGGGUCUUCGCAUUCAGCAAAUGCGAGCUCCCAAAUGCAAAGUCUCUUGAAUUUGCAACCAACGAAAUCCAAAAAAAAAAAAAAAAAAAAAAAAAAAAACAGACCUCGCAUUUGUUAACAGUACGUAGGCCUGACCUCUUAUGCUGUUUCUGAGCAACAGAGCAUAGCCACGAAUUUGAAAGCCAUUUGCCAAGUGAAAAGAAAAUGUGCAGUGCAAAUGAGACACAAAAUUGAUUGGGGAGUCCUGUUGAGGUAGUACAAGUGGCAAAUUGGGAGGGGAGAGAGAGGCGCAGCUGGCUAGCUUUACAGAAAUGGGUUCCGAACAGGGGUCCAAGCUCUACAAUGGCGCAGAGCUUCCGACGAGAAAGAUGUGAGGGAUUUCGCUUGCCGAUCCUGGAAGCUUGGACUGGUGUCUAGCUCAGCAAAAGAGGAGAGAGUGAGCUGGAUGGAGAGAGUGAGCUCCAAUUUCUGCAGGUUAGGAGACAGAUUAGAAUGCCGUAAUUAGGAGCUCUGAUUGAGUACCUUGCAUUCGAGAAAUGCGAGGUACCUCAGCUCGCAUUUGGCGCAUACGACCUUACUUCGUUGUUUUUUACUUUUUCUCAAAACCUUUCUCUUUUUUCCUGAAACACUGACCUCGCAUUUGUGAAAUGCGAAGUCUUUGAACUCGCGUUUCACAAAUGUGAAGACCAUAAUCCUAGAAUUAGCUUCAAAAAUUACUCCCCUUGUAAAACAACUUUUUUUUUUCCAUCACAAUUUAAGAAUUUACUCUGAUUUUUGAGCGUAACAAGUUUGCGGCUAGAGUUAGAGCCAGUCUUCGGGCCGAACUUUAUUGGAAAACCCAUUCAAACUCGAUUUUUGGUAAGUUUUCAAGACCUAUUCCUACCACAUUUCGGAUGCAACUUUGAGAGACUAUAAAUAGGACAUUCUAGGAUAUUUUUAGGUUAGAAAGCAUUUAGCUUACAUUAGUUCAUCCUUUUUAUAUCUUCUUUUCAUGAGAGAUCACAAAGGAAGUGUUGAAGAAUCAAAGAGAAAGUUCAAGAUGGAGAUUGGAGUAGGGAAAAAUUGAGAAGUUUUCUUUACUUUUAACUUCUUAUUUUGUCUUUCAUUUGAAUUCUUGGAUUUAUCUAUGAAUAUGUUGAACUAAUUUAUAUCUAGACUUAAGAUUUUGUGAAGGAGAUUUGAUUAUUUGUUCUAGAUAAAUUAUUCAAUUUUUCUUUGAUUUAUCUAUCUUGCCUUUAUUACAUAUUUAUGUUUUGCCACUAUAGAUAUGCUUUUAGGGUUUGUAUUGAAUUGAGAAGCGAUAUACAACCAUAUAUUAGAUAAAUAAACUUACUUAACCUAAUUAGGAAUGUGGGUUAGGAUUUGGAUGGCAUAAUCAUAUCACCUAAAAUCUUAAAGGGUUUAAUUAAAUACCUAUGAUCUCGAGAGCAAUGUGAGAUUUCAUUAGACACAAUUUAGAUGUAUCGAGAGAUAAUUAAAAUACCUUUACGUGAUACGUCUUUGACAUGUUAAGAAAAUAAUUGGAUAAUGAUUCCAAUUAUGAAUCAAAAUUUGAAACUCUAGUCUUUUGCUAAUUGUUUUCUCACCUAUAUCUUAUUUGAUUUGAUUACUUAUUUAAUUUCUUAAUUAGUGAUUAAAAACCCUCUAAAUUUAAAUUUUAUUAUUUUUAUUAGACUAAUUAAAGUAGAAAAAAUUAACUCAUUCCUAUAUGUUUGACCCUGGAGUACUCCAAGUGAAUUAUUAUUUCGAUCAACCCUAUACAGUUAUAGAAAUUCAUCGAUCACACAGCAACCAAAAAAAAAAAUUAACGCACAAUAAUGUCAUGAACACAGUUCCCAUCUUAGUUGUUCAACAUUCACGGUGGAUUUCAAUUAGUGGUAAAUAGAUAAAGGCAUCGAAAAAAGUAAUCUAAUUACUAGAUAAUUGAAUUUAUACUACAACAUAUUUCUUUUUUCUACUGCAAAAACUUAACUAAUUUAAGACAAUGUAGUCCAAGCUAAUUGAAGAUUAAUUUCCCUAAAAAAUGUUCAUGAUAAAAACUCAACAAAGAGAUAAUACAACAGCUUGCUUUUGGAGGUGAUCUUAUACGGUCUUUAUUAACAAACUAAUUAGCCACCUAAGCUUUUUUUUUUUUUCCUUUUGGGACUACACAUGACAAAAUGAGGAGUGAAUCAGUCGCUUAGUAUCUAAAAUUUUCCCUCCAUAAUUAGUUCAACCUGAUUUAAGACUAAAUUUUUACUAUAGGAAUGUUCGUGAUUCAGCAAUGAAACACCAUAUAAACUUAUUUUGGGAGAUUUGUCCUAGAAGAGAAAAAAUGAGCAACCAAUCAGAAAGUCGUACUUACAUAUCAAAAUCGAUACUGUCUACUUAAUUCACCAGCUAUGUAUAUUUCAUCCAUUUUCACAUAAUAGAAAGAACAAUAAUGCAUGGCAUUAUCCAUCAUAAAUUGCUCAUAUAACAUCAAGAUAUCAUGGUGUGGACCUCAAAUGACUCGUCAUGUCUACUGGCUACAUUUUAAACAUAUCUUAUGGCCAGAAUGUUCAUCUUAUCAACUUAACGAGUUUAUUCAUGGUACCAUACCAUUCAAUUAAAAAAGUUUCCACCUUUUACCUUUUAUUUAUAGAUGUCGAGGAAUAUAGCUGAUAACGCACUUUUGGCAGCAAACUUCCUUCACCCAAUUAAAGAUUUUCGGAGCUUAAAGUUCAGCUCCUAAAGCUCUUCUCCAAGGCUCACCAACCAACAGAGAAAUUACUUUUAGCAAAGUUUUGAUGGCAUCUUGGCAAGAUUGGAAGAUUAUAUUGCGCUUCUAAGAUAAUGUUUAAAAAAGCUAUUUUAGUGAGGGCAUUAUGGUCAAUUUGCCCCGAUGAUAUUGACAUUAGGUCCCAUCAACAUCAGAAGGGAGCUCAUUGUAUUAUUGGAUAUAACAAGGGUGCUAGUGAAAUUAUGAAAACCCUCGAGGAAGGUUUUUGAAAUUAACCCUAAAAUACUCAUUCCACGCAAGGCGUGGCGUUCCCCUCCUAGUUCCUAUAAAUAGGGCUGCAACUCAAUGCACUUAUCACUCUUUUUUUUUUUUUUCGAAACGAUAAUUGAUUGUAUUGCUUGACAAAAGAUAUACAAGUGCGAGCAAGGGCUCGAUUGAACUUUACAAGCGGCAUAUUUACCACUAAGGAAACCAAUGUUCCUCAUCAAAAAUAAUGCCCAAGCCAUGAAUGCUAAGCUUGUAGCUUAAUUGAGUCUUAUCUUUUCUAACUAGGCAAAAAGAGCACAUAUGAAACAAUUGGCUUAAUUGAAGAAUGUCAUCCACAACAGUCGCUAAUCUAAUCUCACUUACUCUGUUUGUGCGAAUACUGUUAAGGAUUUGUGGGUUUUGCACUUGAAAUUGCACUUCCCUGGCUUGCGUUGUGGCUGUCUUACACAUUGCCAGCUUCAGUGCAAUUGCCUCAUCCACCAGAAUUGAUCCUGAACUUCUUGCUCGUAGCGGCCAUCCUCGGUGUGGUCCUUGAUCUCCUUGAUUCAGGCUGAUUCCAAUGCCAAAGGCGUGGUUGGAUAUAUCUGAUGUUACCCCAAUCCGUACUUCCAGUAUCCCAUAUUCUGAAGCUGACUGCGAACUGUGUUGCUGUAGAGCUAUUGUUUCGUCUGUGCUCAUCCUAGAUUCCUUAGUAUCUAAUUCCACCAUUUCUAACCAUUCCUGAUGCGCCUUCUGAAUAGUCUUCCAAGGCUGUUUUUUUUCCCAUUAAAUUCCUCCUCAUUCCUAGUUUUCCAUAUCUGCCAUAGAAUAUAGACAGACAACGAAAUAUGUUGCCCACCUUCUGGUCUAUUCCUGGCUUCUGAGAUUGAUGUCCACCAGUUACGGAAAUUCCCUUGUUGCUCCAUCAUUCCUUCCCAUUGGAUAGGGGCUAGCCUCCAUAUCAGUUUUACCUCCCUGCAGUUCAAAAGGGUAUGCUCUAAUGUUUCCCUAUCUUCUCCACAUCUCUUGCAAAUGGGGUCUCCAACUUUGAUUCUGCCUUGUAAAAGAUCUCUCACUGGAAGCGCAUCAUUGAGACAUUUCCAUAGGAAGAUUUUCUGCUUAUGCUUCACUUUCAAUUUCCACACUUCCUUCCAAAGCUUUUGUGUUUGAUCCUCCCAACUAGUAGAUCCCUCCACCUGGUUUCUGCUGUGCUUACUUCCUUCUUGCCGCACCUGUAGCUUAUACCCUGAAUUAACGGUAUAGUUUCCAUCUGUCCCGUAUAUCCAGAAAUGACUAUCUUCCUUCCCUGAUAAGCUUAUUGGUAUGGCCAAAAUCCUUUCAGCAUCUUGUCGAUUGAAAUUUUUGAAAACCAGAUUCGUAUUCCAUGACUUUUGGCAGAUCAGCUCAUGAACUUUUUGAAGUCCAUUGUCCAUAUGUCUUCUGGUCGUGACUUUCCCAUUUAUAUUACCCGGGAUCCAGCAAUCAUCCCAGAUAUUGGUGUUGUUUCCAUUGCCAAUCCUUCUUCUUGUUCCUUGUUCCACCAACUCUCUAGCUCCCAUAAGGCUCCUCCAUAUCCAAGAUGCAGUAUUGGGGACUUUGCACCUAAAUAUGGAAGUCCUUGGGAAAUAUUUAGCCUUCAAAACUUGGCUGACUAGGAGAUUAGGUUGCGUUAUCAGUCUCCAAACCUGCUUGCCUAGAAGUGCUGCAUUAAAUGCCAUCAAAUCUUUGAAGCCUAAUCCUCCCAUGUUCUUACUCCGAGUGAGCUUCCUCCAAGAGCACCAGUGUACCUUAUUCUUUCCAUUGGCCUCUCCCCACCAGUAGUUUGACAUUAGUGAGCUGAGUUCCUUACAUAAUCUGGAUGGGAGCCUAAAACAGGACAUGGUAUACGUCGGCAUGGCUAAGGCUACUGACUUAAGCAUAAUUUCCUUACCUGCUGUACUUAAGAACCUGUUUUUCCACUUGCUCAUUCUCUGUUGUAUAUUUGAUUUGACAAAACCAAAAAUCUGCUGCUUUGAUCUUGAAACCACCAUUGGUAAUCCGAGAUGCUUGCCUUGAGUAACACUUUGCAUAGUCCCCAUAACUUGACAAAUCUCAUGCUUCAGAUUUAGCCUCACAUUCUUACUGAAUAGUAUAGAAGACUUAUCCAGAUUUAUCAGUUGUCCAGACCCUUUGGCAUACACCUGCAGCACCCUCAUUAAUUCCGUAGCCUGAUCCUUAUUUGCUUUGCAAAAGAUCAAAGAGUCGUCUGCAAAGAAGAGGUGUGUUAUACUAGGACCCUGUCUACUUAUCUUCAUCCCAGAAAUUUUUCUGGUUUGUGCAGCCUGCCGAAUGAGGUUGGAAAAUCCUUCAGAGCAAAGGAGAAACAGAUAAGGGGAUAGGGGAUCCCCUUGUCUAAUACCUCUUGUGGGUAUCACAUACUCUUUCACCUCCCCAUUAAUAUUGAAGGAGUAAGAUACAGUUCUUGCACACUCCAAAAUCCAGUUUAUCCAUCUGUACUGAAACCCCAUCUUUUGCAUAAUGGCCUCAAGAAAACUCCAUUCCACACGGUCGUAGGCUUUGGACAUGUCCAACUUCACUGCCAUAAACCCGUCCUUACCUUGUCUCUUGUUAUUUAGAUAAUGCAAAUACUCAUGAGAGACUAAGAUGUUAUCUAUAAUUUGCCUACCGGGGAUGAAUGCAGAUUGGUUUUUGCAAAUGCAGCAAUGUAAAACACCUUUGAGCCUAUUUGCAAGAAUUUUAGCAAUGACUUUAUAUAUGGUAGUGCAAAGACUAAUUGGUCUUAACUGAUUCAAAGAUGUGGGAUUAAGCACUUUGGGGAUGAGAGUAAUCACCGUAUGGUUAACACUUUUCAAGAGGUGGCCUGUAUGAAAAAAGGUUUGGAUUGCAUUUACCACUUCUUUCUUGAUGGUAGUCCAGAAUUUUUGGAAAAAAAGUGGUGACAUACCAUCAACCCCAGGAGAUUUAUCUGGGUUCAUAGAGAAAAUUGCAGCUUUUAUUUCUUCUUCCAAAACUGGUUUCAUCAGAUUUCCAUUGAGUUCAUCAGUAAUAGUAUGGGGUAUACCAUCCAGUACCUCAGUUAAGUCCCCGACGUCAUUACUGUUGAACAGAUUCCUAUAGUAUUCUGCAAUCUCCUUGCUCACUGCAUGCUCACUCUCAGUCCAAGUACCAUCCUCUCGCUGAAGUUUGUUCAGUCUAUUUCUCCUUCUCCUACCUUGUACCGAGGCAUGGAAAAAUUUCGUGUUCUUGUCACCCUCCCUAAGCCAUUGUAUCCGCGAUUUUUGAAGCCAGUACAACUCUUCCUCUUUGUAGGCUUCCUUUAACUGUUUUUUUAGAGAAUCCUUACAAACCUUGCUGGUACUACCUAGAGAAGACUUCAGAUCACUCAACUGGUUUUUUAUCUGCUCAGUUUUCACUCUUGCAUUUGCUUGGAAGUUAUUCCUCCAUUGUAGUAGAGCCACUCGGCAGUUUUUGAGCUUCUUAACCACUUGAAACAUCCUAGAUCCAUCCAUUUCCUGCUCCCAAGCCGACUUGAUAACCUCCCCUAUAUCCUCUCUUUUAAGCCACCUCUUAUCAAAGUAGAAUCUCUUCUUCCUCUUACCAAGAUUCAUCCUAGUAUCGAACAAAAGAAUGCUGUGAUCAGACGCAUUAUUUACAUUUUGAGUGAGAUUGUGAUCAAAUGACAUCUUCAAAAAAUUUGCUCUUUCUUAUUGGUGUUCUUUUUGCACUUGUGCUCCUCAUUUCCUCUGAUGCAACAGCUGCAGGUGCCUAGUCCCUUUUUUUCUUUUCCUUUCUUCCUUUUUUUUUUUGGCUGCACCUAAAUACUUAAAUGAAUGGAGAUUUGGAGACUCAUUAUUGGGAUGUGAAUUUUUAUGGAAGGCUAUUUGUAUAUUAUCAAGCAAGUCAUAUUAAUGUGCUAAUAUCUUUUUCAUUGUUUAGCAAAAGUAAAUUUGGGUUGCUUCUAUCAAUGGUUAGUGGCACAUCUGAUUUUUCAUGCAUCCUUAUAGUAUUGCUGUAAGGAUACACGUUCCAUAGUGUCGCACCAAAGAUUAAACUAACGUCGAAAACCAAAUUAAAUGCUUCUAAUUAUAAUUUAAAGCAAAAUAAUUCCCCUUAUAAAUGGACGAAACUCCCUGCCAACAAAUCCAAAUUCAAGAAAAAAUUUUCUUAAAGGGAAACUCUGCCAAAAUUUUCUUAAAAUAAAUAAAAUAUUUAAUUAAAAAAAUGAAGCAAAAUAAUUCAUAUCCAAGUCGCACCAUCUUAUAUGCCUAGACUGUUUUGUUUAAUCCAUAGUAUUCUUUUCUUUGCAUAUAUCUUGCAAAUUUUCAGCCUAGCCGGUCACCUAACGUUCGCAGCUUAAGAUAAAGCUCCAAAUAUUUAUGUCUCCUUGUGUCUUGAAACAGAUCAGAAGAGCGUGAAAACCACUGGUGUCCACGAUGCCAGUUCAGGCGAGGUUCAUCAGGAUAGCAAAAGCGAAGAUCGUUGCAGACAUGGUUGCUGCCACUGGUACCAUGGACACUGCCAAAGAUGCUGUCGAACUGCCGAGGAGACCCCUGAAGUCACAUCUGGAGAUGAGGAUACCGUAACCGCAGAUCGUUGCAGACAUGGUUGCUGCCGCUGGUACCAUGGACAUUGCCAAAAAUGCUGUCCACCUGAAGAUCGUUGCAGACAUGGUUGCUGCCACUGGUACCAUGGACAUUGCCAAAGAUGCUGUCCACCUGCUGAGGAGACCCCUGAACAUCGUUGCAGACAUGGUUGCUGCCGCUGGUACCAUGGACAUUGCCAAAGAUGCUGUCCGCCUGCUGAGGAGACUUGCAGACAUGGUUGCUGCCACUGGUACCAUGGACAUUGCCAAAGAUGCUGUCGAACUGCUGAGCAGACCCCUGAAGCUACAUCCGGAGAUGAGGUAAAAAAUUAACGCUAAAUAAAUAAGGGCGUGACACAGGAUCCGUGACACCUAUAUUAUUACCUUAAUAUGUUAUGUUGUGUUUGCUUUUAAUGGUUGAUUUCCUAUAUGUGUAAAAGACUUGUGCGGCUUCUCUUUGAAUUGGUGUAGAAUCAACGGGGGAAGCAUGUAAUGAGUACUCAGUUCGAGUGCUCUUCUUAUGUUGUUGUCAUGUUGAAUAAAUAAAUCUACUUGAUCAUCUACUACAAUUGAUGAUGCUUUGACUUUACCUCGUAAACGUGUCAUUUCACAAAUCUCAGGUUUUCAAGCUAAGUCACUUCCUCUUCGAUAUCUUGGCUGUACUCUCUAUUCAGGGAGAAGGAAAAGCAGUUAUUUUUCAGAUAUCUGCACUUCAGUUGCUAAGAGAAUUCUGUCUUGGAAGGAGAAGCUUUUGUCAUCUGGAGGGAGGUUAGUGUUACUCAAAAAUGUUCUAUCAUCUUUGCCUAUUCAUGUCUUAGCUGCUACAACUCCUCCAAAGGGUGUUCUCCGCACCCUUGAGAAAGCAUUUGCAAAUUUUCUAUGGGGCACAACUGAUAAAGGGUCUCGGUAUCAUUGGAUUGCAUGGGAUUCAUUGUGUAAGCCGUAUGCCGAAGGGGGUGUGGGAGUGAGGGCUUUGACUGAUGUGUUUAAUGCCUUUUCAUUGAAGUUAUGGUGGUCUUUAAGGCAACGUCAGUCUCUUUGGGCAGAAUUUAUGUACAAUAAAUAUUUACAUAAAUUGCAUGCUUGCGAAGCGGAAUUUCAGCCUUUACAAUCGGUAACUUGGAAGAGAUUGGUUACAUAUCAGUCUUUGGCAAAUUCCCAUAUUCAAUGGGUGUUGCAGAAUGGCUUGAUAAACUUCUGGCAUGAGAAUUGGACUGGUACAGGUCCUUUAUGUCAGCAGAUCGACAUUUUUGGAGAUCACACAGUGGCGGAUUUUGUUUCAAAUGGUCAAUGGAACAUUCCAAUGCUUCGACAAUGGCUCCCAGAAAACAUUGUAUCUACGAUUCUACAAAUCAUUCCCCCGGAUGUUGUUUCUAAUCAACCUGAUAGGAUGGUGUGGGAUUUAGAAAUUUCUGGUUCAUUUUCCUUUUCUUCAGCCUAUAAGGUGGUCCGCACCGUUGCCAAUUCGUCAAUCUUUUCAUCUACCAUUUGGGUGAAAGACUUGCCAGCAAAAAUCUCAUUCUUUAUGAUGAGAAUGCUAUCUUGGAGACUGCCGGUUCUGGAUGUGUUGCAGCGCUUUGGUGUGUGCGGACCAUCUCGUUGCGUUUGCUGCCAAAAUCCUGGGUUUGAUUCUAUUGAUCAUGUUUUCUGUACAGGUGAAAUCCCUCGCCAAGUUUGGAAAUCGUUUCAGGUUGAUAUUGGCGAGUUUGUCACUCCUUCAACGGUAAAGCAUGCAGUCAUUCAAUGGUGGUUGCUGCCAGCUAAAAACAUUAAGCUUAAACUGGUUUAUCAGCUGCUGCCAUCGCUGAUUUGCUGGCAUCUUUGGAAAGCUAGGAAUACUGCGGUUUGGGAAGGCAAGGUGUUGUCGGUCAUGCAGAUUAAUACUUUUGUUCUUUCUGAUCUCUAUGACAUUUUCCAAUUACAUUUUACAGACAUUGGAGUUGGAAGGUACUCGUGGCCAUGUUUUUACUCUUCACUGGUGAGUUGGCAAAAACCAUUUAAAUUCAUCCUGGUUAGGUGGAUCCCUCCAGUCUUGACGACAUGUAAACUGAAUACCGAUGGUAGUUCUCUUGGUAAUCCGGGAAGGAGUGGCGGUGGGGGGGUUUUGAGAAAUAGCUCGGGGGUUUUUUUGUUGGGUUUUGCGUGUUAUUGGGGUGUCAUACCGAGUUUACAUUCAGAGUUGAAGGCUUUGUUAUUUGGAGUUAAGCUUUGUGUUAUGCGAGGUUUCUUUUGCUUGCAUUUGGAAUCAGAUUCGUCACUUCUUGUCCAAAUGGUUAAGGGGAUUAGUAGAUGUCCAUGGGAUUUGCAACGAGAGCUGGACCAAUUGCUCACUUUUAGGCAUUUCUUUCAAUCCGUCACUCAUUGUUAUCGUCAAGCGAAUUUGCCUGCAGACCGCUUAUCUAAGGUUGGAACUGAGUUAAAGUCCAACAUAGUGUAUGAUUCAUGGUUGGAAUUGCCACGAUUGGUUCGUGGAGACCUCAAGUUGGAUAGGUUAGGUUCUCCUAAUUUUCGGGUUUACUAAUCAUUUGGAUUUCUGGAAUGGGGUCUAGUUCAUCCACACAGAUUCAAGCGUUGUUGCUGUUACUGUUGUUUUGCUAUUGCUGCUGUUAUUUUUUGCUCUCUGGUUGAGCAAUUUCUUUCUUUUUGCACCUCUGUUUGGCAGAUGCUGAUGUAACGUGAUAUUUAUUUAUCAAUAAAAGGUAUAAGGUUUUUUUUAAAAAAAAAAAAAAAAGAUCUUCUUAUGUUUUUUUUCACUUUAUCUUCCUUCAAGAUUUUUGGUGGAAAUGCUUCAUUUAUACGAAUUUUCCUAGUUAGUAAAUGCUUCUAUUACACUUGUACAAUACACAUUUAAAAGUAUAACACAACAAAAGCUUGUGUAGUUCAUAUAUUUAAAAAAUAUUCAUACUUUUCAACUAAACUAUAAAAAUAUGUAAUAAAUUCUUUAUACAUUAUACUUUACGAACUAUACUUUAAAUUUUAAAAAUAUUUAAUAGUAUCACUUAUCAAUAACUCCACAUGUUAAUUUGUCUUCCAAUUCAGUAAAUUAUAGUAGCUAAUUCUCAAAGCUAACCGACACCAAAAUUCCCUCACUUGUUCAGCUCCUAGUGGAUUUAUAUUAAUUACAUUGCAUUUAUUUCCUAAGCAUGAGUUUUGUAACCCCUCAUAUUAAAUCUCAAUGAUUGAUUUUAACGGUUACCCAGGCGUCUAGUAAUUGGUUUGCUAUUAAUUUGAACUAGACAUUUAUUAGGUCUAGUAGAAUUUAUUCCUUCUUAUCACUUAGUUCAUAAACCUUACGAAUCGUUAAAACCAGCUCUAACAUCAGCUAACAAGACUUCUACAAUUUCGGGUUUUGCUUAGAAAUCAGUCUGAUAGGUUAACUUGCUUCGUCCAACUUUAUGAGUUGCUUCUUUUUUCUUUUUUUUUCCAUAUUUGACAUUUCAUCUUACUUUAAUAUGGGGACCAAGUUAGUAUUGUUGACAUUUCAUAUCUAAGACUUCUUAAUUAAUUGAUUUGUUAUAAGAACUAUAACGUAUGCGUGUUUUGUAAGCUUUCAUGUUUUUUUAUUUUUUCAAUUCUUGUGGACCAGCAACGGAUAGUUUCUUCUAGUACCAAUCUUCCUUUGAAGUUCUUUAAUUUUUUUUUUGUGUCCAAAUGUAAAUUAAAAGAACCAACAACUUUGAACAAGUCUAUAUCUAGUAAAGAUAGAUAUAAAGAGGGAUACUAUAUCACUGCAACAAAAAAGGGAUUUGGCGAGGAGCAAAAGUCCACGCCAAAAUUUUUGACUUCGUCGCCAAUUAAUUUCAGCGAGAAAAAUGCUUCCUCGUCAAGUUUCUUGCUAGAUGCUCAUCGCUAAAAGUUAUUAGAGAGGAUGUUGUUGCUUUUCUCGCUAAUGAAACAGAUCAAUAGCAAGGAUUGACCUCCUCGCCAAUCUGAUUCAAAUACUAUGGCGAGAAAAGCUUUCCUCACCACUAAAGUUAAAAACUCCCCACAAAAACCAGUAGUUCCUAGCAAAUAGUCAAGGUGUUCUGCUAGGAAAAAUAGCGCAUCCUUACCAAUAGUAUAGAAUUAGCAAGGAUUCUUUUGACAAAUCUGCAAUGCCUCGUGUACCAGUAAAACAUUUUUGGCCAGGAAAGUUUCCUCUCUAAUAAGCAAUAAUUGAUUAUUGUCUAACUGUUUGGUGGGAAAAUGUUCCUCUCCAAUGCUGUUAUGAACAUUUCUUAAUCCCAUUUAGCAUGCUAAUCUUAAUUCUCUGAGCAAAUUACUGGGUGGUUUUAUUAGAAAAUUUAGCUGCAAAUAGCUUCAAUUUGGCUUCUCAUGUGUCUGUUGUACAUUUUCCAGGUUCUUAUAAGUAUCAAAUUGUUUGGCAAAAUUUUUUUUUAAUGAAUCAUGACCAACGUAGCUGCUCAUUAAAUUUAAACUCAUAAGCCCUAGUAUUUGAUAGCUUUUUGGAAUAUCACUUGGUGCCAACAACCCCCUUUUGCUACUUUGAUAAACAUUCAAUAGAAAACAUACAAAAGCUUUGGUUAGCUAAAAAUAAUUGUUAGCAAAGUAAUACAUCAACAUCCAGCUCUUUCAACAUCUUGAGCCAUACAAAUAGGAAGUGCUUGAAAUCAAUUGGCAAUCCAAAUUUUUUUUAGCUCAUUAACCAUCCAAGAAAUCGCAACUUCAAUAAGUCAUUACAAAAGAAGAUUUCAUCAAGAGAACACCACAAAAAGGAGAAGCAGAAAAAAAAUAUAAGAGAGAGAGAGAGAGAGUUAAACUAGUCAUAUGGACACAUAUUUGUCACCUCAGUAUUUCCAAUUCCUUAAUUCAGUCCAGUUAUCUUGGAACUCUAUCGGCAAUCCAUGGAACAUUUUUUGAAUGACAAUAUGCUGUUGCAACCUUCUGGUGAAGACUUCAAAGGUUCUAUGAUAGGUUGCAUUUUUGUCAUUAAUUCUAUGAUUAUUUUCCUCAUUUAUAUUACCAAAUAUUGUAUUAAUUGAUUGAUUCUACUUAUAUUUGGUAUUUUGUGUCAAUUGUAGGAAGGUGGAGCAAAAAAUAAUAAAAGAGGUGAUUUUUCAAGAGUUUUCCAUUUCAAGAUGGAGUUUACGUGGAGUAUUGGAUGAAAAUUAGGAAACUACCACUUUUUAUUAGAUGUCUUAUUAGGGAACAAUUAGCAAUAGUUGGAGAAGUUUCCUUUUGCAAUUAGAAUUCUAUUUUUAGUUGGCCAAUGGACUGCCGAAAUAAUGGACUUCAAUUAGGAAACAAAGAGAGAAAAAAGGCCGGAAUCCCGCGUGAUUACUACCUUGGAGGGAACAAGAAAAAGGAGACGUCCGCUGGUCUCUUCUUUAGUGAGUCUUUUGGAAAAAACCAAUGGUUAUCGAUGGUGUCCUGCGGAUCUCUCCUGAUGAUGUGUAGCUAAAUCUCCGUUUUCUAGUCGAAUGUCAAUUUGAGGACUCGAUUCCAAACAUAUUUGAUAAGAGAAUAUUUAAUGUACAUUUUGUACAAGUUUGGCAUGAACUUUUGAUGUGUUUUGAGAAGAUUAAAGCCAUAUUUGAACUCUUUUGGUGAUAAAUGCUUAAAUAUUAUGUAAGUGUUCAAAACUUGAUAAAUGAGUGGAUUAAUGCGUUAAUUUUGUGAAAUUGUGAAGGAUAUUGAUAUAUGAAAUUCAUGCACGAGAUGAAGGAAAUGUAAGGAUCGUCUAGAGGAUAAAGUACAAAAGAAACUAGGAGCAAAAAUGAAGAAAAAGGAAAGAAGUGAAAAACUGGAAAUUGAUCAGCACAGAUUUGAGCUCGGAUCCGUGUGAACAAAGGGCGAUCCGAGCCCUCGUCUGCACUUCUGGAGCAGUGCAUCCGAGGCCAGACAAUCUGAGCUCGGAUUAUUAAGAGAAAGACCUCGGAUCAGCCUUGAUCCGAGCUCAGAUCGUAGUGCACACCUCGGAUCCAGGUCUCGGAUCUGCCUCUCUUCUGCAAGUGGCACGGCCGUUUUUUCUCAUUUUCACACAACUUUCCAGCUAUCUUGGGUGAGAGAAUUCGAUGGCACAUGCUUCUGCAACAAAAGGGAAGACAAAAUGAGUUAUUGAUAAGUCAAAACAACAUUUCUUUUGACUUUCUUUACAAAAUCUGAGUUGUUGGAAUCAUGAAGGAGAAGAAAGUGCCUUUCUACCACCUUUUAUGCAGAGAACUAAGGAGAAGUCAGGCAUCACCAUAUGGAGGAGUUUUUCAUCUUGUAACAUUUUUCUCUCUAGCUAGAAGUUCUAAAAACAAGCACUUGGAGAUUUCACUUGUAAUCAUCUUGUACAAGACAUAGCAAAAAUUUGAGGGUUUCACCAUUAAUUGGCUAAGCUUUUCUUUAUCUUUCUUGUACUUGUACUUUAUGAUGUUUUGCAUUAAUAAACUUGUGAGUUUGAUUGUUAUAUUAUUCAUGAGUAGCUAAAUUUCUUUAUCUAGAGAGUAGAUAAAUGAUAUGAAUUGAAUGUGAUUUACACUUGUUAUAUCUUGUAUUAACUUGUCUAUUUGUGCAGUUGUAAUUACUUGUUGUUGUUUGAUCACCAAUAGCAUGUUUAUAGUUGUUAUUAGUCAAUAAGAAUUGGUAGUAACAAUAGAAAAAAUAUGAGUAGAGCUUGAGUUGUAUGUUCAUGAAAAUAGAUGUACACUUAAGUGGAUUAGCUAGCAUUUCAUGAAGGAAAACAGAGUAGAACUGGUAGUUCACCAUGAAAAUAGGGAAAACUGGAUUACUCUAGGCCAUUUUAUCAUGAGAAUGAGAUUUGGCAAUAUUGAAAAUGAAUCCCUGGUUAAACAACAAUAAUAACAAGAGGUAAAUCUAUUCAUUUGUGUUGUUUAUACCAUAAGUGGAAUCUACAUCCCUAGAUUUAUUCUUGAGUGAAAUUUAUCCAUUUGCAUUUAGCAUUUGUUAAACUAGAUUUAUAGACAACAACAUUAUAAUUUCUCUGCUCAAAUUCAUUUAUAAGUCUAAAUAAUAGAGAAAAUAAGGGCCUAGUACUUAUUUAAAUUGCUCCUCGUGGGAUCGACUUGAUACAUACCUUACAUUACGAUUUCGACCUGUAUAGUUGCAGUCAACGGGUAUAAAAUCGAAUUCAAACUUGCAUUGAUAUAAAAAUCCCGUCACAUAUGUGAGAUCGAAUUAUUUUACUUAUUUCUUUUAUUCAUUGGUAUUUGUACAUUUUCUGAUUUAACUUCAUAUACUUGUUAUGUUAUUUGAAUGUCAAGGGCUCGAUAUUCGAAUUAACCUAAUAAUCUACUGUUAGAUUAAUUGAUUGAAUCCCUAAUUGUUCAAUUGAUUAAUACCAGUGGCAACUAGCGUGAUUAGUUUCAUGUUAAGGAAACAUAUGAUCUAACUUAAACGAACCCUCGUAGCGUGUUUGUUAAUUAAGGUUGGCUUUUCUAAUUCUUAUUGCAAUUGAGAAAUUAAAUCCUAUAGUCGUACCUAGGGUUAUUUCUUGGUUAGAAAAAUAGUUAAUGGUCGUACCUUAACUAUCGAAAAAGUAAGAAAAGAUUGGUUGUUUAUCGCGUGUAUAACAACUAUAACCAAUCUAUUAAUUAGUAAUUGAAUUAUCUUUGCAUCGAUGAUCAGUUGAAAGGACCAUGUCUGAAAAGUUGCACCUUUGGCUAGAGUUGUAUUGGUUAUUGAUUAAUUCCUGUUUAUUUCUAUUAGUUGUUUCAUUAGUUGAUUAAUUAGUUAUUUUAUAUUUUUCAAAAACCCCCCAUACUUCGGACUCUGGAAGAAAUGAAUUAUCCCCAAUCCCUGUAGAUUCGACCCUGCUCACCGCUAUAUACAAAUUUGUAUUUUUCUUGAGUAGGUAAUUAUUAUUGCACAUGUUCAACACCUGUCAUUCUAUAACUGUAUACAGAGUCAUCUUUUUCAAAGAUUUCCCAUGCUGCAAAAUGUACUCUACGAGCUUUAUUUCACCCUGUUCCUGAAGAGUUUGCUUGAUCCGAUAUACCCGAAUGGGAUGGUUAUUUCUUUCACAAAUAAUUAUGAAUUUGUAGACAGGGCAAGUAGGGUCGUAUCCACAGGGACUGGGUAUAUUUGUUUCUUAAGAAAUCCAAAAUAACAUAGGGGGGUGAUUUUGUAGGAACGACGACAAUAAAAUAAAUUCAAUUAAGAAAAUAAAAAUAAAUAACUAAUUAGAGAUUAAACAACAAUUCACUGAACUUAGAGUAAUAAUAAUUAAAGGCCUAAAUCAAUUAAAACAAGGAAGCAAUUAAAAAUAAAAUAAAGUAGGCAACUAAAAGUCAAAUGGCAAUUCACUGAAAUCAAGAUAAUAUUAAUUAAAGAUCUAUCCAAGAAAUAAUUUCAGCAAUGGUGCACCUAAUUGAUCAUUGAAGCAAAGGCAAUUCCAAUUAUUUAUCAAUAAAUAGGUUAUAACUACCAAACAAGCGAUGGCAGUCAACCCCUCCUUAUUGUGUCGGUGAUCAAGGUACGCCCGUUAACCACUAGUCUAAUUGAGAAAUAACCUUAGGUACGCCCGUAAGAUUUAAUUCCCCAAUUGCCUUACGUAUUAGAGGAGCCCUAUUCUAACCAAAUAACACACUACCAGAGUUAUUUCAGAUUAGCCCGCGUAUCCCCCUGACAUGAAUCUAAUCGUGCCAGUUGUCACUAUUUUAGGACAAUUAAACAAUUACGGAUUUAAUGCCCUAAUUGACAAAUGAGUACCAAAUCAAUUAAUUAUCUGGAUCCAAGACAAUCAAUUAAUUAAAUAACCAUAGGCAUAGUAAUUCAGGAAUAUACGAAUACCAAUAAAUAAAAGGGAAAGACUAAAAUUAAAUCGAUCUCACAAUUUUAGGCAAACCAAAGCCUCCGUUGUCCCUCGGUUAGAUUGAGAAAAUUAGCUCAUGUUCGAUGCGAAAAACCCACAAGAAAUUGUAAAGAGAGCCGCGGCCAUUGUCCCUUGAAAUUGGGGAAAUUCAAUUCGGUUCCAAUCAAGAAGGGAGGCAAGCUACAGAAAGUUAUCAAUUCAGUUUUGCUUGUCUCCCACAUACGAAGGGAAAAACUACUCUAAGAACCAGGGAAGAAAAGUCAAAAGUAAAGCUAUCCCCCUUUUCUCCUGACAUGCGCAGGAGAAGUCCUAAUCAAAAGCUUCAAAAGGAAGAAAAAAAUCUCAUGCUAAGCUAAAGCUAUCCGCCCCCUUCUUCUGUGCAGUUUUUUUCUUAUAUAGUCAGGCUCCGUGCGGCGGCUCCAGGGAGAAGAACGCUUUUGCCAAAAUGACCAAAAAGGCUCAUGUCCCUUCUUCCAAAAAUGCCCUUGCAAGCCUUCUAUUUAAUUUCUUUCCCGAUGACUGUCAAAGUGGCAUUGAUUGUGGUAUUUUUGAUCUACUCUCUGAAAUAAAUGCAAAUUAAGAAAAAUGAAUAGAAUCCAGCAAUUAAUCCACAUCAAGUCAGGUAAUAGGGGAAAUUAAUAAUAAAAUAAAUGAUAAAAUUGCAACCUAUCAUUAAGUAACAUUAGGAUGAUUGCUAUUUAAUUAAAAUUGUCCCACGGUUUAAUUUUGGUGAAGAACUUUUGCUUCUUUUGUUUCUAAAUCAUCAACACUGUGAUCCGUAAGUGGUAACCUUGGGGCUCAUAGAGAGAUGUUCUGCUAGUUCAAAUGGUUACUCUUUAACUCUUCUGUAUUGUCCAAACACUCAUUAAAUUCUAACAGCCAUUCCUUUUCAUUGUAAUGAUUGAUAUGAUUUUGCAACCUGGCAAGCUCUUUUUGAAGCUCAUGCUUUGUUAUAUCCUCAUGCAACAUUUUAGCUUUCACCUCAAAUUCUAUAGUAUUAGGCCUGAGAAUCCACACGUUCCACAACAUGUUAAGAGGAACAUCUUUGUCUGUUAUUUCAAAGUUGUGUGUGAAUUUUAAUAAUUAUGUUUGUGUCAAUAACUUGAUUAACCUAGAAGGAUUUUUUUUCAUGUUGGGUCAACUUGAUCUUCACAAAACUCCCUAUUAAUUAACCCUCAAACUUCUCAGGGGCCUUUGCAAGAUCCUCAACUAGAGUUCUUCUUAAAUAAAUAAGAUUAAUGUUUUCUUGAAUGAAUAUAGAAGAAUGACUUCUAGGAGUUCUUAAACCUGUAGUCUUUUGGUGUUAUUCCAUGCAUAGCAUCCUCAUCAAGUAAUUGUCAGUAUAUAGGCUUUUAGUUUUGUUAGGUGUUUGAAUGUUUCGUGCAUAAACUGUGCCAUUUAACUAGCUAAUAUAAUAAUGAAUAGCAAUUUACGAUUUUUAAAUUAACUUUAACUCUAUAAUUUGUUGCAAAAAUAUAUAUUACUCUAGAGUGAAAGUGUUGGGAAAGGGGUACCAGUAUAGGUACAAAAUAUCAGAGUUAGCCCAAGAUAAAUUUCUCUUUCCCCAAAUACCAGUUAAAAUAGGAAUAAACCAAAUCACCAAAUAAUAAUACCAGUAGUGAUAAUAAAAUGAAAGGAAAAAUAAAAGGCACAGGACACCAAGAUUUUUACGUGGAAAACCCAAUUGGGAAAAAUCACGAGACCUAAUCCAGUCAAAAACUUCACUAUCACAAUAAUGGGAAUACACAGGUCUAUCCGAAAUAUUCGGAUGAUAAUAAUAUCACCAAUACCAACCAAGCCAAUCUACUAUAAAAUCACCCCCAAAAACUACAACUGUCAAAGAAGUGAAUUUGGAAAGAUGUUACCAAACGAAGAGGAAAUCUAAAAUCUGAACCGAUACAUGAGUAGAGCUUGUCGAGAGGAUCACGUGUUUAAAAUUUCGUCUCAAUCGGGUUUCGAAUCGCCCUCCAAUCAAGACCUUGAAGUCUCUCUCUCUCUAGCCUUUCUCUCUCUUCGUCUCACUCAAGGAGGUGGCGACUGACCUUUUUUCUUCACACGAAAAUCGAAGAAAAGGAAUCAUUUCUUGCGGCUGCUGCUGCCUUUUUUUUUAUAUCACUUGAGAAACCCUCAAGUGUUAGUUAUGUGGGUUGGCCCACAAAUGGGCUGGCCCACGACAUCAACAAUCUCCCCCUCCAGCUCAUUUGGGGGGCUCCAUCAAGCCUGCUUCUUGUUUGCAAAACAAGAGUUUCUCCUUAGGCAAUGCUUUGGUAAACAUGUCAGCACCAUUAUCAUCUGUAUGCACUUUCUCAAGUGUCAACAACUUGGAAUCCAGUACUUCCCGAAUCCAAUGAUAUCUCACAUCAAUAUGUUUGGAUCGAGAGUGAAAUGUGAAGUUCUUACACAAAUGAAUAGCGCUCUGACUGUCACAGUAAAGACUAUACUUGUCUUGUUUCAUACCCAACUCCUGAAGGAAUUUCUACAACCAAAGAGUCUCCUUACAUGCUUCAGUAGUUGCAAUAUACUCUGCCUCCGUAUUAGAAAGAGCGAUACACUUCUGUAGCUUACUUUGCCAAGACACUGCUCCCCCUGCAAAAAUCAUUAAGUACCCAGAUGUGGACUUCCUAUUUUCAAGAUCACCUGCCAUAUCUGCAUCAGUGUAUCCAUCUAGCAUAGUUUUACCAUUGCCGAAACAUAGACACAAUCUAGGAGUUCCCUUGAGAUACCUAAGAAUCCAUUUGACAGCAUUCCAAUGCUCCUUACCAGGAUUAGAGAGAUACCGACUGACUAUUUCAACUGCAUGAGCAAUAUCUGGUCUGGUGCAAACCAUAGCAUACAUCAAGCUACCAACGGCCGAAGCAUAAGGAACCUUUUUCAUGUCUUCUUUAUCUUUCUCACUUGUAGGACACUGCUUGAUAUUCAGUUUAAAGUGACCUGCAAGUGGAGUUGAGACUUCCUUAGCAUUGCUCAUGUUAAACCUGUUGAGCACUUUCUCAAUGUAUUUUUCUUGAGACAACCAAAGCUUCCCAUUUUGCCUGUCUCGUGAGAUUUUCAUCCCCAAUAUCUGUCUAGCCGGACCCAAAUCUUUCAUUGCAAAGGAUUUACUUAACUCCUUUUUCAACCUGUCAAUCUUCACAGUAUCAAGACCAACAAUCAACAUGUCAUCAACAUAUAAUAAGAGAAUAACAAAAUCACCAUCUGAAAGGUUUUUCACAUAAACACAGUGAUCAGAUGUAGUCCUGUGGUACCCAUGGUCUGUCAUGAAGGAAUCAAACUUCUUAUACCAUUGUUUCGGUGCCUGUUUCAACCCAUACAAGCUCUUCUUGAGACGGCAUACAAGAUUUUUCUUGCCACUUUCUCUGAACCCCUCCAGUUACUCCAUGUAGAUCUCCUCUUCCAAGUCGCCAUGCAGGAAGGCUGUCUUCACAUCAAGUUGCUCGAUCUCCAAAUUCAAACUGGCUGCAAUACCAAGAACAACUCGAAUUGAGGACAUUUUUACCACAGGAGAGAAGAUUUCUUCAAAAUCUAUACCUUUCUUUUGACUGAAUCCCUUCACAACCAAUCUUGCUUUAUACUUUGGUUGUGAGGUGUGCUCCUGAGUUUUCAACCUGUAAACCCAUUUGUUCUUUAGAGCUCUCUUACCCUUAGAUAGUUUCACUAAAUCAUAAGUAUGAUUCUUAUGCAGGGACACCAUUUCCUCUUGCAUGACUCGCAACCAAUCUUCUUUGUUCUCAUGCUCUAAAGCCUCACAAUAUGACUCAGGCUCUCCUCCAUCUGUUAACAACAAAUAUUCAUGAGGAUUAUACCUGCUAGAAGGUCUCCUCUCUCUGGUAGAUCUCCUAAGCUCAUCUUGUGGUGGCGGUGGUGGUGUAGGUGGCUCCUCAUGUUCAGAUUCAUCAGCAGUAGGAUUAUUACCAUCAUUAAUAUCCUCUCUCUGCUCCGCCUCAGCUCCCCCUUGAUUAAAAUCAACAGGUACUGAAAUUGGAUCUGGAUCUGAAUUUGAGCUAGCAGGAAUGUCAUCUGAGAAUUUUGAGUUGUCACUUUUAUCAAUGUUUUCAAUGGUUUGAUCUUCAAAGAAGACAACAUCUCUACUCCUGAUCACUUUCUUCUCAAUAGGAUCAUACAACCUAUAACUAAAAUCUUCAAUUCCAUAAUCCAAGAAAAUGCAUUGCUUUGAUUUUACAUCAAGUUUUGACCUCUCAUCCUUGGGAAUAUGAACAAAUGCCCGGCAACUGAAAACUCUCAAAUGCUUAAAUGACACAUCUUUUCCUGUCCAUACCCUCUCUGGGAUAUCACCAUCCAGAGGGACUGAUGGAGAAAGAUUUAUCAAAUCAAUUGCAGUCCUCAUUGUCUCACCCCAAAAGGGUUUUGGCAAUUUAGCAUUAGAGAGCAUACAUCUAACCCGCUCAGUGAUGGAUCUGUUCAUCCUCUCUGCUACUCCAUUCUCUUGAGGAGUUUUCGGUACAGUUUUCUCCAAUCUGAUUCCAUGGGACUUGCAAUAGAUUUCAAAUGGUUCUCUGUACUCACCACCAUUAUCAGCACGUACACACUUUAACUGCUUACCAGUUUCUCUUUCAACUUUGCUAUGAAAGUCUUUAAACACAUCCAAAACCUGAUCUUUGGAUUUCAAAGUAAAACACCAAACCUUUCUAACAAAGUCAUCAAUAAAAGUAACAAAAUAAAUAGCACCACCAAGAGACUUAUCUUUCGUAUAGCAAACAUCAGUGUGCACCAAUUCUAAAACAUUUAAUUUCCUAGAUGGAGGAAAAUUUUUGAAUGCAACUCUGUGUUGUUUUCUAUAAAUGCAGUCAACACAAGGUUUAAGUGCAUUACCUCUAAUUUCAGGUAGGAGCUGUUUGCGAACAAGUGUCUGAAUCCCCUUUUCACCCAUGUGUCCAAGUCGCCUAUGCCAAAGGUCAAUUGAGGAAUCACGAACUGCGUUCACUUCUCCCUUCCUCAACUUGGCAUGCAUCACGUAGAGGGUACUGUACUUCUUUUCUCUGGCAACAACGAGAUUUCCUUUGCUGAGUUUCCGUUUGCCUCCACCUUGCGAGCUAUAGUAGCCCUUAUCGUCCAGUUUUCCUAUAGAAAUAAAGUUAAGUCGAAUAUCAGGAACAUGUCGAAUAUUUCUCAAUAUCAGCUGACACCCGGUAUCUGUGUCCAAGUAUAUGUCUCCCAUGCCAACAACUUUGCAUGAGAUCUCAUUUCCCAUCCCAACACAUCCGAAAUCUCCUUCGUUUUAGGUUGAGAAGAAAUGCCUGUGAGAAGUAACAAGGUAGGAUGCACCUGAAUCAACUACCCAAUCACUGUCAUAGUGAAUAAUAUUCACCUAACCAUCAUCACAGAACACAAACAUGUCAUCAUGAGCUGCCACAACUGCUGUAGUAUCCUCAUUAUCUUUUUCCUUCGCCUUACCCUUUUUCUCAGCCUGAUCCCGUUUUAGGAUUCUACACUCCUUCAUAUAAUGUCCAUUCUUUUUACAAUAAUAGCAUGCAACAUUUUUUCGCGACUCAGAUCUGUCUCUGGAUUUGUCAUUCCUGUUGUGGGGUUCUCUACUUUUGUUUCUUCCUCUUCUUUCUUUCUUUUCUGUCACCAGGGCCUGGGACUCAUAGACAAUUCCUUGUUCCUUCCUCCUGAAGUCUUCAUUCAUCACGGCCUCUUUUGCAAUAGUCAUGGUCAACACACCAUUCGGAGCUGAAUUACUGAUGGAGACCACCAUGGUUUCCCAACUAUCCGGUAUUGAACUGAAUAAUAAUAAAGCCUGCAUUUCAUCAUCCAGAUUCAAAUUUAAUGUAGUUGCCUGGUUUAUCAAUCCCUGAAAGUUACUCAAGUGUUCAGUCAUAUCUUCCCCAUUCUUAUAUCUCAUUCGAGUAAUCUGCUUCAGACAACUAGUCUUUCUUUCAUACAUACUCUCAAGCCUUUUCCAUAAUAUAUCAGCUCUGGUGUCAUUAGCAAAAUGUUGAAAAAUACUUUGACCAAUCCAUUUUCUAAUAUUACCAACAGUUUUCCUGUACAUAUUAGCCCAUUUUUCAUCACUCAUAUCACUUGGUUUACAUUUAUCCCCUAGAACAAGUUCAAACAAAUCUCUACAAUACAGGUAGUCUUCCAUUCUAGGCUUCCAAAUCAAAUAGUUAGUAGCGUUCAAUUUUAUUAUGCAACCACUAUCCGAAUCAUCCAUUUUUUAACAGGUACAAUUGAGCAGUCCAACCUGACUGCUCUGAUACCACUUGUUGGGAAAGGGGUACCAGUAUAGGUACAAAAUAUCAGAGUUAGCCCAAGAUAAAUUUCUCUUUCCCCAAGUACCAGUUAAAAUAGGAAUAAACUAAAUCACCAAAUAAUAAUACCAGCAGUGAUAAUAAAAUGCAAGGAAAAAUAAAAGGCACAGGACACCAAGAUUUUUACGUGAAAAAUCCAAUUGGAAAAAAUCACGGGACCUAGUCCAGUCAAAAACUCCACUAUCACAAUAAUGGGAAUACACAGGUCUACCCGAAAUAUUCGGAUAAUAAUAAUAUCACCAAUACCAACCAAGCCAAUCUGCUAUAAAAUCACCCCCAAAAACUACAACUGUCAAAGAAGUGAGUUUGGAAAGGUGUUACCAAACGAAGAGAAAAUCUGAAAUCUGAACCGAUAGAUGAGUAGACCUUGUCGAGAAGAUCACGUGUGUAAAAUUUCGUCUCAAUCGGGUUUUGAAUCGCCCUCCAAUCAAGACCUUGAAGUCUCUCUCUCUCUAGCCUUUCUCUCUCUUCGUCUCACUCAAGGAGGUGGCGGCUGACCUUUUUUCUUCACACGAAGACUGAAGAAAAGGAAUCACUUCUUGCGGCUGCUGCUGCCUUUUUUUUCAUAUCACUUGAGAAACCCUCAAGUGUUAUUUAUUUGGGUUGGCCCACAAAUGGGCUGGCCCACGGCAUCAACAGAAAGUAUGUUAAAAUUGGAAAAAAAAUUGAUAAACAUAUUCAUAUUAAUGGUUUUUGGAAAUUUACCUCCUCAAUUAUCUAUAAAUAUGAAAAUUGUUGUUUAAUGUCUGUAAUCUAUCAUAUCUUUAUCUAAUAUUCGUAUAUUUGAUUGAAAUUUAUUCAAUCACGUAUACCAUCAAUCUAGUGGCAUUUAAAACAAGAAAGUGUAUAACUACUCAAACAGUACGGUGUUAUUUGAUAUAGUAUCCAAAAAAUGCAUCUAUUUCAUAAAUUUAAUUUUUCAACAAUAUUAAAUAGUUCUCCUAUUUGAGUUUCGCUAUAUGAGUUGUAUUAGCACUUCUCAUAUCAAGUGCUAUGCUUGUUCAUGUUUUGAAUUUGUAGGUCAUAACGCAUAAGCAUCAGCUCGUCUGGCCUCUCUUGCUGUACAGGAUUCCAUUCUUUAGUAAGGAUAUUUCCAUCAGUGCUCCUCUUCAAGUCAUAUUUUGUAGCACCAUUAUAUGUCUGACUAAGAAUUUGAAUGGAAAAUUGUUGGACGCCAGAGUGCAAUUGGUCAGUCACAGGCAAGGCCUACCUUUUCUCCGAGUUGCAAAGGUGAUUAGAGCACCAUCCAUUUUUAAAUAUCAGUUUCUGCUUUGUCCACCGAGUCAACUGAUACGAAUUCUAGGUAUUCUUGUAAACUUUUGUCUUUUUGCUGGUGAACGGAUUUGCUUUAUUAUAUUUCUACAAUCUGCUUGUCCUUGAAAUUUUACCUGUUGAUCUUUUCCCUUGCACUUUUAUCCACUAUUAUGCUACAUGUAAUUCAAUGGUUGAAAAUUAUAGAGUAUGCUUCAACCUUACUAGUGUUUUGAUAUUUGCAACAAACUAAUGAAUGAUUGAUGCAUGGUAGUUGGAGUUAAAAAAGGAACGCUUGCCAUCUCUUCGGUGUCUAAUUUUGGUGCUUUGUUAUUUGGCCAACCAUUUGCUAACAGACAAAACUUGGUAUAGAGACAAUUCAAAUUCUUGGAAUUUUGACACCUCUUUAUUCGACAGACAGUUAAGGUGAUUAUAAUUCUUAUAUGUUUGCUAUUAUUGAAAGAAUGAGCUACAUUUUCCAGUAUCCAGUGGUUUCAUUGAUGGUACGAGAUGUUUUGAGUAUUCCUGUUACUACUGGCUUUAGAGUCUACUUUCAGCAUUGAUGGUCAGAUUAUCAACAAAUACUGAAGUACCAUCUUGAGAUCUUCAUGUGGUCUUCAAAACAGUUGAAAGAAACAUUUUCUACAAGUUCUCUUGUUUAAAGACCAAAUUCUGUAGAAUUAAGAAAAGGAUUUGUGAACUUGAACUUGAACUUGGGCAGUCUAACCAGGUAAUUGAUGGACAAAACUGUGUAAUCUCUAAGAAGUUUCAGAAUAAUCAGAUGGCAUGCAUAAUUCUUGUGGCAGUUUUUGCUUGAUACGGUGUCUCUUUAAUUACUUCCAUUGUUUCCUAUUUCUCUAACAUAUGUACAUUGAUAAGUUUGUUAAAUGCAACCAUUGGGAUUGACCCAAUAGUCAGGGGAAAACUCUUGAAGUUUUCUUUGUUACAAGAUUCAGAAUUCGAACUUUUUGCCUGGUAGUUGAGGUUAGGAAGGGUAUGGGGAAAGAUGGGAAGGGAAAAAAAAGAUAAGUAUGUUAAAUGCACUUAUAUAAUAAAUAUAAGUAUGUUGAUGGUGCAUUUAUAAUCUACUAAAAAGGCACAUAUUCUACUAGAAAAAGCACGUGCGCUACACUUGAUUUUGCUAAACAAAAUAAAAGUAUGUGCUAAGCAUAUAUGAUAUAAGGAUUGAUCUUAUUUAUGGAGAUUUCGUAAAUAUUCUAUUUCAGAAGUAAAAAAUUAAACACAAUCGGAAUUUUCUUUUUUCUUUUUCAAAAUUAGAUGUAGUUAUUAAUUCAGAUCUGGCAUGUACACAAUGAAAACUAAAGGAUGGUAAAACCUGAUAUUGAUGACUUACACACGUUUAUAUCUCUGCUCCUAUUUCUUGAAAUGCUUAGCUGUACAAAUUGUGGGAGUUUCAACAUGUCAAGCUGAUGUUUAAGAGACUAGUAUGUAGAAAUUGUUAGUUGCUCAAAUUUGUAUUUGAUACUACAGUUAUUCAAAGUUAUUAAUUGUAAUGUGCCUUUUCGUGAUCCCCCUAAGUUCCCACAUCAAUUUGUGGCCAACCGUUAGAUUUGGGGCAUUAUGCUUCCACAUUGGGUGAGUUUGGACCGGUGGUGCUAUGGUUCAAAAUAUGCAAGGGAAUACAAGAGCUAAGUGUUUUAAUCCCACGUCAAAUGGGAAGAAAUGAAAAGGAUUGGAAAAUAAGCUCAAGGUAUAUGGGGUAAUAAUAAAUUGGUUAAUGACCUUUUUGCUGAGGUUUCUGUCCAGAAAGUCAUUGGGUUGGUGCUUAGACAUAGAGCAUUACACUUUUCUUCCUACCAAUGCCUCAAAUCUAAAUUAAAUUUGUGUCUAAGAAGAUUUUGGAAAAAGUUCUGACUCAGAACAUUUAUUUUCAUGAUGAACUAUAUUGCACAUUAGUAGAAGAAGAUUUUGGAAAAGUUUCUGACUGAGAGCAUCUAUUCCCAUGACAGACUCUGUUAAUUUAGUGUCAGAAAUGAUGUGGUAAUCCAAAUCCGGCAUAUAUAUAGGCUAAUUUUUGCUAGGCAUCUACUAAAGUGAUUUGAUGAUUUUGAUAGAUCCCUGCCGACUAUUCAUUUUAAAAAAGGCUAGGUUAGUGAACUCAUCUAUUUUCCAUUUUAAGGGCCUCCUUAAGUAGUCUUCUUUAGUGCAAUACUUAUCCAGAAGUGCAUGAAAUUCAAUACUUAUUAUGCAAUCUGUGUUAUUAUUUUAAGUCUGUUGUAAAUUUUUGUUUUAAAGAUCAUAAAUGUUUGGUGCAUGAAUAAUAUAUUGAUUUGGCAAUAUUUAGAUUUUCGAAGUUGGCAUUUCACUUUAAAAUGUUUUGGAGAAUUCUUGUUGCAUUGCUUGAAAAACUUUGCUAUAAAAAAGAUUGUUUUGUGUCUAUUGAUCACUCCAAGGAUUGUAAAGUAUGCCUCCUUGAACUUAUGUUAUGAAUCUCAAGGACUGAAGUGGAAAGAAACUUUUAGUUCAGGGGGGAAAUUGUAAUUCAAUUGCUUUUUGACUAAUAAGAGUAGAAUUGGUUGGGCAGGAAAAGUAGCUAGCAAGGAAUAACCAACAUUGCUGACGUGGCCAGUUUGUUAGAAAGUAUUUACGGGAAUCAACUUGCUGUAUGUACUAGAUGGCCAACAGAAGAAUGUAGGCAAUGAGUUGUACCAUUUUCUUUUUCUUGGAUCUGAAUAAACUCUCUUUCUCUCUCUUCUUCUUACUGUCUCAUUUCCUUCCUUCUCUUUUCUUCCGGCUCAAGACAUAAAACUAUUCUUGGGAGACGAGAAUUUUUUAGGAGCACUGGUGACUAGUCUUGUGGGGAGAAAAACAACGAGCCUGUCCUCUUUGUCUUUUUUUUUUCUUUCGUUUUCUAUUUUACUGGAUGCUUAUGCAAUUUACUUCAAUUAAAUUGUGUUGCUUGAUCCCGAUGAUGUGCAACUAAAUUUUCCAUUUCUAGCCAAGGAAUAACGUGGAUUUGGGUCAUCAACAAUUGUGAGAUCUAACUAUUUUUAUUUUUUUCUUUUAUUCGUUAGCAUUCGUAUAUUUUCUGGUUUAAUUACUCAUGGGUGUUAGUUGUUUGAAUAUCAAAAGCAUAUAUUUAAAUCAAGCUAACGAACUAUUGCCAGUUAAGACAGUUUGGCAGUUAGGAAUUAAUCAAAGAGAUGGCUGAGAACUCCCAACAGUUUGGCACAAGAGAGGACGUUUCAAGUUAUCGUGUGAAUGAGGUGAGCAUUUCAUCGAUGCAAGAGCAAUUGGUUGAGUUAAUUUCUAUGUUUCGCCAAAUAGCAAUGGGGAAGGUGCAACAAGUCAAGAAAUGUGAAAUUUGCAAGGAUGUAAACCAUCCCACCGAUGAAUGCCUAAUGCUACAAGAUGAUAACACAAAACAAGUAAACAUGGGUAGGUACGUACCCGUGCCCUGUAGGCAGUAUAACCCUUACUCCAACACAUAUAAUCCGGGUUGGAGGGACCACCCAAACUUUAAUUAUGGGGGAAAUAAGCAAAAUUUGGUCCCCAAUAGACAGCAAGGGUUUCAGCCACGACAAUCAUCAAGACCCCAACCCUCUUCAUCUCAUUUGAACACGUCUCUUGAAGAUAUAGUCAAGACGUUGGUCGCUAAUACCUUGCAAUUUCAAUAGAAGACAGAGGCAAGCAUACAAGAUCUCAAAACUUAGAUAAGUCAGAUGGCCUUUUCGAUGAACCGUCUGGAGUUUCAAGGGCAAAGAAGACUACCUUCUCAACUUGAGGUGAAUCUAAAGAACAUAAAUGUCAUGACCCUCAAAAGUGGAAAUGAAGUUGAAGGGCCAAAACCUAUAGUUCCUAAGGACAAGAGCAAAGAUCAAAUUGAAAAGGAGUUGAAAGAAGAAGGAAUAAGCAAGCUAACUCCUGAGGUAAUUUCAACCUCUUUAUUUAAAACUAAUACUAACCUACCACCUUUCUCUAGUAGGUUGGAGAAGCCAAAAAUGCAGGAUAAGAAGAAGGAGAUCUUAUAGGUGUUCAAGAAGGAGAAGAUAAACAUCCCUCUAUUGGAUGCAAUUAAGCAAGUGCCCAAAUAUGCCAAAUUUCUAAAGGAUUUAUACGUCGAUUGAAAGAAAUUGAGAGGCGAUGAAAGAAUUGUGAUGAGGGAGAAUGUUUUAGCUGUGUUACAAAAGAAACUUCCACCCAAAUGUGAAGACUCAAGUAUGUUUUAUAUCCCUCAUCGUAUUGAAAAUACUAAGACCAGAAAGACUAUACUAGAUCUAGGAGUUUCCAUUAAUGUGAUGCCGAAAAAUAUCUAUACCUCCUUAAACCUAGGACCUUUAAAGGAAACAGGCAUUAUAAUUCAGCUAGCCGAUCGGACUAAUGCAUAUCCUGAUGGAUUAGUUGAAGAUUUUUCAGUUCAGAUUAAUGAAUUAGUAUUUUCAACUAACUUUCAUUUGCUUUACAUGAAUGAUAAGCGUUCACUAAAUUCAUCACCUGUUAUACUAGGGAGACCCUUUUUGAGUAUAGUCGAAACAGAAAUAAAUGUCAAACAGGGCACACUUACAAUGAAAUUUGAUGGGGAGGUGAUCCAUUUCAGUAUAUUUAAAACCACGAAAUACCUAUCUGACUCCCAUACUAUUUUUGCCAUGAGUGUAAUUGACCCUGUGGUAUAGAAAAUUUUUGAGAUUGAUGACAGGGAUGAACUAGAAGUUGUUCUCACCAAAUAUCUUGAGUUGGGGACAACCUAUGAUGUGGCGUUGAGUGAGGAGUUGAAAUGCAUAGUUAGAGCACUACAGUCAAUGGCACCUACUAUAAUAAGGUAUGAACUUGCACUACUCUUUAUACCCGAUUCUAAUCAAAGGUUGCUACCUUCAGUGAUGCAAGCACCUGAAGUGGAAUUGAAAACCCUGCUGGGUCAUUUGAAGUAUACAUUCUUGGGUGAUAAAAAUAUUUUUCCAAUUAUCAUUUCUGCCACCUAAUCAAGAGGACAGGUUGAUCCGAAUCCUUAGGAACCACAAAGAGGUGAUAGGAUGGAUAAUAACUGACAUUAAAGGCAUAAGUCCCUCUGUGUGCAUGCAUAGAAUAUGGCAUAAAGAAGGUGCAAAGCCUGUAAGACAAGCACAUAGACGGCUAAAUUCCCUAAUGAUGGAAGUGGUAAAAAAGAAAAUACUCAAGUUUCUAGAUGUGGGGAUGAUUUAUGCCAUCUUUGAUAGCCUAUGGGUGAACCCAGUGUAAAUGGUUUCAAAGGAGGCAGGAGUCACAAUUGAAGUCAAUCAUGAUGGGGAGCUUGUUCUUGCUCACAAAUCAACGAGAUGGCGCCAGUGCGUCGAUUAUCGGAAACUAAAUGCAAUCACAAAAAAGGAUCAUUAUUCUCUUUCUUUCAUUGAUCAAAUCAUUGAAAAAUUAACUUAUCGUGGUUAAUACUGUUCUCUUGAUGAUUUUUUAGGGUAUUUUCAAAUUGGAAUAGUACUGGAGGACUAGGAGAAAACUCCUUUCACAUGCCCAUUCAAUACCUUCGUAUAUAGAAGAAUGCCCUUUGAAUUGUGUAAAACUCCCGCAACCUUUUAGAAGUGUAUGGUAAGUAUUUUCUCCGAAUAUGUUGAGAAAAUAAUAGAGGUCUUUAUGGAUGAUUCCGUGUCUAUGGUGAUUGAUAAGUGCAUAUUUUACGUGUUUUAAGUGUGUUUUAUUAGUUAGUUUUGGUGUGUUUUAUUAGUUAGUUUUGGUGUGUUUUAUUUAGUUUUAUAACUAAUUAACUAAGUUACUAGUGAAAAUAUGCAUUUUGUGGUUUAAAGUGUGAAAGUUGCAUUUCUGUGGAUUUUAAUGGUAAAAACUUCAUGUUUUUAUAGAUUUAAUGAUUCAAUCAUCAAAUACCAUGAAUUGAGAAGAUAAUUGGAUGAUUGAUGAUGGUUUGAAAUGAUAAAAAAGAGAAUAUAAAACGCAAGAGAUGAAAUGCAAUUAAAGGAAGUUUUCUAGCUUUGACACCUUGUGGUAUUUCGGGUAUAUCUUAAGUCACAAACAUUGGAUUGAGGUGAUUCUUGAACCAUUUUGAAGAUAACCAAUAGAUCUAUAUUUAAUAUGAGACAUCGAAGUCCAGUUCAAUUGUUUUCAUUGUCAAAAAAUUGAAAUAUAGAACUGCAUUUUCAUGAUCGAAAGGUGAAACAGAACUCUGACCAGUUAAGGGUAUUUUAGUUAUUUUUCGGUCCACAGAGCUCCAAAUUGGAUGAUUAUUGAGGCAUUGGAAAGCUAACUCAAAAGAUACAACUUUCAUGUUUUCCAUAAGAGCUAAUUUAGCCUCCAUCAUUGAGAAAAUAUCAGUUGAAAUUGGACAAAAAAUAGAGUCAAGAUGAAUUCUACCCAGAAAGUGCAAACCUGCAAAAGUAAUAACGCGUAGACAAUUCACAACCUAAGGUCGCUCCAAUUUCGGCUGCAACUUGCUCUUCAACUUGUGUUAUGUUCAAGCAAGCUUUUUGACCUAUUUUCUUGCAAGAAUUUUGGUGGAAAGUGACCAAGAUAGCUGCCAAAGAAGCUUUACAACUCAAAUCUAGCUUGUUUAUGGUCUUAAGAGGAAUCUUAACAUGAUUUAACACUUUGUCUUUUGCAUGGAAUUCCUCUAUAAAUAGCAAUCUUUGGAGACUAUUUUCACAACUUUGGAAGGCUAGAAAAAUUUCACAAAAAUGUAGUUUUCACUAGAGUUUUCUUAGUUCAUUAGUUAGGGUAGUAUAGUAUAGUUAGAAUAGUUUAUCUUUCUUGUAUUUAUAGUUUGAUUUGGAUGAAAAUUUGAAAAGCAAAGAUGGAGAGAUAGAACUCAUGUGACAGGAGUGAUUUCUCUCCUUUCCCUUUCUCUUUUGUAUUUAAGUUCAUGUUUAACUAUAAUACAAGUUUGGAUCUUGUUUUCAUGUUUUGCUAAAGUUUAUGCCUAGAGUUAUGGAUGAACUUUCUAUAUCUUGUUAGUGAUAUUUACUUGGUUAUUUGAUGAUAUUAUUUUGAACAAGUUAUUUAUCACUUUUGCUUAUUUAAUCAUGAUUAACCAGCCAUUAAUUGUGAUAAUCUUAAGGUGUUAAGUUUGCAAUGAGAAUUGAAUUUAACACUAGUUCAAGGAAGUGAUAAACCUAGGGAGUACACUCACGAGAGUAGAGGUGCACUUUUGUGGCUUUAGUGACUUGUUUCAUGUCAUUUCAUAGAAGAAAUAAACUUGUAGUUAAUUUCAUAAAUACGAGAGUAGGUACGGUUUAGCUAUAAGUAUAGUUGAUUCACCACGAGAGUAGGUUUCACAUACAUUAAGAAAUUACGCCAUAACUAGCCAAGAUAAUAGCAUUCACUUAACCGGUAACUUCAUUUGCAAGAAUAGUAAGGAAUUCCAUACCUCUAGGAGUUUCCUAUUGUAUUUUUGUUACUUUUAUAGUGUAGAUUUAAUUUAUUGCACUAGUGAUAGUCUAAAUAAUAAAGGAGUUCGAAAAACAUCGGUAAUUGAUAAUUUUCUCUGUGGGAUCGACACCUAAUACCCCUAUACUCAAUAAACAACUCGUAUACUUGCAAAAAAUCAUGUGUGGGGUAUUUAGGAUUUAUAAAUGUAAAAUUUGAUUGUGGAAUGAACUAAUUGUUAUGUGUAUACCCCGCGCUCGUCAGUGAUAGAUUUGAUGAGUGACUUAAGAAUUUGACUCUAAUUGUUCAAAGAUGCAUCAAAACUAAUCUUGUAUUCAAUUAAAAAAAAUGUCAUUCUAUGGUUGAGUACGGAAUAGUUCUAGGUCAUGUCGUAUCAUCUAAGGGUAUUGAAGUUGAUAAUGCAAAAAUAGACCUUAUAUCUUCCUUACCGUACCCCACUAAUCUGCGAAAAGUAUGUUCCUUUUUGGGACAUGUAGGUUUUUAUUGGAGAUUCAUCAAGGACUUCUAAAAACUUGGAACACCAUUGUUUAGACUCUUGCAAAAGGACGUAACAUUUAAUUUUGAUGAGAAAUGCAAGAAGGCGUUUGAUUGUUUAAAGGAGUUGUUGAUUUCCCCACAUAUCAUCAUAUAACAUCCAGACUGAAAUCUCCCAUUCGAGAUCAUGUAUAAUGCAAGUGACAGUGCAAUAGGGGCGUUACUGGGCCAAAGGACCGGAAAGGCUGCACAUGCAAUCUAUUAUGCAUCUAAGGCUUUGAAUGGAACUCAACUCAAUUAUACAAUCACAGAAAAUGAGCUUUUAGCAGUUAUUUUUGCUUUAGAAAAAUUUCGUUCUUAUUUAUUAGAAGAUAAAGUUAUUGUGUAUUCUGACUAUACAGCGCUAUGGUACUUGAUGACCAAGAAGGAUGCUAAACCAAAGUUGAUAAGAUGGAUUUUGCUUUUAUAUGAGUUCAAUUUGAAAAUUCAUGAUAAAAAGGGAGGAGAGAAUUUAGUUGCCGAUCAUUUUAGUCGAUUGCCUAUUGUUAAGGAUGAUUUUAUAUUGAGGAAAACUUUUCCUAAUGAGCAACUAUUUUUUACUAAUCCCUCUCGUCCUUGGUAUGCGGAUAUUAUUAAUUUCUUGACCACUAAUCAAUUGCUUGCACAUUGGUCGAAAACAAAAUGAGAUAAGCUCAAAUGUGAUGCUAAGUAUUACUUAUGGAAUGACCCCUAUUUAUAGAGGCAAUGUGCAGAUCAAGUACUGCGUAGAUGUGUAAUUGAGAGUGAAUUUAAUUUAAUUUUAACAUUUUAUCACUCUUAUGCAUGUGGAGACCAAUUUAGACCACAAAGAAUAGCUCGUAAAGUAUUAGAAAGCGAUUUUUAUUGGCCUACAAUUUUCAAAGAUACAUACUUGUUUUGUAUGUCAUGUUAUAGAUGUCAAAGGAUAGGAAAUAUUUCUCAUAGAAACUAGAUGCUACAAAUCCCUAUGAUUUUUUGUGAAAUUUUUGAUGCAUGGGGUAUUGAUUUUAUGGGUCCAUUUCCUUUGUCUUUUGGUUUCCUUUACAUUUUGUUGGCCAUAGAUUAUGUGUCGAAGUAAAUGAAAACAAAAACCACACGAACUAAUGAUUCUAAAGUGGUUGCAUAUUUCAUUCAAUCAUAUAUUUUUGUUCGUUUUGGGGUACCACGAAUUAUAGUAAGUGAUUGAGAAAAACAGUUUUGCAAUAAAAUGUUGACGGCUCUAUUUCGUAAAUAUGGAGUGACUCAUAAGGUAUUUACAUCCUAUCACCCCAAACGAAUGGUCAAGUGAAAAUUUCGAAUAGGGAAAUUAAAUAUAUAUUGGAGAAGAUGGUUCGUCCCGAUAGGAAUGAUUGGAGUUCAUAAUUGAACGAUGUACUCUGGAUUUAUAGGAUAGCCUAUAAGACUCCUAUAAGUAUAUCUCCCUAUAGGUUGGUAUUUGAGAAGCCGUGUCAUUCAUCGGUUGAGCUCGAGCACAAAGCAUAUUGGGGGAUCAAGAAAUGUAACAUGGAUCUUGAUGAGGUUGAAAUACACAGAAAACUCCAAUUACAAGAAUUGAAAGAGUUGAAGAAUGAUACUUACGAGAAUGCAACACUAUAUAAAGAGAAGAUUAAGGUUUUUCAUGACCAAUAAGUUGCAAGGUAAUCAUUUAUAGUUGGGCAAAGAGUUCUUCUCUAUCAAUCUUGUCUAAAGCUCUUGCUAGGUAAGUUGUGCUCUCGUUGGGUUAGUCCAUUUGUUGUGAUUAAUAUUUUUCACUAUGGUGCUAUGGAAAUUCAGAGUAUGCAGACAGAUAAGAAAUUUGUCGUUAAUGGCCAUCAUUUUAAACCCUAUUAUGAAAGUGUUUCAAUGGAGAAUGUGGAGAUAAUAAAUCUUGAAGAUCCCACUUAUGCUGCUUGAGCAAUAUUCGACCAUGUCUAACCAAAGAGGUUAAAAAAAGACGCUUAUUGGGAGGCAAUCAAAUUCUUUUUUUAUUGUUUGUUCACUAAUAUUAUGUGUUUCACUAUGUUUAUCUUAGGUUUUGGUAUUUUAAUUUUAAUUUUUAAUGUUUUAUUGGUUAGAAGACUUUCUCCCAACAAGACGUGCCCACGCCUUAAGGGUACGUGGUAAUGCACAAAUAUCCAAUUCCAUCAUCAGAAAACUAUGGACCAACAUAAUGUGCCCACGUCUUGAGGGUAUGUUGUAAUUCAUAAUUAGCCAACUUUAUCAUCAAAAGAGUUUCAACCAAUAAGACGUGCCCAUGUCUUGUCCUAGCAAGGGAAAAAAAACAAAUUGAACCCAAAAGAAUUUUUUUCUUUCCUUUGUCUUUUCCCUUUUCUAUUUCUUUUCCUUUCCUUCUUUCUUUCUUUGUUCUUUCUUUUUUUCUUUCUUUAUUUCGCUCUUUCUUUUCCCCAGCCGCACGGCCAAAACUCUAUUUGCUGCUUGCCUACCAUCCACUGUUGUUGCCAUUCGCUAGUUUGUCUCUGCUACCAUUGCUAUCAUCGCCGUUCGUCUAAGCCUAUCGCUGGUUUCGCCGUCGCCCGUCUCUAGUUUUGCCGUCGCUUGCUACUGUGCCAUUCACCGCUGCUCGCGCUGCCAUGAACGUCCAUCCUCUGCCAGCGACAGCCAUCGCUCCGCACUUUCUCUGUUGUCUUGUUUCUACUGACCCAAUUUUUGGUAUUCUUGUCCUUCUCUUUUAAAUAUUGUUGGGUUGCUACUUCGGAGUUUAUUAGAAUUUCUUUUUGCAGGGUUGAUUUAAUUUGUUGAUUGGGUAUUCCUCGAAUUGUUGGAUUGGCACUACCUGACAUCUGCUUGUUUUCUGAUGAUGACCACUAACUUGCACUACUAUUUUGCAUCCAUGGGGAUUCAAUGCUGAUUGGAGGUUAUAAACUGUGGUGAAAUUGCCGCUACUUACUUGCCAAUUGCUGAUUGUUGAUCUUGAUAGGGGGUAUUGUUCUUACAUUUCUUGUUUUGUUAUUAAAUAGUGUCACAUCUUUGGGCUCUUUACUGUACACUUUGAUUUGAGAUUGCUUGGCUAUCUUUAGUCGUUUGGCAUACAUUAGAGGCUUGUAUUUCGCCAUUGUCUGACGUUGUUUACUGCUAUUUUUGGAUUCAGUUAUCUAAAUGGCGAAGAAAAAAAAGACCACUAACGCCAAGACCCCUACGACUAAAACCACUCCCCCAUCCCAACCAACUAUACCCACGAUUGACCCUUCUCCGUCCUUCUUUUUCGAGUAAAUGGGCAUGCUUAGGUAGGGACAAAGAGGUCUAUAUCUCCUCACUCUCCCACUUUGGGGGUAAUUUGACUCUCACCAAAGCCGUCAAUAAGCAAAGAUACUCUAAUUUUUAUGAGUGGCGAAUUAUUCCUUGUAAACAUCUUGACCCUCCCAUCAUGGUUUCUUUGAAUUUCUUUGAGAAUAUUGCAUAGAUGUUUACUGCCAUAGGCUGGCGUUGUUAUGCCGAAAUACGAUGUCCUGCUUUUGUUGAAUUGGUUAGGGAGUUUUACGCCACCUUUCAGUUUGAUCUAUCCAUGGGGUAUUCUAUCACAACCCCGAAUGUGAUUCGAUUUCGAUUGAUGGGUUAGGAGUUUAAGUUCUCCAUUACUUAGUUUAAUUUGGCUGUGGGUUCAUCGAUAGUGAGUAUGCCAAUUUUAAGGAAUAUGCCGAGAGUGCUUGUGAUUAUAUCGAACCAUUUUUCUCUUUUCACACCGAGAUUUGAAAGGACAUUUCUAUUGAUGGUGAUUGUUAUAAUCCUAGCCGGUCCAAGAGCUGUUAUCUCAAGGACCUGAGUUCCUGUUAUAUUCAGCACUUUUUAGCCUAUAAUUACUCAGGUAGGAAAGAUAGUUCCGAGACCUUUUCUAAGCCUAAAUUUUUCUUUAUUUGGUGUAUGACUAAAAUAUCAAAGUUAAUUUGGGCUAUUGGCUAGUUUCCCAAUUCAAGACGGUUAUGGUUAAGAAAAACAAACCUUUGAUUCUUGGGUUUUACAUCACACAUUUAGCUAUUCAUUUAGACAUUGUUGAUCCCUAUGACCAUGAUUUACAUUUGGCUUGUAACAUGGACCCUUUAGAUAUGGUUUGUCUAGAGAAAAUGGGUGUAGUGGGACAGGUUGAUGACGCGUGGCAGUUUACUCUUUCGGGGACCACUUGUGUACUUGUUCAUCGUCCUUCCACGUGUGCUAGUACCUCUUCUACUUCCUGAGUAGCCGAUGGCAAGCCUGGACCAUCUACCUCUGCACCUUCUCCAUUGUCGUCUUGGGAUGCUGAGUGGCAAUACCUUUGUGCACAAGUUCACCAUAUGGAUGAACAGUUGACUAAUCUUGCACUUCACAUGCCCCAGAUGUCCUAGACUUUUUGCGGCUUACUUCCACUAUGUGGGUUUUACGCCGCCAUUCCCGCCUCAUCCAUAGCUGUUUGGAGUCCUUCUCCACAUUCUUCAGGAAAGUUUCGUUGUCCCCUUCCUUUUCUUUUCUUUAUUUCUUCCAUUCGGGACAAUAUCAGAUUUAGGUGUAGGGGGAGUUGUACAGUUGGUACUAUUCAUUUUAGGUGUUUUCAUUUUCUUUUUGUCAUUUGUGAGUAUUUUUAUGGAUAUUUGGGAUCGACAAUGGUUAGUUGAUUCCAAUUUUUCUAUUACCAAGUUUUAUUUAUAAGAAUGUAUCGAGUGCAAUAUGAGUAAGUCUAAGAAUGGCUCCUUGGUGAAUAUUUGAGAUUUUGUGACUUUUGCAAUUUUUGGUUAGCUUUUCUAGGCAUUGUGCAUAUUUUUCUAGUAUUUUUCAUGUAAAUUGGUUCAAUUAUUAAUCUUAGUUCUCCAUGUUUGAGGAAAUGAUGCAACCUUGUGUGAUUUUUAACAUUGUUUUGUUGCUAAUUUGUGAAUAGUGUUUGGCUAUAUUCCGGUGGUUAUCGCUACCUAGUAACCGGGAGUGUUCACCUAAAGUAUCGACUUUCGUGUCAAACAGUAGCGGUAGCUAUGAGUAUGUGGCCCUUAAAUGAUGAAAAGUUGAGUAACCGGAUUCCUUCUUUUGGUAGAUGUCAGAAUUUACAUCAAAAGACUUGAAUGGCUAAGGACUAAAUCUUGUCCCUAAAAAAUGAACAAAAAAAAAAUAAAAAAAUAGAGAAAAAAAAGAAAACAAAAAAAAGAAACUGUGCGAGUAUAGAGUUGAUUAUGUUAGCCUGUCGAUCCAUGGGUUUGAUGUUGAGAUUUUGAUUAAUAGUUGAGUCGUUUGCUGAUCAAUGCUAGUCAAAUGUUUAAUCUUCUUAGAUUAGUUAGUCAGGAAUUGGAGAAGUCCUUGGUUUUAAAAGCUAACCGAAGAGUUAUUUCUUGGAACUUGGCUAUCAAUGCUUGAUGUCUACUUUGAUGAUAUUUUAACAAUAGAUGAGUUGAGUGAUAACCAUUGUUGGGUUUCAGUUACUGAUUUGUUGUUUCUCAUACUUGAGAACAAGUAUGUUCUAGGUGUGGGGGGAAAUUGAUAGGGUGCAAAAUUGUUAUUCAAUUUAUGAUUAGUUUUCCCUUUUAUUUUAGCCAAAUAUUGUUUUAAUUGUCGAAUUCUAUUUAUAUUUGGUAUUUGAUGCUAUUGUAGGGCGGUGGAGCGAAAGUUGCUAAAAAGGGACAAUUUUCUUCAAAGUUGAUUGUCAAGUGCGGAGAUGCGGGAUUUGCACGUAAGAGUUUCCUAAUCCAAGAUGGAGUCUGAGCAGAGUAGCGACUUGAGAUUAAGAAAGUUUUUCUUCUAGAGAUUUGAUUUAAUUAGGAAACAAUUAGCCUUAUCUUUUGGGAGUGGUUCCUUUUUCAAUUAGAAGUAUUUUUAUUCUUGAAAGCAAGAAAAUAGGGGAAGGGCCGUUUGACUUUUAGUACUCGACAAAAAACAAAACUUGGGAGACGAGAAUUUUUUGGGAGCGCUGGUGACUAGUCUCGCGGGCAGGAACAGAACAAAGUUGCUGUCCUCUUUGUCAUUGCUUUUACUCUCAUUUUCUAUUUUAUUUGAUGCUUAUGCAAUUUACGUCAAUUAAAUUGUGUUGCUUGAUGCCGAUGACGUGCAACUAAAUUUUGCUUUUCUAGCCAAGAAAUAACGUGAAUUUGGGUCAUCAACAACUAUGAGAUCAAACUGUUUUUAUUAAUUUCUUUUAUUCAUUAGUAUUCGUAUGUUUUCAAGUUUAAUUGCUUAUAGGAGUUAGUUGUUUGAAUAUCAAAGGCGUUUGAUAUUUAAUUCAACCUAACAAACUAUUGCCAGUUAAAACAGUUAAAUUCGUAAUUGUUUAAUUAUUUUAAAUUAGUAGCGACUAGCGUGAUUGGCUUUACGUUAGGAAGACAUAUGAUUUAAUUUAAAUAAACCCUGAUAAUGUGUUUAUUAAUUAGAACAGGACUUUUCUAGUUUCUAAUGCAAUUAAAGAAUUAAAUUUUAUGGAUGUACCUAGGGUUAUUUUUUGGUUAGAAAAGUAGUUAACUAGUGUACCUUAACUAUUGAGAUACUAAGGAAGAGCUGGUUGUGAUCACAUGUUUGGCAACUAUAACCUGUUUAUUAACCAUAAAUGAAAUAAUUCUUGCAUCGAUGAGCAGUUGUUUGACCCGUUUCCAGAGUUAUUUCCUUGGUUAGAGCUCGUUUAUCCUUGAUUUAAAUUUAAUCUGUUUUAGUUUAAUUAUUUUCAAUUUGCAUUGAUUAUUUAUUUUUAAUUGCAAUUUUCCAAACUCCCCCCAAUUAAUUGUCACUUGAAAGAAGCAAAUUUUCACUCGAAACCUUGAGUUUAUAUCUUUUUGAGUAGGAAUUUAUUUUUACACAAGCCUGGCACUUGUCAAUUAACACAAGGUUUCGAGCAAUGCACAGUUUCUUUUGUAUCUAGAAUGGCUAAUGUAGCAAGUCAUAUGCUAGCACAUUUUGCAACAUACCUAGUUUAUGAUAUAAAAUGGGUAAAUGAUUUCCCAAUUCGACUAAUAGAAGCAGCUAGGAAGGAUGAGUGGGUGAAUGUCCCCUUUUGUAAUUAACUCUUGUACUUCAAGUGUUGAUAGAUAUACUGAUAGUAUCAUUUGUUGAAAAAAAGAGAAAGUGUUUAUUUGUUUAAUAAAAUGGUCACGGUAGUGUUUAUAUAAUUUUGUAAACUUCGGAAAGUAAAUUACCUCGUUGAAUUUGUAUAAUUUGAUUAUGUUGAAGAAACAUAAUCUUGAAAAAGCAGAGAAAUUUUCUAGUAAAUAUUUAUGUUAUUUUGAUAGCUAAUCAUUGUUCAUAUCAAUAUACUAGCUAUAAACUUAUACUCGCAAUACUACUGUUACGGUAUAAAAUUUCUCGUCAGAGCAAUUUAUAAUUUCAUCCCAUAUUUACCCUUGACUGUUAACCUCAAGUUCUUCAGAUAUCCAUGGGACAGUGUAACCCCUUUGAAGGUCAAUUCUUACACCCUCAUCAAAGUUUCUGGAGUUGCGUAUUAUAGGGGUGCAAACACAAAAACGAGACAUCCUUAAUCAAAUGGAGUUCCUUCUUUUUGCGAUUCAUUCCUCUGCAAAGCUCCUCCUCCUCCGAUUUUAAUAUAUGCCGCUGUUAAAAUAGGAUACUAAUUAGGUGAAUACGAGGACUCUCGUUCGACUCUCGAUCUUUCCUCUCAAAUUACACUAAUAUUUUUAAUCAUACACUCAUCCCCUUACUAACUUCCUAUGGGCCCAAUAUGUUGAGUAGAAUUCGAUUGGAACAACCGAAAAGAAAAGAAAAGAAAACAAAUACAAAACAAUGAAAUGGACACUUAGUCAAGUUGGAACCUAGGAGGAAGUGAGGAGCACAAGUGCGAACAGAUCACCAAGGAAAAAGAAACAAAUUUUUCGAGAAUGCAAUUUGAUUUCAAGCUCAAUCAUAUUCUAAGAGUCAAUGAUAAGAUCGAAAAAUGUAGGUCCAUUGUUAAGAUAUAGACGGAGAUGGUUGCUUAUUGAGCGUUGGAAAUAUUUCAUAAGCAAGUUGUACUUAUAUCUCAACUUGUAUAAUUUUAAUUUAAUAAGAUUAAGUUAAUGACCAUGUCAAUGAUCUCUGCGUCGUGCAUGACAUUCUUUUUUCUUGUACUCUCCAAAAGCCUCCUCCAGCAGUGGCUGCAUGUCUGUACAUGUUCCCCCACAACAAGAAUAAUGAAUCAAUUGCCAUAAUUGCACGCAUUUAAAUUUUCUGAGCUGGUGAUAAAUUGCAUAGUUUUGAUUUUUUCUGUUUCCGGUUCCCACUCUAGCUACUUCUAGAUUUAUUAAUUGGAAAAAAAAGAAGAAGGAAUAAAUUAAACCUUAUUUAAUUACUUUUUUAGUCAGGAUAUCUAUAGUAGAUGUAAUUAUCUCUAUAGAAAUGAAUGAAGCAUCCUAGCUUGUGAUCAUUAUCCUCUGUUGCAAUUCUCUUGUUCAAACUUCAAAUUUAGGUCUUGUUUGCUAAUCCAAUUCAGCAUUUAAAUUUAAUGGAUUCAGAUUUUAAUAUAUUCAGAUGCGUUUGAUAACCAAAAAUUGAACAUCUGAAUUAAUUAAGUGAUACUAAAAUUUUCAGGCAAAACUUACCCCUAAAAAAGAGCGAUAAGUUAUUCACUUAUCACUUAAUGUGAUAUACACUCAAAUAUAUCAGAUUUACUACUUAUAAUAACUUAAUGAAUUCAGAAUUCAAAUUUCAUAUUUCAAUUUUAUCAAACGCACCCUAUCUCACGGCAAACUGAAUAUGAAAUCCAAAGUUGAAAAUCCAAGAUGUUAGAACUUUGAAACCAUAGAGCCUCUAGGCAAAUUCAGCAUUUUUACAUUCUAUUGAUUUAGGGCAUCUUCAAUUAUCAGUUUCAACUCCAUGGUAUAAUAUAGAUAUUACCUCUAAUAGUUGUACGCACUUACACAACAAAUACAGAUUGUGAAAUUAAUUGUUUAAGUUUGAUAUUUUGUAGGCUUUGGGAUAUAAUUUUCACGUUUAGGAAAAAGAAAAUAUGUUAGUAAGUAAUAAUGUGAUACCCCUUGUCCCACGUUGGAAGUGGGAGAGGAAAAGGAUUGAUAUAUAUGCAAGAUUUGGUCGCAUAAGUUACUAGUUACUUGGGCUAACCAUGUCGGAAAGUGUAUUUCGACACAAAAAUUACUUACGCCAACCAUGGGCUUGGAUGGUGAUAAAUAACUUACUAGAAGCCAGGCAUGUUUAUGUUUAGAUGUCCUGAAAGCAGAGUAGUUCAGAAUCUAGAUAAUGGUAACGAUAUGAUGAGAAUGUGAAGUUAUUUGGUAAACUUUAUAGAUUAAUAAUUUCAUCAAGGCAUCGUAUAUAACCAUGAUGACACAAUCUCAACUUUCAUUCUUUUGUUAAAUCUUAGUUUUUUUCUCUUAAAUUUUUUCGAAUAAAGGAAUGAUGGAAUUUAAGCAGUAGAGGGGUGGAAGGGGAAUUUGAAUUCAAAACCUCUAAUUUCUAAGUUUUUCACUAAGCAAUCGUCAAAACCAAAAAAAAAAAAAAAUUAAAAGAAAAAAAAAAUUAGCACCUUAUGGUCAAUGCUCCUGUUCGAAGAUUUAUUCCUUUGGUUUGUCAUCAUCUCCCUCUAUGAAAUCUAAGUACCCUUGGUUGACAAUUUGUUUCCCUGAGCAUCCAUCAACACUUUUAUAUAGUAUUUCUUUUAAUAUAGUAUUAGAUUAGAUUAGAUUAGAUUAGAUUAUCAAUGCACCAUCAAUAUAGUAUUAGAUUAUCAAUGCACCAUCAAAACACUUUUAUAUAGUAUUAGAUUAGAUUAGAUUAUCAAUGCACCAUCAAUAUCCUUAAAUAUAAAAGCUUAAGUAUAGUAAUCAAAAUACUGUUAGUAAUCUGUAUGAUUAUUUUUUAUCCUUUAAUGUUUUAGUUUUAGGAAGAUCACAAAUGCUGCGUAUAAAGCAUGCCAUAGGCUAAAUUAAGCUAAAUUAAGUACAUUGCUAAAAUGGAGAGCAUUGCUAAAUUAAGUACUUUAAGAUAAAGACUUAAGCAGCCAGAUCCAUUUGAUGUCAGCUGCUUCAAUAUCCACCUCAAAAUAAAUUAGCCCUUGUUCUAGAUUAGCUUAAUGCUAAGUCCCUUCACCAUUCUUAGUAAUAAUUCAAUUCUGCCUCAAUUUUCUUCUGAUCUUCAAGGUAAAUGUACGAUAAAUUUCAAAAUAUAUCCCAAAUAUAUGAAUUUCUUGAAACCAUCCUUCAAUCUCAUUACCUACUCAACAAAAUGUUCCAUAAACACAAAUAUAUUAAUGAACUUGGAGUUGAUUUGAAGAAUUGACGAGAACCGCAAGCUAGAAUUUUUCAUAUAUUCAAACAAGAAAUUGGAAAAAUCUGACUAGCUUGCAACGAGUACUACAUCUCAAGACAAGGGAUCUUUUCAGUCACUCUUUAAUUGUAUCGAAGACCUACUUGCAUCUAUGAAUAAGCAAUACUGAGUGAUUUUAGAUGUGGAGUUGAUUCCAUGUGGUAGGACAACUUUGGUUUUCAAAAAUAAGGGCAGUCCAAUUCACUCAAUACAAAAAAAAAAUUUUAAAUGAUAAUAUUCAAAGGAACGUCUAUCUUACCUAAAAAAACAAACAAACAAAAAAAAAAACAAUAAAAAGGAGAUUGAUAUCCUAUCCAGUAUCCACAGAUUGAACAAUAGCCACAUUAUCUUAUAAUUCUUAAUGAUCAUUAGCUGAACUAUCAACUUUAGCAGUCAAGAAAGGCUGUAACUUGUAUAAGGACAAUAAAUUCUUUAUUCCGGCGUCCGGAGACUUGAGACGUGGACGCUUCAUUAGUCAAUAAUAAAGUGUGGAAUUCGACGAAUAUUCUUAGCUCGUUCAAGAUAACAGAGAAGAUUCACUCUUGUACAAGCAACAGGCACAGCUACUUAAACUAUUGGAUAAUUUCAUAAACCUUGGCUGAAGUUUUGGACAAUUUCAGUACCCCUCUUAUUUUCAAUAUUACGCUGACCAUUCUUACUUUAACUAAUGUAGUAACCAAUUCAGCCCAUAUCAGUAAAAGAAAUGGAAUAAAUUGACAAGAAAUGGUGUCAUCACAUUUUGUUCCACAUUUACCCUUAUAGACCCUAAAAGAAAUAUUGUAACAUAGGACAAAUUUUACUUCGUACCUUCGAACUUGAAUCACUUUUCUAUUUUCUUACUCUAAACUUUAAUUUUGGAUGCUUUCCAUGUGAUUGGAGGCAACAGCACAACAGAGCUCUUCUUAAGUCUCUGAUCGUUAGUGUCACAUGACCAUUGCUAAUUAUGCUAUUGCUUUUGAAUGGAAAUAGCAUAAAAGUCUUGGUGAAUGAACAAAUUGAAUAGACCAUUUUGCAGAGCAGUGAAAUAUUCCGAAGCCGUGAAGCACAGUGAUAAGCUACAAAUUAUAGUAAUUUAUAUUUAUUAAUUGUCAAUGAAUGGUUUUAUUUGAGCUAUAAUUAGAAUGGAAGUUGCCUAAUUUAAGUAUAUUUUGGUUUUUGCGGGAAAAGCACGCAAUUGAGGAGGAGAUGAAUAAAAAACGCAACAAAAGAAGAAGAAACGUUGAAAGGGACUUUGUGAGGACUUCUUCCAGUUCCAAUGAUUUCCGGAGAAAUUUCUAAAAUUAUGAUGAAUUUUAAAAAAAUUCUACAAAGGCGGCAUUUUGAGUAUGGGAUUCCGUCCAAGGGGUCUUCACAUUCAGUAAAUGCGAGCUCCCUCUCAGCUCGCAUUUACUGAAUGCGAAGUCUCUUGAAUUUGCAACCAACGAAAUCCAAAAAAAAAAAAAAAAAAAAACAGACCUCGCAUUUGUUAACAGUACGUAGGCCUGACCUCUUAUCCCGUUUCUGAGCAACAGAGCAUGCCACGAAUUUGAAAGCCAUUUGCCAAGUGAAAAGAAAAUGUGCAGCGCAAAUGGGACACAAAAUUGAUUGGGGAGUCCUGUUGAGGUAGUACAAGUGGCAAAUUGGGAGGGGACAGAGAGGCGCAGCUGGCUAUCUUCACAGAAAUGGGUUCCGAACAGGGGUCCAAGCUCUACAAUGGCGCAGAGCUUCCGACGAGAAAGAUGUGAGGGAUUUCGUCUGCCGAUCCUCGAAGCUUGGACUGGUGUCUAGCUCAGCAAAAGAGAAGAGAGAGUGAGCUGGAUGGAGAGAGUGAGCUCCAAUUUCUGUAGGUUAGGAGACAGAUUAGAAUGCCGUAAUUAGAGCUCUGCCUUUUUUUCAGAUUGAGUACAUCGCAUUCGAGAAAUGCGAGGUACCUCAGCUCGCAUUUGGCAUAUACGACCUUUGUUGUUUUUUACUUUUUCUCAAAACCUUUCUCUUUUUUCUUGAAACACUGACCUCGCAUUUGUGAAAUGUGAAGUCUUUGAACUAGCGUUUCACAAAUGUGAAGACCAUAAUCCUAGAAUUAGCUUCAAAAAUUACCCCCCUUGUAAAACAACUUUUUUUUCUAUCACAAUUUAAGAAUUUACUCUGAUUUUUGAGCAUAACAAGUUUGCGGCCAGAGUUAGAGCCGGUCUUCGGGCCGAACUUUAUUGGAAAACCCAUUCAAACUCGAUUUUUGGUAAGUUUUCAAGACCUAUUCCUACCACAUUUCGGAUGCAACUUUGAGAGACUAUAAAUAGGACAUUCUAGGAUAUUUUUAGGUUAGAAAGCAUUUAGCUUACAUUAGUUCAUCCUUUUUAUAUCUUCUUUUCUUGAGAGAUCACAAAGGAAGUGUUGAAGAAUCAAAGAGAAAGUUCAAGAUGGAGAUUGGAGUAGGGAAAAAUUGAGAACUUUUCUUUACUUUUAACUUCUUAUUUUGUCUUUCAUUUGAAUUCUUGGAUUUAUCUAUGAAUAUGUUGAACUAAUUUAUAUCUAGACUUAAGAUUUUGUGAAGGAGAUUUGAUUAUUUGUUCUAGAUAAAUUAUUCAAUUUUUCUUUGAUUUAUCUAUCUUGCCUUUAUUACAUAUUUUUGUUUGGCCACUAUAGAUAUGCUUUUAGGGUUUGUAUUGAAUUGAGAAGCGAUAUACAACCAUAUAUUAGAUAAAUAAACUUACUUAACCUAAUUAUGAAUGUGGGUUAGGAUUUGUAUGGCAUAAUCAUAUCACCUAAAAUCUUAAAGGGUUUAAUUAAAUACCUAUGAUCUUGAGAGCAAUGUGAGAUUUCAUUAAACACAAUUUAGAUGUAUCGAGAGAUAAUUAAAAUACCUUUACGUGAUACAUCUUUGACAUGUUAAGAAAAUAAUUGGAUAAUGAUUCCAAUUAUAAAUCAAAAUUUGAAACUCUAGUUUUUGCUAAUUGUUUUCUCACCUAUAUCUUAUUUGAUUUCAUUACUUAUUUAAUUUCUUAAUUAGUGAUUAAAAACCCUCUAAAUUUAAAUUUUAUUAUUUUUAUUAGAGUAAUUAAAGUAGAAAAAAUUAACUCAUUCCUAUAUGUUUGACCCUGGAGUACUCCAAGUGAAUUAUUAUUUCGAUCAACCCUAUACAGUUAUAGAAAUUCAUCGAUCACACAGCAACUAAAAAAAAAAAUUAAUGCACAAUAAUGUCAUGAACACAGUUCUCAUAUUAGUUGUUCAACAUUCAUGGUGGAUUUCAAUUAGUGGUAAAUAGAUAAAGUCGUCGAAAAAAGUAAUCUAAUUACUAGAUAAUUGAAUUUAUACUACAGCAUAUUUCUUUUUUCUACUGCAAAAACUUAACUAAUUUAAGACAAUGUAGUCCAAGCUAAUUGAAGAUUAAUUUCCCUAAAAAAUGUUCAUGAUAAAAACUCAACAAAGAGAUAAUACAACAGCUUACUUUUGGAGGUGAUCUUAUACGGUCUUUAUUAACAAACUAAUUAGCCACCUAAGCCUUUUUUUUUUCCUUUUGGGACUACACAUGACAAAAUGAGGAGUGAAUCAGUCGCUUAGUAUCUAAAAUUUUCGCUCCAUAAUUAGUUCAACCUGAUUUAAGACUAAAUUUUUACUAUAGGAAUGUUCGUGAUUCAGCAAUGAAACACCAUAUAAACUUAUUUUGGGAGAUUUGUCCUAGAAGAGAAAAAAUGAGCAACCAAUCAGAAAGUCGUACUUACAUAUCAAAAUCGAUACUGUCUACUUAAUUCACCAGGCACCAGCUAUGUAUAUUUCAUCCAUUUUCACAUAAUAGAAAGAACAAUAAUGCAUGGCAUUAUCCAUCAUAAAUUUCUCAUAUAACAUCAAGAUAUCAUGGUGUGGACCUCAAAUGACUCGUCAUGUCUACUGGCUACAUUUUAAACAUAUCUUAUGGCCAGAAUGUUCAUCUUAUCAACUUAACGAGUUUAUUCAUGGUACCAUACCAUUCAAUUAAAAAAGUUUCCACCUUUUACCUUUUAUUUAUAGAUGUCGAGGAAUAUAGCUGAUAACGCACUUUUGGCAGCAAUCUUCCUUCACCCAAUUAAAGAUUUUCGGAGCUUAAAGUUCAGCUCCUAAAGCUCUUCUCCAAGGCUCACCAACCAACAGAGAAAUUACUUUUAGCAAAGUUUUGAUGGCAUCUUGGCAAGAUUGGAAGAUUAUAUUGCGCUUCUAAGAUAAUGUUUAAAAAAGCUAUUUUAACGAGGGCAUUAUGGUCAAUUUGCCCCUGAUGAUAUUGACAUUAGGUCCCAUCAACAUCAGAAGGGAGCUCAUUGUAUUAUUGGAUAUAACAAGAGUGCUAGUGAAAUUAUGAAAACCCUCAAGGAAGGUUUUUGAAAUUAACCCUAAAAUACUCAUUCCACGCAAGGCGUGGCGUUCCCCUCCUAGUUCCUAUAAAUAGGGCUGCAACUCAAUGCACUUAUCACUCGAUAUCAAUAAUUUAGCACAUUAUUUACAUUUUGAGUGAGAUUGUGAUCAAAUGACAUCUUCAAAAAAUUUGCUCUUUCUUAUUGGUGUUCUUUUUGCACUUGUGCUCCUCAUUUCCUCUGAUGCAACAGCUGCAGGUGCCUAGUCCCUUUUUUUCUUUUCCUUUCUUCCUUUUUUUUUUUGGCUGCACCUAAAUACUUAAAUGAAUGGAGAUUUGGAGACUCAUUAUUGGGAUGUGAAUUUUUAUGGAAGGCUAUUUGUAUAUUAUCAAGCAAGUCAUAUUAAUGUGCUAAUAUCUUUUUCAUUGUUUAGCAAAAGUAAAUUUGGGUUGCUUCUAUCAAUGGUUAGUGGCACAUCUGAUUUUUCAUGCAUCCUUAUAGUAUUGCUGUAAGGAUACACGUUCCAUAGUGUCGCACCAAAGAUUAAACUAACGUCGAAAACCAAAUUAAAUGCUUCUAAUUAUAAUUUAAAGCAAAAUAAUUCCCCUUAUAAAUGGACGAAACUUCCUGCCAACAAAUCCAAAUUCAAGAAAAAAUUUUCUUAAGGGGAAACUCUGCCAAAAUUUUCUUAAAAUAAAUAAAAUAUUUAAUUAAAAAAAUGAAGCAAAAUAAUUCAUAUCCAAGUCGCACCAUCUUAUAUGCCUAGACUGUUUUGUUUAAUCCAUAGUAUUCUUUUCUUUGCAUAUAUCUUGCAAAUUUUCAGCCAAGCCGGUCACCUAACGUUCGCAGCUUAAGAUAAAGCUCCAAAUAUUUAUGUCUCCUUGUGUCUUGAAACAGAUCAGAAGAGCGUGAAAACCACUGGUGUCCACGAUGCCAGUUCAGGCGAGGUUCAUCAGGAUAGCAAAAGCGAAGAUCGUUGCAGACAUGGUUGCUGCCACUGGUACCAUGGACACUGCCAAAGAUGCUGUCGAACUGCCGAGGAGACCCCUGAAGUCACAUCUGGAGAUGAGGAUACCGUAACCGCAGAUCGUUGCAGACAUGGUUGCUGCCGCUGGUACCAUGGACAUUGCCAAAAAUGCUGUCCACCUGAAGAUCGUUGCAGACAUGGUUGCUGCCACUGGUACCAUGGACAUUGCCAAAGAUGCUGUCCACCUGCUGAGGAGACCCCUGAACAUCGUUGCAGACAUGGUUGCUGCCGCUGGUACCAUGGACAUUGCCAAAGAUGCUGUCCGCCUGCUGAGGAGACUUGCAGACAUGGUUGCUGCCACUGGUACCAUGGACAUUGCCAAAGAUGCUGUCGAACUGCUGAGCAGACCCCUGAAGCUACAUCCGGAGAUGAGGUCAAAAAUUAACGCUAAAUAAAUAAGGGCGUGACACAGGAUCCGUGACACCUAUAUUAUUACCUUAAUAUGUUAUGUUGUGUUUGCUUUUAAUGGUUGAUUUCCUAUAUGUGUAAAAGACUUGUGCGGCUUCUCUUUGAAUUGGUGUAGAAUCAACGGGGGAAGCAUGUAAUGAGUAUUCAGUUCGAGUGCUCUUCUUAUGUUGUUGUCAUGUUGAAUAAAUAAAUCUACUUGAUCAUCUACUACAAUUGAUGAUCUUCUUAUGUUUUUUUUUCACUUUAUCUUCCUUCAAGAUUUUUGGUGGAAAUGCUUCAUUUAUACGAAUUUUCCUAGUUAGUAAAUGCUUCUAUUACACUUGUACAAUACACAUUUAAAAGUAUAACACAACAAAAGCUUGUGUAGUUCAUAUAUUUAAAAAAUAUUCAUACUUUUCAACUAAACUAUAAAAAUAUGUAAUAAAUUCUUUAUACAUUAUACUUUACGAACUAUACUUUAAAUUUUAAAAAUAUUUAAUAGUAUCACUUAUCAAUAACUCCACAUGUUAAUUUGUCUUCCAAUUCAGUAAAUUAUAGUAGCUAAUUCUCAAAGCUAACCGACACCAAAAUUCCCUCACUUGUUCAGCUCCUAGUGGAUUUAUAUUAAUUACAUUGCAUUUAUUUCCUAAGCAUGAGUUUUGUAACCCCUCAUAUUAAAUCUCAAUGAUUGAUUUUAACGGUUACCCAGGCGUCUAGUAAUUGGUUUGCUAUUAAUUUGAACUAGACAUUUAUUAGGUCUAGUAGAAUUUAUUCCUUCUUAUCACUUAGUUCAUAAACCUUACGAAUCGUUAAAACCAGCUCUAACAUCAGCUAACAAGACUUCUACAAUUUCGGGUUUUGCUUAGAAAUCAGUCUGAUAGGUUAACUUGCUUCGUCCAACUUUAUGAGUUGCUUCUUUUUUCUUUUUUUUUCCAUAUUUGACAUUUCAUCUUACUUUAAUAUGGGGACCAAGUUAGUAUUGUUGACAUUUCAUAUCUAAGACUUCUUAAUUAAUUGAUUUGUUAUAAGAACUAUAACGUAUGCGUGUUUUGUAAGCUUUCAUGUUUUUUUAUUUUUUCAAUUCUUGUGGACCAGCAACGGAUAGUUUCUUCUAGUACCAAUCUUCCUUUGAAGUUCUUUAAUUUUUUUUUUGUGUCCAAAUGUAAAUUAAAAGAACCAACAACUUUGAACAAGUCUAUAUCUAGUAAAGAUAGAUAUAAAGAGGGAUACUAUAUCACUGCAACAAAAAAGGGAUUUGGCGAGGAGCAAAAGUCCACGCCAAAAUUUUUGACUUCGUCGCCAAUUAAUUUCAGCGAGAAAAAUGCUUCCUCGUCAAGUUUCUUGCUAGAUGCUCAUCGCUAAAAGUUAUUAGAGAGGAUGUUGUUGCUUUUCUCGCUAAUGAAACAGAUCAAUAGCAAGGAUUGACCUCCUCGCCAAUCUGAUUCAAAUACUAUGGCGAGAAAAGCUUUCCUCACCACUAAAGUUAAAAACUCCCCACAAAAACCAGUAGUUCCUAGCAAAUAGUCAAGGUGUUCUGCUAGGAAAAAUAGCGCAUCCUUACCAAUAGUAUAGAAUUAGCAAGGAUUCUUUUGACAAAUCUGCAAUGCCUCGUGUACCAGUAAAACAUUUUUGGCCAGGAAAGUUUCCUCUCUAAUAAGCAAUAAUUGAUUAUUGUCUAACUGUUUGGUGGGAAAAUGUUCCUCUCCAAUGCUGUUAUGAACAUUUCUUAAUCCCAUUUAGCAUGCUAAUCUUAAUUCUCUGAGCAAAUUACUGGGUGGUUUUAUUAGAAAAUUUAGCUGCAAAUAGCUUCAAUUUGGCUUCUCAUGUGUCUGUUGUACAUUUUCCAGGUUCUUAUAAGUAUCAAAUUGUUUGGCAAAAUUUUUUUUUAAUGAAUCAUGACCAACGUAGCUGCUCAUUAAAUUUAAACUCAUAAGCCCUAGUAUUUGAUAGCUUUUUGGAAUAUCACUUGGUGCCAACAACCCCCUUUUGCUACUUUGAUAAACAUUCAAUAGAAAACAUACAAAAGCUUUGGUUAGCUAAAAAUAAUUGUUAGCAAAGUAAUACAUCAACAUCCAGCUCUUUCAACAUCUUGAGCCAUACAAAUAGGAAGUGCUUGAAAUCAAUUGGCAAUCCAAAUUUUUUUUAGCUCAUUAACCAUCCAAGAAAUCGCAACUUCAAUAAGUCAUUACAAAAGAAGAUUUCAUCAAGAGAACACCACAAAAAGGAGAAGCAGAAAAAAAAUAUAAGAGAGAGAGAGAGAGAGUUAAACUAGUCAUAUGGACACAUAUUUGUCACCUCAGUAUUUCCAAUUCCUUAAUUCAGUCCAGUUAUCUUGGAACUCUAUCGGCAAUCCAUGGAACAUUUUUUGAAUGACAAUAUGCUGUUGCAACCUUCUGGUGAAGACUUCAAAGGUUCUAUGAUAGGUUGCAUUUUUGUCAUUAAUUCUAUGAUUAUUUUCCUCAUUUAUAUUACCAAAUAUUGUAUUAAUUGAUUGAUUCUACUUAUAUUUGGUAUUUUGUGUCAAUUGUAGGAAGGUGGAGCAAAAAAUAAUAAAAGAGGUGAUUUUUCAAGAGUUUUCCAUUUCAAGAUGGAGUUUACGUGGAGUAUUGGAUGAAAAUUAGGAAACUACCACUUUUUAUUAGAUGUCUUAUUAGGGAACAAUUAGCAAUAGUUGGAGAAGUUUCCUUUUGCAAUUAGAAUUCUAUUUUUAGUUGGCCAAUGGACUGCCGAAAUAAUGGACUUCAAUUAGGAAACAAAGAGAGAAAAAAGGCCGGAAUCCCGCGUGAUUACUACCUUGGAGGGAACAAGAAAAAGGAGACGUCCGCUGGUCUCUUCUUUAGUGAGUCUUUUGGAAAAAACCAAUGGUUAUCGAUGGUGUCCUGCGGAUCUCUCCUGAUGAUGUGUAGCUAAAUCUCCGUUUUCUAGUCGAAUGUCAAUUUGAGGACUCGAUUCCAAACAUAUUUGAUAAGAGAAUAUUUAAUGUACAUUUUGUACAAGUUUGGCAUGAACUUUUGAUGUGUUUUGAGAAGAUUAAAGCCAUAUUUGAACUCUUUUGGUGAUAAAUGCUUAAAUAUUAUGUAAGUGUUCAAAACUUGAUAAAUGAGUGGAUUAAUGCGUUAAUUUUGUGAAAUUGUGAAGGAUAUUGAUAUAUGAAAUUCAUGCACGAGAUGAAGGAAAUGUAAGGAUCGUCUAGAGGAUAAAGUACAAAAGAAACUAGGAGCAAAAAUGAAGAAAAAGGAAAGAAGUGAAAAACUGGAAAUUGAUCAGCACAGAUUUGAGCUCGGAUCCGUGUGAACAAAGGGCGAUCCGAGCCCUCGUCUGCACUUCUGGAGCAGUGCAUCCGAGGCCAGACAAUCUGAGCUCGGAUUAUUAAGAGAAAGACCUCGGAUCAGCCUUGAUCCGAGCUCAGAUCGUAGUGCACACCUCGGAUCCAGGUCUCGGAUCUGCCUCUCUUCUGCAAGUGGCACGGCCGUUUUUUCUCAUUUUCACACAACUUUCCAGCUAUCUUGGGUGAGAGAAUUCGAUGGCACAUGCUUCUGCAACAAAAGGGAAGACAAAAUGAGUUAUUGAUAAGUCAAAACAACAUUUCUUUUGACUUUCUUUACAAAAUCUGAGUUGUUGGAAUCAUGAAGGAGAAGAAAGUGCCUUUCUACCACCUUUUAUGCAGAGAACUAAGGAGAAGUCAGGCAUCACCAUAUGGAGGAGUUUUUCAUCUUGUAACAUUUUUCUCUCUAGCUAGAAGUUCUAAAAACAAGCACUUGGAGAUUUCACUUGUAAUCAUCUUGUACAAGACAUAGCAAAAAUUUGAGGGUUUCACCAUUAAUUGGCUAAGCUUUUCUUUAUCUUUCUUGUACUUGUACUUUAUGAUGUUUUGCAUUAAUAAACUUGUGAGUUUGAUUGUUAUAUUAUUCAUGAGUAGCUAAAUUUCUUUAUCUAGAGAGUAGAUAAAUGAUAUGAAUUGAAUGUGAUUUACACUUGUUAUAUCUUGUAUUAACUUGUCUAUUUGUGCAGUUGUAAUUACUUGUUGUUGUUUGAUCACCAAUAGCAUGUUUAUAGUUGUUAUUAGUCAAUAAGAAUUGGUAGUAACAAUAGAAAAAAUAUGAGUAGAGCUUGAGUUGUAUGUUCAUGAAAAUAGAUGUACACUUAAGUGGAUUAGCUAGCAUUUCAUGAAGGAAAACAGAGUAGAACUGGUAGUUCACCAUGAAAAUAGGGAAAACUGGAUUACUCUAGGCCAUUUUAUCAUGAGAAUGAGAUUUGGCAAUAUUGAAAAUGAAUCCCUGGUUAAACAACAAUAAUAACAAGAGGUAAAUCUAUUCAUUUGUGUUGUUUAUACCAUAAGUGGAAUCUACAUCCCUAGAUUUAUUCUUGAGUGAAAUUUAUCCAUUUGCAUUUAGCAUUUGUUAAACUAGAUUUAUAGACAACAACAUUAUAAUUUCUCUGCUCAAAUUCAUUUAUAAGUCUAAAUAAUAGAGAAAAUAAGGGCCUAGUACUUAUUUAAAUUGCUCCUCGUGGGAUCGACUUGAUACAUACCUUACAUUACGAUUUCGACCUGUAUAGUUGCAGUCAACGGGUAUAAAAUCGAAUUCAAACUUGCAUUGAUAUAAAAAUCCCGUCACAUAUGUGAGAUCGAAUUAUUUUACUUAUUUCUUUUAUUCAUUGGUAUUUGUACAUUUUCUGAUUUAACUUCAUAUACUUGUUAUGUUAUUUGAAUGUCAAGGGCUCGAUAUUCGAAUUAACCUAAUAAUCUACUGUUAGAUUAAUUGAUUGAAUCCCUAAUUGUUCAAUUGAUUAAUACCAGUGGCAACUAGCGUGAUUAGUUUCAUGUUAAGGAAACAUAUGAUCUAACUUAAACGAACCCUCGUAGCGUGUUUGUUAAUUAAGGUUGGCUUUUCUAAUUCUUAUUGCAAUUGAGAAAUUAAAUCCUAUAGUCGUACCUAGGGUUAUUUCUUGGUUAGAAAAAUAGUUAAUGGUCGUACCUUAACUAUCGAAAAAGUAAGAAAAGAUUGGUUGUUUAUCGCGUGUAUAACAACUAUAACCAAUCUAUUAAUUAGUAAUUGAAUUAUCUUUGCAUCGAUGAUCAGUUGAAAGGACCAUGUCUGAAAAGUUGCACCUUUGGCUAGAGUUGUAUUGGUUAUUGAUUAAUUCCUGUUUAUUUCUAUUAGUUGUUUCAUUAGUUGAUUAAUUAGUUAUUUUAUAUUUUUCAAAAACCCCCCAUACUUCGGACUCUGGAAGAAAUGAAUUAUCCCCAAUCCCUGUAGAUUCGACCCUGCUCACCGCUAUAUACAAAUUUGUAUUUUUCUUGAGUAGGUAAUUAUUAUUGCACAUGUUCAACACCUGUCAUUCUAUAACUGUAUACAGAGUCAUCUUUUUCAAAGAUUUCCCAUGCUGCAAAAUGUACUCUACGAGCUUUAUUUCACCCUGUUCCUGAAGAGUUUGCUUGAUCCGAUAUACCCGAAUGGGAUGGUUAUUUCUUUCACAAAUAAUUAUGAAUUUGUAGACAGGGCAAGUAGGGUCGUAUCCACAGGGACUGGGUAUAUUUGUUUCUUAAGAAAUCCAAAAUAACAUAGGGGGGUGAUUUUGUAGGAACGACGACAAUAAAAUAAAUUCAAUUAAGAAAAUAAAAAUAAAUAACUAAUUAGAGAUUAAACAACAAUUCACUGAACUUAGAGUAAUAAUAAUUAAAGGCCUAAAUCAAUUAAAACAAGGAAGCAUGAAAAUAGAUGUACACUUAAGUGGAUUAGCUAGCAUUUCAUGAAGGAAAACAGAGUAGAACUAGUAGUUCACCAUGAAAAUAGGGAAAACUGGAUUACUCUAGGUCAUUUUAUCAUGAGAAUGAGAUUUGGCAAUAUUGAAAAUGAAUCCCUGGUUAAACAACAAUAAUAACAAGAGGUAAAUCUAUUCAUUUGUGUUGUUUAUACCAUAAGUGGAAUCUACAUCCCUAGAUUUAUUCUUGAGUGAAAUUUAUCCAUUUGCAUUUAGCAUUUGUUAAACUAGAUUUAUAGACAACAACAUUAUAAUUUCUCUGCUCAAAUUCAUUUAUAAGUCUAAAUAAUAGAGAAAAUAAGGGCCUAGUACUUGUUUAAAUUGCUCCUCGUGGGAUCGACUCGAUACAUACCAUACAUUACGAUUUCGACCUGUAUAGUUGCAGUCAACGGGUAUAAAAUCGGAUUCAAACUUGCAUUGAUAUAAAAAUCCCUUCAAGUUUUUGGCGUCGUUGCCAGAGAGUGGCAAUAUUAGGGUCUAAUCAUCUCUAUUAAUUUAGAUAUUUCUAUUGUUUUUAAGUUGUUUAUAGUUGAUUUUGCAUUAAUUUAGUUUUUGACAAUUAAAGCUGCAUAAUUUCUCUUAUUUCUAUUUGUAGUAAAUGCAUCGAACAUAUCGAGAAGUUACACCUUUCGAUCCAAAAAUUGAGAGGACACUUUGUAGACAAAGGAGCGAUAUACCGCAUCAAGAGGAACAAGAGAUUUGACAGCCGAUAGAGGAAAUUUUGAAAGAGCUACCGUUUGAGGAAGAAAUGGCGGAAAACAAACCAAAUAGGCGAGUUUUACGAGAUUUUGCUUUACCGGGGACACAAAGAUCUCAAACUAGCAUUGCAAAACCAACGGUAAAUGCUAAUAAUUUUGAGAUUAAACCAUCACUGAUUCAAAUGGUUCAACAAUCUCAAUAUGGGGGUAAUGCAACCGAAGAUCCAAAUUCUCACUUGUUAACAUUUCUUGAAAUCUGUGAUACAAUUAAGUUUAAUGGUAUUAGUGAUGAUGCAAUUAAACUUCGAUUGUUUUCAUUUUCGCUAAGGGACAAGGCCAAGGUUUGGUUAUAAUCUCAUCCUUCAAAUACUUUUACUACUUGGGCUGAAUUAGCUAAGGCUUUUCUUAAUAAAUUCUUUCCACCUGGAAAAACUGCUAAACUUAGAAUGGAUAUAACUAGUUUCUCUCAACAGAAAGGAGAGACAUUGUAUGAAGGUUGGGAGCGCUAUCAGGAAUUACAACGAAGAUGUCCUCAUCAUGGUUUACCAGAUUGGCUUAUAGUGCAAACAUUUUGCAAUGGUCUCACUUAUCCAACAAAGACGCAUGUAGAUGCAGCAGCGGGAGAAGCAUUGAUGGAAAAAUCAGCCAAGGAAGCUCAACAAUUGAUUGAAGAAAUGGCCGCUAAUAACUACCAAUGGGCCAACGAACGAGGUAAUACAAGGAGAACCGUAGGUAUGCUUGAAGUAGAUACCUUAAAUAUGUUAAGUGCAAAGAUGGAUAAUGUGGUUAAGAUACUUAAUAGGCAUGUUGGUUCUAGCUCUAAUCAAGGAGUAGUUGUUACAUGUUCUACUACUUGCAGCGGAGAUCAUGAUGAUUCUAUGUGUUCUAGCAGCGAACAAGUUCAAUAUCUCAACAAUUACAACCGUCCACCCCAAAAUAAUCUAUACUCCAAUACCUACAAUCCAGGAUGACUUAAUCAUCCGAAUUUUGGAUGGAAGGAUCAAGGGAACCAACAAAAACCAGUUAAUCCACUGGAUUUUCAACCGAAGCAACCACUUCCAGAGUCCAAACCAGCUUGGGAAUUGACAAUUAAGAAGCUGGCAAAUGUAUCAAAUGAUAAAAUUGAAAAGUUAGCUAGUGUCACUACUCAACGAUUUGAAAGAAUUGAGGGAAUGAUGGACCAACUCACCAAUAUGUAUAGGAAUGUUGAGAUCCAAUUAGGGCAAAUAGCAAAUGCAGUUAACAAUCGCAACCAAGGGGAUUUACCUAGCAAGACUGAGGUGAACCCAAGGGAGCAUGUGAAGGCCAUAACCUCCGUAGUGGUAAGGAAGUAGGUGAGCCACCUGUAGUUGAAAGUGAGAGAAAAUAUGAAAGAAGAGAAAACAAGCAGUUGAGUGAGUUAGGAGAUGAUAACAAAACAAUUGAUGGGAAAGAAAAUGUGGAAGAGUGUGAGCCACAAAUUGAAGAGGCAACACUAAUUCCUCUACCGGUGCCAUUUCCUCAAAGAUUGAAACCUUCAAGAAAUGACAAAGAAUUUGAGAAGUUUGUUAACAUUUUCAAACAAUUACAUAUUAACAUUCCUUUUGUUGAUGUUAUUUUACAGAUUCCUUCAUAUGCAAAGUUUCUCAAAGAAAUAAUGACUAAGAAAAGGAGGUUAGUAGAUAGUGAAACAAUUUCAUUAACGGAAGAAUGUAGUGCCAUCAUACAAAAUAAAUUGCCACCAAAGUUGAAAGAUCCGGGGAGUUUCACAGUUCCUUGCACUAUCGAUAAUGUAGAAUUUUCUAAAGCACUACGUGACCUUGGUGUGAGUGUUUCAUUGAUCCCUUUAACUGUGACUAGGCAAUUGGGGUUGAAAGAGUUAAAACGUACUAACAUUUCCUUGCAAUUGGCUGACAAGUCUAUUAGACAUCCAAUGGGCAUUUUGGAGAAUAUGCUUAUUAAAGUGCAGAAAUUCAUUAUUCCUGUUGAUUUUAUUGUUUUAGAUAUGGAGGAAGAUGUCAAUGUACCUAUUAUACUUGGUAGACCAUUUCUGGCCACUGCAGAUACAAUAAUAGAUGUUAAAUGUGGUAAAUUUAAGUUCCAAAUUGGUGAAGAGGAAGUGGAGUUUGAUUUGAGUAAAGUGGAGAAGUAUCCCUCUUUUACUGACCAUAUUUAUUCUAUUGACAUAUGUGAUGAAUUAGCGUUAGAGAUAAGUCAAGUUAAUCUUGAUAAUGAUUCUCUUGAACUUUGUCUUAAUGAUGUAGGCUUACAAGAGGAACAAGUUGAAGAAAUGACUGAAUUUUUGCAGGUACAAAUUCCUUACAAAAGGAGAAAUGCGUAUGAGGAGUUAGGGCUGAGCAAAGGGCUACCUCCACCAUCGUGUGAGCAAGCUUCACGGCUUGAGCUUAAGCCACUCUCUAAACACUUCAAAUAUGCAUUUCUUGGAGAAAAUGAGACAUUGCCGGUGAUUGUCAAUACUGCACUAGAUGAGGAACAACUAGGAAAGCUUUUACGUGUUUUGAGGAAACAUUUAAAAGCUAUAGGAUGGACAACUUUUGAUAUCAAAGGAAUUAGUCCAACUAUUUGUAUACACAGGAUUUUGUUAGAAGAAAAUUCUAAGCCGGUGGUUGAAAUUCAAAGAAGGUUAAAUUCAAACAUGAAAGAAGUGAUAAGAGUACAAAUCCUUAAAUGGCUAGAUGCAGGUAUAAUUUUUCCAAUCUCUGAUAGUGUUUGAAUUUCUCCUAUUUAUGUAGUGCCAAAGAAAGGGGGGAUAAACAUAGUACGUGGUAAAAAUAAUGAAAUGAUUUCCUCUAGAGUUGUGGUUGGGUGACGAGUCUGUACUGAUUAUAGAAAACUGAAUGCAGCUACUAGAAAGGAUCAUUUCCCUCUUCCUUUUCUUGAUCAAAUGGUAGAAAGAUUGGCUGGAUAUGAAUUUUAUUGUUUCUUGGAUGGUUUUUCAGGAUACAAUCAAAUAGUCAUUGUACUGAAAGAUCAAGAUAAAACCACAUUCACUUGUCCUUACGGCACUUUUGCAUUUCGAAAAAUGCCUUUUUGAUUGUAUAAUGCACCGGCCACUUUCCAACAUUGCAUGAUGGCAAUUUUCUCUGAUUUUAAUGAGAAAAUCAUGGAAAUCUUCAUGGAUGAUUUUUCUGUAUUUGGAUCUACUUAUGAUCAUUGCCUUAACAAUUUAGAUCUAAUUUUGCAGAGAUAUGAAGAAACAAACCUUGUACUCAAUUGAAAAAAAUGUCACUUCAUGGUUUGUGAGGGUAUUGUUCUAGGGCACAAAAUUUCUUCACAAGGUAUUGAGAUAGAUCAAACCAAGAUAGAGGUUAUUGAGAGAAUGCCUCCACCUACCAAUGUGAAAGGCAUUCAAAACUUUCUUGGACACAUGGAAUUUUAUCGGCAGUUUAUUAAGGAUUUCUCCAAGAUUGCUAAACCUUUAUGUGAAUUACUUGCAAAAAAUAUUACUUUUCACUUUAAUGAUGAGUGUUUAUUUGCUUUUAAUAGGUUGAAAAAGGAACUUGUCUCCACAUCCAUAAUAGCAUCACCACCAGAUUGGAGCUUGCCAUUCGAAUUGAUGUGCGAUGCGAGUGAUUUUGCAGUUGGAGCUGUUCUUGGGUAAAAACAUGAUAAGCGACUUUAUGUCAUUUAUUAUGCAAGUAAAAUGCUAAAUGAAACCCAAGUCAACUAUGCAACAACAGAGAAGGAGUUGCUAGUAGUGAUAUUUGCAUUGGAUAAGUUUAGAUCGUAUUUAGUAGGAUCUAAAGUCAUCAUUUAUACCGACCAUGCAGCACUCAAGUAUCUCUUAAAUAAGAAAGAUGCAAAACCUGGACUAAUUCGAUGGAUUUUAUUAUUGCAGAAAUUUGAUUUGGAGAUCAAAGAUAAAAAAGGAUCCGAGAACUUAGUCGCUGAUCAUCUUUCUAGACUGAAAAACAUGCUUCAAGAAGACCAUUCAUCCAUUAAAGAAGAAUUUUCAGAUGAGUUUUUAAUGGCAAUUUAAAAGUCACCAUGGUAUGCUAAUUUAGUUAAUUUUGUAGUUAGUGGAGUGAUAUCAAGUGAUUUGAAUUCCCACCAAAGGAAAAAAUUCUUAAAUGAUGCUAAACAUUAUUUUUGGGAGGAACCAUUCUUUUAUAAACAUUGUGCAGAUGGAAUAAUUAGAAGAUGUGUUCCGGAAGAAGAGGUACACAGUAUUUUAAUACAUUGUCAUACCCUUGAAACGGGAGGUCAUUUUAGUACAACUAAAACCGUAGCAAAGGUAUGACAAUUUGAAUUUUACUGGCCUACUAUAUACCGAGAUGCUAGAAAUUGGGUUAAAAGUUGUAAUUAAUGCCAAAGAACUGGUAACAUCUCUAGAAAGGAUGAAAUGUCUCUAACUAAAUAUUUGGAAGUUGAACUAUUUGAUGUUUGGGGUAUUGAUUUUAUGGAACCAUUUCCUAGUUCUUUUAAUAAUAACUACAUCUUAGUAGCAGUGGAUUAUGUUUCUAAAUGGGUAGAGGCAAUUGUUUUCACCUACUAAUGACUCUAAGGUUGUACUCCGGUUUCUUAAAAAGAAUAUUAUUUGCAGAUUUGGUAUCCAAAAGACCAUAGUUAGUGAUGAAGAAAAAUAUUUUUGUAAUAAACACCUUCACUCAUUGUUUAAAUAUGGCUGCAGGUACAAGACAUCACUUCUGUACCAUCCUCAAGCCAACGGACAAGCGAAACUAGCUAAUAGAGAGAUAAAACUCAUUUUGGAGAAAACUGUAAUUGAAUCACGCAAAGAUUGGGCUACAAAGCUAGAUGAUGCACUAUGGACUUACCGACCGGCAUUUAAGACACCUUUAAGGAUGUCGCCGUAUCGUUUAGUCUAUGAAAAAACUUGUCACUUACCUGUAGAGAUUGAACAUAAAGCUUAUUGGGCUAUUAAAGCAAUUAACGUGAACUUUAAUCUUUCAGGUGGAAGGAGGCUACUUGAGUUAAGUGAAUUGGAGGAACACCGAUUACAUGCGUAUGAAAAUGCCAAAAUUUAUAAAGAGAAGAUCAAAUAUUGGCAUGAUAAAUAUAUUCUUCCUAAGCAUUUUGAAGAAGGGCAAAAGGUGUUAUUGUUUAACUUAAGACUUAAAUUGUUCCCUGGAAAGCUUAAGUCUCGAUGGUCCGGACCAUUUGAAAUAGCUCACACAUUUCCUUAUGGAGCGGUGGAAAUAAAAGGAGAAAAUGGUGCCCCAUUCAAAGUGAAUGAUCAAAGAUUGAAGCUCUAUUUGGCCGGAGAAAGGGUUCCUAAAGGAGUAAUUUACUCCUUAGGAAACACAAUGGAGAGUUAAGAAAACUGUAGGAGAGUCGAGUUUAACGAUUUUAAAUAAAGCGCUUGUUGGGAGGCAACCCAAUAAUAAUAUUGUAGUUGUGUGUUUUUAUGUGUUUCUUAAAUUUUGGUGUUAUUUGAUUGACUAAUUAUAUGUAUUUCACUUGUUGUAGGGGGUGCCGGCAUUUCAACUUCCAUAGGUGCACUUGAAGAACAAUAGUUAAAAGGGAAGUUUUCUUACCAAAUUCUGUUUUAAGUGUUUAAAAUUCCCUUUCAUGUAUAAUAUGUUGCAUUUCCAUUGUAUUCAAGUAAGUUUUAGUGAUAACAUGUUUAUACAUGUUCAUUGAUUCAUUUGAUGUGUAUCUCAUACCUAAGGGAGCCCUCUUAGUGUAAAAGUGCCAAAAUGAUCAAAGAAACUCACCCCUCGAUUUGCAAUGUAUAUGUGUUUGAUGUAUUUUGAGAGGUUGGAUAUUGUGUUUAUGGUAUAUUACACUUGCGUGAAAGGGUAGAAUUGAUAGAAAUUUCGUCCAAGGUGUAAUUUGGAAAUUGCCGAAAAAGGAGGAAAAAGUUUGAAAAAUUGCAAUUUCUGAAAUUGUUGCAGAAAAAGCCAGAUCCGAGCUCGAAUCCGUUAAAGAUUCAAAGACGAAAUUGGAGAUCCAACCUCGGAUCCGAAGUUGUUCACUAUGAUCCGAGGGCUCAUCUGUGUUUCUGGAAGGCCGGAUCCGAGCCUAUAGGAUCCGAGCCUUGGUAUACACGAUCCGACCUCGGAUUGUGUAUUCUUGAAAAAUUCAGCAUAGGGGAUCCGAACUAGGAUCCAACAAAAUCUAGUAGGAUCCGAGGGCUCGACUGAACUUCUGAAGUAGCGGAUCCGAGCCCUAUCGGAUCCGAGGGAUGCCAGAACCGAUCCGACCUCGGAUCUGUGCGCGAUAAAAACAAAUCCGAGGCUUCGGUUCUGCAUUUGUCCAAUUCUCCUUUUCCUAUUUCACCGAAAACCCUAGCCCUUUUUCACCAAUCUUCCAUUUCAUCCAAUAAUUAUUCAAUCUUUCACCACAAAAACAUCUCCCAACCUCUUGUGAUCAUAAACCCUCAACAAAUUCAUUUUAAAAACAUCAAUUUGGGGGGUUUUGAUCUUCAAAACGGGAAUUCAGGCCGCACUGAAAUCUCGCAAUUUGUGGUCGAAUUUGGGCUUGUUUCUUCAUCACUUUGCAUCAUUAUCAUCCUCCACCAUCAAUCUACACAUUUGAGGUAACAAUUUGCAAUUUUCUUUGAGAUUUUAUAAUUCCCAAUUUUACAUUUUUCUAGUUUUGGACAUAUUUUGGUAAUUGCUCAUAAGUUGAAAUUUUUUGAUACAAUUGUGCUACAUUGUGCUUAAAUAGAUUGUCACAACUAUUUUCAUGCUUAGUUUUGAGAGAAUUGUGAAUUUGGUAUUAUUUUGUAGAUUUUUCUUCUAAAAUUUUAGGUUAAUGCACAUGAACUCUUUAAUGAAUGAAAUUACUCCUCUAUGUGAACUACUUGCAUGCUUAAAAUUGAGAAAAUUGUUAUUAUAGUGAUAUUUUUGUAUAUUUUUCUCAAUUUUUAAGUUUAAGCAUGUUAAAUCUUUUGCUUGAAUAUUCCUUGUUCUUAGAGAUAAUUGGCAUUCAUUAAGAAGAAUUGGAGCUCAUUAGUUGGUACUUUGGUGAUAAUGUGUAUAGCCAAUUGGUGUGUAAUUGUUGGAUAAAAUCAUGAGAUAAUUGGCCCGUACAUUCUUGAAGUAAUGAAAUUGAUCUUUUAAGAGUCCUUUUUACUUUGAGAUUAUAUUCUAUUGAAAUAUGCAUCAAUUCUUAAGAGAUUGGACUUUUUAAUGAGAUUCUAAUUAAAAUAUGCUGUUCAAUUGUUGAAAGUGGAAUAUUCAAACAAUGUGUUGAGAUUGUAGAUUGAAAUUGAUAUCAUGCAUGUGCAAUGAGCUUGUGAAUUGGUUAAAUACGAUAUGGCCGUGAAUUUGUUGAUUGUUGGCAGGGAGUUUUUUCCUUUUAUUAGGGGAAACUCUGCCGAAAUUUUCCCAAAUCAUUUUUAAACAUUGUUGGUCGUGUAUUUUCAAGGGAUUUAGAAUUCUUCUAAUGUGUGUUUGAUCUUGUUUUUGAUAUAGGUACCAUGACUCGCACAAGACGAUCUCGUGUUCGCACUCCUUCACCUUCUUCAAGUGAAGAGCAUACUCCUUCAAUGCCUAAGGAGUCACCAGGGGAAGAAUCUCCUUCACCACAGUCGCCGCCACGCUUACGGCGUAAGAGAGCAUCUACGAGCCAUGAGAAGCUAGCUCUAGAUUAUGACACCACUCGUUUUAGACAAAGAGAUCAUAAUUGAAAAACACUUGGCCCCGGAGAUGGAUGACCACUCACUACAAGAAAAUUGUUCAUCAGUGACAACACAAAGUCAUCACAGAACAUACAAAUAUCGUCACAAAUACCUUUUAUUGACGACUUUUCGAUCGUCACAAAGUCGUCACUAAAUCCCCGUCGGUAAAAGUAAACAGUGACGACAUUUUAGGUAGAGCAUUUUUGACAAAAGAUCAAUUCGUCAAUAAAACACUUCCAGAUUGUCGUCACUAAUGACAACUAUUUAGUGACAACUAUUUGGUCGUCACUAAAUAGUUGUCAUUAGUGACGACAAUCUGGAAGUGUUUUAUUGACGAAUUGACCUUUUGUCAAAAAUGCUCUACUUAAAGUCGUCACUAAAAAGCACCGAAAGCCAUUGUAUAUAACUAUUUUACUGACAACAAUUGUCGUCACAAAUGUAACUUAGAUUUAGUGACAGUCUCUGUUGUGACAAGGAGUUUUUAUUUUCUAUUUUGUGACAACUUUUUUUUGUCAUUAGAUAAUUUCAUAAUAGCUUAAUAGUCAUAAUUUGGCCUGUAAUCAUUGCUAAAUCAUUGAUUUUGAACAAACCAUACAAAUAAACAUAAACGAUUGAUAACCAAAAGUAUUUGCAUUAGAUUACAUGGUAAUAAUAUAGCAUUCUCAAAUGCCAAAUUCAAGUGUACAUUGCCCAACUAAUGCCUACAAAAAUAACAUUUGUCCAAAAUAUCACUUGUACAUAAGGUACAUUUACAAAAGCAAUCACAGUUUAAGAAAUUGAAGAACAUCUAAAUGAACCACUCCAUGAGCAAAAGGCAAUUUUGUCUUCAACAUUCUUCAACCAUAACCAUAGAUAUCUUCCAAAAGCUAGUAUGAAUAGCAUUUAUCUGUCAUAAAAGAGUAAAAGAAGUAGGUAAGGGGAGGAGUACAAUAAUAAAGAACAAGUAAUGAGACUUAGAUUAUUAAGACAAAAAUUACAAUUCAUUAAGAAUCUCAUAUAAUUUGGGCCCACAUAUUACAACACCAGCAAGAAGUUAGAAAUCACAGUCCAAUCUAUACAAAUACAACACUGCAUAAGCUCAACUAAAGAGCUCUCUAAAACAGUUUUUUUUUAAUUUUCUUUCUUCUUCUUUAAAUAGCUCAACUUAUUGAACAAUUAAAUUGGACUCCCACAGUAAUUAUUGUUUAAUGUUUAUGCUUUUGGUUGUUUAUAUAUUAAAACUAGGUGAUUGCUUCCCACGCAAGGCAUGGGAACUUUAGACCUGUUAGUAAGGUUGUAUUUGUUAUUGUAAUAUUUUUAAUAUUUUAGAUGAUGAAAAGAGUGAUGUGAUGUGUAUCGUGAACUUGGGCUAGGAGUGAAAAGGAGUAUUAGUCAAAAAUAUAUUAGUUCCAAGAGUAGUCAUGUACUAAUACAAAGGAUACAGCCAAUGCAGUAAUGAUGAUUCACAAGAAAAAGGAAAGCAUGAUAUUUACAUAUACAACAGUAAUUUAGUAUAGAUGAUUCAAAAGAAAGAGGCUCCUUUGACGUUCAAAUACAUUCCAUUAUCAUGUAACAACAACUCAGAUGACAAUGAAAUAAAUUCACAAGUACCAAUCACUUGGUCAUUACUGCAGUAACAGUUAAUGGAAGUAGCAAGAUAUUGCUACAACUUGGUCACAUGCAAAUUUUUUUUUUGUUCUGGGUUCACAAGGAAUGAAUUCAUAAAUUAUGAAGCAGCAAAAUAAAUUCACAAGUACCAAUCACUUGGUCAUUACCACAGCAACAGUUUCAAUACCAACAGUUUCAACUUUCUUGAGACAAUCAAGUUGCAUCUUAAGUUUGCAAAAUAUCAAGUUUUACAUGUCCAUUAAAAAUUUUAAAAAGUACCUUUGCUUUCAUCACCACCUUUCCGGCUUAGGAUACCUCCUUGAACACCACCCCCAUAAAGCCACUGCUUCAUCUGGUUUUACACUCUUGUUGGGUUCCUUUCCAUCAAAGUAGUCCUUGAGAAGUUAUUGGACUUUUGGGAUCCUGGUAGCCCCACUAACAGGAACAAUUUCAUGCAUCUGGUGGUUCUCCAAACCAGCAUCCCCCAUAGCCUUCUUGACAAGUCCCAUGUUUUUGCUAAAGAGGUCAUUGUUCAACUCGUCAAAUCAAGCAUGAGUCUUAACUUGCUGCUGGCUGCUUAAAGCUCUUUUGGCACGGUCAGCUUCCCUCAGUUUUCCAAGUGGUCUGUUGUGGUUGCUGAUGUUCUUUCCAUGUUUCUUGUUAAUCAACUUGAUGAAAUAUUCUAUAAUCCUUUGAUGAAAGCCUUUGCCUACAAUAAAACAGAGCAAUUAGAACCAUAUGAAAGCUUUUUAUAAGAAAUGUAACUAAUAAAACUUAUACAAGAAAUUGGUUGCUUUAAUUAGUGUAGUUAGAUAAACUUUUUUAAUUCGUAGUUAGACAGGCAACUGCUGCUGCUCUGGGUUCAUUGAUAGUCCUAGCAACAUUCAGCCCAGCAAUAAUACCUGCAUUCUUUGUUGCCUGCCUCUGGGCAUCACUGAAGUAAAAUAUGAUUCAACGAGUAACUCUAGAAAUUGAACUAUACCGGGAACAGUUACCACAGCAUCCUUAAUUUUCUUUGCAAGGAAAGCUUCAGCUGCUUCUUUCAUCUUAGUUAAAACCAUUACACUAAUUUCCUCAAGACUGAAGACUUUAACCUUACUAUCCUUAAUUUUCACCUAGAUAUAAGGUUUUCCAUCCUUGUUCACAAUCUUACAAGGAACGAGCUUCAUAUCCCUCUAAACUUCAUUAGUCUCAAUCCUGUUAUAUAACAGUUAAGACUUCAGUGAGCAUAUGUAUACACACCAAAAUGUUCCAGCAAAAAUGAUAAAUACACGAGUGUGCCUUACUUUCAUCCAAUAAAUCUCUUGACAUCAAAGAUAGUUCUUUCAACAUUAACAUCGAAUCAGUCUUUCGCUACCAGCAAAUGCAAUCCAUGAUGGCUUAAUACGAUUCCUUGGUCAUUUGCUGUGAUUUCAACAUGACCAUUUUUGUAAAUAUGAGCACAUGAAUAGGUAGUUCCAAGAUCUAUUCCAAUGACUAUUCCCAAUUUUGCAGCUUAUUCUUUGGUGAUGGAAAUUGUAGAUAGACAGCCUUUUGCACCGAAAAAUAUUAUUGGAAAAAGUAAAACUCUUAUGUAUAGUUUUUGAGAGAAAAAAACUAAAACACUGCAGGAUGAAGCAAUUCCACACUCAUGAUGAAAUCCACAAUUACUCGAGCAACCGUGGGAUUGAAGAGUUCGAAGAGCUUGCUCAAACAUUGUGGUGACCAUCCCAAGAACAAGUGGAAAAAAUAAGAACUCAUUUAAUUUCAAGAAAAUGAAAUGAACAUCAAGUAUCAAACUAACAAACAGUGCAGGAACAGAAGAAGGAUAUGAACUGCGAAGAACAAUCUGAUAGAUAGCCUAGUGGUUAAUGGUUUUUUUUCCCAUCUCCCUUUUUUCUUCCUUCCCAAUCCUUCCUUGCUAAAAAAUGGCUUUGAAAGUAUCAAAUAGUACCUAUCAAAUUAGCGAACUGAGUUAGUUUAAAGAAGAUCCUAUAAUAGUUAUUCUAAAAAUCUUUAGUCACUUGCUACGUGAGGAGGGCGUGGCAGAUAAUAACUCUUUGUUUUUUGGCUCAUUUCGAAUUGAUAUACUUUUUGGCUUAAUUGGAGAGAACUAAUUUGAAUCAUUUCCAACCAGUUUACAGAUAAAAAAAAUUUCAUUUAUGAAAAUGAAAUAGAAAAAAUAAUAGCACAAAAACAAUGAAAAUAGACAUCAAUGGCUAGUAAAAAAAAGGUGUUCUUUUAUCAUUGAAAAUUAGGCCAAUGCUGAUCAAUGAGCUAUAGUUGUUUGACUAUCAACAGACAUAAUAUCAAGAAAUUACGAGAGCUUUUUUUGCUGUAACAUCAACAGGCAUAAUAUCAGAUGUGUAAUCUUGUUUUACCAGAGUUUCUGCCUAUACAGUGAUAAUCUAGCACAUUAACAGGCAAAAACAAUAAUCAGGCAGACAGUCACUGAAUCGAAUAAUCAGGUAGCUUAUUUUCAUUGAGCACCACCUUGCCAUCAGAUGAUUUUCAUGAAUCACUUAUCAGCAUCUUUGACUACAAGAAUUAGUACCUUUUAAUAGAUCAGCAGAAAGCCGCAAGAUUUUUCCAAACUUUAUCAACCACGCUGCAUAUCACAUGAUAUUAUUCCCAUUCAAUUGUUGAUGGAGGCUUGGAAGUAAUAUCUUGAACAACUCGAUUUACACCACAUACACUAUUGCAUAUCUUUCUUGCAACAACAUCAAGGAAAUUGUGUUCAAAAUUGUACCAGUCAGCAGUCAUCCCAUCUUGAUUUGUGACAGCUCUCAAUGCAACAACAUGAGAAUGUGUUCUUUGAUCACCUUGAACUCCAACAGACCUUAUGGGCAAGAAAACAGCAAAAGCUUGCUAUAUUUUAAAAAAAACAACCAAACCAAAUCAAACCAACCUUUACUAAUGAUUCUAAGAAAAACCCACUUCAAUUUUGCCAAGAAACAAAUUGCAAAACAAAUGAUACAGGAAAAGAAACAUCCAACUUCAUAAAACUAAACAAAAAAGCCAUAGAAAACAACAGAAAACGUAAAUGGAGUUUGAAAGUGAUAUUCUUAGAGGGGUUCAAAUGCAACUAAAUAGGGACUUAACUGAAUGAAUUAUGGAUGUUUUAGGGUCGAAUUAAGUUCAGGAACUCUGGGGCUAAAUUACAAAAAAGAAAAUGGAAUGACCGGAAUUGCAAAUUUAAGCAAACGAUCGUCUUCCCCAAGCAGAUUAGGCAUCAAUCUUCUAUUUAGACCUUCACUCGGGCAUUUUAACAAACAGUACAUGGGCAUAGAAGGAUCCAGCAAUUUUUGCUCAAUUGGGACUGUAAUUAGCCCCCCAAAAUUUGUCAAAACACAAGAGAUUUCAGUCCAAACAACAUACAAUAGCAUACAAUCUAAAAUCGUUAGCAAUCAACAUGAAGUUGGCACUGAACAAACGCACGGCAAACAUGCUUUGAGACUUUUCAAUGUUCAUACUAAAAAUGGAAAACUAAAAUUCAAAGAAGGCAGACCGCUUAUAGCGUUUGCUUGGCGAAGUCUGCAGGCGAUGGUGAUGGUCGAAGGAAGGUGCGAAUGAUCAGGCGGCUAUAGCUGCCAUGGUAGCCACGCUGGAGCUGGGCGCCAGUGGUGGGUGGCAACAUGAAAUCGAGGAGCGACAGUGAGAGAGAAAGGUCGUGCGGGAAGGGGAGAUGCGUCAGGCAGCUAGGCGGCGCACGAAAUGGAGGUGCCGUGGCGGAACUUGGAGGCGUCGGAAAUUGGAUGAGAGCAGAGUGACGGCAGCUAUGGAGAUUGCGCUCUGUGAUGGCCGAUGAGCGGCUGUUGCUCUGUAUUUUCUUUGUGUCCCCUCUAGGCCAAGACCUUUCUCUGUUUCUGGUUUCACUUCCUCAAUCACCAGCCCCCAAAUGAAACUUUAGUCUUUUCCUUCGUUCCCCUGCCGACGACCCCUUUUCUUCCUUGACAGCUAAAAGAUUUUGGGCAGAAAUUUGCAAAAAAUAUUGUAGAAUAUUAGGGAUUUGGAAAAAUUGGGGAAAAUGUAUAGGAGAGAGAAAAAUGAACCUUUCCAAUGAAAACCUUGCCCUUUAAUGCUGGACAGCCAUGGUGAUGCUAGUGAGAAGCCAGAGAACGGAUUUGUUGUGUGGGUGAAGGUAUCAGGUGCCGUGUGGAAGCUCUGUUUUGUGCUCAGUGCAGAAGCUUGUUUGUUUCAGCUCGGUGAAAGUUUGUGUUGCUCAAGUGUUCCGUUGCUUUAACUCAGACCAAGUGUUCCGUUGCUUUUCUUUUCAGAAUGUGUUCCGCUGCUUUGGUCUUUGCUUUGCUUUGGAUAUUGUUUUUGUUGCGCGGCACUUUCACUAUGAUUUGAUCAAAAUUUUGACUUCACUCAUUUUCCCUCCAUUUGAUACCAAAAUUCAUGUUUUUUUCUGGAUUUGUAAUAUGGUUUGAACCAUAGAUUUUAAUGCUAUAGUAUUAUUCUUUAUUUUUUAGCAAAAAAUAAAAAUUUUCAUCAACAUAGGUGGCAAAAUUUGUUAAUUUCAUAUAAUUGAAAAUGUACUUUUAUAAUUUGCUAAUAUUUUAUACUAAUUUCUUAUAAUUGCAGCACUAAAGAACAUCAUGUAAUUCAAAAUAAUUAAACUCAAAUUAUAUCGUUAUAACAUAGUUUCAAUAAAAAUAAUCAUUUUCCCAACAUUUGAGACCAAUCAUCAUGCUUUUUUUAUUUUUAAUUUGGUUUGAAGCAUAGAUUUUAUUGCUAUAGUAUUAUUCUUUAUUUUUUAGUACAAAAACACAAAUUUUCAUCAAUAUAGGUGGCAAAAUUUGUUAAUUACAUAUAAGUGAAAAUAUACUUUUAUAAUUUGCAAAUAUUUUAGCCCUGCAAUUUUUUAUAAUUGCAGCACUAAAGUACAUCAUUAAUUGAAAAUAACGAAAGUCAAAUUCUAUGGUUAUAACAGACUUUCAUUAAAAAUAAUCAAAUGCUAUUAAUAAGACAUUAUUGUUAAGUCAAAAUCAAAGAAAAUUUAGUGAUGACAUAAUGUUAUCACUAAUUUAUUCAAGAUUAUAAUGACAAGAAAAGUCGUCACUAAUUAAAUUGCUAGUUUUUAAUAUUGUCAAUUGCUAGUUUUUAAUACUUUUGUGAAAAUACUGAUAAUGGUUGAGAAAAUUUUGUUACAUUACUGCAAGUGAUAAAUGUACUUUUGUUCUUUUUCAAACAUUUAUUUUAAUGUUUAAUUUUGUUUAAAACUAUUGUACUAGUAUAGAUUUGCAAAACAAAACUUAAGUUCUCAAUAGUUAAAAAAUUCAUUACAGAGAAAACACAAAGUAGUAGUUGCAAAAUGUGUAUAAAUUACAGAUAUUUUAAUGUGUAUAAAUUACAGUUUAUUUUAAUAUUUAAUUUUGUUUGAAACUAUUUUACUAGUAUAGAUUUGCAAGACAUAGAUUUAUGGGUAAUUUUUUUUUUUUGCUUUCACAUAUUUAAUUUAUGUUAAAUACAAAACCUACCAGUUUCCCUUUCAUAAAAAUAUUAGUGCAACACUUUUUGAAUUUUACUUACAAACAUUUAUGUAUUUAACGUAAAUUAAAUGAUUCAGAGUGAAAUGCCCAUAAAGAGCAGAAUAUUUAUUCAUGUAAUGGAGGAAACCCACAAGGAGUUGGUACUUUAUGGGCCAUUUCUUUUUUUAAAAAAAUUUAAUUUAUGUUGAAAAGAUAACCUGCCAGUUUUCGUUUUGUAAGAAAUCAGUGUAAUACUUUUUGAAUUUUACUUACAAACAUUUAUAAAUUUAUCAUAAAUUAUAUGUUUGAGAGUAAAAUGCCCGUAAAAAGUUGGUACUUUAAAUAGAUAAUGCUCAUUUGCCCAUAAACUACACUCCCUAAAGGCUAUUUUGUUAAUUAUUUUGUAGUACUUUGUUAUUCCUUUGCUAAUACUACUUGGCAUGUAGUACAAAGGAUAAAUCUGGCAUAAAUUUCUUAUUCCAUUGAUAAAAAGACCUGCCUGCCUUAUAACUAUUGUAAUGAAAGAUAUAUCUUUAGAGUUUAUAACAAAUUAUUACUUAAGUUUGAGAAAAUUAUAAAAUAUUUAUGCAUAGUUUAUCAAGAUACCAUUCGCAAUUUCCUAAUAAAAAAAUAGGGGCUAAAUUGUAAAAGCUAGGGUGCCAUAAUAGAAAUAAUAAAAUUGGUGUAUUACAUAUGGGGGUUAAAUUGCAAAAGUUAGAGUGCCAUAGUAGAAUUAAUAAAAUUGAAUUAAUAAAAUUGGUGAAUUACAUAUGGGGCUAAAUUACAAAAAUUAGGGAGUAAUAAUAGAAUUAAAGAAAUCGGUGCACUACAUAUGGGGCUAAAUUGUAAAAGUUAAGGUAUCAUAAUCGAAUUAAUGGAAUUUUUUACAACAUUUGGGGCUAAAUCGCAAAAGUUAGGGUGGCACAGUAGAAUUACAGAAAGUGACUUAGAAAUAAGUACUUUAAACAGUGACGAUUAAUUCUUGUCACUAAAUCCAAAUCGGUAGAGUGACAGUGACGAUAUUAGAAGUUGUCACUAUAUAGAUCAUUUUAGUGACAACUUUUUCAAGGUCGUCACUGAACACUUAGUUGCUUUGAGCAAUUAUGACAACUUUCCUUGUCGUCACUAAACAAUCACGUUUUGUGACGAAUUUUGUCGUCACUAAAAAAUGUUGUCACUAAUGACCAUAUUUCUUGCAGUGUAGUUUGUGACGAAAAUAACGGGUCGUCACUAAACAUUUAGUUGCUUUGAUGCAAUUAUGACAACUUUAGGUGUCGCGACUAAAGAAGCUCCUUUUGUGACGACUUAUUGUCAUCACUAAAAAAUGUUGUCACUAAUAAAUUUUUUUUUUAGUGAUCAGUGACGACAACAAAAAGUCGUCCGUAAAUAGGCCAAGCAAUAGUGAUGAUGUUCUUAAUGUCGUCACUAUUGUGUGUUCUAAACACUCCCGCGCUCUUGCUAAAACUUGGCGGGAAUUUACUAAGUCGUCACAAAUGGGUUGGCUCCCAUUAGAGGUUUGUGACGAGUUAGAAAUUCGUUAAUAAAUGAUCCACUUUUGUGACAACUUUUUUUCGUCACAGAGAAAAGUUGUCACUGAUGACCAAUUUUCUUGUAGUGACUACAAGAUCUCCACGGCAUUCAAGUGACUUAGAUGGGAGACUAUACUAAAUUUGCCGAAGCAUUACUAUCCCAAUCUGGUCCGGGAGUUCUACGCCAAUGUGGAAGACAAAUAGAGCCACAGUGGCAACCUUAUCAUCUCCUGGGUUCGAGGCAAGAGAGUGGCUCUCACUCGACAUACAAUCACCCAAAUCGUCAAACUAAAGGACAAUGGAGAAGAUGUUAAAUUGACUAAGGAAUUUAAGGCACGUGAUCCAUGGCAAGUCGGAGAAACUGUGGCACGUCUUAAGGGUCAAUAUCGGGAGUGAGGAAGUUCGAAGAAGCUCAUUGUAUACGCCGAUUCCUUUGAGCAUAGGUACCACCUGAUCUUCUAUCUCUUCGCCUUCAAUGUGGUACCAAAAAGGAGUGGAAAAAGGGAGCUCCGAAACGGUGACUUGUAUUUCCUCGAUAAUAUGAUGCAUGGUGUAGGUAGGCUGCUGACUGGUAUUCCUCUGGCCAGCAUCAUCAUCAGUUACAUGCGUACUACAGCUUGCAUGAGAGCCGACGAAACUUGCUUUGGGUUCCCUCGUUUGCUCUCCCUUAUUUUUAAGCAACUCAAGGUUCCUCUGGGAACCGAGUGAGCCAUUGUUACUAGGGCAGCCGAGGAAGUCAACGGCUCAGUACUUAGGUCCUUAGGUAUUCCUACGGAUUUUGGAGCUUCUCUGGUACAGGAUGUUGGAGAAGCAUCGACUUCAGCUUAGCCUCCAGCUCACACUGAACCACACCAGGAAGCUCAAGAGAUGGAGGCAUAGCAGACUCUCCCUCCUCCCAUUCCACGACCACCCCCUCCGCAAUGAUCCAAGUGGCAAGAGGCCCUCAAUGCCAUAUGCUGUAUGGAGACACGAGUCAUCAAGCGCAUUGAUCAGACGGAGCGGCUGAUGACGGAGCGACUAGACAGGCAUGAUCGCCAUCUUCGAGCGAUCGAGGAUCAUUUCCACAUUCGCCGCUCCCCUACACCGAUUCCUAAGCCAAGGCCCGAUGAGGGCAUGCAGAUCGUGAGGAGGGUGGCAGCAAUGCAGAUCAUGAGUUGGGCGGCAGCACUGAAGCGACUGAGCUUGGCGUCUCCUCUGCAUAAUUUACUUUCUUUUCAGCUUUUAUUUAGUUUUUCAUCUUUUAUUUUCGAUUUGGUGUUAACUUUUUGUUAUUUUUCUAUUUUUCUUAAAACUUGUGGAAUGGUCUCACUCUCUAUGGAUAUAUAUUUUUCCCUUCAUACAGAAUUUGGCUAGUAGAAUUUGGAUGAUCGUGAUGAUCGUGGUUUCAAAUUGCAUCACUACUUCUUUUGAGAGGAGUAUUAGUUUCUUUUACCUUCCUCUACAAUGAGGACAUUGUGAAUUUUAAGUGUGGGGGAGGGAUUACUUUAUCUUAUGGGGUGAUUGUGUUUUGAAGUGCAUGAUUUUAGUUAUUUAUGGCCUAGAAAUGUUGGAAUCAUAUUUGGAAAUAUUGUCAUGAAGAUAAUUUUCUUGAAAUUGAGGCUGUUGGCAGGGAGUUUUAUCCAUAUAUAUGGGGAAACUCUGUCAAAAUUUUUCUAAAAUAUUUUCCAAUAUUUCAUUGCAAUUCUUUCCAAUAAUGGCCGAAAUGUUCAAUUUUAAAUGUCUAAUUCUUCCAUUGGAUAAAAUGUUAUAUAUAUUUUGGAAAGUUUAGUCCUUAUUUGACUUGGCAUUAGUCAUUAUGCAAUUAGGAUUUUACAUUUUAGAAAGUAUAUUCGGUUAAAUAAGGAAAAUUAUGCUUAGAAUUUUGCAGGUUUAAUGAUAUUUCUCAUUUUUACUUAAUUUUAUAAGUAAGUGAUUGAUAUAGUCAAAACAAGGCCAGAUUCAUCCUUUAAUUAUGCUCAGAGGGAAAUUGAUUAUUAAAAAAAAAAAUUCUACUCCAAUGAUUCGCAUACUGAGUAACCGGGGGUUAGCAUUUACAAAUGUCGACAUUCGCGUAAAAAGGUAUUGGAAUUAAAAGUAUGCCUAGCAAUUUAAAUGAGUGAAAUGUUGAGUAACCGGGAAUCUUCACCUAAAAGUGUAGAUUUUCACGUAAAAAGGCAUUGUCACUAUUUAAGUAAAAUGAAGUAUAAAAAAUCCCUCUCAGUUAUGAAAAUUUUGAUGGAUAUAUGAUGAGAAAUGCCAUAGAAUUGACUAUGUGAUUUACUUAUUUGUGAAAUUAGGAUAGGAUGAGAGAUUGAGUUGAAAUUGUUAAAAUUAAGGUAUAAUUAUCUUUAUUUAACUUGAUAUUAUGAGUAUUUAGUGUAAUCUGAGAAUUGGUAUAAUGAUUGGUUUCUAGGUUUUGAGGAACUAAAAUUGACAAAAGUACGUAUAUUAUUUUAUCUCUUGAAUCAUUGUAGUAAGUUAUGUGUAAAAUUGCUUGAGGACAAGCAACGAUUCAAGUGUGGGGGAAUUUGAAAGAGAAUAUUUAACGUACAUUUUGUACAAGUUUGGCAUGAACUUUUGGUAUGUUUUGAGAAGAUUAAAACCAUAUUUGCACUCUUUUGGUGAUAAAUAUUUAAAUAUUGUUUAAGUGUUCAAAACUUGAUAAAUGAGUGGAUUAAUACGUUAAUUUUGUGAAAUUGUGAAGGAUAUUGAUAUAUGAAAUUCAUGCACGAGAUGAAGGAAAUGUAAGGAUCGUCCAGAGGAUAAAGUACAAAAGAAACUAGGAGCAAAAGUGAAGAAAAAGGAAAGAAGUGAAAAACUGGAAAUUGAUUAGCACGGAUCCGAGUUUGGAUCCGUGUGAACAAAGGGCGAUUCGAGCCCUCGUCUGUACUUCUGGAGCAGUGCAUCCAAGGCCAGACGAUCCAAGCUCGGAUCAUUAAGAGAAAGGCCUCGGAUCAGUCUUGAUCCGAGCUCGGAUCGUAGUGCACACCUCGGAUCCAAGGCUCGGAUCUACCUCUCUCUUCUGCAAGUGGCACAGCCAUUUUUUCUCAUUUUUCACACAACUUUUCAGCUAUCUUGGGUGAGAGAAUUCGGUGGCACAUGUUUCUGCAACAAAAAGGAAGACAAAAUGAGUUAUUGACAAGUCAAAACAACAUUUCUUUUGACUUUCUUUACAAAAUCUGAGUUGUUGGAAUCAUGAAGGAGAAGAAAGUGCCUUUCUACCACCUUUUAUGCAGAGAACCAAGAAGUCAGGCAUCACCAUAUGGAAGGAGUUUUUCAUCUUGUAACAUUUUUCUCUCUAGCUAGAAGUUCUAAAAACAAGCACUUGGAGAUUUCACUUGUAAUUAUCUUGUACAAGACAUAGCAGAAAUUUGAGGGUUUCAUCAUUAAUUGGCUACGCUUUUCUUUAUCUUUCUUGUACUUGUACUUUAUGAUGUUUUGCAUUAAUAAACUUGUGAGUUUGAUUGUUAUAUCAUUCAUGAGUAGCUAAAUUUCUUUAUCUAGAGAGUAGAUGAAACUUAUGGCUAAAUGAUAUGAAUUGAAUGUGAUUUAAACUUGUUAUAUCUUGUAUUAACUUGUCUAUUUGUGCAGUUGUAAUUACUUGUUGUUGUUUGAUCACCAAUAGCAUGUUUAUAGUUGUUAUUAAUCAAUGAGAAUUGGUAGUAACAAUGGAAAAAACAUGAGUAGAGCUUGAGUUGUAUGUUCAUGAAAAUAGAUGUACACUUAAGUGGAUUAGCUAGCAUUUCAUGAAGGAAAACAGAGUAGAACUAGUAUUUCACCAUGAAAAUAGGGAAAACUGGAUUGCUCUAGGCCAUUUUAUCAUGAGAAUGAGAUUUGGUAAUAUUGGAAAUGAAUCCCUGGUUAAACAACAAUAAUAACAAGAGAAAUUUAUUCAUUUGUGUUGUUUAUGCCAUAAGUGGAAUCUACAUCCCUAAAUUUAUUCUUGAGUGAAAUUUAUCCAUUUGCAUUUAGCAUUUGUUAAACUAGAUUUAUAGACAAUAGCAUUAUAAUUUCUCUACUCAAAUUCAUUUAUAAGUCUAAAUAAUAGAGAAAAUAAGGGUUUAGUACUUGUUUAAAUUGCUCCUCGUGGGAUCGACUCGAUAUAUACCUUACAUUAUGAUUUCGGCCUGUAUACUUGCAGGCAACGGGUAUAAAAUCGGAUUUAAACUUACAUUGAUAUAAAAAUCCCGUCACAUAUGUGAGAUCAAAUUAUUUUACUUAUUUCUUUUAUUCAUUGGUAUUUGUACAUUUUCUGAUUUAACUUCAUAUACUUGUUAUGUUAUUUGAAUGUCAAGGGCCCGAUAUUCGAAUUAACCUAAUAAUCUACUGUUAGAUUAAUUGAUUGAAUCCCUAAUUGUUCAAUUGAUUAAUACCAGUGGCAACUAGCGUGAUUGGUUUCAUGUUAGGGAAACGUAUGAUCUAACUUAAACGAACCCUCGUAGCGUGUUUGUUAAUUAAGGUUGGCUUUUCUAAUUCUUAUUGCAAUUGAGAAAUUAAAUCCUAUAGUCGUACCUAGGGUUAUUUUUUGGUUAGGAAAAUAGUUAAUGGUCGUACCUUGACUAUCGAAAAAGUAAGAAAAAGUUGGUUGUUUAUCGCGUGUAUAACAACUAUAACCAAUCUAUUAAUUAGUAAUUGAAUUAUCUUUGCAUCGAUGAUCAGUUGAAAGGACCAUGUCUGAAAAGUUGCACCUUUGGCUAGAGUUGUAUUGGUUAUUGAUUAAUUCCUGUUGAUUUCUAUUAGUUGUUUCAUUAGUUGAUUAAUUAGUUAUUUUAUAUUUUUCAAAAACCCCCCAUACUUCGGACUCUGGAAGAAAUGAAUUAUCCCCAGUCCCUGUGGAUUCGACCCUACUCACCGCUAUAUACAAAUUUGUAUUUUUCUUGAGUAGGUAAUUAUUAUUGCACAUGUUCAACACCUGUCAUUCUAUAACUGUAUACAGAGUCAUCUUUUUCAAAGAUUUCCCAUGCUGCAAAAUGUACUCUACGAGCUUUAUUUCAUCUUCCUCCCCUAUAAAUUGUCUGAUUCCAAUAUGCCUAAGAUGUUCAACAAAGCGUAAUGGGAAAACUAUUUGGAAAUGUAGAUUCCAGGUCCUUGUAUAUGCAAAGUCCUUCUUACACAACUUUACAUAUUGAGAAGAUCAAAAAUUGCAAAACAUAAUAAUACUUGAAAUUAGUGAGAAUAUAUCCAAAAGAAACAAAAUAUUAAUACCUGAAAUCAGGUUUUACAAUCUGUGCACAAAAAGCACCUAAACCCAAAUGGCCCAUGUUGGAAUAGACCAAGUUUAGUUCAACUGCAGAAAUUCCUAGUACAAUGGAACUGCAACUUCAACUUCAGUAAAUUGCAAGCUGAUAUUAUGAUUCUAUAAAUCCUAAAAUCUCCCCCAAGUCCUCUUGCCUCCAGCACAAAGUAUGUACAUAGAUGCUGACCUGUUCUAUACACUUGUAGGUAAAUUCAAAUCAGACGGCAUUCAAUAGAACUGCCUUGAUUUGGCUGCAUAUUAGCACUACUGCUCUUUAAAUCUAACUUGAUUAAGCUGCACAAAAAGGGAAGAUUACAUUCGAUGGAGAAAUUUUACUGAUUGCAGAUGAAAUAGGGGCUAAAAUCAACUAGGAAAAGCAGAGAAGUUAACCUCAACCGACGAGGAAACAAGAUGCAAAAGUCAGAAGUUGUUAGCUUAAACCUCAACCGAAAGAAAAAUGCAAUCUUUGAUAUUAAACACAUAACCCACAUAAGUUAGCUUCACAGAGUCCAGAAGGAUGGUUGGAACUCAAUUUUCCUAAAAUUGUGAGGAAAAUAAUGCAAUCUUAGAAAUCUAACACAAAUAAUGGUAAUAAAAACACACAAGAAGGGUAUGAAAACUUACAAAAUGGCGCCAAAAUAUAGAUCUAACAAUAUUUGAAGCAAAUGGAUGAAGCAUUGAAGUUGUUCUAAGAUUUUUGGGCAGCAAUAAAACCUAAGCUCCUUCACGUUUAGCAAUUCUUAGGAGAUAGACAGGAGGCGGGUCUUCUUUUUUAGCAAUUCCUCAGAGGUCUCCUUCCCGUUUAGCAAUUCCCGCAUAUGUUCUUCUAUUUUUGGACUAAAAACCACCGAUGUUGGCCUUUGAGAGAAGAACAGAUGCGUGCUUCUCAAUUGACAGAGACAAGAGAGGACCAACCUUUCUAUGUAUAUAUCCCUCAGCCUCUAACAAGCCUUUGAAUUUUGAUGGAAGGACGUUGCGGGAAAAAUAAAAUUCUUGGAGGGAAUAAAACGCGCGUCCUAAAUUCUGAUUUAAGUUUUGUUGUUAAAAGUUUCUAAGAAUUGAAGUAUAUUAUAAUAUAUAUAGAAUAAAUAUUGAGUAUUAGAAGUAUAUAAUUUGAAAGAAAUCAUGUGAGGACUCGAAAAUUUUUAUUAUUUUAAAAUCCCUAAUUUUGGCUCAAUUAAUUAAUUAUUUGGAUUUUUAUCACGAAUAAUAUUUUCUAGCCUUAUUAGACCGAAGUACAUGGUUUUAUAGAUUCGUUAUAUUUUUAAAGCACCUCAUUUCAAAAAAUUAUUAUUUUUUUUAAAAAGCUUGUUUAGCGGAAAAGUGAAAACGUGUCUAAACACUUUAGCCAAUUGGGAGUACAAUAAGCUCAAAAUUUGAGACCUAUACAAUGGUCCUAAAAUAGACAAUUUUAGGUUUAAUUAUACAAGUGAUAGCUAGUGGUACAAUCGUUAUAAGAAUUUUUCAAAGGUUUCAAUUUUUAUUGCGCCUAAAUUAGAAAUACGUGUUUGCACGUGCGCGCUUAAUUGAGGGACUUUGGACCAUUAUUUUGGGACAAUUAAGAAUGGAUAAUAUUUAUAUAAAUGUAAGUACCCUAGAGGUUUAGUGCACUAGUGCAACAAACGUAAGAGAAAUCGAACACAAAACGCGCGCGUAGGGUACUAGUUAUAAUUGAUUUGACGUAUUAAAAGAUUUGACGUCAAGCGUCUUUCGUACGCAAAGGCUUCAGAACCGCAGCUUCAUUUCAAUCUCAUUUCAUUUCUGCAAAGCUUCAUGGACGGCUAGACAGCAAGAGACAACCGAGGCUUCACCAUUUCUUUCUUCCAAAACUCAUCCAAAUCCUUACCAAAACUUCCAUAGAUUCUUACCAAUCUCCACAUUCAUUUAGCUUUUCACUUGGACGGCAACUUAGCUGCAAAAGGAAGGAGCUAUCCACGGUUUCUUCAAGCUUCAAAGGGGCCGAAAAAUCUGUCCAAACCAGUCAUCAAAGUAGGUACUAAUCAAGCACCUUGAACUUGUCUUAUGGAAGUUGAUCUAUGCAUUUGAGUUGGAAUCUUCACUAUAGUAGCUUGUAUUGUUGGAAACGUGGGCUCUAUGAACUCCCACUUUGGGUUGAUGGCUGUGAUGAUGUUUGAUGAUGGUUUUAUUGCUGAAUUAGAGCUUAAGGAAGUAGAUUAAAGGUGUAUUGUGGACAGAAACGUUGUUGAACUCUUGAAGUAAAAAGUUCCCAUUUUACCCCUGUUCUGUUCGGUCAUUUUAAUGCAGAAACUGAGGAUUUAAUGGCCUGAUUAUGUUGAUUACAUGUUGCAAAAGUUGUGUACAAAAUUUCGUUGGAAAAUAUUGAGUUGUGGUUGAUCAAACGAAUUUAUUUCAAAAACUAGUAAUCUGGAAAACGGUUUCGCCGUAAUCCAGACCAGUGUUUGUAUUUCGUCCAUAACUCCGUACUCCGACUUCGAAAUCAAGUGCCGUUAGCGGCAUUUGAAACUAGACGUUCCCAUGUUUCCAACGGUGUAUAAUGGACCUUCUGGUUUCGUGUGUGUGAGCCACACCAUUCAUCUGAAGUCGACUGUCCUGUUUCUCCGUUCUGCCGAAAUGAUUUGAUGAUGCUGCAACUUUAGGCUUGAUUUUGAACCAGUUGCAUGCUGAAACUUAAAACGAUUUCUUCUGUGAAGUUGUAGCCCUAUGAAUCUAUUUUCUAACACUAUCAACCAUUUCCAAUUCCGAGUUAAAUUGAGGGAGUUAUGAUCAAUACACGGCAACUGCCUCGUUUUUGAAAACCUUAGUUUUGGACCGGCUCAAUCCUGGUAAUCUAGAACAGCAACUUUAGGCUCAUUUUUGAAUACCAUCCACUUAGAUUCAUGGAAUGAUGUCUUCUAAGGACUUUUAGUACUUUUGAAGACGAUUCCAACGGUACCAAAUUCAUCAAGUUUCGAUUAGUAGAAAGAAAGUUAUGAUUUUUCAAAGAUUUGACCAAAAAUCAAAAAUUCUGGAAUUCCAGAGGAAAUCCGCGAAGGAACAAUUUUACCAGAAUCCGGCCUUGAAUCCGGCCAGUUUCUGGACGGAUUGUCGGCCGGAUUGGUGGUCAAAUUUGAAAAAAAGGGAGGUUACCCACGGCCAGAAAUCCGGCCGGAUAUCCGGCCGGAUUGUGACGUGGCCAACCCUCCUUCGAUUUCGAUCGUUCGUUUUGCAAUCCUUUCGCUCGUACUCAAUUCCAACCAAUGAUUUUAAGGAUAAUAAUCCGAUUUUCACUUAAGUCCUACACCCUUUUGAGAAUCCAACUUAAUAAACAAGUCAAACGAAGUUUUCAAAUAUUUCCGAACCUUACCCGUGCCCAAUCUUUCUCACCACUUGGGGACCUAUAAUAAUUGUCUACUAUUCGAUGUUCAGGCACGCACGAGGACCUCCAAGAGGAUCCUACCGUGGAAGUUUGAACUCUCCCUCCAACCUACUUACUUGCAUAACUGGUGAGUGUCAAGUGUAUGCCUACUUGAACUCUAAAGUCUUGAUUCAUGAUUGACUUACCUGAUUAUAUGCUCGGUCUAUUGGAUUUUGAAAAAUGGAGUCGAGUGUGUACUUAAUCGCACUCGUUCUCAUUUGGAACAAAUGACUCAUGUUUGACAUGCUUUGCAUGGUUUAUAUGACCUGAAAUACAUGUUUGAACCUGUCAAAUGCUUGAAUUUAUGAAAUGGUAUGCUAUGAUUGCAUACGUCGAUGGAGUGAAUCUCCUCGACAUUUACAUGAUACACGGGGGACGCCCAAACUCAUAGGCCGACCUUGGAACUCGAGCCGGCAUGGGCCUGGUCGGGAACCUUGGUGAGCCAUGAGAAUUACAUGAUAAGCUUGAUCUAUUUGAGAGAUCUCGCUUGGCAUACUCGUGAAGUAUCGCCUUAUAAGUGUCGUGCGGGCCCGAAGUGGUGUAUGGUGGACGGAUGAGAAGUAAGUGGUGAACUACGGAUAUGAAAAUAUCAACCUGGUUGACGGAGAGUCAUCACGGGGAGAUAUACAAAUGACAUCGGCAAAUGUGGAACUUAACUCCUGAGAGCUUCCAUAUCCUUGAAUUGUUUCUGGUUACAUUUUGUCGGCGUUAUUACUUACUUGCAAGUGAUUACCUGAAUUGUUAUUUGGGGCUUGUUAUUUGAAUUAUGUGUCUGCAUGUGUGUUCUUGGCCUCACGAGCGUUUUUGCUCACCCUGUAGAUUUGUUUUCCUUAACAGGUUUGAACUCGGAGGUAAAAUGGAGAAGCCCUCUGAUGUACUUUUGUUUAGGGCUUGUUAUUACUUUUGGUUAUGCCUUUGGUUUUGAAAUUUUACUUUUGGUAUGGAAAUGUAACCCUUGGACGAAAUGAAAUCUGUAUUCUGACGUGUGGUUUGGUGAAUGGAUGACUAUUAUUAGGUUUGAAUACUUCCGCAUUUAUUGUAUUUAAGUUAUUGGCUUUUGUUGUGUGGUCCGGCUAUAACUUGAAUGGAAUUGCUUGAGUCCUGGCGAGAGUUAGGCAGGCGUUCCGCGGAUACCCUUUGGUUCGCCUUAGGGAGAAGUGGGGGCGUCACAAAUCAUGUAUGAGAAAAUGAAACUAAUGAAAAUAUUCAUGUGCAAUCAAUAUAAUAAAUUGUCAUCUUUAUAAUUUUUAAGUUUGCAAUUCAUAAAUAUGGUAACAAAUAAUGUAAUUCAUGUGCAAUCAAUAUAAUUAUAUUGUUAAUUAAGGUUAUAAUUGUGCUAUAUAAAGUAUUUGGGACAAUUUGAAAAAUAUCGAGAAAUUUGGGACUACUUAUAAUAUAUUCAAAAUGUAUUUUGAUUAAACUAUACAACUUGUCCUUUCUUGUUGUAAAUCCAAGUUCAAUUAUGGAACAAUAUACAUGGAAAAGUUGACCUUAUAUGUGUAUAAAUCAUCUUAUUAAUAAAAUAAUUAAACACAAUACAUUUAGUUAACUAUGAUUUAGUGAUUGAUUAUUACAUCAUUUUUUAUAUAAUACGAUAAUUAAAUAUUACAUAUAUAAUAAAAUGUUUCAAAUAUAUUUUAAUUGAUCAAAAAAAUGGUAUACUUACAAUAAACAAAUAAUUAAAGAAAAUUUUGAGAGUAGAAUUUUGUGCUAAAAACGUGUAUUUUGGGUUCAAAUUUAUAACCCACCACUUAUCCACUUAGAAUUAGCAAAAGUAUUAAUUCAUUUCUAAAUACUCUAAACCAUACUAAUUUAUUAUAAUAAAGACACAAAACACUAGCUCCAUGUGAUAACCUAUAGCAAAAAUCAUCUAUUCACUUUAGUAAAAUAUAUGAGUCAAAUUUAAAGAUUCAUCAAAUUUUCUAGGUUUUAAAAUUGGGGUGCGUUAUUUACAUGGAUUUAAAGCUGUCUGAAUAUAGUUUACUACGCAAUAAACGGCACUCAAUUUCGAGUUUUCUACACAAAGAUAUGGCCAAAAUACUAAAAUUAUUACUUAAUUUUUUGAAAAAUAGUAGGAUCGUAGGAUCAUAUGAUCCGGAUCACGAUCAUAUUGAUCUUGUUAAUUUAAUGCUAAUUUUUUAUCCUACUUACAAUUUGGAUCGUUAACCAUGAUCCGUAUCGUAGGAUCGUAGAUCGCGAUUCUAGCAACUAUGGUUGUAGCUAAAAGUUUCUAAGAAUUGGAGUAUAUUAUAUAAUAUAUAGAAUGAAUAUUGAGUAUUAGAAGUAUAUAAUUUGAAAGAAAUCAUGUAUGUGAAAAAUGCAACUAAUGAAAAUAUUCUCAAUAUACAGCUGAAAAAAUAACUAAGUUUGAUAAAUUUGCAUUUAAUUUUUAGAUAGAAGUUUGUUGUAUGAUAUGUAAUUGCCAUUUCUUGAAAUUAUUCUUCACUCUUAUACCUUCACUAAACUUCAAAGAACUUAGCUACACAUAAAAUAGAAUGAAAGGAAUGCUUUCAAGUGUGCUAGUAAGUAAAUAUUUAUACUAUAUCUGUGCUAAUACGUGUCCAUAUGUAUAAUUCAAAAGUUUUAUGUAUUUCAUAUACGAAUAUCUUUUUUCAAGUAACUGCAUAGAACACUUGAUAGGUUGUAUUUUUGCCAUUAAUUUUAUGAUUAUUUCCCUCUUUAUUUUACCAAAUAUUGUAUUAAUUGAUAGAUUCUACUUAUAUUUGGUGCUUUAUGUUAAUUAUAGGACGUUGGGGUAAAAAGUGCUAAAAAAGGGUGAUUUUCUUGGAAUUGAUUGUCACUCGCAAGUUUCCCAAUUCAAGAUGAAGUCUACGUGGAUUAUUUGUGGAAGAUUAGGAAAUUACCAUUUUUCUUAGAUAUUUUAUUUAGAAAACAAUUGGCAUUAUUCUUGGAGUUACCUUUUUCAAUUGACCCGCUUCCGAAGUUACUUCCUUCGUUAGAGCUCGUUUAUCGUUGAUUUAAAUUUAAUCUGUUUUAGUUUAAUUAUUUUCAAUUUGCAUUGAUUAUUUAUUUUUAAUUGCAAUUUUCCAAACUCCCCCCCCAAUUAAUUGUCACUUGGAAAGAAGCAAAUUUUCACUCAAAACCUUGAGUUUAUAUCUUUUUGAGUAGGAAUUUAUUAUUACACAAGUCUGACACCUGUCAAUUAACACAAGGUUUCAAGCAAUGCACAGUUUCUUUUGUACCUAGAAUAGCUAAUGUAGCAAGUCAUAUGCUAGCACAUUUUGCAACAUAACUAGUUUAUGAUAUAGAAUGGGUACAUGAUUUCCCGAUUUGACUAAUAGAAGGGUGAAUGCCCCUUUUUGUAAUUAACUCUUGCACUUCAAGUGUUAACAUAUAUACUGAUUGUUGAAAAAAAAAGGAAAGUGUUUAUUUGUUUAAUCAAAUAGUUAUGGUAGUGUUUAUAUAAUUUCGUAAACAUUGAAAGGUAAAUGACCUCGUUGAAUUUGUAUAAUUUGAUUAUGUUGAAGAAACAUAUAAUCUUGGAAAAGCAGAGAAAUUUUCUAGUAAAUAUUAGAUAAACAAACAAGUCAUUAUUUUAUUUUGAUAGCUAAUCAUUGUUCAUAUCAAUAUACUAGCUAUAAAGUUAUACUCGCAAUACUACUAUUACGGUAUAAAAUUUCUUGUCAGAGCAAUUUAUAAUUUCAUCCCAUUUUUACCGUUGACUGUUAACCUCAAGUUCUUCGGAUAUCCAUGGGACAGUGUAACCCCUUUGAAGGUCAAUUCUUAUUGUUGAUGUGGCGUGUCCCACAUCGGAGGCUGCAUAAGGAAGUUUUCUUCCUUUUGUCCCACAUCGGCAAUCAAGAAGGAAAGCCUCCCCUUGUUUACCUAUAAAUAAGGGGGCUUAGUGGUGAAGAAAAGUGCACCACUCAAGAGAGUUAUAUGAGCUAUUAGCUUUUUGAGUCAUUUAUCCCAUUUGUAGUCAAAUGUUUUAUGUUCUCUUGUUUUGAGUUUAGGAAUAUUUUCUAAACUUUUUAUGAGUGCCUUUUGGCCUAGGAACCACUUUUCUACGGCUUUUGUAUAUCUUCUUCAUAGUGAAAGAUUUGCUCCUCCUCUGUCCAUGGACGUAGGUUAAUUUGACCGAAUCACGUAAAUUUCUGUGUCUUUUAUUUUGUUUUGUUAUUUGUAUUUAUUGGGUUGCCACAACCCUUUUAUAUGGUCAGUCUUACAGCCUAAAGUAUUAUAUGGUCGAUUUUAACUCCUAAACAUUAUAUGGUCGGUUAUACCGCCUACUUUGUGCUAACUUCAGUUUGUUUAUUUCUGGACCAGUUCUAACACUUACACCCUCAUCAAAGUUUCUGGAGUUGCGUAUUAUAGGGGUGCAAACACAAAAACGAGACAUUCUUAAUCAGAUGGAGUUCCUUCUUUUUGCGAUUCAUUCCUCUGCAAACCUCCUCCUCCUCCGAUUUUAAUAUAUGCCACUGUUAAAAUAGGAUACUUUUGUGGGUUUAAGAUUAGAUCGAGACGAACUCUUUUGUGCAAAACAUUUGCCCCAGGCAUCGUUACUACAGAGUAUGUGAUCCAAUUACCAAUGUAAGGUCACAAUGUUAGAGAUGUGAAAUUAUAUUGCAAUGGUCCCUAAAAUCCAACUUGAUCGAUAGGAAUACUAAUUAGGUGAAUACGAGGACUGUGAUUCGACUCUCGAUCUUUCCUCUCAAAUUACAGUAAUAUUUUUAAUCAUACACUCAUCCCCUUACUAACUUCCUAUGGGCCCAAUAUGUUGAGUAGAAUUCGAUUGGAACAACCGAAAAGAAAAGAAAAGAAAACAAAUACAAAACAAUGAAAUAGAGACUUAGUUAGUCAAGUUGGAAGCUAUGAGGAAGUGAGGAGCACAAGUGCGAACAGAUCACCAAGGAAAAAGAAACAAGUUUUUCGAGAAUGCAAUUUGAUUUCAAGCUCAAUCAUAUUCUAAGAGUCAAUGAUAAGAUAGAAAAAAUGUAGGUCCAUUGUUAAGAUAUAGACGGAGAUGGUUGCUUAUUGAGCGUUGGAAGUAUUUCAUAUGCAAGUUGUAAUUAUAUCUCAACUUGUAUAAUUUUAAUUUAAUAAGGUUAAAUUAAUGACCAUGUCAAUGAUUUAUGCGUCAUGCAUGACAUUCUUUUUUCUUGUACUCUCCCAAAAGCUGAAAAUUCUCGUCUCAAUCUCCUCCUCCACCGAUGGCUGCAUGUCUGUACAUGUUUCCCCACAACAAGAAUAAUGAAUCAAUUGCCAUAAUUGCACGCAUUUAAAUUUUCUGAGCUGGUGAUAAAUUGCAUAGUUUUGAUUUUUUUCUAUUUCCGGUUCCCACUCUAGCUACUUCUAGAUUUAUUAAUUGGAAAAAAAAAGAAGAAGGAAUAAAUUAAACCUUAUUUAAUUACUUUUUUAGUCAGGAUAUCUAUAGUAGAUGUAAUUAUCUCUAUAGAAAUGAAUGAAGCAUCCUAGCUUGUGAUCAUUAUCCUCUGUUGCAAUUCUCUUGUUCAAACUUCAAGUUAAGGUUUGUUUGCUAAUUUAAUGGAUUCAGAACUUAAAUUUAAUGGAUUCAAAUCUUAAUAUAUUCAAAUGCUUUUGAUAACCAAAACUUCAAUAUCUGAAUUAAUUAAGUGACACUAAAUUUUCUAGACAAAACUUACUCCUAAAAAUAAGUGAUAAACUAUUUACUUAUCACUUAAUGUGAUAUAUACUCAAAUGUAUCAGAUUUAGUACAUAACAAUUUAAUAACUUAAAGAAUUCAGACUUCAGAUUUCAGUUUUAUCAAACGCAUCUUAACUCAGUGCAAACUGAAUAUGAAAUCCAAAGUGGAAAAUCCAAGAGGUUAGAACUUUGAAACCAUAGGGCCUCUAGGCAAAUUCAGCAUUUUUACAUUCUACUGAUUUAGGGCAUCUUCAAUUAUCAGUUUCAACUCCAUGGUAUAAUAUAGAUAUUACCUCUAAUAGUUGUACACACUUACGCAACAAAUAUAGAUUGUGAAAUUAAUUGUAUAAGUUUGAUAUUUUGUAGGUUUUGGGAUAUAAUUUUCACGUUUAGGAAAAAGAAAAUAUGUUAGUAAGUAAUAAUGUGAUACCCCUUGUCCCACGUUGGAAGUGGGAGAGGAAAAGGAUUGAUAUAUAUACAAGAUUUGGUCGCAUAAGUUACUAGUUACUUGGGCUAACCAUGUCGGAAAGUGUAUUUCGACACAAAAAUUACUUAGGCCAACCAUGGGCUUGGAUGGUGAUAAAUAACUUACUAGAAGCCAGGCAUAUUUAUGUUUAGAUGUCCUAAAAGCAGAGUAGUUCAUAAUCUAGAUAAUGGUAACGAUAUGAUGAGAAUGUGAAGUUAUUUGGUAAACUUUAUAGAUUAAUAAUUUCAUCAAAGCAUCAUAUACAAGCAUGAUGACACAAUCUCAACUUUCAUUCUUUUGUUAAAUCUUAGUUUUUUUCUCUUAAAUUUUUUCGAAUAAAGGAAGGAUGGAAUUUAAGCAGUAGAGGGUGGAAGGGGAUUUUGAAUUCAAAAUCUCUAAUUUCUAAGUUUUUCCCUAAGCAAUCGUCAAAAUAAAAAAAAAAUUUAAAAGAAAAAAAAAUGAGCACCUCAUGGUCAAUGCUCCUGUUCGAAGAUUUAUUCCUUUGGUUUGUCAUCAUCUCCCUCUAUGAAAUCUAAGUACCCUUGGUUGACAAUUUGUUUCCCUGAGCAUCCAUCAACACUUUUAUAUAGUAUUUUUUUUAAUAUAGUAUUAGAUUAGAUUAGAUUAGAUUAUCAAUGCACCAUCAAUAUAGUAUUAGAUUAUCAAUGCACCAUCAAAACACUUUUAUAUAGUAUUAGAUUAGAUUAGAUUAUCAAUGCACCAUCAAUAUCCUUAAAUAUAAAAGCUUAAGUAUAGUAAUCAAAAUACUGUUAGUAAUCUGUACGAUUAUUUUUUAUCCUUUAAUGUUUUAGUUUUAGGAAGAUCACAAAUGCUGCGUAUAAAGCAUGCCAUAGGCUAAAUUAAGCUAAAUUAAGUACACUGCUAAAAUGGAGAGCAUUGCUAAAUUAAGUACCUUAAGAUAAAGACAUAAGCAGCCAGAUCCAUUUGAUGUCAGCUGCUUCAAUAUCCACCUCAAAAUAAAUUAGCCUUUGUUCUAGAUUUAGCUUAAUGCUAAGUCCCUUCACCAUUCUUAGUAAUAAUUCAAUUCUGCCUCAAUUUUCUUCUGAUCUUCAAGGUAAAUGUACGAUAAAUUUCAAAAUAUAUCCCAAAUAUAUGAAUUUCUUGAAACCAUCCUUGAAUCUCAUUACCUACUCAACAAAAUGUUCCAUAAACAUAAAGAAUUGACGAGAACAACAGGGCUCCUUAGAUUUAACAAUUUCAAAUAAGCCCAAGCUAGAAUUUUUCAUAUAUUCAAACAAGAAAUUGGAAAAAUCUGACUAGCUUGCAACGAGUACUACAUCUCAAGACAAAGGAUCUUUUCAGUCACUCUUUUAUUGUAUCGAAAACCUACUUGCAUCUAUGAAUAAGCAAUACUGUGUGAUUUUAGAUGUGAAGCUAAUUCCAUGUGGUAGGACAACUUUGGUUUAAAAAAUAAGGGCAGUCCAAUUCACUCAAUACAAAAAAUAUUUUUAAAUGAUGAUAUUCACAGGAACGUCUAUCUUACUUAAACAAACAAACAAAAAAAAAACAAUAAAAAGGAGAUUGAUUUAGAAAUGUCCGGAGACUUGAGACAUGGACGCUUCAUUAGUCAAUAAUAAUAAAGUCCGGAGACUUGAGACAGGGACGCUUCAUUGAGACUGUUGUGACCAAUUCAGCCCAUAUAGGUAAAAGAAAUGGAAUAAAUCGACAAGAAAUGGUGUCAUCACAUUUUAUUCCACAUUUACCCUUAUAGACCCUAAAAGAAAUAUUGUAACAUAGGACAAACUUUGUCGCUCCGAAGUUGAAUCACUUUUCUAUUCUAUAUACUAAACUUCAAUUUUGGACACUUUGCAUCUGGUUGGAGGCAAAAGCACAGGAAAGCCCUUUUUGAAUGGAAAUAGCAUAAAAGUCUUAGUGAAUGAACAAAUUGAAUAGACCAUUUUGCAGAGCUGUGAGAUAUUCCAAAGCCGUGAAGCACAGUGAUAAGCUACAAAUUAUAGUGGUUUAUAUUUAUUAAUUGUCAAUGAAUGGUUGUAUUUGAGCUAUAAUUUGAAUGGAUGUUGCCUAAUUUAAGUAUAUGUUGGUUUUUGUGGGAAAAGCACGCGAUUGAGGAGGAAAUGAAUCGAAAACGCAACAAAAGGGGAAGAAACGUUGGGUUGCCAAGACACAAGGAUCCGCGGGUGGAUCCUGUGUCCGACGCCAAACAUUGAAAGGGACUUUGCGAGGACUUCUUCUAGUUCUAAUGAUUGGAAAACCCACUAAAACUCGAUUUUUGGCAAGUUUCAAGACCCAUUCUUACCAUAUUUCGGAUACAACUUUCAAGACCCAUUCUUAGUUCAUCAUUUUUAUAUCUUCUUUUCUUGAGAGAUCACAAUGGAAUUGUUGAAGAAUCAAAGGAAGUUCAAGAUGGAGAUUGGAGCGGGGAAAAAUUAAGAAGUUUUCUUUACUUUUAACUUCUUAUUUUGUCUUUCAUUUGAAUUCUUGGAUUUAUCUAUGAAUAUGUUGAACUCAUUUAUAUCUAAAGUUAGGAUUUUGUGAAGGAGAUUUAAUUAUUUGUUCUAGAUAAAUUAUUCGCUUUUGCUUAGAUUUAUUUAUCUUGCCUUUAUUACAUGUUUAUGUUUUGCCACUAUAGAUAUGCUUUUAGGAUUUGUAUUGAGUUGAGAAGCGAUAUACAACCGUACAUUAGAUAGAUAAACAUACUUAGUAUAAUCAUGAAAGUAGGUUAAACAUUGUAUGGCAUAAUUAUAUCACCUAAGAUUUUAAAAGAUUUAAUUAAAUACUUAUAAUCUGAAGAGCAUCGUGAGAUUUAUUAGACAAAUUUAGAAGUAUCAAGAGAUAAUCUAAAGUACUUUUACGUGAUACGUCUUUGACUUGUCAAGAAAAUAAUUGGAUAUAUAAUUCCAAUUCUGAAUCAAAAUUUGAAACUCUGUUUUUUGCUAAUUGUUUUCUCACCCAUAUCUUGUUUGAUUUGAUUAUUUAUUUAAUUUCUUAAUUAGUGAUUAAAAACCCUCUGAAUUUAAAUUUUGUUAUUUUUAUUAGAGGAAUUAAAGUAUGAAAAAUUAACUCACUGCUGCAGGUUCGACCCUACAGUACUUCAAGGGAAUUAUUAUUACGAUCGACCCUGUACAGUUAUAGAAAUUCAUCGAUCACACAGCAACUAAAAAAAAUUAAUGCACAAUAAUGUCAUGAGCAGAAACAGUUCGCAUCUUAGCUGUUCAUCAUUCACGUAGAUUUCAAUUAGUGGUCAACAAAUAAAGGCAUCGAAAAAAGUAAUCCAACUAGAUAAGUGAAUUUAUACUACAACAUAUUUCUUUUUUCUACCGCAAAAACUUAACUAAUUUACGACAAUGUAGUCCAAGCUAAUUGAAGAUUAAUUUUCCCUAAAAAAUGUUCAUGAUAAAAACUCGACAAAGAGAUAAUACAACAGCUUACUUUUGGAGAUGAUCUUAUACGGUAUUUAUUAACAAACCAAUGAGGAGCGACAAAAUGUACAUAGGUUCCCUCCAUAUAUUAGCCACUUAAGCCUUUUUUUUUCCUUUUGGGACUACACAUGACAAAAUGAGGAGUGAAUAAGUCACUUAGCAUCAAAAAUUUUCCCUCCAUAUAAUUAGUUCAACCUGAUUUAAGACUAAAUUUUUACUAUAGGAAUGUUAGUGAUUCAACAAUGAAACACCAUAGAAACUUAUUUUGGGAGAUUGUCCUAGAAGAUAAAAAAUGAGCAACCAAUCAGAAUCCAUUCAGUCUAAUUAAUUCACCAGCUAUGUAUAUUUCAUCCAUUUUCACAUUAUAGAAAGAACAAUAAUGCAUGGCUUUAUCCAUCAUAAAUUGCUCGUAUAACAUCAAGAUAUUCAUGGUGUGGACCGCAAAUGGCUCGUCAUGUCUACUGGCUACAUUUUAAACAUAUCUUAUGGCCAGAAUGAUCAUCUUAUCAACUUAACGAGUUUAUUCAUAGUACCAUACCAUUAAUUUAAAAAAGUUUCAACCUUUUACCUUCUAUAGAUGUCAAGGAAUAUAGCUAAUAACGCACUUUUGGCAGCAAUCUUCCUUCACCCAAUUAAAGAUUUUCGGAGCUUAAAGUUCAGCUCCUAAAGCUCUUCUCCAAGGCUCACCAACCAACAGAGAAAUUACUUUUAGCAAAGUUGUUAAAUUUUGGCAACAGGUUUUGAUGGCAUCUUGGUAAGAUUGGAAGAUUAUACUGCGCUUCUAAGAUAAUGUUUAAAAAAGCUAUUUUAGUGAGGGCAUUAUGGUCAAUUUGCCCCUGAUGAUAUUGACAUUAGGUCCCAUCAACAUCAGAAGGGAGCUCAUUGUAUUAUUGGAUAUAACAAGGGUGCUAGUGAAAUUAUGAAAACCCCAAGGGAGGUUUUUGAAAUUAACCCUAAAAUACUCAUUCCACGCGAGGCGUGGCGUUCCCCUCCUAGUUCCUAUAAAUAGGGCACCAACUCAAUGCACUUAUCACUCGAUAUCAAUAAUUUAGCACAUUAUUUACAUUUUGAGUGAGAUUGUGAUCAAAUGGCAUCUUCAAAAAAUUUGCUCUUUCUUAUUGGUGUUCUCUUUGCACUUGUGCUCCUCAUUUCCUCUGAUGCAGCAGCUGCAGGUGCCUAGUCCUUUUUUUUUUUUCCUUUCUUCCUUUUUUUUUUUGGCUGCACCUAAACACUUAAAUGAAUGGAGAUUUGGAGACUCAUUAUUGGGAUGUGAAUUUUUAUGGAAGUCUAUUUGCAUAUUAUCUAGCAAGUCAUAUUAAUGUGCUAAUAUCUUUUUCAUUGUUUAGCAAAAGUAAAUUUGGGUUGCUUCUAUCAAUGGUUAGUGGCACAUCUGAUUUUUCAUGCAUCCUUAUAGUAUUGCUGUAAGGAUACACGUUCCAUAGUGUCGCACCAAAGAUUAAACUAACGUUGAAAACCAAAUUAAAUGCUUCUAAUUAUAAUUUAAAGCAAAAUAAUUCAUAUCCAAGUCGCACCAUCUUAUAUGCCUGGACUGUUUUGUUUAAUCCAUAUUCUUUUCUUUGCAUAUAUCUUGCAAAUUUUCAGCCUAGCCGGUCACCUAACGUUCGCAGCUUAAGAUAAAGCUCCAAAUAUUUAUGUCUCCUUGUGUCUUGAAACAGAUCAGAAGAGCAAUAAAACCACUGGUGUCCACGAUGCCAGUUCAGGCGAGGUUCAUCAGGAUAGCAUAAGCGAAGAUCGUUGCACAUAUGGUUGCUGCCGCUGGUACAAUGGAUAUUGCCAAAGAUGCUGUCCACCUCGUGAGAAUUGCAGAUAUGGUUGCUGCAGCUGGUACAAUGGAUAUUGCCAAAGAUGCUGUCCACCUCCUGAGAAUUGCAGAUAUGGUUGCUGCCGCUGGUACAAUGGAUAUUGCCAAAGAUGCUGUCCACCUGCUGGGUAGACCCCUGAAGCUACAUCCGGAGAUGAGGUCAAAAAUUAAUGCUAAAUAAAUAAGGGUGUGACACAGGAUCCGUGACACCUAUAUUAUUACCUUAAUAUGUUAUGUUGUGUUUGCCUUUGAUGGUUGAUUUCCUAUAUGUGUAAAAGACUUGUGCGGCUUCUCUUUGAAUUGGUGUAGAAUCAACAGGGGAAGCAUGUAAUGAGUACUCAGUUCGAGUGCUCUUCUUAUGUUGUUGUCAUGUUGAAUAAAUAAAUCUACUUGAUCAUCUACUGCAAUUGAUGAUCUCUAUCUCAGUUACAUCAGAAACUUCUGUACCUUGGACCUGCUAGAAUUUAGUGUGAUUGAUAUAAGACGUGCAGAAUGUUCACUAUAUGUAUAUAUGUGCUUCUUCAUCGUGCCAUGCCAUUACAAUGUGAAAGAAUUCAGCAUCGACGGAGUGAAACGUACCCAAUCCUGCUCCUGAGAAAGGAAACAAAGUCCCUCAAAAAUGGAUAUUUUGGAUGCCAUCAAGAUUUUGAAUUGAAUGCCAUUUGGAGAUCUGAAUGUUGUUUUCUUUUACCUUUAGCUUCGUUCAAGAUUUUUUUGGUGGAAAUGCUUCAUUUAUACGAAUUUUCCUAGUUAGUAAAUGCUUCUAUUACACUUGUACAAUACACAUUUAAAAGUAUAACACAAUAAAAGCUUGUGUAGUUCAUAUAUUUCAAAAAUAUUCAUACUUUUCAACUAAAUUAUAAAAAUACGUAGUAAAUUCUUGAUACAUUAUACUUUACGAACUAUACUUUAAAUUUUACAAAUAUUUAAUACUAUCACUUAUCAAUAACUCCACAUGUUAAUUUGUCUCCCAAUUCAAUAAAUUAUAGUACUUCCUCCCUUUUUUUAUAACUGACGUUUAAGGUUUUGCACACCAAUUAAGAAAAGUUUUUCAUUGCUUAAAUCUGUACACUACUUUUCUUUUGUACCCUCAUUAAUUGUCCAAUUCACCCAUGUUUUCUCUCACUAGAAUACGGAGGGGCAGAUAAUUACUAGGGUUGUUACAAAGAGAGAAGCAAUAAUUACUAGGAGUAGUAAUUAAGAACCCUGUAUUGGAAAAGAGAGAUAAAAGGGUAAAAUUGUGAAAAAAUAAUAAAUACUGUAUGGAGAUAAUAAAACGACAGAUAAAAGUACACUAGAGCAAAUUUUUUAAACGUCAGUUAUAAAAAAAGGGAGGGAGUAGCUAAUUCUCAAAGCUAACCGACACCAAAAUUCCCUCACUUGUUCACCUCCUAGUGGAUUUAUAUUAAUUACAUUGCAUUUAUUUCCUAAGCAUGAGUUUUGUAACCCCUCAUAUUAAAUCUCAACGAUUGAUUUUAACGGUUACCAAGGCGUCUAGUAAUUGGUUUGCUAUUAAUUUGAACUAGACAUUUAUUAGGUCUAGUAGAAUUUAUUCCUUCUUAUCACUUAGUUCAUAAACCUUAUGAAUCGUUAAAACCAGCUCUAACAUUAGCUAACAAGACUUCUACCAUUUCGGGUUUUGCUUAGAAAUCAGUCUGAUAGUUUAACUUGCUUCGUCCAGCUUUAUGAGUUGCUUUUUUUUUUCCAUAUUUGACAUUUCACCUAACUUUAAUAUGGGGACCAAGUUAGUAUUGUUGACAUUUCAUAUCUAAGACCAAGUUAGUAUUGUUGACAUUUCAUCUGACUUAGUUAGUAUUGUUGACAUUUCAUAUCUAAGACUUCUUAAUUAAUUGAUUUGUUAUAAGAACUAUAACGUAUGCGUGUUUUGUAAGCUUUCAUGUUUUUUUUUUAAUUCUUGUGGACCAGCAACGGAUAGUUUCUUCUAGUACCAAGCUUCCUUUGAAGUUCUUUAUUAUUAUUAUUUUUUGCGUGUCCAAAUGUAAAUUAAAAGAACCAACAACUUUGAACAAGUCUAUAUCUAGUAAAGAUAGAUAUAAAGAGGGAUACUAUAUCACUGCAACAGAAAAGGGAUUUGGCGAGGAGCAAAAGUCCACGCCAAUUAAUUUCAGCGAGAAAAAUGCUUCCUCGCCAAGUUUCUUGCUAGAUGCUCAUCGCAAAAAAUUAUUAGCGAGGAUGCUGCUGCUUUUCUCGCUAAUGAAACAGAUCAAUAGCAAGGGUUGACCUCCUCGCUAAUAGCUCAAAUACUAUGGCGAGAAAAACUUUUCUCACCACUAAAGUUAAAAACUCCCCACAAAAACCAGUAGUUCCUUGCAAAUAGUCAAGGUGUUUUGCUAGGAAAAAUGGCGCAUCCCCACCAAUAGUAUAGAAUUAGCAAGAAGUCUUUUGACAAAUCUGCAAUGCCCCGCGUACCAGCAAAACAUUUUUGGCUAGGAAAGUUUCCUCUCUAAUAAGUGAUAAUUGAUUAUUGCCUAACUGUUUGGUGGGAAAAUGUUCCUCUCCAAUGCUGUUAUGAACAUUUCUUAAUCCCAUUUUAGCAUGCUAAUCUUAAUUCUCUGAGCAAAUUACUGGGUGGUUUUAUUAGAAAAUUUAGCUGCAAAUAGCUUCAAUUUGGCUUCUCAUGUGUCUGUUGUACAUUUUCCAGGUUCUUAUAAGUAUCAAAUUGUUUGGCAAAAUUAUUUUUUUUAAUGAAUCAUGACCAACGUAGCUGCUCAUUAAAUUUAAACUCAUAAGCCCUGCUAUUGAUAGCUUUUUGGAAUAUCACUUGGUGCCAACAAACCCCAUUUUGCUACUUUGAUAAACAUUCAAUAGAAAACAUACAAAAGCUUUGGUUAGCUAAAAAUAAUUGCUAGCAAAGUAAUACAUCAACAUCCAGCUCUUUCAACAUCUUGAGCCAUACAAUAGGAAGUGCUUGAAAUCAAUUGGCAAUCCAAAUUUUUUUUAGCUCAUUAACCAUCCAAGAAAUCGCAACUUCAAUAAGUCAUUACAAAAGAAGAUUUCAUCAAGAGAACACCACAAAAAGGAGAAGCAGAAAAAAAAUAUAAGAGAGAGAGAGAGAGAGAGUUAAACUAGUCACAUGGACACAUAUUUGUCACCUCAGUAUUUCCGAUUCCUUAAUUCAGCCCAGUUAUCUUGGAACUCUAUCGGCAAUCCAUGGAACAUUUUUUGAAUGACAAUAUGCUGUUGCAACCUUCUGAUGAAAACUUCAAAGGUUCUAUGAUAGGUUGUAUUUUUGUCAUUAAUUCUAUGAUUAUUUUCCUUGUUUAUAUUACCAAAUAUUAUAUUAAUUGCUUGAUUCUACUUAUAUUUAGUAUUUUGUGUCAAUUGUAGGAAGGUGGAGCAAAAAGUAAUAAAAGAGGUGAUUUUUCAAGAGUUUUCCAAUUCAAGAUGGAGUUUACGUGGAGUAUUGGAUGAAAAUUAGGAAACUACCACUUUUUAUUAGAUGUCUUAUUAGGGAACAAUUAGCAUUAGUUGGAGAAGUUUCCUUUUACAAUUAGAAUUCUAUUUUUAGUUGGCCAAUGGACAGCCGAAGUAGUAGACUUCAAUUAGGAAACAAAGAGAGAAAAAAGGCCGGAAUCUCUCGUGAUUACUACCUUGGAGGGACAAGUAAAAGGAGACGGCCGCUGGUCUCUUCUUUAGUGAGUAUUUAGGGAAAAACCAAUGGUUAUCGAUGGAGUCAUGCGGAUCUCCCCUGAGAAUGUGUAGCUAAAUCUUCGUUUUCUAAUCGAAUGUCAAUUUGAGGACUUUGUUCCAAACAUCUGUGAGAUCGAAUUAUUUUACUUAUUUCUUUUAUUCAUUGGUAUUUGUGCGUUUUCUGAUUUAACUUCUUAUGCUUAUUAUGUUAUUUGAAUGUCAAGUGCCUGAUAUUCGAAUUAAUCUAAUAAUCUUCUGCCAGAUUAAUUGAUUGAAUCCGUAAUUGUUCAAUUGAUUAAUACUAGUGGCAACUAGCAUGAUUGGUUUCAUGUUAGGAAAACGUAUGAUCUAACUUAAACGAACCGUCAUAGCGUGUUUGUUAGUUAGGGUUAGACUUUUCUAAUUCUUAUUGCAAUCGAGAAAUUAAAUCUUAUAAUCGUACCUAGGGUUAUUUCGCGAUUAGGGAAAUAGUUAAUGGUCGUACCUUAACUAUAAAAAAAGUAAGGAAACACUGGUUGUUUAUCGUGUGUAUGAUAACUAUAACCAAUCUAUUAAUUAGUAAUUGAAUUAUCUUUGCAUUGAUGAUCAGUUGAAUGGACCAUGUCUGAAAAGUUGCACCUUUGGUUAGAGUUGUAUUGGUUAUUGAUUAAUUCCUGUUUAUUUCUAUUAGUUGUUUCAUUAGUUGAUUAAUUAAUUAUUUUAUAUUUUCCAAAAAUCCCCCAUACUUCGGACUCUGGAAGAAAUGAAUUAUCUCCAGUCCCUAUGGAUUCGACUCUGCUCACCGCUAUGUAUAAAUUUGUAUUUUUUUUGAGUAGGUAAUUAUUAGUACACAGGUUCGACACCUGUCAUUCUAUAACUAUAUACAGAGUCAUCUUUUUCAAAGAUUUCCUAUGCUGCAAAAUGUCUAUGAGCUUUAUUUCAUCUUCCUCCCCUAUAAAUUUUCUGAUUCCAAUCUGCCUAAGAUGUUCAACAAAGUGUAUUGGGAAAACUGUUUGGAAAAGUAGAUUCUAAGUCCUUGUAUAUGCAAAGUCCUCCUUACACAACUUUACAUAUUGAGAAGAUAAAAAAUUGCAGAACAUAAUAACACUUGAAAUUAGUGAGAAUAUAUCCAAAAAAAACAAAAUAUUAAUACUCGAAAUCAAGUUUUACAAUCAGUGCACAAAAAGCACCUAAACCCAAAUGACCCAUGUUUUGGAAUAGACCAAGUUUAGUUCAACUGCAGAAAUUCCUAGUACAAAGGAACAACAACUUCAACUUCAAUAAAUUGCAAGCUGGUAUUAUGAUUCUAUGAAUCCUGAAGCUCCCCCAAGUGCUCUUGCCUCCAACACUAAGUAUGUACACAGACGCUGACCUGUUCUAUAUACUUGUAGGUAAAUUCAGAUCAGACGGCAUUCAAUAGAACUGCCUUGAUUUGGCUCCAUAUCAGCACUACUACUCUUUAAAUCUAACUUGAUUAAGCUGCACAAAAGGGAAGAUUACAUUAGAUGGAGAAAUUUUACUGAUUGCAUAUGAAAUAGGGCCUAAAACCAACUAGGAAAAGCAGAGAAGUUUCUUAAAUAAAUAGGUAUUUCUGGGCGUCAGUGGCUAUGUUCUUUUGCUAUUCAAGUAGAAAUAAGGAAAUGAAGAUUUGAAAUCAGAGUUCUUCACCUGCUUCCCGUAUUGCUUUUAUCUCUUUCCCAUUAGUUGCUUUAAAGAAUUAAAGAAAAGUAGCAUAAACGUUACUCUUGCGUAUAUAUUUUUUCCUUGUUUCACUCUUACAUGACAAGGGUACAAAACCUAAUUGAGGGUAAAGGAUAAACAUGUCCAAAUGGAACACUAUUGGAAGGACUGUCCUCAAUGCCUAAACAUUGAGGUAGUUUGCUAGGAGUGCUAGAGUCUAGACAUAAGAUUUGUAGCAAACCGAAAAAAGCAACCAAAUGAACGUGUUUCUCGAUCUUCAGGCAUCAUUUAGCAUUUGGAUCCUAGCUAGCAAAGACAGUAGUAAAUCAACUAAUAUAUCUUGUUGAUUGCACUGCAUUGGACAUGCGCCAAGCUAAAAGUUUUGUUUCUUUUAUUUAGCUUCUUCAAUCAAAUGAUGAGUAUCUGAUUUGCAAUUUGAUUUCAGCACUAUUCAAGGUUGUGGAUCAUCAUCGAAUGUGGAACUGCAGAAAAGUAAUUCAAGCAGUUGACUAUUAAACCACACCGCUCUCUGCUCAAAAGUCUUCGGUGCUCUAUUUUGAACAUGAAGCAAUAAUUGGUCCAAUAAAGAAACUUCCUCGCCUGAUCCGCCAAAUAACCCCCCCCAAAAAAAACACACUCCGACUUCCCCUUCCGGCCAUCAACGCCUCCAUUGCUCAUUCCCACCAAAUGCUCUAAUGUCAUUCCCUUCCUAGAAAGUUGUUCACAGGGAAAAGAGCGAGAAGAAAAAAUACUAUCUAUCUUAAUAAAAGGUCGAAAGUAGGUACUACUAGUUUUUUGUUUGUACACCAAACCAGCAAUUGGUGGAUUGGAGAAUCAAUAAUAGUGUGUGUGGAUCCACCGAGUUUCUUAUAGCUGAUAAUAAUUAAUAAAAGAAAGAAAAUCCAAGCUCAGAAGCUGCUCCUCAUUAUCUUUCUCACAUGAGGGCAUCUUAACCUCCCCCAGACCCAGACCAUUUUCAUCCCCAUCCAAUUGAUUGCAGAAACCAAUAUAUUACACAUACCCACUAACCCUACUUAAGUACUAGUGUGAUGUAUAUCACUCAAACCCCCACCUAAAACUGACGGCACCACCAAAUCCUCCCCCCACGCGAACUCCGCAGGACACCCAGAUCCGUGAUAAAAAGGGAGGAGAGAAUUUAGUUGUCGAUCAUUUGAGUCGAUUGCCUAUUGUCAAGGAUGAUUUUAUAUUGAGGAAAACUUUUGCGAAUGAGCAACUAUUUUCUGUUAAUCCCUCUCUUCCUUGGUAUGCGAAUAUUAUUCAUUUCUUUUUUUCUUUUACAGAAACAUUAGGAAAUAUAUUGAUUUCAAACCAAGCUAUACAAACUUGAGCAACGGCCCAAAAGGAUAUUAUUCAUUUCUUGACCACUAAUCAAUUGCUUGCACAUUGGUCAAAAACAAAAUGAGAUAAGCUCAGACGUGAUGCUAAAUAUUACUUAUGGAAAGACCCCUAUUUAUAGAGGCAAUGUGCAGAUCAAAUACUACGCAGAUGUGUAAGUAAGAGUGAAUUUAAUUCUAUUUUAAUAUUUUAUCACUCUUAUGCAUGUGGAGGCCAUUUUAGACCACAAAGAACAGCUUGUAAAGUAGUGGAAAGCGAUUUUUAUCGGCCCACAAUUUUCAAAGAUACACAUUUGUUUUGUAAGUCAUGUGAUAGAUGCCAAAGGAUAAGAAAUAUUUGUCAUAAAACUUAGAUACUAAAAACCCUUAUGAGUUUUUGUGAAAUGUUUUAUGCAUGGGGUAUUGAUUUUAUGGGUCAAUUUCCUUCGUCUUUUGGUUUCCUUUACAUCUUGUUGGCCAUAGAUUAUGUGUCCAAGUAGAUAAAAACAAAAGCCAUCGAGAACUAAUGAUUCUAAAGUGGUUGUAGAUUUCAUUCAAUCACAUAUUUUUGUUCAUUUUGGGGUAUCACGAAUUAUAGUAAGUCAUCGAGAAAAACACUUUUGCAAUAAAAUGAUGGCGGCUGUAUUUCGUAAAUAUGGAGUGACUCAUAAGGUAUUUAGUUCUUAUCACCCCCAAACGAAUGGUCAAGCGGAGAUUUUGAAUAGGGAAAUUAAAUAAAUAUUGGAGAAGAUGGUUCGCUCCGAUAGGAAGGAUUGGAGUUCACGAUUGAACGAUGUACUCUAGAUUGAUAGGACAGUCUAUAAGACUCCUAUAGGUAUAUCUCCCUAUAGGUUGGUAUUUCAGAAGUCGUGCCAUUUACCAGUUGAGCUCGAGCACAAAACAUAUUGGGGGAUCAAGAAAUGCAACAUGGAUCUUGAUGAGGCUGGAGUAACAGAAAACUUCAAUUACAAGAAUUGGAAGAGUUGAGGAAUGAAACUUACGAGAAUGCAACACUAUAUAAAAAGAAGAUUAAGGUUUUUCGUGACCAAUAAGUUGCAAGGAAAUCAUUUGUAGUUGGGCAAAGAGUUCUUCUCUAUCAAUCUCAUCUAAAGCUCUUUCUAGGUAAGUUGCGCUCUCGUUGGGCUGGUCCAUUUGUUGUGAUUAAUAUUUUUCACUAUAGUGCAGUGGAAAUUCAGAGUAUGCAGAUAGAUAAGAAAUUUGUGGUUAAUGGUCAUUGUUUUAAAUCCUAUUAUGAAAGUGUUUCAAUGGAGAAGGUGGAGAUAAUAAAUCUUGAAGAUCCUACUUAUGCUAGUUGAACAAUAUUCGACCAUGUCUAAUCAAAGACGUUAAACCAAGACGCUUAUUGGGAGGCAAUCAAAUUCUUUUUUUAUUGUUUGUUCACUAAUAUUAUGUGUUUCACUAUGUUUAUCUUAUAUUUUUCAAAUUUGGCAUUUAUUUUUCAUUUUUAAUUUUUUUUAGUUAGAAGACUUUUCCCAACAAAACGCGCCCACGCGUUAAGGGUAUGUGGUAAUGCACAAAUAUCCAAUUCCAUCAUCAGAAAACUAUGGACCAACAUGACGUGCCCACAUUUUGAGGGUAUGUUGUAACUCGUAAUUAGCCAACUUUAUCAUAAAAAGUGUUUCAACCAAUAAGACGUGCCCACGUCUUGUCCUAGCAAGGGAGAAAAAACAAAUUGAACCCAAAAGAAUUUUUUUUCUCUUCUUUUUUUUCUUUCCUUUUUUUUUAUUCUUUCAUAUGCCUUUUCCCUUUUCUAUUUCUUUUCCUUUCCUUCUUUCUUUCUUUCUUCUUUCUUUUUUUCUUUCUUUAUUUCGCUCUUUCUUUUCCUCAGCUGCACGGCCAAAACUCUACUUGCUGCUUGCCCGUAGUUCAUCGCCCACCGUCCACUGUUGUCGCAGUUCGCUAGUUUGUCUCUACUACCGUUGCUGUCAUCACCGUUCGUCAAAGUCUAUCACUGGUUUCGCCAUCGCCCGUCUCUAGUUUUGCUGUCGCUCGCUACUGUGCCAUUCACCGCUGCUCGCACCGCCCUGAACGUCCAUCCUCUACCUACGACAGCCAUCGCUCCGCACUUUCUCUAUUGUCUUGUUUCUACUGACCCAGUUUUUGGUAUUCUUGUCCUUCUCUUUUAAAUAUUGUUGGGUUGCUACAUCGGAGUUUAUUAGAAUUUCUUUUUGCAGGGUUGAUUUAAUUUGUUGAUUGGGUAUUCCUCGAAUUGUUGGAUUGGCACUACUUGACAUCUGCUUGUUUUCUGAUGAUGACCACUAACUUGCAAUACUAUUUUGCAUCCAUGGGGAUUGAAUGCUGAUUGGAGGUUAUAAACUGUGGUGAAAUUGCCGCUACUUACUUGCCAAUUGCUGAUUGUUGAUAUUGAUAGGGGGUAUUGUUCUUACAUUUCUAGUUUUGUUAUUAAAUAGUGUCACAUCUCUGGGCUCUUUACUGUACACUUUGAUUUGAAAUUGCUUGGCUAUCUUUAGUCAUUUGGCAUACAUUAGAGGCUUGUAUUUCGCUAUUGUCUGAAUCGUCGUUUACUGCUAUUUUUGGAUUUAGUUAUCUAAAUGGCUAAGAAAAAAAAGACCACCAAGGCCAAGACCUCUACGACUAAAACCACUCCCCCAUCCCAACCAACUAUACCCUUGAGUGAACCUUCUACCAUCCUUCUUUUUUGGGUAAAUGGGCAUGCUUAGGUAGGGACAAGGGGGUCCAUAUCUCCUCACUCUUCCACUUUAGGGGUAAUUUGGCUCUCACCAAAGCCGUCGAUAAGAAAAGAUACUCUAAUUAUUAUGAGUGGCGAAUUAUUCCUUGUAAAUAUCUUGACCCUCCCAUCAUGGUUUCUUUGAAUAUCUUUGAGAAUAUUGCACAAAUGUUUACUGCCAUAGGCUAGCAUUCUUAUACCGAAAUAUGAUGUCCUACUUUUGUUGAAUUGAUUAGAGAGUUUUAUGCCACCUUUGAGUUUGAUCUAUCCAUGGGGUAUUCUGUCACAACUUCGAAUGUGAUUCGAUUUCGAUUGAUGGGUAGGGAGUUUAAGUUCUCCAUUACCGAGCUUAAUUUGGCCUCUGGGUUCAUCGAUAAUGAGUAUGCCAAUUCUAGGGAAUAUGCCGAGAGUGCUUGUGAUUAUAUCGACCCAUUUUUCUCCUUUCACACCGAGAUUUUGAAGGACGUUUCUAUUGAUGGUGAUUGUUAUGAUCCUAGCCAGUCAAAGAGCUGUUAUCUCAAGGACCUGAGUUCUUGUUAUAUUCAGCACUUUUUAGUCUAUAAUUACUCAGGUAGGAAAGAUAGUUACAAGACCUUUUCUAAGCCCAAAUUUUUCUUUAUUUGGUGCAUGACUAAAAAUAUCAAAGUUAAUUUGUGCUAUUGGCUAGUUUCCCAAUUCAAGACGGUUAUGGUUAAGAAAAACAAACCUUUGAUUCUUGGGUCUUGCAUCACACAUUUAAGUAUUCAUUUAGACAUUCUUGAUCCCCAUAACCAUGAUUUAUAUUUCGCUUGUAACAUGGACCCCUUAAAUAUGGUUUGUCUAGAGAAAAUGGGUGUAGUGGAAUAGGUUGAUGAAGCGUGGCAGUUUACUCUUUCGGGGCCCACUCAUGUACCCGUUCGUCAUCCUUCCGUGUGUGCUAGCACCUCUUCUACUUCAGGAGUAGCCGAUGGCAAGCCUGGACCAUCUACCUCCGCACCUUCUCCAUCGUCGUCUUGGUAUGCUGAGUGGCGAUACCUUCGUGCACAAGUUCACCAUAUGGAUGAACGGUUGACUAAUCUUGCACUUCGCAUGUCCCAGAUGUCCUAGACUUUUGCGGCUUACUUCCACCAUGUGGGUUUUACGAUGCCAUUCCCGCCUCAUCCAUAGCUGUCCGGAGUCCUUCUCCAUUUUCUUUAGGAAAGUUUCGUUGUCCCCUUCUUUUUCUUUUCUUUAUUUCUUCCAUUCGGGACAAUAUCAGAUUUAGGUGUAGGGGGGAGUUGUAGUACAGUUGGUACUAUUCUUUUAGCUGUUUUCAUUUUCUUUUUAUCAUUUGUGAGUAUUUUUAUCAGAUUUAGGUGUGGGGGGGAGUUGUAGUACAGUUGGUACUGUUCAUUUUAGCUGUUUUCAUUUUAUUUUUGUCAUUUGUGAGUAUUUUUAUGGAUAUUUGGGCUCGACAAUGGUUAGUUGAUUCUAAUUUUUCUAUUACCAAGUUUUAUUUAUAAAAAUGUAUCAAGUGUAAUAUGGGUAAGUCUAAGAAUAGCUCCUUGGUGAAUAUUUGAGAUUUUGUGACUUUUGCAAUUUUUGGUUAGCUUUUCUAGGCAUUGUGCAUAUUUUUCUAGUAUUUUCCAUGUAAAUUGGUUCGAUUAUUAAUCUUAAUUCUCCAUGUUUGAGGAAAUGAUGCAAGAUUGUGUGAUUUUUAAUGUUAUUUUGUUGCUAAUUUGUGAAUAGUAUUGGACUAUAUUCCGCUGGUUAUCGCUACCUAAUAACCGGGAGUUUUCACUUAAAGUGUCAACUUUCGUGUCAAACAGUAGCGGUAGCUAUGAGUAUGUGGCCCUUAAAUGAUGAAAAGUUGAGUAACAGGAUUCCUUCAUUUGGUAGAUGUCAGAAUUUACAUCAAAAGACUUGAAUGGCUAAGGACUAAAUCUUGUCCCUGAAAAAUGAACUAAAAAAAAAAAAGAAAAAAAGGAAACUGUGCGAGUAUGCAGUUGAUUAUGUUAGCCUGUCGAUCCAUGAGUUUAAUGUUGAGAUUUUGGUCAAUAGUUGAGCCGUUUGCUGAUCAAUGCUAGUCAAAUGUUCUAUCUUCUUAGAUUAGUUAGUCAGGAAUUGUUGAAGUCCUUGGUUUUAAAAGCUAACCGAAGAGCUAUUUCGUGGAACUUAGCUAUCAAUGCUUGAUAUAUUCUUUGAUGAUAUUUUGACAAUAAACGAGUUGAGUGAUAAUCAUUGUUGGGAUUCAGUUGCUGAUUUGUUGUUUCUCAUACUUGAGAACAAGUAUGAUCUAGGUGUGGGGGGAAAUUGAUAGGAUGAAAAAUUGUUAUUCAAUUUAUGAUUAUUUUCCCUUUUAUUCUACUUAUAUUUGGUAUGCGAUGCUAAUUGUAGGGCAGUGGAGUGAAAGUUGCUAAAAAGGGAUGAUUUUCUUCAAAGUUGGUUGUCAAGUGCGGAGAUGCGGGAUUUGUGCGCAAGAGUUUCCUAAUCCAAAAUGGAGUCUGAGUAGAGUAGCGACUAGAGAUUAAGAAAGUUUUUCUUCUAGAGAUUUGAUUUAAUUAGGAAGCAAUUAGUGUUAUCUUUUGGGAGUGUUUCCUUUUUCAAUUAGAAGUAGUUUUAUUCUUGAAAGCAAGAAAAUAGGGGAAGGGCCGUUUGACUUUUAGUACUUGACAAAAAGCAAGACGUGGGAGAUGAGAAGUUUUUGGGAGCGCUGGUGACUAGACUCACCGGGAGGAAAAGAAAAAAGAUCCUGUCCUCUUUGUCAUUGCUUUUACUCUCGUUUUCUAUUUUACUGGAUGCUUAUGCAAUUUAAUUCAAUUAAAUUGUGUUGCUUGAUGCCGAUGAUGUGCAACUAAAUUUUGUUUUUCUAGCCAAGAAAUAACGUGAAUUUGGGUUAUCAACAACUGUGAGAUCUAACUGUUUUUAUUAAUUUCUUUUAUUCAUUAGUAUUCAUUUUUUUUGGUUUAAUUGCUUAUGGGUAUUAGUUGUUUGAAUAUCAAAGGCGUUUGAUAUUUAAUUCAACCUAACAAACUAUUACCAGUUAAAAUAGUUAAAUUCACAAUUAUUUAAUUAUUUUAAAUUAGUAGCGACUAGCGUGAUUAGCUUUACGUCAGGGAGACAUAUGAUUUAAUUUAAAUAAACCCUGAUAAUGUGUUUAUUGAUUAGAACAAGACUUUUCUAGUUUCUAAUGCAAUCAAGGAAUUAAAUUUUAUCGACGUACAUAGGGUUAUUUUUUUAUUAGAGAAGUAGUUAACGAGUGUACCUUAACUAUUGAGACACUAAAGAAGAGCUGGUUGUCAUCGCGUGUUUGGCAACUAUAACAUAUUUAUUAACCAAUAAAUGAAAUAAUUCUUGCAACGAUGAGCAGUUGUUUGACCCGCUUCCAGAAUUAUUUCCUUGGUUAGAGCUCGUUCAUCCUUGAUUUAAAUUUAAUCUGUUUUAGUUUAAUUAUUUUCAAUUUGCAUUGAUUAUUUAUUUUUAAUUGCAAUUCUCCAAACUCCCCCCAAUUAAUUGUCACUUGGAAAGAAGCAAAUUUUCACUCGAAACCUUGAGUUUAUAUCUUUUUGAGUAGGAAUUUAUUAUUACACAAGCCUGACACCUGUCAAUUAACACAAGGUUUCGAGCAAUGCACAGUUUCUUUUGUAUCUAGAAUGGCUAAUGUAGCAAGUCAUAUGCUAGCAAAUUUUGCAAUAAAACUAGUUAAUGAUAUAGAAUGGGUAAAUGAUUUCCCAAUUCGACUAAUAGAAGCAGCUAGGAAGGAUGAGUGGGUGAUUGCCCCUUUUUGUAAUUGACUCUUGUACUUCAAGUGUUAAUAUAAAUACUAAUAUUAUCAUUUGUUGAUAAAAAAGAAAAGUGUUUAUUUGUUUAAUAAAAUGGUCACGGUAGUGUUUAUAUAAUUUUGUAAACAUUGAAAAAUAAAUUACCUCGUUGAAUUUGUAUAAUUUGAUCAUGUUGAAGAUACAUAAUCUUGAAAAAGCUGAGAAAUUUUCUAGUAAAUAUUAGCUAAACAAACAAGUCAUUAUCUUAAUUUGAUAGCUAAUCAUUGUUCAUAUCAAUAUACUACCUAUAAAGUUAGACUCGCAAUACUACUGGUACGGUAUAAAAUUUCUUGUCAGAGCAAUUUAUAAUUUCAUCCCAUUUUUACCCUUAAUUGUUAACCUCAAGUUGUUCAAAUAUCCAUGGGACAGUGUAACCCCUUUGAAGGUCAAUUCUUACACCCUCAUCAAAGUUUGUGGAGUUGCGCAAACACAAAAACGAGACAUCCUUAGUCAAAUGGGGUUCGUUCUUUGUGCGAUUCAUUCCUCGGCAAAGCUCCUCCUCCUCCGAUUUUAUUAUAUGCCGCUGUUAAAAUAGGAUACUAAUUAGGUGAAUACGAGGACUCUGAUUCGACUCUCGAUCUUUCCUCUCAAAUUACACUAAUAUUUUUAAUCAUACACUCAUCCCCUUACUAACUUCCUAUGGGCCCAAUAUCUUGAGUAGAAUUCGAUUGGAACAACCGAAAAGAAAAGAAAAGAAAAGAAAACAAAUACAAAACAAUGAAAUAGACACUUAGUCAAGUUGGAACCUAUGAGGAAGUGAGGAGCACAAGUGCGAACAGAUCACCAAGGAAAAAGAAACAAGUUUUUCGAGAAUGCAAUUUGAUUUCAAGCUCAAUCAUAUUCUAAGAGUCAAUGAUAAGAUCGAAAAAAGUAGGUCCAUUGUUAAGAUAUAGACGGAGAUGGUUGCUUAUUGAGCGUUGGAAAUAUUUCAUAUGCAAGUUGUAAUUAUAUCUCAAGUUGUAUAAUUUUAAUUUAAUAAGAUUAAGUUAAUGACCAUGUCAAUGAUCUCUGCGUCAUGCAUGCCAUUCUUUUUUCUUGUACUCUCCCAAAAGCUGAAAAUUCUCGUCUCAAUCUCCUCCUCCAGCAAUGGCUGCAUGUCUGUACAUGUUCCCCCACAACAAGAAUAAUGAAUCAAUUGCCAUAAUUGCACGCAUUUAAAUUUUCUGAGCUGGUGAUAAAUUGCAUAGUUUUGAUUUUUUUCUGUUUCCGGUUCCCACUCUAGCUACUUCUAGAUUUAUUAAUUGGAAAAAAAAGAAGAAGGAAUAAAUUAAACCUUAUUUAAUUACUUUUUUAGUCAGGAUAUCUAUAGUAGAUGUAAUUAUCUCUAUAGAAAUGAAUGAAGCAUCCUAGCUUGUGAUCAUUAUCCUCUGUUGCAAUUCUCUUGAUCAAACUUCAAAUUAAGGUCUUGUUUGCUAACCCAAUUGAGCACUUAAAUUUAAUGGAUUCAGAUUUUAACAUAUUAAGAUACGUUUCAUAACCAAAAGUUGAACAUUUGAAUUAAUUAAGUGACACUAAAUUUUUCAGGCAAAACUUACCCCUAAAAAAGAGCGAUAAGUUAUUCACUUAUCACUUAAUGUAAUAUGCACUCAAAUAUAUCAGAUUUAAUACUUAUAAUAACUUAAUGAAUUCAAAUUUCAUAUUUCAUAUUUCAAUUUUAUCAAACGCACCCUAUCUCAGCGCAAACUGAAUAUGAAAUCCAAAGUUGAAAAUCCAAGAUGUUAGAACUUUGAAACCAUAGAGCCUCUAGGCAAAUUCAGCAUUUUUACAUUCUAUUGAUUUAGGGCAUCUUCAAUUAUCAGUUUCAACUCCAUGGUAUAAUAUAUGUUGAAGAUAUGUAAUCCGAUAUUAUGAAAAGAUUUGAUAUUGUGAAUAUUAGAAAAGAUUAGAUUUGAUUGAUUAUAGUAUCAUGUGAUUAUAGUAUCAUAUAUUAGGUAAUAGAUUGAUUUAGAUUAGCAUUAUUUUAAGAUCUAAAUUAGGCUACACUUGUGUAUAUAUAUUUGUAUAUUGUGUAGUUCAAAAAUAUAUGAAGAAGAGUAUUUUCUCUCUCUUUUUCUUAGUUUUCAUGGUAUCAGAGAUUCAGGCUCUGUUAUCAGUUUAUCUUUUGACGUGACCCUAUUGAGUCACUUUUAGGUCUUUCUUGUGUGAAUUAUAAUGUCAGAUAUGAAAGGUAGUAGUAGAGAGAUGAAAAUAGUAAUUUCUGAUGUUAUUCUUACAACAUAAAAAAUUACUGAACAUAAAUUGAGUGGAAAAAUUUUUUUGGAUUGGAGUAAAACUAUUCGGAUAUAUCUGCGCAGCAUCGAUAAAGAUGAUCAUCUCACUGAUGACCCACCCAUUGAUGGGAAAGAAAAAAAGUUUGGCUAAGGGAAGAUGCAAAACUAUUUUUGCAGAUCCGAAACUCUAUUGAUAAUGAGAUAGUCAGUCUCAUCAAUCAUUGUGAGUUUGUUAAAGAUCUUAUGGAUUAUUUGACUUUCUUGUAUUCUGGUAAGGAUAAUUUAAAUCAUAUAUAUGAUGUUUGCAAGGAAUUUUACCGUCCGAAAAAGCAGCAGAGAUCCCUUACAGAAUAUUUUAUGAAAUUUAAACGUGUGUAUGAGGAAUUGAAUUCUCUCAUUCCUUUUAGUACUGAUGUAAAAAUUCAACAGUCUCAACGGGAACAAAUGGCUAUAAUGAGUUUUCUUGCAAGAUUACCAGUUGAAUUUGAUGCUACUCGAACACAAAUUCUCUCUAGCCUAGAGAUUAUUUCCCUCCAUAAAACUUUCACACGAGUAUUGAGAACCGAGAGAUCUUUGUUUACUUCCAAUGUUACUAGUGCUCUCGCAAAUCGAAAUGGAGCUGGUCAUAAUGGUAGAAACAGUGACAAAAAUGGGACUGGUGGGAUUGCUGGUCAUAGACAAUACAACUCAAAUCAGCGAGUCUGUUAUCACUAUAAGAAACCAGACCAUACCAUAUGUACGUGUUGGGACCUUCAUGGUAGACCUCAACAGCAGCCCUUAUUUGCAAAUUUUGCAACUCAGGAAAAUAAUUAUGUGUCGUCUGAUAAAUUCAUACUCAUCUCUGCUGAUGAGUUUGCCCUUUUUACCGAGUUCCAAGCCUCACAAAAAUCUGCUAACCCAUCUUCUAGUACCAAUCCUCCUUCUAUUGAUCACUCAGGUAAAUCUACUACAUGCCUUGUGUCAUCUUCUAACAAAUGGGUCAUCGAUUCCGGUGCAACAGAUCAUAUGACCGGUAAUAAAGGUAUCCUCUCCUCUUUUAAUCCUAACAAAGAUCAUCCGAAUGUUACUUUAACUGAUGGGUCAUGUGGUUCAGUUGUGGGUUCUAGUAUAGCAAUUCUUGUGUCAUCUAUCCCCUUAUAUUCAGUUUUAUGCUUACCUAAUUUUCGUUUAAUCUACUCUCAGUCAGUAAAAUUAUAAAAACUCUCAAGUGCUCUGUCUCAUUCUUUUCUGAAUAUUGUAAUUUUUAGGAUCUUAUGACGGAAAAGAUUAUUGGUAAAGGACGUGAGUCUAGCAGCCUGUAUACACUUGAAACCCCUUCAUCGAAAGUGCCGAAACCUGUUACAUGUUCCUCCACCUUGACUCCGCUUGAAAUUCACUGUCGUUUGGGUCAUCCAUCUCUACCCAUUUUGAAGAAAUUGUGUCCAAAUUUUCAGAAUUUAUCCCAUUUAGAUUGUGAGUCAUGCCAAUUUGCUAAGUAUCAUCGUUUGCCUUACUUGUCUAGAGUCAAUAAAUGGGUUUCAUCCCCCUUUGAAUUAGUGCACUCUGAUAGAUGGAGUCGUUGUCCAAUAGUAUCUAAGUCUGGUUUUAAGUAUUUUGUCACCUUUGUUGAUGACUACUCUCGUGUUACUUGGUUAUAUUUAAUAAGAAAUCGUUCAGAUUUAUUUAAUAUCUUUUGUUCCUUUUGUUCUGAAAUAAAAACACAAUUCAAUAUGUCUGUCCGCAUUUUGCAAAGUGAUAAUGCAAAAGAGUAUUUUUCUAAACUCUUUAAUUCAUAUAUGUCGGAAAAUGGAAUCCUUCACCAAUUUUCAUGUCCUGACACACCCCCACAAAAUGGUGUUGCUGAAAGAAAAAAUAGGCAUUUAUUAGAAAUUGCUAGAGCCCUUCUAUUUCACAUGAAGGUUCCUAAACAAUUUUGGGCAAAUGCAAUUUCAACAGUCUGUUUCUUAAUUAAUCGCAUGCCAUCUUCUGUGCCUGCUGGUGAGAUUCCUUAUUCAAUUUUGUUUCCAACCCAAUCUUUAUUCCCCAUUGAGCCACGCAUAUUUGGGUAUGCUUGUUUUGUUCGUGAUACCCGUCCUCAGGUGUCUAAAUUAGAUCUCAAAUCUCUCAAGUGUGUGUUUAUGGGUUAUUCACGUCUUCAAAAAGGGUAUAGAUGUUAUUCUCCAAGUUUAGAUCGUUAUUUAGUCUCUGUCGAUGUUACAUUUUUUGAGGCGCAUCCAUUUUUUCUUGAGUCUAAUGUUUAUAGUAGUUAGGAGGAGGGAGAUGAUAUUCUAGUUUACACUAUUAUAAUAACUGUUCCUACAAGACCACCAAUCACUCAAGUGUAUUCUCGUCGUCCUCACCACAUAGACCCACAUUCUCCACUACCUUCUCUGUCUACAGAUCCGAGUCCUGAUCCACCGCUUCUUCAGUCUCUAGAUUCCAGUUUUAUUUGCCUAUUGCUUUAAGAAAAGGUAAAAGUCAGUAUACACUUACCCAGUUUCAUCAUUUGCUUCAUAUGACCAUUUAUCUCUCUCUUUGCGUUAUUUUACUGCUUCCUUAGAUUCAAUAUCUCUUCCUCAACGCUUAUCUGAGACUUUGGAACAUCCUGGUUGGCGGGCUGCUAUGGAGGAAAAAAUGAUGGCCCUAGAUAAUAAUGGUACCUGGGAUUUGGUUCAGCUACCAACAGGUAAGAAAUUUAUUGGUUGUAAAUGGGUGUUUGCUGUUAAAGUCAAUCCUGAUGGUUCUAUUGCUCGUCUCAAAGCUCAUCUUGUUGCAAAAGGGUAUGCUCAGACAUAUGGGGUGGAUUACUCAGACACGUUUUCUCCCGUAGCAAAACUCACCUUUGUUCGAUUAUUUAUUUCCCUUGCUGCUACUAAUAAUUGGCCUUUGUACCAAUUAGAUGUUAAGAGUGCAUUCCUUCAUGAGAAUUUGCAAGAGAAAGUUUAUAUGGAGUAACCACCUGGAUUUGUUGCUCAGGGGAAGUCUGGUAAGAUUUGUAGACUCUGAAAGUCAUUAUAUGGUUUAAAACAGAGUCCUCGUGCUUGGUUCGGGAGAUUCAGUGAGGUGGUUCAAGAGUUUGGCAUGAAGAAGUGUAAUUCUGAUCAUUCUGUCUUUUGUCAAUAAUCUGAAGUUGGUAUUAUUCUAUUUAGUGGUUUAUGUUGAUGAUAUUGUUAUUACUGGUAGUAACAAUGCAGGUAUUGCAGGUCUUAAAAAUUUACUUCAAUCGCGCUUCCAGACAAAAGAUUUGGGUAUGUUGAAAUAUUUUUUAGGCAUUGAGGUUACAAGAUGUAAACAAGGUAUCUUCCUAUGCCAAAAAAAGUAUGUCCUUGAUCUUUUGAAAGCAACAGAAAAGCUAGGUGCUAAGCCAUGCAAUGCACCAAUGAUCCCCAACAUGCAGCUUACAGCAGAUGAUGAGGAGUUAUUCUCAGAUCUUGAAAUGUACCGGAGAUUAGUGGGGAAGUUGAAUUAUCUUAUUGUGACUCGUCCGGAUAUUGCAUAUCCGGUUAGUAUUGUGAGUCAAUUUAUGUCCUCGAUCACCAAGAACCACCCAUUGGGUAGUUUUAGAGAAAAUCUUAUGUUAUCUUAAAGGAACUCCAGGACGUGGUAUACUAUAUGGUAAUCAUGGUCAAUCUCAUGUUGAAUGUUUCACAGAUGCGGAUUGGGCAGGUUCUAAAAUUGAUCGAAGAUCUACAACUGGAUAUUGUGUCUUCGUUGGAGGUAAUUUGGUAUCGUGGAGAAGUAAGAAAUAAAGUGCAGUAUCUCGCUCUAGUGCAGAGUCUGAAUACCAAUCUAUUGCACAAUCCACUUGUGAGCUUAUAUGGAUACAUCAAUUAUUGUGUGAAGUGGGAAUCAAUAAUUCACUUCCAAUGAAGUUAUGAUGUGACAAUCAAGCUGCCCUUCAUAUAGUAUUAAAUCAAGUUUUUCAUGAGAGAACAAAGCAUAUCGAAGUUGAUUGCUACUUUGUUCGUGAAAAAAUUCAGCAAAACUCGAUCUCAACCAGUCAUGUGAGAACUGGAGAACAGUUAGCUGAUAUUUUCACUAAACCUCUAAAUGGUCCGAGAAUUGAUUACAUUUGGGGCAAGAUGGGCAUGAUUAACAUCUAUGCUCCAUCUUGAGGGGGAGUGUUGAAGAUAUGUAAUCUGAUAUUAUGGAAAGAUUUGAUAUUGUAAAUAUUAGAAAAGAUUAGAUUUGAUUGAUUAUAGUAUCAUAUAUUAGGUAAUAGAUUGAUUUAGAUUAGCAUUAUUUUAGAAUCUAAAUUAGGUUACACUUGUGUAUAUAUAUUUGUAUAUUGUGUAGUCCAAAAAUAUAUGAAAAAGAGUAUUUUCUCUCCCUUUUUCUUAGUUUUCAAUAUAGAUAUUACCUCUAAUAGUUGUACGCACUUGCACAACAAAUACAGAUUGUGAAAUUAAUUGUAUAAGUUUGAUAUUUUGUAGGCUUUAGGAUAUAAUUUUCACGUUUAGGAAAAAGAAAAUAUGUUAGUAAGUAAUAAUGUGAUACCCCUUGUCCCACGUUGGAAGUGGGAGAGGAAAAGGAUUGAUAUAUAUGCAAGAUUUGGUCUCAUAAGUUACUAGUUACCUGGGCUAACCAUGUCGGGAAAGUGUAUUUCGACACAAAAAUUGCUUAGGCCAACCAUGGGCUUGGAUGGUGAUAAAUAACUUACUAGAAGCCAGGCAUAUUUAUGUUUAGAUGUCCUGAAAGCAGAGUAGUUCAGAAUCUAGAUAAUGGUAAUGAUAUGAUGAGAAUGUGAAGUUAUUUGGUAAACUUUAAAGAAUAAUAAUUUCAUCAAGGCAUCGUAUACAACCAUGAUGACACAAUCUCAACUUUCAUUCUUUUGUUAAAUCUCAGUUUUUUUCUCUUAAAUUUUUUCGAAUAAAGGUAGGAUGGAAUUUAAGCAGUAGAGGGGUGGAAGGGAAAUUUGAAUUUAAAACCUCUAAUUUCUAAGUUUUUCACUAAGCUAUCGUCAAAACCAAAAAAAAAAUUAAAAGUAAAAAAAAAUUAGCACCUUAUGGUCAAUGCUCCUGUUCGAAGAUUUAUUCCUUUGGUUUGUCAUCAUCUCCCUCUAUGAAAUCUAAGUACCCUUGGUUGACAAUUUGUUUCCCUGAGCAUCCAUCAACACUUUUAUAUAGUAUUUUUUUUUAAUAUAGUAUUAGAUUAGACUAGAUUAGAUUAUCAAUGCACCAUCAAUAUAGUAUUAGAUUAUCAAUGCACCAUCAAAACACUUUUAUAUAGUAUUAGAUUAGAUUAGAUUAGAUUAUCAAUGCACCAUCAAUAUCCUUAAAUAUAAUAGCUUAAGUAUAGUAAUCAAAAUACUGUUAGUAAUCUGUAUGAUUAUUUUUUAUCCUAUAAUGUUUUAGUUUUAGGAAGAUCACAAAUGCUGCGUACGUAUAAAGCAUGCCAUAGGCUAAAUUAAGCUAAAUUAAGUACAUUGCUAAAAUGGAGAGCAUUGCUAAAUUGAGUACUUUAAGAUAAAGACUUAAGCAGCCAGAUCCAUUUGAUGUCAGCUGCUUCAAAAUCCACCUCAAAAUAAAUUAGCCUUUGUUCUAGAUUUAGCUUAAUGCUAAGUCCCUUCACCAUUCUUAGUAAUAAUUCAAUUCUGCCUCAAUUUUCUUCUGAUCUUCAAGGUAAAUGUACGAUAAAUUUCAAAAUAUAUCCCAAAUAUAUGAAUUUCUUGAAACCAUCCUUCAAUCUCAUUACCUACUCAACAAAAUGUUCCAUAAACACAAAUACAUUAAUGAAUUUGGAGUUGAUUUGAAGAAUUGGCGAGAACAACAGGGCUCCUUAGAUUUAACAAUUUCAAAUAACCCCAAGCUAGAAUUUUUCAUAUAUUCAAACAAGAAAUUGGAAAAAUCUGACUAGCUUGCAACGAGUACUACAUCUCAAGACAAGGGAUCUUUUCAGUCACUCUUUUAUUGUAUCGAAAACUUACUUGCAUCUAUGAAUAAGCAAUACUGAGCUUGCAACGAGUACUGCAUCUCAAGACAGGAGCGUCUAUCUUACUUAAACAAACAAUAAAAAGGAGAUUGAUUGAGAAAUGGCCACAUUAUCUUAUCAUUCUUAAUUAUCAUUAGUUCAAUUAUCAACUUUAGCAGUCGAGAAAGGCUGCAACUUGUACAAGGACAAUAAAUUCUUUAUUCCUUCGUCCGGAGACUUGAGACGUGGACGCUUCAUUAGUCAAUAAUAAUAAAGUGUGGAAUUCGACGACUAUUCUUAGCUCGUUCAAGGAAACAGAGAAGAGACCAAUUCAGCUGGUACCCCUCUUAUUUUCAAUAUUAUGCUGACCACUCUUACUUUAGUGUUGUGACCAAUUCAGCCCAUAUAUAGCCGAGUAUGAGAGUCAAUUUACUCGGUUAUCUAAAUUUGCGCCUAAACUGAUUGUAACCCAGCAAAUGCGGAUAAGGCGUUUUGUCCAGGGACUAAAUGUUGAGAUUCAGAAGGACCUAGUUGUAGCCCAACUUAGCGCCUUUAGUGAUGCUAUGGAGAAAACCCAGCGGGUUGAAAAUGCGAGGUUACAGGUGAGAAACUUCCAAACCAAGAAAAGGGGCUUUCGUGGGAGUAGCUCCGAGCAAGAGGGUAAAAGUACACCACCUAAGAUUGGAAAGGAAAACGGGAGAAUAUGACAACCGGGAGAAAAGGGACCCAACAACCAACUAAGACUAACCUGGACAGUCGGAAGAGGAAGGGACUGGAUCAAAGGUACCGGCUCGGAUGUAUUCUCUAGAGCACCAUCAAGUCCCUGACUCGUCUGAGGACGUAGAAGGUACGAUCCGUUGGUUACCUUAGAUUUUGAGAGAUCCCGUUGAAAAGAAAAUUUCGAGGACGAAAUUUCUUUAAGGGGAAAGAGUGUGAGAACCCGUAAAUUUUUUAAAUUUUAUAUUAUUUAUUUUAUUUCCACGCGUGCAUUUUUCUUCACUAUACCCUACUAUUUUGAUUUUCCAGAUAUUUUAUAAGUAAAUAGAGUUUUUAAAUCAUUUUCCUAGUUUAAGUUAGUAUAUGAUAAGUUUGAAGUGUAUUAUUGACGUGGGACCCACUAGUGCGGUAAAUGCGAUAUAUUUUUGACAAUUUGUUGGAGUUUUGUAUCAAGCGAUAUUAUUUUACAAGGUGCUAGAAUACAAUUAGAGGUGAGCUAGAUAAAUUACCAUUGGUAGACAAAGUAUGAGAAUGAAACCCUAAGGUGCCAUUUGUUACAAAAUCAUUGGAAGUUGGACUUUGACUUAAGACCAUCUUAUGUUUUAUUUAACCAAUUUUGACCAGGAACCCUCUUCAUUUCUUCUUGGCUUGGCCGAACAAAGGGAGAGGAAAAACCAAGAGAGUUCCUCAUCUUCAACUUCAAUUUCUAGCCCAAAUCUUGAGUUUCAACCACUAGUAUCUCAAAUUACUCCAUAAAAAUUUUUUGCUAGGAAGGAUUAGAGGUGAUGGUGGAGUGAUUUUUGAGGGGGAAGUACUAAUCUAUCAUCUUUCUAGUGUUUCUAAGGUAACUUGUCAAGAAACACCUCAUUUACUUCCAAUAAUUGUAUAGUAGGGGUUGAUAGUUGUUAAAUACGUAGUUUUGUGGGAGAUUUCUUGGUUUAAAGCAGUAUUAUGGUAAUUUUCAAUUUUAUGGUAAUUUUUCUGCCCUCAUGUGAUAAGUAAUGGUUGGUCAUAGAAUGAUAGCUUUAUAUGGUGUAAAAUGAAGCUUUGGUAUGCUAGAUCUGGUUGCCUAAAGAAAUUUCAGCUAGGGUGCAAGAAUUUCAGUUUUAGGGUUUCAAUCUGCCCUAUUUUUACACUGCAUGUUCGUCUAGGAUAGAGACCGAAUCAGGCCUUGCUCAAAACAUGAAAGUUGUAGGUAAUUGAGUUAGCUAUCUUCUUGUAAAAUUUCAGCUCAAUAGGAGUACUGUAGCCUAUGAAAUGACUGAAAUACCCUUGACUGCCUACAAGCUUUGUUCCGCGGACAGUUUUCUAUUUUCUCUAAGAUUUUGAUUUUUGACCGUGAAAAUGCAUGAUUUGGCUUUGGAGGUUUUCAUAAGAAAUGUAGGUAUAUGUCUUAGCUUUGAAACACCAUGAAAUUUGUCUCAAUCCAAUAAAUGUAGCUUUAGUUGUGGUUAUUAUACUAAAAGAUAUGUUUUAUAGUCUAUGAUUUAUCUAUGAAAUUGUGGUUGAUUGGAGUUGGGAUUAGUGAUGAAAUGUAGGAUGGAAAAAUAAGGAAUUUAUUAAGGGGAGAUGCUGUCCAAUUUUCUAGCCGUUUGAUUCCUUUAAGUUGGAGUUGCAUUGUGGUAGAAUGAGGGCGUUUGGGGUUGUUUGUAACCCUCGUACCACUGUUAUCCGUUUGCUCAAAAAUCGCAUUUUUAUUCUUUUGUAGUAGUAUAUAACUUGGAGAGGCACUCGACUAGUAAUCGAGCCUCACUUGUGCAUCUGUUUACUCGGUUUUGGAUAUGUAAACUUUAACUGUUUUUACCUUUGAUAUUCUUAGGGUUUCACGGUGAUUAAGGCCACUUUGGGUGAAAAUUUUGAAGUACCUGUACUUGAACUGGUGAGUGUACCACUUCCCUAAUUUGUUGCUUAUCUGGCUAUCCGUGACUUCUGUAUACUCUGUAUGAAAUGAGAGUGUACUUUAUCACUCUCGUUUCUCUCAUCUGUUUACUUUGUUUCCUGCAUACUAUAUAAGUCUGUAUUUGCUCUCUGUAUCUGUUAUUUGUAUCUGCUCUCUGUAUAAGUCUGCGACCUUUGGCUCAAAACCUGUGACUAGUUACUCGAGUCGAGCCGGCAAGGGCCAGUUCGAUUAGAUAACGAUCCACGGUAGUCUGUUUCUAGAAUCUUUGGGUAUUGAGACUCUUGAUUCCGGUAUACUCGAGUAUUACAUUCCUAUUCCUGUUGAGGUGUUCGGACCUGGUAGUGGUAUGUUUGAUGGACGGAAUUUGGCGUAAAAUGGGGUCUACGAACAUGAUUGUUACCAUACAUUGACGGAGAGUCAACGAGUUUGGAUCAAUACUGCAAAUAGAAAUCUGGCUCCUGAGAGCCACUUGUAUCCUUCUAUAUUAAAUCACAGUGUCUAACUGCUUUACUUUAUAUCUGGUAUGUGUAUCUGAUUGGUUAAAUGUGAAAUGCCAUGAUUUGAUUGCUUAUACAUUUGGUACCUUAUUGAGCGUAAACUCACCCCAUUCCGUUAUCCUUGUUUUCCUUACAGGGUUCCAUGUUUUGAAACCAAGAUUUUUGGAAAAAAGAGUUGAGCUAGUUGUACGACUUCUUUUGUUUAUACUCCUCUGUAACUGAAACCCUAAUUGUAAUUCGUAUCCGUGCAGAUAUUUUGACUUGUACUUCAAGUAAUUUGUUGAAGACACGAAUGUAUAGAUGUUGGCAAGUGUAUAGUGGUAUAUAUAUUUGAUGAUAAAUGCAUGUUUUAUGAUUGUAUUAGCUUUACUUUUACCCGUUGGAAAGAUCGGACAAGGGUGGGCUUGGAACGAGAAAACAAAAAAAAAUUGGUGAGAAAUUAUUUCUGACAAUCCGGCCGUAUAUUUGGCUAGUUAUUGGCCGGAUUGCUGGCUGGAUUGACAGGGAAUUUGAACAAAUUUCGUUCAGCUACUGCCUCGAAUCUGUCCAACUUCCAGCCGGAUUGUGACGUGGCACUUGCUUUUCGUUUCGUUUUCAAUUUUCGUUGGAAUAUUAUAUCAAAGUUCUAUUGUAUCUUUCAGUUUAGUUGCUUAGUUUUCGAAAGUUCAUUUUCGCGAAGUCCUUUUGAAUGCUUUGUAGGGUUUUCGUGCAUAAAUUAAAAGAACCCAUCAACUUUGAACAAGUCUAUAUCUAGUAAAGAUAGAUAUAAAGAGGGAUAUUAUAUCACUGCAACGAAAAAGGGAUUUGGCGAGGAGCAAAAGUCCACGCCAAAAGUUUUGACUUCCUUGCUAAUUAAUUUCAGCGAGAAAAAUGCUUCCUCGCCAAAUUUCUUGCUAGAUGCUCGUCGCUAAAAGUUAUUAGCGAGGAUGCUGCUGCUUUUCUCGCUAAUGAAACAGAUGAAUAGCAAGGGUUGACCUCCUCGCUAAUAGCUCAAAUACUAUGGCAAGAAAAGCUUUCCUCACCAACUAAAGUUAAAAACUCCCCACAAAAACCAGUAGUUCCUUGCAAAUAGUCAAGGUGUUUUGCUAGGAAAAAUAGCGCAUCCUCACCAAUAGUAUAGAAUUAGCAAGGACCCGUGUACCAGUAAAACAUUUUUGGCCAGGAAAGUAUCCUCUCUAAUAAGCGAUAAUUGAUUAUUGCCUAACUGUUUGGUGGGAAAAUGUUCCUCUCCAAUGCUGUUAUGAACAUUUCUUAAUCCCAUUUUAGCAUGGUAAUCUUAAUUCUCUGAGCAAAUUACUGGGUGGUUUUAUUAGAAAAUUUAGCUGCAAAUAGCUUCAAUUUGGCUUCUCAUGUGUCUGUUGUACAUUUUCCAGGUUCUUAUAAGUAUCAAAUUGUUUGGCAAAAAAUUUUUUUUAAUGAAUCAUGACCAACGUAGCUGCUCAUUAAAUUUAAACUCAUAAGCCCUGGUAUUUGAUAGGUUUUUGGAAUAUCACUUGGUGCCAACAAACUCCCUUUUGCUACUUUGAUAAACAUUCAAUAGAAAACAUACAAAAGCUUUGGUUAGCUAAAAAUAAUUGCUAGCACAAUAAUACAUCAACAUCCAGCUCUUUCAACAUCUUGAGCCAUACAAUAGGAAGUGCUUGAAAUCAAUUGGCAAUCCAAAUUUUUUUUAGCUCAUUAACCAUCCUAGAAAUCGCAACUUCAAUAAGUCAUUACAGAAGAAGAUUUCAUCGAGAGAACACCACAAAAAGGAGAAGCAGAAAAAAAAAAUAUAACAGAGAGAGAGAGAGAGAGAGAGAGAGAGAGAGAGAGUUAAACUAGUCGUAUGGACGCAUAUUUGUCACCUCAGUAUUUCCGAUUCCUUAAUUCAGUCCAGUUAUCUUGGAACUCUAUCGGCAAUCCAUGGAACAUUUUUUGAAUGACAAUAUGCUGUUUCAACCUUUUGAUGAAGACUUCAAAGGUUCUAUGAUAGGUUGCAUUUUUGUCAUUAAUUCUAUGAUUAUUUUCCUCGUUUAUAUAAUCAAAUAUUGUAUUAAUUGAUUGAUUCUACUUAUAUUUGGCACUUUGUGUCAAUUGUAGGAAGGUGGAGCAAAAAGUAAUAAAAGAGAUGAUUUUUCAAGAGUUUUCCAAUUCAAGAUGGAGUUUAGGUGGAGUAUUGGAUGAAAAUUAGGAAACUACAACUUUUCAUUAGAUGUCUUAUUAGGGAACAAUUAGCAUUAGUUGGAGAAGUUUCCUUUUGCAAUUAGAAUUCUAUUUUUAGUUGGCCAAUGGACGGCCAAAGUAGUAGACUUCAAUUAGGAAAUAAAGAGAGAAAAAAGGCCGGAAUCCCGGUGAUUCCUACCUUGGAGGGAACAAGAAAAAGGAGACUGGCCACUGGUCUCUUCUUUAGUGAGUCUUUAGGGAAAAACGAAUGGUUAUCGAUGGAGUCCUGUGGAUCUCCCCUGACGAUGUGAAGCUAAAUUUCCGUUUUCUAGUCGAAUGUCAAUUUGAGGACUCGGUUCCAAACAUCUGUGAGAUCGAAUUAUUUUACUUAUUUCUUUUAUUCAUUGGUAUUUGUGCAUUUUCUGAUUUAACUUCUUAUGCUUGUUAUGUUAUUUGAAUGUCAAUGGACCGAUAUUCGAAUUAACCUAAUAAUCUACUGCCAGAUUAAUUGAUUGAAUCCGUAAUUGUUCAAUUGGUUUCAUGUUAGGGAAAUGUAUGAUUUAACUUAAACGAACCCUCGUAGCAUGUUUGUUAGUUUGGAUUGAGCUUGUCUAAUUCUUAUUGCAAUCGAGAAAUUAAAUCCUAUAGUCGUACCUAGGGUUAUUUCUUGGUUAGAGAAAUAGUUAAUGGUCGUACCUUGACUAUCGAAAAAGUAAGGAAAGUUUGGUUGUUUAUCGCGUGUAUGACAACUAUAACCAAUCUAUUAAUUAGUAAUUGAAUUAUCUUUGUAUCGAUGAUUAAUUGAAUGGACCGUGUUUGAAAAGUUGCAUCUUUGGCUAGAGUUGUAUUAGUUAUUGAUUAAUUCCUGUUUAUUUCUAUUAGUUGUUUCAUUAGUUGGUUAAUUAGUUAUUUUAUAUUUUCCAAAACCCCCCAUACUUCGGACUCUGGAAGAAAUGAAUUAUCCCCAAUCCCUAUGGAUGCGACCCUGCUCACCGCUAUAUACAAAUUUGUAUUUUUCUUGAGUAGAUAAUUAUUAUUGCAUAGGUUCGACACCUAUCAUUCUAUAACUGUAUACAGAGUCAUCUUUUUCAAAGAUUUCCCAUGCUGCAAAAUGUACUCUACGAGCUUUAUUUCAUCUUCUUCCCCUAUAAUUUUGCUGAUUCCAAUCUGGCUAAGAUGUUCAACAAAGCGUAUUGGGAAAACUGUUUGGAAAAGUGGAUUUGAAGUCCUUGUAUAUGCAAAGUCCUCCUUACACAACUUUACAUAUUGAGAAGAUCAAAAAUUGCAGAACAUAAUAAUACUUGAAAUUAGUGAGAAUAUAUCCAAAAGAAACAAAAUAUUAAUACCUGAAAUCAGGUUUUACAAUCAGUGCACAAAAAGCACCUAAACCCAAAUGGCCCAUGUUGGAAUAGACCAAGUUUAGUUCGACUGCAGAAAUUCCUUGUACAAUGGAACUGCAACUUCAACUUUAGUAAAUUGCAAGCUGGUAUUAUGAUUCUAUGAAUCCUGAAAUCUCCCCCAAGUCCUCUUGCCUCCAACACUAAGUAUGUACACAGACGCCGACCUGUUAUAUACACUUGUAGGAAAAUUCAGAUCAGACGGCAUUCAAUAGAACUGCCUUGAUUUGGCUCCAUAUCAGCACUACUGCUCUUUAAAUCUAACUUGAUUAAGCUGCACAAAAAGGGAAGAUUACAUUAUAUGGAGAAAUUUUACUGAUGGCAUAUGAAAUAGGGGCUAAAACCAACUACGAAAAGCAGAGAAGUUAACCUCAACCGACCAGGAAACAAGAUGCAAAAGUCAGAGGUUGUUAGCUUAAACCUCAACCAAACGAAAAAUGAAAUCUUUGAUAUUAAACACAUAACCCACAUAAGUUAGCUUCACAGGGUCCAGAAGGAUGGUUGGAACUCAAUUUUCCUAAAAUUGUGAGGAAAAUAAUGCAAUCCUAGAAAUCUAACACAAAUAAUGGUAAUAAAAUCACACAAGAAGGGUAUGAAGACUUACAAAAUGGCACCAAAAUAUAGAUCUAACAGUAUUUGAAGCAAAUGGAUGAAGCAUUGAAGUUGUUCUCAAAUUUUUUGACAGCAAUAAAACCUAAGCUCCUUCACGUUUAGCAAUUCAUAGGAGAUAGAUAGGAGGCGGGUCUUCUUUUUUAGCAAUUCCUCAGAGGUCUUCUUCCCGUUUAGCAAUUCCUGCAUCUGUUCUUUUAUUUUUGGACUAAAAAUCACCAAUGUUGGCCUUUGAGAGAAGAACAGAUGCGUGCUUCUCAAUUGACAGAGACAAGAGAGGACCAGCCUUUCUAUGUAUAUAUCCCUCAGCCUCUAACAAGUUUGAAUUUUGACGGAAGGAUGUUGCGGGAAAAAUAAAAUUCUUGGAGGGGAUAAAACACGCGUCCUAAAUUCUGAUUUAAGUGUUGUAGUCAAAAGUUUCUAAGAAUUGGAGUAUAUUAUAUAAUAUAUAGAAUGAAUAUUGAGUAUUAGAAGCAUAUAAUUCGAAAGAAAUCAUGUAUGAGAAAAUGAAACUAAUGAAAAUAUUCAUGUGCAAUCAAUAUAAUAAAUUGUCAUAUUUAUAAUUUUUAAGUUUGCAAUUCAUAAAUGUAGUAACAAAUAAUGUAAUUCAUGUGCAAUCAAUAUAAUUAUAUUGUUAAUUAAGGUUAUAAUUGUGCUAUAUAAAGUAUUUGGGACAAUUUGAAAAAUAUCUAGAAAUUUGGGACUACUUAUAAUAUAUUCAAAAUGUAUUUUGAUUAAACUAGACAACUUGUUCUUUCUUGUUGUAAAUCCAAAUUCAAUUAUGGAACAAUAUACAUGGAAAAGUUGACCUUAUAUGUGUAUAAAUCAUCUUAUUAAUAAAAUAGUUAAACACAAUACAUUUAGUUAACUAUGAUUUAGUGAUUGAUUAUUACAUCAUUUUUUAUAUAAUAUGAUAAUUAAAUAUUACAUAUAUAAUAAAAUGUUUCAAAUAUAUUUUAAUUGAUAGAAAAAAUGGUAUAAUACAAUAAACAAAUAAUUAAAGAAAAUUUUGAGGGAAGAAUUUUGUGCUAAAAAACAUGUAUUUUGGGUUCAAAUUUAUAACCCACCACUUAUCCACUUAGAAUUAGCAAAAGUAUUAAUUCAUUUCUGAAGACUCUAAACCAUACUAAUUUAUUAUAAUAAAGACACAAAACACUAGCUCCAUGUAAUAACCUAUAGCAAAGAUCAUCUAUUCACUUUAGUUAAAUAUAUGAGUCAAAUUUAAAGAUUAAUCAAAUUUUCUAGGUUUUAAAAUUGGGGUGAGUUAUUUACAUGGAUUAAAACUGUCUGAAUAUAGUUUACUAUGCAAUAAACGACACUCAAUUUCGAGUUUUUUACACAAAGAUAUGGCCAAAAUACUAAAAUUGUUACUUAAUUGUUUGAAAAAUAGUAGGGUCAUAGGAUUGUAUGAUCUGGAUCACGAUCCUAUUGAUCUUGUUAAUUCAAUGCUAAUUUUUUAUCCUACUUACAAUUUGGAUCGUUAGCCAUGAUCCGUAUCGUAGGAUUGUAGAUCGCGAUUCUAACAACUAUGGUUGUAGUUAAAAGUUUCUAAGAAUUGGAGUUUAUUAUAUAAUAUAUAGAAUGAAUAUUGAGUAUUAGAAAUAUAUAAUUUGAAAGAAAUCACGCAUGUGAAAAAUGCAACUAAUGAAAAUAUUCUCAAUAUACAGCUGAAAAACUAACUAAGUUUGUUGAAGCUCUAGUCUUUUGCUAAUUGUUUUCUCACCCAUAUCUUAUUUGAUUUGAUUAUUUAUUUAAUUUCUUAAUUAGUGAUUAAAAACCCUCUAAAUUUAAAUUUUAUUAUUUUUAUUAGAGUAAUUAAAGUAGAAAAAAAUAACUCAUUCCUACAUGUUUGACCCUGGAGUACUCCAAGUGAAUUAUUAUUUCGAUCAACCCUAUACAGUUAUAGAAAUUCAUCUAUCACACAGCAACUAAAAAAAACAUUAACGCACAAUAAUGUCCUGAGCACAGUUCCCAUCUUAGCUGUUCAACAUUCACGGUGGAUUUCAAUUAGUGGUAAACAGAUAAAGGCAUCGAAAAAAGUAAUCUAAUUACGAGAUAAUUGAAUUUAUACUACAGCAUAUUUCUUUUUUCUACUGCAAAAACUUAACUAAUUUAAGACAAUGUAGUCCAAGCUAAUUGAAGAUUAAUUUUCCCCAAAAAAUGUUCAUGAUAAAAACUCGACAAAGAGAUAAUGCAGCAACUUACUUUUGGAAGUGAUCUUAUACGGUCUUUAUUAACAAACUAAUUAGCCACUUAAGCCUUUUUUUUUUGGGACAGUACAUGACAAAAUGAGGAGGGAAUCAGUCACUUAGCAUCUAAAAUUUUCCCUCCAUAUAAUUAGUUCAACCUGAUUUAAGACUAAAAUUUUUACUAUAGGAAUGUUCGUGAUUCAACAAUGAAACACCAUAUAAACUUAUUUUGGGAGAUUUGUCCUAGAAGACAAAAAAUGAGCAACCAAUCAGAAAGUCGUACUUACAUAUCAAAAUCGAUACAAUCUACUUAAUUCACCAGCUAUGUAUAUUUCAUCCAUUUUCACAUGACAGAAAGAACAACAAUGCAUGGCAUUAUCCAUCAUAAAUUGCUCAUAUAACAUGCGAUCUAUUAUGCAUCUAAGGCUUUGAAUGGAACUUAACUCAAUUAUACAAUCACAGAAAAUGAGCUUUAGUAGUUAUUUUUGCCUUAGAAAAAUUUCAUUCUUAUUUAUUAGAAGAUAAAGUGAUUGUGUAUUCUGACUAUGCAGCGCUACGGUACUUGAUGACUAAGAAGAAUGCUAAACCAAGGUUGAUAAGAUGGAUUUUGCUUUUAUAUGAGUUCAAUUUGAAAAUUCGUGAUAAAAAGGGAGAAGAGAAUUUAGUUGCCGAUCAUUUGAGUCGAUUGUCGAUUGUCAAGUAUGAUUUUAUAUUGAGGAAAACUUUUCCUAAUGAGCAACUAUUUUCUGUUAAUCCCUCUCUUCCUUGGUAUGCGGAUAUUAUUCAUUUCUUGACCACUAAUCAAUUGCUUGCACAUUGGUCAAAAACAAAAUGAGAAAAGCUCAAAUGUGAUGCUGAGUAUUACUUAUGGGAUGACCCCUAUUUAUAGUGGCAAUGUGCAGAUCAAGUACCACGCAGAUGUGUGAGUAAGAGUGAAUUUAAUUCUAUUUUAAUAUUUUAUCACUCUUAUGCAUGUGGACACCAUUUUAGACCACAAAGAACAGUUCGUAAAGUAUUGGAAAGCGAUUUUUAUUGGCCCACAAUUUUCAAAGAUACAUACUUGUUUUGUAAGUCAUGUGAUAGAUGUCAAAGGUAGGAAAUAUUUGUCAUAAAAAUUAGAUACUAAAAACCCUUAUGAUUUUUUGUGAAAUUUUUGAUGCAUGGGAUAUUGAUUUUAUGGGUCCAUUUCCUUCGUCUUUUGGUUUCCUUUACAUCUUGUUGGCCGUAGAUUAUGUGUCCAAGUAGAUAAAAACAAAAGCCACCCAAGCCAAUGAUUCUAAAGUGGUUGUAGAUUUCAAUCAAUCACAUAUUUUUGUUCAUUUUAGGGUACCACGAAUUAUAGUAAGUGAUCGAGAAAAACACUUUUGCAAUAAAAUGAUGGCGGCUGUAUUUCGUAAAUAUGGAGUGACUCAUAAGGUAUUUACGUCCUAUCACCCCUAAACGAAUGGUCAAGCAGAGAUUUCGAAUAGGGAAAUUAAAUAUAUAUUGAAGAAGAUGGUUCGCUCCGAUAGGAAGGGUUGGAGUUCAUGAUUGAACGAUGUACUCUGGAUUUAUAGGACAGUCGAUAAGACUCCUAUAGGUAUAUCUCCCUAUAGGUUGGUAUUUGAGAAGCCGUGUCAUUUACCGGUUGAGCUCGAGCACAAAGCAUAUUGGGGGAUCAAGAAAUGCAACAUGGAUCUUGAUGAGGCUGGAGUACACAGAAAACUUCAAUUACAAGCAUUGGAAGAGUUGAGGAAUGAUACUUACGAGAAUGCAACACUAUAUAAAGAGAAGAUUAAGGUUUUUCGUGACCAAUAAGUUGCAAGGAAAUCAUUUGUAGUUGGGCAAAGAGUUCUUCUCUAUCAAUCUCGUCUAAAGCUCUUUCUAAGUAAGUUACGCUCUUGUUGGACUAGUUGACAGGUUGUCAAGCCUGUGCAAUAAUAAAAACCUGCUCAACUAAAAUUAAUUUUUGCAAUAGUGGUAAGCAGGGUCGAAUCCACAGGGACUGGGUGUAACUGUUUCUUUUCAAAUCCACAGUAACCGAGGGGUAUUUUUGUGUAGAAAGUGACAAUCAAAUAAAUUCAAAUAAAAUCCAAGAAGCUAAUAAAAACUAAAAUCGAAUGGAUGAUAACUAAGGUUCUAGCCAAGAAAUAACUUCAGUAAUGGUUCACCUAAUUGAUUAUCGAUACAAAGGCAAUUUCAAUUAUUUAUUAAUAAAUAGGUUAUAACUGCCAAACAAGCGAUGCCAGUCAACCCAUUCUUACUGCGUCGGUGAUCAAGGUAUGCCCAUUAAUCACUACUCUAAUUGAGCAAUAAUCUCAUGUACGCCCGUAAGAUUUAAUUCCCCAAUUGCCUUACUUAUUAGAGGAGUCCUAUUCUAACCAAAUAACGCACUACCAGGGUUAUUUCAAAUUAGCCCGCGUAUCCCCCUGACACAAAUAUAAUCAUGCCAGUUGUCACCAAUUCAGGGCAAUUAAACAAUUACAGAUUUAAUGCCCUAAUUGACAAUAAAUUAUCAAGUUAACUAAUUAUCCAGAUCCAAAACAAUCAAUUAAUUAAAUAAUCAUAAAUACUGCAAUCAAGGGAUAUGUGAAUAUUAAUAAAUAAAAAAAAAAGAUAAAAUUAAAUCGAUCUUACAAUUUUUAGGCGAACCAAAGCCUCCGUUGUUCCUUGACUAGAGUGAAGAAAUUAAUUCAUAUUUGAUGUGAAAAACCCACACAAAAGUGAAGCAUCAGUCGCGGCCAUUGCCGAACAAAUGAAUGGAAAACGAAAGUUACAGAGAAUGAUUGAAUCUCCUAAUUGCUCGUAACAUCCGAGGAAUGAAAAGAAAACUACUAAGAGCUAAACAAAAAAGAAAAGUCAAAGGCUAAGCCAUCACAAUAGUGCUAGUUCUCUGCGCUUUUUUUCUAUCUAAUACCUAGCCACUCUAAAGCUUAUCUCCUGUGCGGCGGCUCCCUUGCCAGAAGAAGACUUCGGCCUUUUCGGGUUUUUCUCUUGCCGUCUUCGGCCAAUUAUCAAAAAGGGCUGCACCUUCUGUUCCAAAAAUGCCCCUAGAUACUUUGUACUUGAGCUCCUUCCUGAUGAUUGCCAAAUUGGUAUUUGUUAUAGUAUUUUCGAUCCACUCCCUGAAAUAAAUACAAAUUGUCAAAAGUGAAUAGAAUCUAAUAAUUAAUCCAUAUCAGGUCAGGUAAUAGGAAAAAUUAAUAAUAAAAUAAAUGAUAAAAUUGUAACCUAUUACUAGUCCAUUUGUUGUGAUUAAUAUUUUUCACUAUGGUGUAGUGAAAAUUCUAAGUAUGCAAAUAGCUAAGACAUUUGUGGUUAAUGGCCAUUGUUUUAAACCCUAUUAUGAAAGUGUUUCAAUGGAGAAGGUGGAGAUAAUAAUUCUUGAAGAUCCCACUUAUGCUGCUUGAACAAUAUUCGACCAUGUCUAAUCAAAGACAUUAAAGUAAGACGCUUAUUGGGAGGCAAUCAAAUUCUUUCUUUAUUGUUUGUUCACUAAUAUUAUGUGUUUCACUAUGUUUAUCUUAGGUUUUUCAAAUUUGGUAUUUUAAAUUUCGUUUUUAAUGUUUUAUUGGUUAGGUGACUUUCUCCCAACAAGGCGUGCCCAUGCCUUAAAGGUACGUGGUAAUACACAAAUAUCCAAUUCCAUCAUCAGAAAACUAUGGACCAACAUGACGUGCCCACAUUUUGAGGGUAUGUUGUAACUCGUAAUUAGCCAACUUUAUCAUCAAAAGAGUUUCAACCAAUAAGACGUGCCCGCGUCUUGUCCUAGCAAGGGGAAAAAAACAAAUUGAACCCAAAAGAAUUUUUUUUUCUCUUCUUUUUUUUUUCUUUCCUUUUUUUUUUCUUUCAUUUGCCUUUUCCCUUUUCUAUUUCUUUUCCUUUCCUUCUUUCUUUCUUUCUUCUUUCUUUUUUUCUUUCUUUAUUUCGCUCUUUCUUUUCCUCAGUUGCAUGGCCAAAACUCUACAUGUUGCUUGCUCGCCGUUCAUCGCCCACCGUCCAUUGCUGUUGCAGUUCGCUAGUUUGUCUUUGCUACUGUUUUUGUCGUCGCUGUUCGUCAAAGCCUGUCACUGGUUUCGCCAUCGCCCGUCUCUAGUUUUUCCGUCGCUCGCUAUUGUGCCAUUCACUGCUGCUUGAACCACCAUGAACGUCCAUCCCCUGCAAGCAACCGCCAUCGCUUCGCACUUUCUCUAUUGUCUUGUUUCUACUGACCCAGUUUUUGGUAUUCUUGUCCUUCUCUUUUAAAUAUUGUUGGGUUGCUACUUCAGAGUUUAUUAGAAUUUCUUUUUGCGGGGUUGAUUUAAUUUGUUGAUUGGGUAUUCCUCGAAUUGUUGGAUUGGCACUACCUGACAUUUGCUUGUUUUCUGAUGAUGACCACUAACUUGCACUACUAUUUUGCAUCCAUGGGGAUUCAAUGGUGAUUGGAGGUUAUAAACUGUGCUGAAAUUGCCGCUACUUACUUGCCAAUUUCUAAUUGUUGAUAUUGAUAGGGGGUAUUGUUCUUACAUUUCUAGUUUUGUUAUUAAAUAGUGUCACAUCUCUGGGCUCUUUACUGUACACUUUGAUUUGAGAUUGCUUGGCUAUCUUUAGUCGUUUGGAAUACAUUAGCGGCUUGUAGUUCGCCCUUGUUUGAAUUGUUGUUUAUAGCUAUUUUUGGAUUCAGUUAUCUAAAUGGCUAAGAAAAAAAAGACCACCAAGGCCAACACCCCUACGACUAAAACCACUCCCCCAUCCCAACCAACUAUACCCAUGACUGACCCUUCUACCAUCCUUCUUUUUCGGGUAAAUGGGCAUGCUUAGGUAGGGACAAGGGGGUCCAUAUCUCCUCACUCUCCCACUUUGGGGCUAAUUUGUCUCUCACCAAAGCUAUCGAUAAGCAAAGAUACUCUAAUUAUUAUGAGUGGCGAAUUAUUCCUUGUAAACAUCUUGACCCUCCCAUCAUGGUUUCUUUGAAUAUCUUUGAGAAUGUUGCACAAAUGUACUGCCAUAGGCUAGCGUUCUCAUGCUGAAAUACGAUGUGCUACUUUUGUUGAAUUGGUUAGAGAGUUUUACGCCACCUUUGAGUUUGAUCUAUCCAUGGGGUAUUCUGUCACAACCUCAAAUGUGAUUCGAUUUUGAUUGAUAGGUAGGGAGUUUAAGUUCUCCAUUGCCGAGUUUAAUUUGGCCUUUGGGUUUAUUGAUAGUGAGUAUGCCAAUUCUAGGGAAUAUGCUGAGAGUGCUUGUGAUUAUGUCGACCCAUUUUUCUCCUUUCACACCGAGAUUUGGAAGGACGUUUCUAUUGAUGGUGAUUGUUAUGAUCCUAGCCGGUCAAAAGAGCUGUUAUCUCAAGGACCUGAGUUCCUGUUAUAUUCAGCACUUUUUAGCCUAUAAUUACUCAGGUAGGAAAGAUAGUUCCGAGACCUUUUCUAAACCCAAAUUUUUCUUUAUUUGGUGCAUGACUAAAAAUAUCAAGGUUAAUUUGUCCUAUUGGCUAGUUUCCCAAUUCAAGAUGGUUAUGGUUAAGAAAAACAAACCUUUGAUUCUUGGGUCUUACAUCACACAUUUAGCUAUUCAUUUAGACAUUCUUGAUCCCCAUAACCAUGAUUUACAUUUGGCUUGUAACAUGGACCCUUUAGAUAUGGUUUGUCAAGAGAAAAUGGGUGUAGUGGAACCGGUUGAUGAUGCGUGACAGUUUACUCUUUCGGGCCCACUCAUGUACCCGUUCGUCGUCUUUCUGUGUGUGCUAGUACCUCCUCUACUUCAGGAGUAGCCGAUGGCAAGCCUGGACCAUCUACCUCCGCACCUUCUCCAUCGUCUUCUUGGGAUGCUGAGUGGCGAUACCUUCAUGCACAAGUUCACCAUAUGGAUGAAUGGUUGACUAAUCUUGCACUUCACAUGUCCGAGAUGUCCUAGACUUUUGCGGCUUACUUCCAUCAUGUGGGUUUUACGCUGCCAUUCCCGCCUCAUCUAUAGCUGUCCGGAGUCCUUCUCCACUUUCUUUAGGAAAGUUUCGUUGUCCCCUUCCUUUUCCUUUCUUUAUUUCUUCAUUCGGAACAAUAUCAGAUUUAGGUGUAGGGGGUAGUUGUAGUACAGUUGGUACUGUUCAUUUUAGCUAUUUUCAUUUUUUUUUGUCAUUUGUGAGUAUUUUUAUGGAUAUUUGGGAUCGACAAUGGUUAGUUGAUUCCAAAUUUUCUAUUACCAAGUUUUAUUUUUAAAAAUGUAUCAAGUGUAAUAUGGGUAAGUCUAAGAAUAGCUCCUUGGUGAAUAUUUGAGAUUUUGUGACUUUUGCAAUUUUUGGUUAGCUUUUCUAGGCAUUGUGCAUAUUUUUCUAGUAUUUUUCAUGUAAAUUGGUUCGAUUAUUAAUCUUAGUUCUCCAUGUUUGAGGAAAUGAUGCAAGCUUGUGUGAUUUUUAAUGUUAUUUUGUUGCUAAUUUGUGAAUAGUGUUCGCUAUAUUCCGCUGGUUAUCGCUACCUAAUAACCGGGGCUAUGAGUAUGUGGCCCUUAAAUGAUGAAAAGUUGAGUAACCGGAUUCCUUCAUUUGGUAGAUGUCAGAAUUUACAUCAAAAGACUUGAAUGGCUAAGGACUAAAUCUUGUCCCUGAAAAAUGAAGAAAAAAAAGAAAAAAAAAAAGAAACUAUGCAAGUAUGCAGUUGAUUAUGUUAGCCUGUCGAUCCAUGGGUUUAAUGUUGAGAUUUUGGCUAAUAGUCGAGCCAUUUGCUGAUCAAUGCUAGUUAAAUGUUCUAUCUUCUUAGAUUAGUUAGUCAGGAAUUGGAGAAGUCCUUGGUUUUAAAAGCUAACCGAAGAGCUAUUUCGUGGAACUUAGCUAUCAAUGCUUGAUGUAUACUUUGAUGAUAUUUUGACAAUAGACGAGUUGAGUGAUAACCAUUGUUGGGAUUCAGUUGUUGAUUUGUUGUUUCUCAUACUUGAGAACAAGUAUGGUCUAGGUAUGGGGGGAAUUGAUAGGGUGCAAAAUUGUUAUUCAAUUCAUGAUUAUUUUUCCCUUUUAUUCUAGUCAAAUACUAUUUUAAUUGUUCAAUUCUACUUGUAUUUGGUAUUUGAUGCUAAUUGUAGGGCGGUGGAGUGAAAGUUGCUAAAAAUGGACGAUUUUCCUCAAAGUUGGUUAUCAAGUGCGGAGAUGCGGGAUUUGCAUGCAAGAGUUUCCUAAUCCAAAAUGGAGUUUGAGCAGAGUAGCGACUAGAGAUUAAGAAAGUUUUUCUUCUAGAGAUUUGAUUUAAUUAGGAAGCAAUUAGCGUUAUCUUUUGGGAGUGUUUCCUUUUUCAAUUAGAAGUAGUUUUAUUGUUGAAAGCAAGAAAAUAGGGGAAGGGCCAUUUGACUUUUAGUACUUGACAAAAAACGAGACUUGGGAGACGAGAAGUUUUUGGGAACGGUGGUGACUAGACUCGCCGGGAGGAAAAGAACAAAGAUCUUGUCCUUUUUGUCAUUGCUUUUACUCUCGUUUUCUAUUUUAUUGGAUGCUUAUGCAAUUUAAUUCAAUUAAAUUGUGUUGCUUGAUGCCGAUGAUGUGCAACUAAAUUUUGCUUUUCUAGCCAAGAAAUAACGUGAAUUUGGGUCAUCAACAACUGUGAGAUCUAAUUAUUUUUAUUAAUUUCUUUUAUUCGUUAGUAUUCAUAUGUUUUCUAGUUUAGUUGCUUAUGGGUAUUAGUUGUUUGAAUAUCAAAGGUGUUUGAUAUUUAAUUCAACCUAACAAACUAUUGACAGUUAAGAAAGUUAAAUUCACAAUUAUUAAAUUAUUUUAAAUUAGUAGUGACUAGCGUGAUUGGCUUUACGUCCGGGAGACAUAUGAUUUAAUUUAAAUAAACCCUGAUAAUGUGUUUAUUGAUUAGAACAAGACUUUUCUAGUUUCUAAUGCAAUCAAAGAAUUAAAUUUUAUCGACGUACCUAAGGUUAUUUUUUGGUUAGAGAAGUAGUUAACAAGUAUACCUUAACUAUUGAGACACUAAGGAAGGGCUAGUUGUCAUCACGUGUUUGGCAACUAUAACCUAUUUAUUAACCAAUAAAUGAAAUAAUUCUUUUAGCGAUGAGCAGUUAUUUGACCCGCUUCUGGAGUUAUUUCCUUGGUUAGAGCUCAUUUAUCAUUGAUUUAAAUUUAAUCUAUUUUAGUUUAAUUAUUUUCAAUUUGCACUGAUUAUUUAUUUUUAAUUGCAAUUUUCCAAACUCCCCCCAAUUAAUUGUCACUUGAAAAGAAGCAAAUUUUCACUCGAAACCUCGAGUUUAUAUCUUUUUGAGUAGGAAUUUAUUAUUACACAAGCCUAACACACGAGGGUUCGAGCAGUGCACAGUUUUUUUUUGUAUCUAGAAUGGCUAAUGUAGCAAGUCAUAUGCUAGCACAUUUUGCAACAUAACUAGUUUAUGAUAUAGAAUGGGUAAAUGAUUUCCCAAUUCGACUAAUAGAAGCAGCUAGGAAGGAUGAGUUGUGAGGACCCGUAAAUUUUCGUAAUUUUAUAUUAUUUAUUUUAUUUCCUCGCGUGCAUUUUUCUGCAUUAUACCCUACUAUUUUGAUUUUCCAGAAAUUUUAUAAGUGAAUAGAGUUUUUAAAUCAUUUUCCUAGUUUAAGUUAGUUCAUGAUAAGUUUGAAGUGUAUUAUUGACGUGGAACCUGCUAGUGCGGUAAAUGCGAUAUAUUUUUGACAACUUCUUGGAGUUUUGUAUCAAGUGAUAUUAUUUUACAAGGUGCUAGAAUACAAUUAGAGGUCAGUUAGAUAAAUUACCAUUGGUAGACAAAGGAUGAGAAUGAAACCCUAAGGUGCUAUUUGUUACAAAAUCAUUAGAAGUUGGACUUUGACUUAAGACCAUCUUAUCUUUUAUUUAACCAAUUUUGACCAAGAACCCUUUUCAUUUCUUCUUGGCUUGGCCAAACAAAGGGAGAGGAAAAACCAAGAGAGUUCCUCAUCUUCAACUUCAAUUUCUAGCCCAAAUCUUGAGUUUCAACCACUAGUAUCUCAAAUUACUCCAUAAAAACUUCUUGCUAGGAAGGAUUAGAGGUGUUGGUGGAGUGAUUUUUGAGGGGGAAGUACUAAGCUAUCAUCUUUCUAGUGUUUCUAAGGUAACUUGUCAAGAAACCCCUCAGUUACUUCUAAUAAUUGUAUAGUAGUGGUUUAUAGUUGUUAAAUACGUAGUUUUGUGGGAGAUUACUUGGUUUAAAGUAGUAUUAUGGUAAUUUUUAAUUUUAUGGUGAUUUUUCUGCCAUCAUGUGAUGAGUAAUGGUUGGUCAUAGAAUGAUAGCUUUAUAUGGUGUAAAAUGAAGCUUUGGUAUGCUAGAUUUGGUUGCCUAAAGAAAUUUCAGCUAGGAUGCAAGAAUUUCAGUUUUAGGGUUUCAAUCUACCCUGUUUUUGCACUGCAUGUUCAUCUAGGAUAGAGACCGAAUCAGCCCUUGCUCAAAACAUGAAAUUGUAUAUAAUUGAGUUAGCUAUCUUCCUGUAAAAUUGCAGCCCAAUCGGAGCACUGUAUCCUAUGAAACAACCGAAAUACCCUUGCCUACCCACAAACUUUGUUUCGCGGACAGUUUUCUAUUUUCUCUAAGAUUUUGAUUUUUGACCAUGAAAAUGCAUGAUUUGGCUUUGGAGGUCUUCAUAAGAAAUGUAGGUAUAUGUUUUAGCUUCGAAACGCCAUAAGAUUUGUCUCAAUCCAAUCAAUGUAGCUUUAGUUGUGGUUAUUAUACUGAAAGGUGUGUUUUAUAGUCUAUGAUUUGUAUGUGAAAUUGUGGUUGAUUGGAGUUGGGAUUGGUGAUGAAAUGUAUGAUGGAAAAAUAAGGAAUUUAAGGGGAGAUGCUGUCUAAUUUUCUAAGCCAUUUGAUUCCUUUAAGUUGGAGUUGCAUUGUGGUAGAAUGAGGGGGUUUGGGGUUGUUUGUAACCCUCGUAACAACUGUUAUCCGUUUGCUCAAAAGUCGCAUUUUUAUUCUUUUGUAGUAGUAUAUAACUUGGAGAGGCACCCGACUAGUAAUCGAGCCUCACUUGUGCAUCCUGUUUACUCGGUUUUGGAUGUGGAAACUUCAACUGCUUUACCUUUGAUAUUCUUAGGGUUUCACGGUGAUUAAGGCCACUUUGGGUGAAUAUUUUGAAGUACCUGUACUUGAAUUGGUGAGUAUACCACUUCCCUAAUUUGUCGCUUAUCUGGCUAUCCGUGACUUUUGUAUACUCUGUAUGAAAUGAGGGUGUACUUUAUCACUCUUGUUUCUCUCGUCUGUUUACUUUGUUUCCUGCAUAAUGUAUAAAUCUGUAUUUGCUCUCUGUAUCUGUUAUUUGUAUCUGUUCUCUGUAUAAGUAUGUGACCUUUGAGCUCAAAACCUGUGGCUAGUUACUCGAGUCGCGCCGACAAGGGUUAGGUCGAUUGGAUAAUGAACCACGGUAGUCUGUUUCUAGGAAUUUUUGGGUAUUGAGACUUUUGAUUCUGGUAUACUCGAGUAUUACCAUUCUUGUUCCUGUUGAGGUGUUCGGACCCGGUAAGGGGUAUGUUUGGUAGACGAAAUUUGGCGUAAAAUGGGGUCUACAGACAUGGUUGUUCUUUAUACGUUGACGGAGAGUCAACGAGUUUGCAUCAAGUACUGCAAAUGAAAAUCUGGCUCCUAAGAGCAACCUGUAUCCUUCCUAUAUUAAAUGACAAUGUCUAAUUGCUUUACUUUAUAUCUGAUAUCUGUAUCUGAUUGGUUAAAUGUGAAAUGCCAUGAUUUUACUACUUAUACGUUUGGUACCUCAUUGACCGUAAGCUCACCCCGUUCCGUUAUCCUUGUUUUCCUUACAGGGUUCCAUGUUUUGAAACCAAGAUUUUUGGAAGAAAAGUGUUGAGCUAGUUGUAGGACUUCUUUUGUUUAUACUCCUCCGUAACUGAAACCCUAAUUGUAAUUCGUAUCCGUGCGGAUAUUUUGACUUGUACUUCAAGUAAUUUGUUGAAGACACGAAUGUAUAGAUGUUGGCAAGUGUAUAGUGGUAUAUAUAUUUGAUGAUAAAUGCAUGUUUUAUGAUUGUAUGAGCUUUACUUUUACCCGUUAGAAAGAUCGGACAAGGGCGGGCUUGGAACGAGAAAACAAAAAAAAAUUUGGUGAGAAAUCAUUUCUGAGAAUCCAGCCGUAUAUCUGGCCAGUUAUUGGCCGGAUUGUUGGCCGGAUUGACAGGAAAUUUGAACAAAAUUUCGUUCAGCUAUUGCCUCAAAUCCGGUCGGAUAUCCGGCAACUUCCGGCUGGAUUGUGACAUGGCACUUGCUCUUUCGUUUCGUUUUCAAUUUUCGUUGGAAUAUUAUAUCAAAGUCCUAUUGUAUCUUUAAGUUUGGUUGCUUGGUUUUCGAAAGUUCAUUUUCUUGAAGUCCUUUUGAAUGCUUCGUAGGGUGUUUGUGCGUUUCUGUUCAGUAGUCUUGGCAAGAGUUGGGCAGGCGGUCCGCCGAACCCUUUGGUUCGCCAUAGGGGGAAGUUGGUCCGUCACAGUUGGUAUCAGAGCUGCUUCGUGUGGUCUCUGCACGGAGUGAGUUUGGGCCAAGUGAUGUUAUGGUCCUGCUUUGUGAAUGUGUUUAAAGGAUUAAGUGUUUUCCUUAAGGGUAAGUUAUGAACCGUGCGUGUUAUAAGUGUAAAAAUCUUUAUCAUGGAACUUGAGAAAGAUAGAUAUGUAUGUUGGGUAGGAAUCGUUAAUAUGGAUGAUUUACGCUUGGGAUCGGCCGGCUCGAGUUGUGAAUUAUCUUAUUUGGGAUUCUUGUACCCGGCUACUAAAGAGAUGAGAGCCUAGGUUAGAAGAGACUUGGGCAAAAUAGAAAUGUGAUUCUAUGGGAGUUCGUGUGAUUUGUUCAGGUGUCAUUAGGUAUGAUUAACCUCGAUUAAGAUAUAAAUUGUGUUAUUUUCGUAGAUUAUGGACGGAGCCCUAGAGGGGAAAAACUUUUCGUUAAUUACUUUUUUACCUUUGGCCUGGAUGGUAUAUAGUACUUUUGAUGACCCCGUUACCCUCUUGGACCCCUUUUGUUUGUAUCUAACUGGCUGCUACUGUGUGAAUUGUUUGAUAAAGUUGUGUUAGAUAGAUAUAUGCCUUUUGAUCUGUGUGUAUCUCUUGCUACUUAUUCAUGCAUAUCAUUAUUUUAAUGUUACAUUCACGCUUCGACCGUAGAUUGGUUAGACCAAUGGAGGGAACUCGUCAUGGACGUGGUCGUGGGUGCGGACGUAAGCAACUUUCGACUAAAAGAGGUAAUCGGGAACCCACACCUGAACCAAACCCUGAGCCUAGAAUUGACUCUAAUGCCCAAGUAGCCGCUGUUAUCCAGUGUAUGACCGAUUUGCUAGCCCAUGUAGUGGAACAUCAGGGCCAAAACCCUAAUCGUCAACCUGGAAACCCUGGUAACAAUGUAGAGAGCGAGGAUAGAGCCCUUGAAAGAUUUUAAAGUUCUCUCCACCAAAAUUCCUUGGAGGACCCGAUCCAGAUGUGGCCGAAAAGUGGUUGAAGAAAAUGAUAGACAUAUUUGCGGCUUUACACUAUACCGAAGAGAGGCAGGUCACGUUCGCUGUCUUCCAACUGGAGGGAGCCGCCCGUUCUUGGUGGAACGUAAUUCGAAUGAAAUAGGAAAGAGAACAUACCCCGAGGACAUGGGCGAACUUCAAGAGGGAAUUCAAUGCCAGGUUUUUCCCUCCUCUGAUCCAAGAAAAGAAGGAAAAUGAAUUCAUUCGGCUUCGACAAGGAACUCAAACCGUAGCCGAGUAUGAGAGUCAAUUUACUCGGUUAUCUAAAUUUGCGCCUAAACUGAUUGUAACCCAGCAAAUGCGGAUAAGGCGUUUUGUCCAGGGACUAAAUGUUGAGAUUCAGAAGGACCUAGUUGUAGCCCAACUUAGCGCCUUUAGUGAUGCUAUGGAGAAAACCCAGCGGGUUGAAAAUGCGAGGUUACAGGUGAGAAACUUCCAAACCAAGAAAAGGGGCUUUCGUGGGAGUAGCUCCGAGCAAGAGGGUAAAAGUACACCACCUAAGAUUGGAAAGGAAAACGGGAGAAUAUGACAACCGGGAGAAAAGGGACCCAACAACCAACUAAGACUAACCCUGGACAGUCGGAAGAGGAAGGGACUGGAUCAAAGGUACCGGCUCGGAUGUAUUCUCUAGAGCACCAUCAAGUCCCUGACUCGUCUGAGGACGUAGAAGGUACGAUCCGUUGGUUACCUUAGAUUUUGAGAGAUCCCGUUGAAAAGAAAAUUUCGAGGACGAAAUUUCUUUAAGGGGAAAGAGUGUGAGAACCCGUAAAUUUUUUAAAUUUUAUAUUAUUUAUUUUAUUUCCACGCGUGCAUUUUUCUUCACUAUACCCUACUAUUUUGAUUUUCCAGAUAUUUUAUAAGUAAAUAGAGUUUUUAAAUCAUUUUCCUAGUUUAAGUUAGUAUAUGAUAAGUUUGAAGUGUAUUAUUGACGUGGGACCCACUAGUGCGGUAAAUGCGAUAUAUUUUUGACAAUUUGUUGGAGUUUUGUAUCAAGCGAUAUUAUUUUACAAGGUGCUAGAAUACAAUUAGAGGUGAGCUAGAUAAAUUACCAUUGGUAGACAAAGUAUGAGAAUGAAACCCUAAGGUGCCAUUUGUUACAAAAUCAUUGGAAGUUGGACUUUGACUUAAGACCAUCUUAUGUUUUAUUUAACCAAUUUUGACCAGGAACCCUCUUCAUUUCUUCUUGGCUUGGCCGAACAAAGGGAGAGGAAAAACCAAGAGAGUUCCUCAUCUUCAACUUCAAUUUCUAGCCCAAAUCUUGAGUUUCAACCACUAGUAUCUCAAAUUACUCCAUAAAAAUUUUUUGCUAGGAAGGAUUAGAGGUGAUGGUGGAGUGAUUUUUGAGGGGGAAGUACUAAUCUAUCAUCUUUCUAGUGUUUCUAAGGUAACUUGUCAAGAAACACCUCAUUUACUUCCAAUAAUUGUAUAGUAGGGGUUGAUAGUUGUUAAAUACGUAGUUUUGUGGGAGAUUUCUUGGUUUAAAGCAGUAUUAUGGUAAUUUUCAAUUUUAUGGUAAAUUUUCUGCCCUCAUGUGAUAAGUAAUGGUUGGUCAUAGAAUGAUAGCUUUAUAUGGUGUAAAAUGAAGCUUUGGUAUGCUAGAUCUGGUUGCCUAAAGAAAUUUCAGCUAGGGUGCAAGAAUUUCAGUUUUAGGGUUUCAAUCUGCCCUAUUUUUACACUGCAUGUUCGUCUAGGAUAGAGACCGAAUCAGGCCUUGCUCAAAACAUGAAAGUUGUAGGUAAUUGAGUUAGCUAUCUUCUUGUAAAAUUUCAGCUCAAUAGGAGUACUGUAGCCUAUGAAAUGACUGAAAUACCCUUGACUGCCUACAAGCUUUGUUCCGCGGACAGUUUUCUAUUUUCUCUAAGAUUUUGAUUUUUGACCGUGAAAAUGCAUGAUUUGGCUUUGGAGGUUUUCAUAAGAAAUGUAGGUAUAUGUCUUAGCUUUGAAACACCAUAAAAUUUGUCUCAAUCCAAUAAAUGUAGCUUUAGUUGUGGUUAUUAUACUAAAAGAUAUGUUUUAUAGUCUAUGAUUUAUCUAUGAAAUUGUGGUUGAUUGGAGUUGGGAUUAGUGAUGAAAUGUAGGAUGGAAAAAUAAGGAAUUUAUUAAGGGGAGAUGCUGUCCAAUUUUCUAGACCGUUUGAUUCCUUUAAGUUGGAGUUGCAUUGUGGUAGAAUGAGGGCGUUUGGGGUUGUUUGUAACCCUCGUACCAAUUGUUAUCCGUUUGCUCAAAAAUCGCAUUUUUAUUCUUUUGUAGUAGUAUAUAACUUGGAGAGGCACUCGACUAGUAAUCGAGCCUCACUUGUGCAUCCUGUUUACUCGGUUUUGGAUAUGUAAACUUUAACUGUUUUUACCUUUGAUAUUCUUAGGGUUUCACGGUGAUUAAGGCCACUUUGGGUGAAAAUUUUGAAGUACCUGUACUUGAACUGGUGAGUGUACCACUUCCCUAAUUUGUUGCUUAUCUAGCUAUCCGUGACUUCUGUAUACUCUGUAUGAAAUGAGAGUGUACUUUAUCACUCUCGUUUCUCUCAUCUGUUUACUUUGUUUCCUGCAUACUAUAUAAGUCUGUAUUUGCUCUCUGUAUCUGUUAUUUGUAUCUGCUCUCUGUAUAAGUCUGCGACCUUUGGGCUCAAAACCUGUGACUAGUUACUCGAGUCGAGCCGGCAAGGGCCAGUUCGAUUAGAUAACGAUCCACGGUAGUCUGUUUCUAGAAAUCUUUGGGUAUUGAGACUCUUGAUUCCGGUAUACUCGAGUAUUACCAUUCCUAUUCCUGUUGAGGUGUUCGGACCUGGUAGUGGGGUAUGUUUGAUGGACGGAAUUUGGCGUAAAAUGGGGUCUACGAACAUGAUUGUUACCUAUACAUUGACGGAGAGUCAACGAGUUUGGAUCAAAUACUGCAAAUAGAAAUCUGGCUCCUGAGAGCCACUUGUAUCCUUUCUAUAUUAAAUCACAGUGUCUAACUGCUUUACUUUAUAUCUGGUAUGUGUAUCUGAUUGGUUAAAUGUGAAAUGCCAUGAUUUGAUUGCUUAUACAUUUGGUACCUUAUUGAGCGUAAACUCACCCCAUUCCGUUAUCCUUGUUUUCCUUACAGGGUUCCAUGUUUUGAAACCAAGAUUUUUGGAAGAAAAGAGUUGAGCUAGUUGUACGACUUCUUUUGUUUAUACUCCUCUGUAACUGAAACCCUAAUUGUAAUUCGUAUCCGUGCAGAUAUUUUGACUUGUACUUCAAGUAAUUUGUUGAAGACACGAAUGUAUAGAUGUUGGCAAGUGUAUAGUGGUAUAUAUAUUUGAUGAUAAAUGCAUGUUUUAUGAUUGUAUUAGCUUUACUUUUACCCGUUGGAAAGAUCGGACAAGGGUGGGCUUGGAACGAGAAAACAAAAAAAAAAUUGGUGAGAAAUUAUUUCUGACAAUCCGGCCGUAUAUUUGGCUAGUUAUUGGCCGGAUUGCUGGCUGGAUUGACAGGGAAUUUUGAACCAAAUUUCGUUCAGCUACUGCCUCGAAUCUGUCCAACUUCCAGCCGGAUUGUGACGUGGCACUUGCUUUUUCGUUUCGUUUUCAAUUUUCGUUGGAAUAUUAUAUCAAAGUUCUAUUGUAUCUUUCAGUUUAGUUGCUUAGUUUUCGAAAGUUCAUUUUCGCGAAGUCCUUUUGAAUGCUUUGUAGGGUUUUCGUGCAUUUCUAUUUAGUAGUCCUGACGAGAGUUGGCAGGCGAUCCGCCGAAUCCUUUGGUUCGUCUUAGGGGGAAGUGGGGCCGUCACAGUAGUGGGUGAAUGCUCCUUUUUGCAAUUAACUCUUGUACUUCAAGUGUUAAUAUAUAUACUGAUAUUAUCAUUUGUUGAAAAAAAAGGAAAGUAUUUAUUUGUUUAAUAAAAUAGUCACGGUAGUGUUUAUAUAAUUUUGUAAACAUUGAAAAACAAAUUACCUCGUUGAAUUUGUAUAAUUUCAUUAUGUUGAAGAAACAUAAUCUUGAAAAAGCAGAGAAAUUUUCUUGUAAAUAUUAGCUAAACAAACAAGUCAUUAUUUUAUUUUGAUAGCUAAUCAUUGUUCAUAUCAAUAUACUAGUUAUAAAGUUAUACUCGCAAUACUAAUGUUACGAUAUAAAAUUUCUUGUCAGAGCAAUUUAUAAUUUCAUCCCAUUUUUACCUUGACUGUUAACCUCAAGUUCUUCAGAUAUCCAUGGGAUAGUGUAACCCCUUUGAAGGUCAAUUCUUACACCCUUAUCAAAGUUUCUGGAGUUGCGUAUUAUAGGGGUGCAAAAACAAAAACGAGACAUCCUUUAUCAAAUGGAGUUCCUUCUUUUUGCGAUUCAUUCCUCUGCAAACCUCCUCCUCCUCCUCCUCCGAUUUUAAUAUAUGCCACUGUUAAAAUAGGAUACUUUUGUGGGUUUAAUGACUAGAUCGACACGAACUCUUUUGUGCCCAACAUUUGCUCCGGGCAUCGUUACUACAGAGUAUGUGAUCCAAUUACCCGUGUAAGGUCACAAUGUUAGAGAUGUGAAAUUAUAUUGCAAUGGUCCCUAAAAUCCAACUUGAUCGAUAGGAACACUAAUUAGGUGAAUACGAGGACUCUGAUUCAACUCUCGAUCUUUCCGCUCAAAUUACACUAAUAUUUUUAAUCAUACACUCAUCCCCUUACUAACUUCCUAUGGGCCCAAUAUGUUGAGUAGAAUUCGAUUGGAACAACCGAAAAAAAAGAAAAGAAAACAAAUAAAAAACAAUGAAAUAGACACUUAGUCAAGUUGGAACCUAACAGGAAGUGAGGAGCACAAGUGCGAACAGAUCACCAAGGAAAAAGAAACAAGUUUUUCGAGAAUGAAAUUUGAUUUCAAGCUCAAUCAAAUUCUAAGAGUCAAUGAUAAGAUCGAAAAAUGUGGGACCAUUGUUAAGAUGUAGACGGAGAUGGUUGCUUAUUGAGCGUUGGAGGUAUUUCAUAUGCAAGUUGUAAUUAUAUCUCAACUUGUAUAAUUUUAAUUUAAUAAGAUUAAAUUAAUGACCAUGCCAAUGAUUUCUGGCGUCAUGCAUGACAUUCUUUUUUCUUGUACUCUCCCAAAAGCUAAAAAUUCUCAUCUCAAUCUUCUCCUCCAACGGUGGCUGCAUGUCUGUACAUGUUCCCCCACAACAAGAAUAAUGAAUCAAUUGCCAUAAUUGCACGCGUUUAAAUUUUCUGAGCUGGUGAUAAAUUGCAUAGUUUUGAUUUUUCUGUUUCCGGUUCCCACUCUAGCUAUGUCUAGAUUUACUAAUUGAAAAAAAGGAGAAGGAAUAAAUUAAACCUUAUUUAAUUGCUUUUUUAAGUCAGGAUAUCUAUAGUAGAUAUAAUUAUCUCUAUAGAAAUGAAUGAAGCAUACUAACUUGUGAUCAUUAUCGUCUAUUGCAAUUCUCUUGUUGCAACUUCAAAUUAAGGCCUUGUUUGAUAAUCCAAUUCAACACUUAAAUUUAAUGGAUUUAGAUCUUAACAUGUUCAGAUGCGUUUGAUAACAAAAAAUUGAAUAUCUGAAUUAAUCAAGUAGCACUAAAUCUAGACAGAACUUGCUCCUAAAAAUAAGUGAUAAGCUAUUCACUUAUCACUUAAUGUGAUAUAUACUCAAAUGUAUCAAAUUUAGUAUAUAACAAUUUAAUAACUUAAUGCAUUCAUAUUUCAAAUUUUAGAUUUCAGUUUUAUCAAACGCACCCUAACAGAGCGCGAACUGAAUAUGAAAUCCAAAGUUGAAAAUCCAAGGGUUAGAACUUUGAAACAAUAGAGCCUCUGAUAUGUUGCAAUUUUCUUGUUUAUUUUAUUAUUAAUUUUUCCUAUUACCUGACUCGAUGUGGAUUAAUUGUUGGAUUCUACUCACUUUUAGUAUUUUGCAUUUAUUUCAGGGAGUAGAAUGAAAAUAUGAUAACAAGUGCCGAUUUGACAGAAGAGGAAUCCAAAUAAUAGAACUUAUCCCAGGGGCAAUUUUGGGAAAGGAAAACUUAUCCCCAUUUUGGUAAUUACUGCAAAGGCAAGGAUGAAGGCAGGGCUUCCUUUUUGCUGGUGGGGGCCGCCAUACAAUAGUUAGGCAUUAGAGAGGAUUGCAAUUAGAUAGGAAUGGGAAACGGAUGCUUUUGAGUAGGACUCCUCCUGCGCAUGGCAGGAGCAACUAAGAGUUGUUUUCUUUAGCUUUUUGCUGGGAUCUCUUUUUUAUAUUUUUCUUUCCUACGCAUGUCAAAGGAGGGGAGCUUACCCUUUGACUUUUCUUUUCGUCUUUAGUUGCUCUUCCGUGGGAGUAGACAAGGGAUGAGUUAAAUCCCUUUGUCUAGUCAAGGAACAACGGAAGCUUUGAUUCGGCUAAAAAUUGUGAGAUCGAUUUGAUUUUAUCUUUUUCUUUUAGUUAUUGUUAUUCGUAUAUUCUUUGAUUUCAGUACUUAUGGUUAUUUAAUUAAUUGAUUGUCUUGGAUCCGGAUAAUUAGUUAAUUUGGUAAUCUAUUGUCAAUUAGGGCAUUAAAUCCGUAAUUGUUUAAUUGCCUUGAUAUAGUGACAACUGACAUGAUUGGUUUUGUGUCAGAGAAAUACGCGGGCUAACCUAAAAUAACCCUGGUAGUGUGUUAUUUGGUUAGAAUAGGGCUUCUCUAAACGUAAGGCAAUUGGAGAAUUAAAUCUUACGGACGUACCUAGGAUUAUUUUCCAAUUAGGGCAGUGAUUAACGGGGGUACCUUAAUCACCGACACAGUAAGGAGGGGUUGAUUGUCAUCGCUUGUUUGACAGUUAUAACCUAUUUAUUAGUAAAUAAUUGAAAUUUGUUUUGCAUCGAUGAUCAAUUAAGUGAACCAUUGCUAAAGUUAUUUCUUGGCUAGAUUCUUAAUUAUCACUCAUUUGAUUUUAGUAGAUUGUUAUUUAAUUUUUAGUAGCUUCUUAGAUUUUCUUUGUUUGUCAUCUUCUGCACAAAAACACCCCCCGGUUACUGUGAAUUUGAAAAGAAACAGUUAUACCCAAUCCAUGUGGAUUUGACCAUGCUUACCAUUAUUUACAAAAAUUAACUUUAGUUGAGCAAGUUUUUAUUAUUGCACAGGCCUGACAACCUGUCAAUUUUUGGCGCCGUUGUCGGGGACUGGUGUCAGAUUAAUUUGUUUCUUUUUGAGUUCAUCUUUUUUUGAUUUUUUAUUUAUUUUUCUCUUAUUUUUUAUAUAGUUUAUGACCACUAACAUUCCGUAUUUUGAUGAUAGACUGGACUUUAUUCCUGAUUGGGGUUAUGAGACACGUGUUUUUCCUAAUGAUGAAUUGGCUGCUGCAAAUUAUGAAACUUAUUUUGCCUCAGCUUAUUCAACCGACACAUGCCUCGUAUUUCAAGAUUACCUAAGUGUUCCAACAGAUACUUUUAGAGAUUUUUCACCUCGAUUUCAAACGUGGUAUGAUCCUUAUUCAAACAGGUAUGAUCAAGGAUGGUGAAAAAAUUUCAAUUUUAAUUAUGUGACCGGACCAAUGAAUUUUCAACAGCAAGAGUCUCAACAACCAUCAUCCAUGUCAGGUAUGUCUCUUAAAAAAAUGAUUGAAUUACUAGCCGCUAAUACAUAUCGAACUCAGCAAGAGACACAAGCGAUGGCGGAUCAAGUGCAACUAUUGAUAUCCAGGAUGGCAGAUCAAAUACAUCUAUUGACAUUCAGGAUAACGCGAUUAGCUUCUCACCUUGAAGAAUUACCCUCACAAAUCAAUAUCAACCUUGAAGAAGAUGAGAGUGCAAUUAUCCGGCCAAAUGACAUGGAACUGCAAGAGUUUCACGGAAACGGAUCUAAAGAUGCAGUUGAAAAGGAAGCUGAAGUGCAAGAAAUGUGGCCCCAGUAUCAACUCGUCCAAGUGAAUGAAUCCAGUGAAUAAUCUCCAAAUGCGGUGACAUCUCCUCCAAUCCUUAAUCAAUAUUCUCCUGACUCUUAUUUUUCAAUUCUUGUUAAUGAAAUUGACUUUAUUAUACUAGAAAAUUUUGAAUUCAAUGAUAGGAAUAAAUUAAGAGUAGCGAUGGCAAGAUAUCUUGGACCAAUAAAUGCACGUGAGGGGCGAGUGAAUGGAGAAUGCAAAUUAUCGUUGACUUGUUUGGCGCCAUUUACUAGCCCAUGGAAGCCCGUAACUCGUGUGCUCGAGAAUUAUUCUAUUUACGAGGAUUAUCAGGACUAUAUUGAUGAUGAAGCAUUAAGAUGAGCCACAAAAUUUUAUCCUCCAUGAAUAAAACAUGAUAAUGUCUAGCUAAAGACGUUAAAGAAAAGCGCUCAUUGGGAGGCAACCUAAUUUCUCUUAGUUAUUUGUUCAUUUAUUUUAUUAGUUUAAAUAUGUUCGUCCUUAGAUUUGACUAAUUUAUGGUUUCAAUUUUCGUUUUUGAUAAUUCGUAGGUGUCUCUCCGACUUGACGCGCCCGCGCCAAAUCGUAUGGAGAACUCACGGUCAGAAGGGUUCUUAUCCUCAUGACGUGCCCGCAUCAAGUCACCUGGAGAGCUCCUUAUUCCUUGCCCUCAUGACGUGCCCACGUCAUGUUCGCAGGAAAGGUAAGUAUUCAAAAAACUCAAGAACGGUUAUUGAUUUUCUGUUAAUCUCUACUUUUGAAUUUCAGAAAUAAAAUUUGCCAAUAAUAAUGAAACAAAAAAAUUUCAAAAAAAAGAAUAAAUAAAAAUUAAUUUUAAAAAAAUUUUGUUUCACCAUAGAUUAGAUUUUCAAAGUACAAAUUUUUAACCAAAAAAAAAUAAUUUCUCUUUCUUUUCUAUGUCUUUUUUUUCUUCUUUUCUUCUUUCUUUCCUUCUUUUCUUUCUUUCUUUCUUUCUUUCUUUCUUUUCUUUCUUCCUUCUUCCCCGCUGCUUUCCCUUUUCCCCUUUUGCUUUCUUCUUCGCCCGACAUCCCUAGCAACCGGCGCGUCUCGCCGUCCACCACCUUCACACCACCAACGCAUCACUCCACCUUGCGUAGCCACGAACCUCCGCCAGCUCACCCCGAUUCGCGCGCCGCCCCUCCAGUCCGACCCACCUCGACGACACCCGCUCAAGACCAGGCCGCGUGCCACCAGUUUAACUUCACCAACGCCGCCGCUGUCCAGCCCCGAGCUCCACCUCACGAUCGUGCCUACCACUGCAGUAGCUCCAGCUACACCGCUGCCCCUCCUUUUUCCCUCACUCUGCCUCUCGGCCACACGCUGCGUACAGCCGCAGCCAGACAGCCACGCUGCUUUUGAGCUCAGCCACCUGCCCAAGCCGCCACCAGCUCGCUCCCACUUCUCUGCAACAGCCCCUGUGCACCACCAGUCGCCGCCUUCGCCAUACCCACUCUCUACCCACGGCCACGUCUCUCUCUCUCUCCUUCUCUCUAUCACCACGGUGGAGGUACCAUUACACCUAUUACCUGCCUGUUUUGAAUAACCUUUGCUGGGUUUCCUUAUUGGCCUCACUAAAGGACUCCUCUGCUAGAAUUUAGUGGCGUCAGUUUCUUGGCUUGUCCGUUUGAUUUAACUCCUCCCUGUGUGUACACCAGUGGUACUGGUUGCGGUGUUGCUUUAAAUUUCUUAAUCCUAUGUGCUUGACUGCCUAUUUGACUUUUGAGUUUUAGUACUUGAAUUGUUUCUCGAAUUCUAAACGGUGGUUGCUGGAAUAGCCUGUUGCUUGGCUCCAUUGCUAAUUUUGGUCGUUUGAAUUGGGUAAUUGACUGUGCACUUGGUGACAUUUGUUGAGUUUCAGUUGCUCAAAUUGGUUGAAUUCACUGCUCUGUUGGGGUCCCUGUGGGUAUCACUUGAGUUCUGUUUUGUUAGUUUCUGUCUUGUGCCCCAUGAAGUGCCGUUAGUUGGGUAUUUUUCUGUGCUUGUUUGUUGAAUUGAGGGGCUACUGUGCCCCUUCCUUUGUUUUUGGUGAUCUGUUGUGUCUAAUUGACUUGCUUGGGGUAAUUUGCCCAUCAAUUUUAAUUACUCAAGUCUUUGGAGCAGUUGUUGCACAUUUGGACUGCUUUGUUUCUACAUCUGACUGAAUUGGGACCACAAGUGCUUAUCUAUUGCAUUUGCUAUACGUGUUGGAGUAUUUGUAUAACCUGUGGGUGAUUGAAUUGUGUAUUUUGUUCAUUGAGCUGGCUUUUUAUUUGUUAUUGCUUUGAAUUGCCUGCUUCCAUUAUUUGUUGGCACCUGUAGUCUCUUGUUGUUUGGAGUGAUAACUGCUACCCAUGGUGAAGCCACGAUCCUCCUUUAGGUUUAGGACACCUAGAACUACUCCACCUUCUCCCACCCCAGGGGCCGACGACUGACUCCAACUCCGGAUGACAGUUGAGAGACUGGAGACUCGAGUGACCUACGUUGACAUCAACUUGCAUAACAUGGCGCAAAAUUUGGCAGCACGUAUGCACCAUGCGGGUCCCAUGUUUUGAUGACUUCAGGAAAGUACUGUUCCCUUCUCCUUCCUUCUGCUUUUACAUUGUCACAUUGAGGGCAAUGUGUGAAUUAGGUGUGGGGGGGAUCGUUGUAGCGCUAGUAUUUUUGUUUUUAGUUUCUAGGGACUUUUGCUUUAUUUUUAGUUUGUUUUUUUGUCCAUCUUUCGUUUAUUUUCUUUUCUUUUUUCUAGUGGUCAGUCCUUAUAUGAAUACCAAGUUUUGAUGCUGGAUUGUUGUUUCUAAUUCUGCUAUUGCCGAGUUUUAGUAAUAAAAGGGUAUCAAGUUAAUGUGGUUGAGUUCAGGAAUAUCUCUCUGGUGAAUAUCAGUAAUUGCUUGACUUUUCUAAUUUCUGGUUAACUUUUCUAGGUAUAAGGAAUGAUUGUUGGCAUUUUUCAUGUGAAUUGGUCCAGUUAUUAAUCUUAGUUCUCCAUGUUUGAAAAUGAGACUAGCUGAUGCAAAUUUUCUUUUGGUUUUUGUGUUAUAUUGAGUUUUUGUGUUAUUUGGUUGUUAAUAAGAGUAACUAUACUCCUCUAAUUGUUACUACUGAGUAACCAGGGAUUUUCACUAAAAGUAUCGAUUCUCGCGUCAAAAGGUAGUGAUUUCUAUGAGUACGUGGUCACCUAGCGAUAGGAGCUGAAUAACAGGGCUCCUUCAUCUGACAAAUGUUGGAGUUCGCGUCAAAAGGCUCUAAUGGCUAGAGACUAAGUCUUCUGCUAUUCUCAAAAGAAGAAAAAAAGAGAGAAAAUAGAAAAGUGUGAUAAUUUUAAAAAAAAAAAGUGAAGGUUGUGUCAAAUGUGACGAAAGUCAGCUUGCCGUUUUAUGGGUUUAAUGUUGAGAUUUUGGUUAAUAGUUGGACCAAUUGCUGAUAAAUGUGAACAACCAUUCCUUUUUCUUAGAAUAGUUUGCUUUAAAUUGGAGGAGUUGGUGGUUGGGAAGCUAACCGGGGUGAUUUUUCUUUGAUCAUGACCCGUGAUGCUUGAUAAAUUUUUUUUUCUUGGUAUUUUGGUAGUGCGGUAGUUGGAGCAAUAACCAUUGUCAAACUUUGAUGUUCAAUUGCUGUUCCUAUGGUUGAGGGCAAGCAUGGUUUAGGUGUGGGGGGAAUUGAUAGGUUGCAAUUUCAUUAUUUAUUUUAUUAUUAAUUUUCCCUAUUACCUGACUCGAUGUGGAUUAAUUGUUAGAUUCUACUCACUUUUAGUAUUUUGCAUUUAUUUCAGGGAGUAGAACGAAAAUAUGAUAACAAGUGCCGAUUUGACAAAAGAGGAAUCCAAAUAAUAGAACUUAUCCCAGGGGUAUUUUUGAAAAAGGAAAACUUAUCCCCAUUUUAGUAAUUACUGCAAAGGCAUGGAUGAAGGCAGGGCUUCCUUUUUGCUGGUAGGGGCCGCCGCACAAUAGUAAGGCAUUAGAGAGGAUUGCAAUUAGAUAGGAAUGGAAAACGGAUGCUUUUGAGUAGGACUCCUCCUGCGCAUGGCAAGAGCAACUAAGAGUUGUUUUCUUUAACUGUUCGCUGGGAUCUCUUUUUUAUAUUUUUCUUUCCUACGCAUGUCAGAGGAGGGGAGCUUAGCCUUUGACUUUUCUUUUCGUCUUUAGUUGCUCUUCCGUAGGAGUAGACAAGGGAUGAGUUAAAUCCCUUUGUCUAGUCAAGGAACAACGGAAGCUUUGAUUCGCCUAAAAAUUGUGAGAUCGAUUUAAUUUUAUUUUUUGAAUGAGAGGGAUCAUUCCCAUCAUGGUUAUCAGAACUAGCUAGGAAAGAUAUGGGGGUAGUUACCCCGUUUUGUAAUUAACUCUUGUAAUUUCAAGUAUUAAUAUAUAUAUAAUUGGUAUCAUUUGUUGGAAAAAAAAUUAUUUUAUUUUUUCUUUUAUUUAUUGGUAUUCGCAUAUUCUUUGAUUUCAGUACUUAUGGUUAUUUAAUUAAUUGAUUGUCUUGGAUCCAGAUAAUUAGUUAAUUUGGUAAUCUAUUGUCAAUUAGAGCAUUAAAUCCGUAAUUGUUUAAUUCCCUUGAUAUAGUGACAACUGACAUGAUUGGCUUUGUGUCAGGGAAAUACGCGGGCUAAUAUAAAAUAACCCUGGUAGUGUGUUAUUUGGUUAGAAUAGGGCUCCUCUAAACGUAAGGCAAUUGGGGAAUUAAAUUUUACGGGCGUACCUAGGAUUAUUUUCCCAUUAGGGCAGUGAUUAACGGGCGUACCUUAAUCACCGACACAGUAAGGAGGGAUUAACUGUCAUCGUUUGUUUGACAGUUAUAACCUAUUUAUUAGUAAAUAAUUGGAAUUAGCUUUGCAUUGAUGAUCAAUUAGGUGAACCAUUGCUGAAGUUAUUUCUUGGCUAGAUUCUUAAUUAUCACUCAUUUGAUUUUAGUAGAUUGUUAUUUAAUUUUUAGUAGCUUCUUAGAUUUUCUUUGUUUGUCAUCUUCUGCACAAAAACACCCCCCGGUUACUGUGAAUUUGAAAAGAAACAGUUAUACCCAAUCCAUGUGGAUUCGACCAUGCUUACCACUAUUUAUAAAAAUUAACUUUAGUUAAGCAGGUUUUUAUUAUUGCACAGGCUUGACAACCUGUCAGCCUCUAGGCAAAUUCAGCAUUUUUACAUUCUACUGAUUUAGGGCAUCUUCAAUUAUCAGUUUCAACUCCAUGGUAUAGUAUAGAUAUUACCUCUAAUAGUUGUACGCACUUACACAACAAAUACAGAUUGUGAAAUUAAUUGUAUAAGUUUGAUAUUUUGUAGGUUUUGGGAUAUAAUUUUCACGUUUAGGAAAAAGAAAAUAAGUUAGUAAGUAAUAAUGUGAUACCCCUUGUCCCACGUUGGAAGUGGGAGAGGAAAAGGAUUGAUAUAUAUAAGAUUUGGUCUCAUAAGUUACUAGUUAUUUGGAAUAACCAUUUUGGGAUAGUGAAUUUCGACACAAAAAUUACUUGGGCCAACCAUGGGCUUGGAUGGUGACAAAUAACUUACUAGAAGCUAGGUAUAUUUAUGUUUAGAAGUCCUGAAAGCAGAGCAGUUAAGAAUCUUGAUAAUGGUAAACUUUGCUAAAUCUUAGUUUUUUUGUCUUAAUUUUUUUCAAAUAAAGGAAGGAUGGAAUUUAAGCAGUAGAGGGGUUGAAGAGGAAUUUGAAUUCAAAAUCUCUAAUUUCUAAGCUUUUCACUAAGCAAUCAUCAAAACCAAAAUAAUAAUAAUAAUAAUAAUAAUUGACAGGUGCCGAACCUGUACAAUAAUAAAUACCUACUCGAGAAAAAUACAGAUUUUGUAUAUAGCGGUGAGUAGGGUCGAAUCCACAGGGACUGGGGAUAAUUCGUUUCUUCUAGAGUCCAGAGUAUGGGAGGUUCUUGGAUUAAAUGCUAACUAAAUAAAUUAAGUGCAGAAAAUAAUUGAUUAAAAGAAAUAAUUAAGAGAAACUCUAGCCAAGGGUACACUUCAGAAAUGGUUCAGGCACUGAUCAUUGAUUCACAGAUAAUUCCACAUUUAUUAAUAGAUUAGUUAUAGUUGCCAUGCACGCGAUAAACAACCAACCUUUCCUUACUUUCUCGAUAGUUAAGGUACGACCGUUAACUAUUUCUCUAACCCAAAAACAACCCUAGGUACGACCGUAGGGUUUAAUUUCUAGAUUGCAUUAAUAAUUAGAAAGACCCAAUCCUAACUAACAAACACGCUACGAGGGUUUGUUUAAGUUAGAUCGUAUGUUCCCCUGACAUAAACCCAAUUACGCCAGUUGCUACUGAGAUAAAGAUAACAAACAAUUACGGAUUCAAUUAUCCCUAUUUAGCAAAAUAGCCUAUGUGAAUAAUUAAAUAUUGCGCAUCUAUUCAAUCACUCACACGAGCUAUAACAAUUAAAAGCAGGAAACAUAUAAAUACCAAUAAAUUAAGGAAGCAAUUAAAAUAAAUUAGAUCUCACAGUAAUUGUUGAACCAAGUCUUCAGUUGUCCCCUUGACUAGAAUUAAGAGGUUAGUCCUCCAUUAAUGGAGAACAACCAUGCGAAAGAGCUAAGAAAAGAAAACUAAAAACUAUGCUCAAAGCCUAAACUAAAACUAUUGAUUGAUAAGAGUUCUCUGUACGUUUGUCUCCUUUUUAAAGCCAACAAUGACUAAAGCUUCUUAUCCCUGUGGUCCCCGCUGGAAUUGAGAAUCAAACCAAAAGUGGGGCUCUACCAAAUUCCUUGCUUUUAGUUUCCUAUUGCCCGUAGGACUCCAAUCUCCUCAUCAGCAAAGGAAAUGCAAUCUCUUUGUAGCACCAUGUGGGCCCGGUUGUUUGAAAUCCCAAUUAUCUCCAAAAAGUCCCUCAUUUUUGUAGUUUUCUGUUUCACUUCCUGAAAUUGAGUCCAAUACCAAAUAUAAGUAAAUAUUAAUAAUUAAAAUAAUAUUUGGCAAGGAUAAAGGGAAAAAUUAACAAUAAAAUAACCAACAAUUAACACCCUAUCAAUUCCCCCCACACCUAAAUCAUGCUUGCCCUCAAGCAUAAGAACAGCAAUUGAACACCAAAAUUUGAUAAUGGCUAUUGCUCUAACUAUCAUAUCGCCAAGAUACCCAGAAAAACAUAUAUCAAGCAUCACAGUUAAGAUCCAAGAAAAACCACUCCGGUUAGCUUCUCAACCACCAACUCCUCCAAUUUAAAGCAAACUAAUCUAAGAAAAAAGAAUGGUUGCUCACAUUUAUCAGCAAAUGGUCCAACUAUUAACCAAAAUCUCGACAUUAAGAUCACAAUCUGGCAAGCUGACUUAUUCACAUACUAACACAAUCUUUAUUUUAUUUUUUUCCAUUUUUUUUGUUUUUUUUGUUUCUUUUUUUUUUUGUUUUUUUUGAGUAACAAAAGACUUAGUCUAUAGCCCUUAGAGCCUUUUGACGCGAACUCCAACAUUUGACAGAUGGAGGAGCCCGGUUACUCAGCUCUAAACAACUACCUUUUGACGCGAGAAUCGACACUUUAGGUGAAGAUCCCCGGUUACUCAGUAGUAACAACUAGUGGAGUACAGUCACCUCUUAUUUAUGAUAACAUACCACAAUAACUAGAAAAUAUCACAAAAAUAACAGCAGCCAGCCUCAAAUUUCCAAACAUGGAGAACUAAAAUUAAUAAUUGGACCAAUUCACAUAAAAAAUGCCAACAAUCAUUCCCUAUGCCUAGAAAAGUUAACCAAAAAUUGGAAAAGUUAAGCAAUUACUGCUAUUCACCAAAGAGAUAUUCCUGAACUCAACCACAUUAACAUAAUACCCUUUUGUUAAUAACACUUAGCAAUAGCAGAAUUAGAGACAACAAUCCAACAUCAAACUUGGUAUUCAAAUAAAAAACUGACCACUAGGAAGAAAGAAAAGGAAAUAAACGAAAAAUAGAACAAAUAACAACGAAAAUAAAGGAAAAGAAAAAAACUAAAAGCUGAACACCAGAAAUACCAGCUGUACCACAGCUCUCCCCCCCACACCUAAAUCCGACAUUGUCCUCAAUGGAGAUCAUAAAGUAAAGAAAGCGAAUAGGACAACUACACUUCCUUGAAUACGUGGUGGAAGGUCUCGGGCGGCUAUGGAAUAGGUGGGAACGGUGGAGUGAAAAUGGUGCUACGGUAGUGCGCGGCAGUGAAAGAUUGUAGAGGGAAGGAGAGCUCCGACGUGCGUCUUGAUCCAGGCGAACUAGAGUGCAACAGAGAACUUCAAACCAGCAAAUUUCCAGACAAUGCAGCAGUUUCAAUCAAUGGCCGAGGACGUCCAACAAUGUGCUUGAACGCAGUCAAUUCCAACGAAUAUGGCGAUCAAACAGACUAGAAGCGGUAAUAGAGUCUAAAUAAAUCAACAAAUCUCAACAAAUGAACCCAAUUCUACCCAAAAUCGCAACAAAUGUUCUAAAGAUUUAGCAACAGGCAUUUCAUCAAACACUAUAUGGGCAUAAAGGAUUCAGUAAUUCUCUGCUCGAAUGAUGUAAUUUAGCAUCCAAAAUUAUCAGAAAUCAAUGGACUUCGGUCCAAUUGACACAGAAAAACAUGUACAACCCAAAACCAUGAGCAACUAAUAAGAAAAUUGCAACAAACAAAAAUUCGGCAGACAUGCUCUAAAAGCUUGGGGAGGAACUGAAAUUCAAAGGAAAAGGGUCAACUUACAGAGCUCUUGCUUGAGCGGCGGCGAUUUGCUGAUGGCGGUGGAGGAUCCCGACGAGAUGGUAGCUGCGAAAAAUUCUGGAGCUGCCAACAAGAUGCAAUUCCUCGCUCAGUUUUUCUGCUUGCCCGAAAUUCCUUUUCUUCUUGCUCGGUUUUUGCAACCCCCUUUUCUUGCUUUGUUUCUGUUUGCAGCCGCGGCCCUUUUUUCUGUUUUUUCCUUGGCUUUCACCAAUUCUUUUCCUCAUUUAGUUCCUCCAGCCUGCAGCCUUUUGCUUUUUCUUGUUUCCCCUUUUCCUCCCCUGCCGAAACCUCCCCUAUUUUUCUUUUUGUUUCUCUGUUCUUUUUUCCAGUUCUCUUCUUCAACCGAGAGCCUCCCUCUCUGUUUUCUGUUUUCCCCCAAAAGAUCUCCGCCGCACUUUCUUUCUCUUCCCUUGUUUUUCUAUUCUUUCGUUUAUUUCUUCCCGAAAAAAACUUCCCCCAAUCUUUCAGAUUUUCCCUUGGCUCUUGCCCAAGACUCCCUCUCUGUUUUUCCAGUUUUUUCUUCGGCCUGUCACUCUCUCCUUUUUGCCCAGAUUUUUCCUUGUUCAACCUCUUCUUGCCUUGUCCGCCGCCCCCCUCAUUUUUACUCUGUUUUUUUUUCCUUUUGUCGCAGCCUCCUCCCCUGCUCUUCUGUUUUUCUUUCCUUUUUCUUGACCGAAGCUCCCUCCAACCUAGCCGCCGUCAUUCUCUUUUUUUGUUCGCCUCCCCCCUUCCUUUUGACUCUCCCUAGCCGUCCCUCUUUUCUAAUUUCCUCACUCAACUAGCCGUCCACCAGAUUCUACUCCACACUCUCUCUCAAAACCUAGCCCUUUUCCUUUCAGCCGUCACUCAGUCCCCUGCCGUGAGCUUUUUCUUUUUCCUCUCCAAAGCUGCGUCUUUCUUUCCUCCCUAAACCCUAGCCACUCUCUGCUCCCUUCUAUUCUCUCAAACUCCCAGCCUGUUUCUGAACCUCCCAGCCGUCAACCUUUUUUUCUCCCCUCUGCCUUGCGGCUUCAUCUUAUGCCUUUUUAUAAGGAGCUAAAUCCCCAAACCCUCACACCUAAGGUUAGGAUGAUAGUGAGAUUUAUCCAAGAUUUUGGAGCCCUUGGAUGAUAGAUUUGAGCCGCUGUCCUUCCUCUGUUCGUUUCAUGCCUCUGCUUAAUAUGAAGAGAGAGCUCGGAUCUUGUGUGGCUCACGCAAGUUUGAGCUUGCCUUUUUCUUUUCUUAAUUAAUUAAUUAAAGCUGUAAAAGUCAAAUAAAAAUGAGAAUAAAACAAAUGAAAAUGCCCUAAAAAUUUAAUUUUUCUUGAUGAUUUUUUUUCUUUUUUUUCCUAUUAAUAAACAGUAAAACAUAUUUUUUAAGAAUAAUUUUCUCUUUUGACAAAUUUUACACUAAAAGUCUUAACAAAAAUAAACAGCUAAAAGGGAAAGAACGAAUACAAAAUAAAAAUAAAAACUAAAAUAAAAUAAUAGAUAAUAAUAAUAAUCUAAAAUGCUAUACAAAGGCUAAAAGUGUAAAACCAAAAUCAUGAAAUUAACAAAUAAAAAUAGAUAAGAAUUAUUACUAAAACAAAGAAUAAAAAUGGAAUGAAAAUUAUUCAAAAAUUUGGUGUCUACAGUUUGCCCCUCUUUGUCUGAGUUUUGAAAAAACUUGAGACAAAGAAGUAGACACCAAAUACUCACCUGUUAUUCGGCUGCGAACAACUCGAAUGAUUGACGCUUUCUGAAAUGGGGACUGACCCCUUUAACAAAAUUUUAAAAAGAAUGGGACUGACCCAAACAAAAUUUUAAAAUCAUGGGACUGACCCGAAUAGAAUUUAAAAUGGAAUGCACACUAGUGGGACUGACCCAUGUUUAGUGGCAACGAAAAUGAAAUGCACACUGGUGGGACUAACCCACGUUCAGUGGCAGUGUAAAUGAAAUGCACGCUAGUGGGACUGACCCAUGUUUAACGGCAACGAAAAUGAAAUGCGCGCUAGUGGGACUGACCCAUGUUUAGCGGCAAAGAAAACAAAAUGCACACUAGUGGGACUAACCCGUGUUUAGUGGCAAUGAAACAUGAAAUGCACGCUAGUGGGACUGACCAUGUUUAGCGGCAAAGAAAAUAAAAUGCACACUAGUGGGACUAAUCCAUGUUUAGUGGCAAUGAAACAUGAAAUGCACGCUAGUGGGACUGACCCAUGUUUAGCGGCAAUGCAAAUGAAGUGCACACUAGUGGGACUGACCCACGGCUAGUGGCGAUGGAAAUAAAAUGCUCACCAGUGGGACUGACCCACGGCAAGUGGCGAUGCAAAAUAAAAUGCUGGUAUGUAUGAAGAAACUAUAUAAGAUUUACUUGAAGAAUCAUCCAAAAAUUUGCCCAAGUGAUGAAAUGGUCAGUGGGAUUAAACCCGAGCCUGCCUUGGUUGGUGGUACAAAAUCCAAGCCCAACGUGAACUUUGUGAUGUUGGCGGCACCAAGUCCAGGCCCAACGUGAUGUUUGUGAUGUUGGUGGCACGAAAACCAAGCCCAACGUGAUGUUGGUGAAGUUGGCGGCACAAAAUCCAAGCCCAACGUAAUAAAGUGAAGUUGGUGGCACAAAAUUCAAGCCCAACGUGAUAUUUGUGAUGUUGGCGGCACAAAAUCCAGGCCCAACGUGAUGUUUGUGAUGUUGGCGGCACAAAAUCCAGGCCCAACGUGAACUUUACGAUGUUGGCGGCACCAAGUCCAGGCCCAACGUGAACUUUGUGAUGUUGGCGGCACCAAGUCCAGGCCCAACGUGAUGUUUGUGAUGUUGGUGGCACGAAAAUCAAGCCCAAUGUGAUGUUUGUGAAGUUGGCGGCACAAAAUCCAGGUCCAACGUGAUAAAGUGAUGUUGGCGGCACAAAAUGGCUCGCUUGUGUCUCCUGAUGAAAUCGAUUUAUAUUAGCAAUUAGUAAUCCCAUCAUUUCUUCAAGAGACAUACCUGACACGGAGGAUGAUUGCUGAGACUCUUGCUGUUGAAAAUCCAUUGGCCCGGUCGCAUAAUCAAAAUUGGAAUUAUCCCACCAUCCUUGAUCAUACCCGUUUGAAUAAGGGUCAUACUGCGUUUGAUAUUGGGGUGGAAAAUCUCCAAAAGUAUCAAUUGGAGCGCUUAGAUUAUCUUGAAAUGCGGGGCAUGUGUCAGUUGAAUAACCUGAAUCAAAAUAAGUUCCACAAUUUGCAACAGCCCAUUGAUCAUUAGGGAAAACAUGAGUCUCAUACCCCCAUUCAGGAACAAAGUCCAGUCUAUCAUCAAAAUAUGGAAUGUUAGCAGCCAUAAAAAAAAUAAUAAUAAAAAAAAAGAAAAAAAAAUAAGAGAAAAAUAAAUUUAAAAAAAAAAUGAAAACAAAAUAAACUCAAAAAGAAACAAAUUAAUCAGACACCAGUCCCCGGCAACGGCGCCAAAAAUUGACAGGCACCGAACCUGUGCAAUAAUAAAUACCUACUCGAGAAAAAUACAGAUUUUGUAUAUAGCGGUGAGUAGGGUCGAAUCCACAGGGAUUGGGGAUAAUUCGUUUCUUCUAGAGUUCAGAGUAUGGGAGGUUCUUGGAUUAAAUGCUAACUAAAUAAAUUAAGUGCAGAAAAUAAUUGAUUAAAAGAAAUAAUUAAGAGAAACUCUAGCCAAGGGUACACUUCAGAAAUGGUUCAGGCACUGAUCAUUGAUUCACAGAUAAUUUCACAUUUAUUAAUAGAUUAGUUAUAGUUGCCAUGCACGCGAUAAACAACCAACCUUUCCUUACUUUCUCGAUAGUUAAGGUAUGACCGUUAACUAUUUCUCUAACCCAAAAACAACCCUAGGUACGACCGUAGGGUUUAAUUUCUAGAUUGCAUUAAUAAUUAGAAAGACCCAAUCCUAACUAACAAACACGCUACGAGAGUUUGUUUAAGUUAGAUCGUAUGUUCCCCUGACAUAAACCCAAUUACGCCAGUUGCUACUGAGAUAAAGAUAACGAACAAUUACGGAUUCAAUUAUCCCUAUUUAGCAAAAUAGCCUAUGUGAAUAAUUAAAUAUUGCGCAUCUAUUCAAUCACUCACACGAGCUAUAGCAAUUAAAAGCAGGAAACAUAUAAAUACCAAUAAAUUAAGGAAGCAAUUAAAAUAAAUUAGAUCUCACAGUAAUUGUUGAACCAAGUCUUCAGUUGUCCCCUUGACUAGAAUUAAGAGGUUAGUCCUCCAUUAAUGGAGAACAACCAUGCGAAAGAGCUAAGAAAAGAAAACUAAAAACUAUGCUCAAAGCCUAAACUAAAACUAUUGAUUGAUAAGAGUUCUCUGUACGUUUGUCUCCUUUUUAAAGCCAACAAUGACUAAAGCUUCUUAUCCCUGUGGUCCCCGCUGGAAUUGAGAAUCAAACCAAAAGUGGGGCUCUACUAAAUUCCUUGCUUUUAGUUUCCUAUUGCCCGUAGGACUCCAAUCUCCUCAUCAGCAAAGGAAAUGCAAUCUCUUUGUAGCAUCAUGUGGGCCCGGUUGUUUGAAAUCCCAAUUAUCUCCAAAAAGUCCCUCAUUUUUGUAGUUUUCUGUUUCACUUCCUGAAAUUGAGUCCAAUACCAAAUAUAAGUAAAUAUUAAUAAUUAAAACAAUAUUUGGCAAGGAUAAAGGGGAAAAUUAACAAUAAAAUAACCAACAAUUAAUACCCUAUCAAUAAUAAUAAUAAUAAUAAGUAAAAAAAAAAAAUGGGCACCUUUUGGUCAAUGCUAGAUCCUGUUCGAAGAUUUAUUCCUUUGGUUUGUCAUCAUCUCCCUCUAUUGAAAUCUAAGUACCCUUGGUUGACAAUUUGUUUCCCUGAGCAGCCAUCAACGCUUUUAUAUAGUAUUAGAUUAGAUUAGAUUGUCAAUGCACCAUCAAUAUCCUUCAAUCUCACCACCUGCUCAACAAAAUGUUCCAUAAACACAAAUAUAUUAAUGAAUUUGGAGUUGAUUUGAAGAAUUGACGAGAACCGCAAGCUAGAAUUUUUCAUAUAGUCAAACAAGAAAUUGGAAAAAUCUGACUAGCUUGCAACGAGUACUACAUCUCAAGACAAGGGAUCUUUCAGUCACUCUUUUAUUGUAUCGAAGACCUACUUGCAUCUAUGAAUAAGCAAUACUGAGUGAUUUUAGAUGUGAAGUUGAUUCCAUGUGGUAGGACAACUUUGGUUUUCAAAAAUAAGGGCAGUCCAAUUCACUCAAUACAAAAAAAAAAAUUAAAAUGAUAAUAUUCAAAGGAACGUCUAUCUUACCUGAAAAAAAAACAAACAAACAAAAAACAAUAAAAAGGAGAUUGAUAUCCUAUCCAGUAUCCAGAGAUUGAACAAUAGCCACAUUAUAUUAUAAUUCUUAAUGAUCAUUAGCUGAACUAUCAACUUUAGCAGUCAAGAAAGGCUGUAACUUGUAUAAGGACAAUAAAUUCUUUAUUCCGGCGUCCGGAGACUUGAGACGUGGACGCUUCAUUAGUCAAUAAUAAAGUGUGGAAUUCGACGAAUAUUCUUAGCUCGUUCAAGAUAACAGAGAAGAUUCACUCUUGUACAAGCAACAGGAACAGCUACUUAAACUAUUGGAUAAUUUCAUAAACCUUGGCUGAAGUUUUGGACAAUUUCAGUAUCCCUAUUAUUUUCAAUAUUACGCUGACCAUUCUUACUUUAACUAAUGUAGUAACCAAUUCAGCCCAUAUCAGUAAAAGAAAUGGAAUAAAUUGACAAGAAAUGGUGUCAUCACAUUUUGUUCCACAUUUACCCUUAUAGACCCUAAAAGAAAUAUUGUAACAAAUUUUACUUCGUACCUUCGAUCUUGAAUCACUUUUCUAUUCUCUUACUCUAAACUUUAAUUUUGGACGCUUUCCAUGUGAUUGGAGGCAACAGCACAACAGAGCUCUUCUUAAGUCUCUGAUCGUUAGUGUCACAUGACCAUUGCUAAUUAUGCUAUUGCUUUUGAAUGGAAAUAGCAUAAAAGUCUUGGGGAAUGAACAAAUUGAAUAGACCAUUUUGCAGAGCAGUGAAAUAUUCCGAAGCCGUGAAGCACAGUGACAAGCUACAAAUUAUAGUAAUUUAUAUUUAUUAAUUGUCAAUGAAUGGUUUUAUUUGAGCUAUAAUUAGAAUGGAAGUUGCCUAAUUUAAGUAUAUUUUGGUUUUUGCGGGAAAAGCACGCAAUUGAGGAGGGGAUGAAUAAAAAACGCAACAAAAGAAGAAGAAACGUUGAAAGGGACUUUGUGAGGACUUCUUCCAGUUCCAAUGAUUUCUAAAGAAAUUUCUAAAAUUAUGAUGAAUUUUAAAAAAAUUCUACAAAGGGGCCAUUUUGAGUAUGGGAUUCCGUCCAAGGGGUCUUCGCAUUCAGCAAAUGCGAGCUUCCUCAGCUCGCAUUUGCUGAAUGCGAAGUCUCUUGAAUUUGCAACCAACGAAAUCCAAAAAAAAAAACAGACCUCGCAUUUGUAAACAGUACGUAGGCCUGACCUCUUAUCCUGUUUCUGAGCAACAAAGCAUAGCCACGAAUUUGAAAGCCAUUUGCCAAGUGAAAAGAAAAUGUGCAGUGCAAAUGGGACACAAAAUUGAUUGGGGAGUCCUGUUGAGGUAGUACAAGUGGCAAAUUGGGAGGGGAGAGAGAGGCGCAGCUGGCUAGCUUCACAGAAAUAGGUUCCGAAUAGGGGUCCAAGCUCUACAAUGGCGCAGAGCUUCCAACGAGAAAGAUGUGAGGGAUUUCGUCUGCCGAUCCUGGAAGCUUGGACUGGUGUCUAGCUCAGCAAAAGAGAAGAGAAAGUGAGCUGGAUGGAGAGAGUGAGCUCCAAUUUCUGCAGGUUAGGAGACAGAUUAGAAUGCCGUAAUUAUGAGCUCUGCCUUUUUUUCAGAUUGAGUACCUCGCAUUCGAGAAAUGCGAGGUACCUCAGCUCGCAUUUGGCAUAUACGACCUUUGUUGUUUUUUACUUUUUCUCAAAACCUUUCUCUUUUUUCUUGAAACACUGACCUCGCAUUUGUGAAAUGUGAAGUCUUUGAACUAGCGUUUCACAAAUGUGAAGACCAUAAUCCUAGAAUUAGCUUCAAAAAUUACCCCCCUUGUAAAACAACUUUUUUUUCUAUCACAAUUUAAGAAUUUACUCUGAUUUUUGAGCAUAACAAGUUUGCGGCCAGAGUUAGAGCCGGUCUUCGGGCCGAACUUUAUUGGAAAACCCAUUCAAACUCGAUUUUUGGUAAGUUUUCAAGACCUAUUCCUACCACAUUUCGGAUGCAACUUUGAGAGACUAUAAAUAGGACAUUCUAGGAUAUUUUUAGGUUAGAAAGCAUUUAGCUUACAUUAGUUCAUCCUUUUUAUAUCUUCUUUUCUUGAGAGAUCACAAAGGAAGUGUUGAAGAAUCAAAGAGAAAGUUCAAGAUGGAGAUUGGAGUAGGGAAAAAUUGAGAAGUUUUCUUUAUUUUUAACUUCUUAUUUUGUCUUUCAUUUGAAUUCUUGGAUUUAUCUAUGAAUAUGUUGAACUAAUUUAUAGCUAGACUUAAGAUUUUGUGAAGGAGAUUUGAUUAUUUGUUCUAGAUAAAUUAUUCAAUUUUUCUUUGAUUUAUCUAUCUUGCCUUUAUUACAUAUUUAUGUUUGGCCACUAUAGAUAUGCUUUUAGGGUUUGUAUUGAAUUGAGAAGCGAUAUACAACCAUAUAUUAGAUAAAUAAACUUACUUAACCUAAUUAUGAAUGUGGGUUAGGAUUUGUAUGGCAUAAUCAUAUCACCUAAAAUCUUAAAGGGUUUAAUUAAAUACCUAUGAUCUUGAGAGCAAUGUGAGAUUUCAUUAGACACAAUUUAGAUGUAUCGAGAGAUAAUUAAAAUACUUUUACGUGAUACGUCUUUGACAUGUUAAGAAAAUAAUUGGAUAAUGAUUCCAAUUAUGAAUCAAAAUUUGAAACUCUAGUCUUUUGCUAAUUGUUUUCUCACCUAUAUCUUAUUUGAUUUGAUUACUUAUUUAAUUUCUUAAUUAGUGACUAAAAACCCUCUAAAUUUAAAUUUUAUUAUUUUUAUUAGAAUAAUUAAAGUAGAAAAAAUUAACUCAUUCCUAUAUGUUUGACCCUGAAGUACUCCAAGUGAAUUAUUAUUUCGAUCAACCCUAUACAGUUAUAGAAAUUCAUCGAUCACACAGCAACUAAAAAAAAAUUAACGCACAAUAAUGUCAUGAACACAGUUCCCAUCUUAGUUGUUCAACAUUCACGGUGGAUUUCAAUUAGUGGUAAAUAGAUAAAGGCAUCGAAAAAAGUAAUCUAAUUACUAGAUAAUUGAAUUUAUACUACAGCAUAUUUCUUUUUUCUACUGCAAAAACUUAACUAAUUUAAGACAAUGUAGUCCAAGCUAAUUGAAGAUUAAUUUCCCUAAAAAAUGUUCAUGAUAAAAACUCAACAAAGAGAUAAUACAACAGCUUACUUUUGGAGGUGAUCUUAUAUGGUCUUUAUUAACAAACUAAUUAGCCACUUAAGCCUUUUUUUUUCCUUUUGGGACUACACAUGACAAAAUGAGGAGUGAAUCAGUCGCUUAGUAUCUAAAAUUUUCCCUCCAUAAUUAGUUCAACCUGAUUUAAGACUAAAUUUUUACUAUAGGAAUGUUCGUGAUUCAGCAAUGAAAGACCAUAUAAACUUAUUUUGGGAGAUUUGUCCUAGAAGACAAAAAAUGAGCAACCAAUCAGAAAGUCGUACUUACAUAUCAAAAUCGAUACAGUCUACUUAAUUCACCAGCUAUGUAUAUUUCAUCCAUUUUCACAUAAUAGAAAGAACAAUAAUGCAUGGCAUUAUCCAUCGUAAAUUGCUCAUAUAACAUCAAGAUAUCAUGGUGUGGACCUCAAAUGACUCGUCAUGUCUACUGGCUACAUUUUAAACAUAUCUUAUGGCCAGAAUGUUCAUCUUAUCAACUUCACGAGUUUAGUCAUGGUACCAUACCAUUAAAUUAAAAAAAUUUCCACCGUUUACCUUUUAUAGACGUCAAGGAAUAUAGCUAAUAACGCACUUUUGGCAGCAAGCUUCCUUCACCCAAUUAAAGAUUUUCGGAGCUUAAAGUUCAGCUCCUAAAGCUCUUCUCCAAGGCUCACCAACCAACAGAGAAAUUACUUUUAGCAAAGUUGUUAAAUUUUGGCACCAGGUUUUGAUGGCAUCUUGGCAAGAUUGGAAGAUUAUAUUGCGCUUCUAAGAUAAUGUUUAAAAAAGCUAUUUUAGUGAGGGCAUUAUGGUCAAUUUGUCCCUGAUGAUAUUGACAUUAGGUCCCAUCAACAUCAGAAGGGAGCUCAUUGCAUUAUUGGAUAUAACAAGGGUGCUAGUGAAAUUAUGAAAACCCUCAAGGAAGGUAUUUGAAAUUAACCCUAAAAUACUCAUUCCACGCAAGGCGUGGCGUUCCCCUCCUAGUUCCUAUAAAUAGGGCUGCAACUCAAUGCACUUAUCACUCGACAUCAAUAAUUUAGCACAUUAUUUACAUUUUGAGUGAGAUUGUGAUCAAAUGGCAUCUUCAAAAAAUUUGCUCUUUCUUAUUGGUGUUCUUUUUGCACUUGUGUACCUCAUUUCCUCUGAUGCAACAGCUGCAGGUGCCUAGUCCCUUUUUUUCUUUUCCUUUCUUCCUUUUUUUUUUGGCUGCACCUAAAUACUUAAAUGAAUGGAGAUUUGGAGACUCAUUAUUGGAAUGUGAAUUUUUAUGCAAGUCAUAUUAAUGUGCUAAUAUCUUUUUCAUUGUUUAGCAAAAGUAAAUUUGGGUUGCUUCUAUCAAUGGUUAGUGGCACAUCUGAUUUUUCAUGCAUCCUUAUAGUAUUGCGGUAAGGAUACACGUUCCAUAGUGUCGCACCAAAGAUUAAACUAACGUCGAAAACCAAAUUAAAUGCUUCUAAUUAUAAUUUAAAGCAAAAUAAUUCCCCUUAUAAAUGGACGAAACUCCCUGCCAACAAAUCCAAAUUCAAGAAAAAAAUUUUCUUAAGGGGAAACUCUGCCAAAAUUUUCUUAAAAUAAAUAAAAUAUUUACUUAAAAAAAUAAAGCAAAAUAAUUCAUAUCCAAGUCGCACCAUCUUAUAUGCCUAGACUGUUUUGUUUAAUCCAUAGUAUUCUUUUCUUUCCAUAUAUCUUGCAAAUUUUCAGCCUAGCCGGUCACCUAACGUUCGCAGCUUAAGAUAAAGCUCCAAAUAUUUAUGUCUCCUUGUGUCUUGAAACAGAUCAGAAGAGCGUGAAAACCACUGGUGUCCACGAUGCCAGUUCAGGCGAGGUUCAUCAGGAUAGCAAAAGCGAAGAUCGUUGCAGACAUGGUUGCUGCCACUGGUACCAUGGACACUGCCAAAGAUGCUGUCGAACUGCCGAGGAGACCCCUGAAGUCACAUCUGGAGAUGAGGAUACCGUAACCGCAGAUCGUUGCAGACAUGGUUGCUGCCGCUGGUACCAUGGACAUUGCCAAAGAUGCUGUCCACCUGAAGAUCGUUGCAGACAUGGUUGCUGCCACUGGUACCAUGGACAUUGCCAAAGAUGCUGUCCACCUGCUGAGGAGACCCCUGAACAUCGUUGCAGACAUGGUUGCUGCCGCUGGUACCAUGGACAUUGCCAAAGAUGCUGUCCACCUGCUGAGGAGACUUGCAGACAUGGUUGCUGCCACUGGUACCAUGGACAUUGCCAAAGAUGCUGUCGAACUGCUGAGGAGACCCCUGAAGCUACAUCCGGAGAUGAGGUCAAAAAUUAAUCCUAAAUAAAUAAGGCCGUGACACAGGAUCCGUGACACCUAUAUUAUUACCUUAAUAUGUUAUGUUGUGUUUGCUUUUAAUGGUUGAUUUCCUAUAUGUGUAAAAGACUUGUGCGGCUUCUCUUUGAAUUGAUGUAGAAUCAACGGGGGAAGCAUGUAAUGAGUACUCAGUUCGAGUGCUCUUCUUAUGUUGUUGUCAUGUUGAAUAAAUAAAUCUACUUGAUCAUCUACUACAAUUGAUGAUCUUCUUAUGUUUUUUUUCACUUUAUCUUCCUUCAAGAUUUUUGGUGGAAAUGCUUCAUUUAUACGAAUUUUCCUAGUUAGUAAAUGCUUCUAUUACACUUGUACAAUACACAUUUAAAAGUAUAACACAACAAAAGCUUGUGUAGUUCAUAUAUUUAAAAAAUAUUCAUACUUUUCAACUAAACUAUAAAAAUACGUAAUAAAUUCUUGAUACAUUAUACUUUACGAACUAUACUUUAAAUUUUAAAAAUAUUUAAUAGUAUCACUUAUCAAUAACUCCACAUGUUAAUUUGUCUUCCAAUUCAGUAAAUUAUAGUAGCUAAUUCUCAAAGCUAACCGACACCAAAAUUCCCUCACUUGUUGGAUUUAUAUUAAUUACAUUGCAUUUAUUUCCUAAGCAUGAGUUUUGUAACCCCUCAUAUUAAAUCUCAAUGAUUGAUUUUAACGGUUACCAAGGCGUCUAGUAAUUGGUUUGCUAUUAAUUUGAACUAGACAUUUAUUAGGUCUAGUAGAAUUUAUUCCGUCUUAUCACUUAGUUCAUAAACCUUACGAAUCGUUAAAACCAGCUCUAACAUUACCUAACAAGACUUCUACAAUUUCGGGUUUUGCUUAGAAAUCAGUCUGAUAGGUUAACUUGCUUCGUCCAACUUUAUGAGUUGCUUCUCUUUUUUUUCCCAUAUUUGACAUUUCAUCUUACUUUAAUAUGGGGACCAAGUUAGUAUUGUUGACAUUUCAUAUCUAAGACUUCUUAGUUAAUUGAUUUGUUAUAAGAACUAUAACGUAUGCGUGUUUUGUAAGCUUUCAUUUUUAUUUUUUUUUCAAUUCUUGUGGACCAGCAACGGAUAGUUUCUUCUAGUACCAAGCUUCCUUUGAAGUUCUUUAUUUUUUUUUUUUUGCGUGUCCAAAUGUAAAUUAAAAGAACCAACAACUUUGAACAAGUCUAUAUCUAGUAAAGAUAGAUAUAAAGAGGGAUACUAUAUCACUGCAACAAAAAAGGGAUUUGGCGAGGAGCAAAAGUCCACGCCAAUAGUUUUGACUUCCUCGCCAAUUAAUUUCAGCGAGAAAAAUGCUUCCUCGUCAAGUUUCUUGCUAGAUGCUUGUCGCUAAAAGUUAUUAGCGAGGAUGCUGCUGCUUUUCUCACUAAUGAAACAGAUCAAUAGCAAGGGUUGACCUCCUCGCCAAUCUGAUUCAAAUACUAUGGCGAGAAAAACUUUCCUCACCACUAAAGUUAAAAACUCCCCACAAAAACCAGUAGUUCCUGAUAAGUGACUAAUUUACGUAAUAAUUAUAUGAUAUUUUAUAUUAUUUUUUGUCACUUUAGUUAUAUUAUUGGAAGAAAAUGAAUCAUUUUGGCUAUAAUUGGUAAAAAAUGCUUUUAAGUGAUUAAAUGAGGUUUUUAUCACUUUUUAGUGGGAUUUCGUGCAUUUUGACAGUUUUGACACAUUUUCGUCGUAUUUUGGCUAUAACUUGGGAUACAAUGAUCGGAUUGAGAUGAUUUUUAAACCAAUUUGAAGAUAAGAGAUAGAUCUACAACUUUGGUGCAGACAUUUGAAUCCAGUUUGAAGGUUUUCAAAGUCAAAAAGCUGAAUUACAAUAGCAAAUUUCUACUGGUCAAAGCUGAAACAGGGCAAUGAGCAGUCAAGGGUAUUUCGGUCAUUUCUCAGCCUAAACAGAUCCAAAUGAGGUGAUUCUUGAUGCAUUGGAAAGAUAAGUCAAAGGGCUACAAGUUUCAUGUUUUGGUCAAGAGCUAAAUCAGCUUUUAUCAUCAAGAAAAGUUCAGUGGAAGUUGAUGCAAAAUCGGAGCAAAGCUGGAAAUUGAACCAGAAGUGACCAAAUGGUCACUGUAGCAAUCCGGCCGGAAUUUGGCCGGAUUUGUGGCCAGAUUCCUGGCCGGAUUGUGGUUAGAAAAGGCUGUUAUGUACGCGUAAAACUCAAUUUCACCUCCACCAACUCACAUGUGAUGCUAGACUUGUGAGAAACAUUCCCAACUGUAAAAGAGAGGUGUAAACCUCAAGUCUUGACCAAUCUUUCAUCUAUAUAUAGCCAAAUUCAUUGCAAGAUUGAAGGAUAUAGAGAGACAUAUGGGAGAACUUGGAGAGUGCAGAAAUGUAGCUCUUUCAUCUUCCUAGUGUUAGUUUAGCUUAGUGUAGAGUAGUAUAGAUCAUCCAUUCUUGUAUCUUGGCUAGAUUAGGAUGAAGAUGGAGAUGAAGAUGGAGGAGUUGAAGCUCAAGUGACAUGGGUUAUUUCUUCUCCAACUCUUUAUCUUUUGUAUCAGAUUCUUAAGUUUGGUUAAUAUACAAGUUCUGGAUUUUGUGUUUAUUAUGUGUUUUUAAAGUUUAUACCUUGGGUUUGGUUGAACUUUCUAUGAUUGUUAGUGUUUAUUAUUUGGUUAUUUGAUUGCUAUGAUUUGAGCAAGUUAUUUAGCACUUUGGCUCUUUAAAUCAUGAUUAAUCUGGUACCAUUGAUUGUGAUUAUCUAAGGUGUUGUUUCUGCAAUGAAAAUUGAGAUUUAACACUAGUUCAAGAAGUGCUAAACAUAGGGAGUACACUCACGAAAGUAGAGGUGCACCUAUGUGGUUUUUAGUGAUUCAUUUCGUGUAAUUUCAUUGAAGAAUGAACUUGUAGCUAAUUUCAUAACCAUGAGAAUAAGUAUGGAUUAGUUAUAAGUAUAAUUGAUUCACUACGAAAGUAGGAUUCAAAUACAUAAGGAAAUUACACCAUAACUAGCCUAGAUGUAGUACUCAAUGAUCCAAAUAUAGCACUUGUAUGAGUAGUUAGGGAUACCACAACCUAAGGAGCUUUUAUUUGUUAUUUCAGUAGGUUAAAUUUGUUAUAAUUCAUUGAUAGUCUAAAUAAUAGAGAAGCUUUAGUAAUAUCGGUAAUUGUUCACUCUUCCCUGUGGGAUCUACCCGAUAUAUACCCUAAACUACUAGUUGAUCUGUAUACUUGCAGUGAACGGGUGUAAUUCGGUUUUUUUUUAACUUGUACGUAUGUAAAAUACCCGUCAAGUUUUUGGCGCCGUUGCCGGGGAAGAUUUGGCAAUAUCGGUGUGAAGAGCAACUUUAUUAGUUUAGACAUUUCAUUAGUCAUAGUGUGAAUGUUAUUUUCUGCUAUUUUUGUGUUUUAUGUGUGUAUGUGUUUCAUUACCUAUUUUUCUUACUAAUUUUGCUUUUGAGGUUGUUUAAAAGCAAUUUUAGGUGAUGAGAAGGAUAGGUCAAUUUGGAGGACAAUGCUUGAGAAAUGAAAGUUUGGCAAUGGAUGGUUACCAAGUGCAAAGCUCCUUCAACAGAGGUAAUCAAGAAUUUACUGAAUGUAUGUCUUUUGAAGAUGGUUUAAGGUGCUUAAAGGCUAAAUUUGAUGUUAUGAUGUUACAAGUUCAAAUGGACACAAUUAUGCAUAAAAUUGAGAAAGGGAGGAAUGUUAAUGCUUUUAAUUCUUAUCAUGUGAUUUGUGACUUGUGUGGAGGUUAUCAUGCUUCUAAUACAUGUAGACAAGCACAAAAUGUAGAUUAUUUUGAUGAAUUAGAGCAUUACAAUCCUUGUUUUGAUCAAUAUAGUGCUAAUUGGAGCAAUUCUCCUGCUUGUGGUUGGGAUAAUCAAUGUACAUAAAGUGAUUAUCCAUAUUUUUAUGAUUACCAACCUGAAAGUGUCCAAUAUGAAUCAAAACCAUCUUGGGAGUUGGCAAUAGAGAAGUUAGCUAAUGCACCUCUACCUUGGGAGUUAGAAAGUAAACCAUUAGCUAAUGACUCUAAUGCAUCUUGGGAGCUAGCUGUAGAAAAUUUUUCUAAUUAAUUUGAUUCAACAAUAAAAAAGCUAGCAAACGCAACUUCCGACCGUUUUGAUAGGAUUGAGGAAAGAAUAGAUGAAUUAGCUUCUCACUUUGGUAGAAUAUAUGAGCAAUUGAAUGUAUUGUGUGAAGUUAUUUCCUCUAAUAAUUUGCAAAAUGAUCCUAGCAUGAAUGGUGGGAAUGUUGUAUGUGAAAAUGGGUUGUAUUUUGACGAAAAUUAUGAAUCUCAAGUGUGUUUUAAUGAACAAAUAUCCAUUUCACAUGAUAAUAUCUUUGGAACUAACUUUGAGCCUCAAGAGGUGAGUUUUAAUGACUCAUUUUUCACCCCUCUUGAGGAGUGCAGUGAAAGUAUAGGUUCUAAGGGUAUUGCUGCCCAAGAUACUCUCACGACAUUUCAUUUGGUAAGUUCUCAAGUGGUGCAUAUUCAAGGUAAUAUCUAUGAAACACUUGGGAUAGGUAAGUCACUUCCAUCUCUCACAUUAUUAGAUCAUGUGACUUUUGUUAUAAAGUCACCAUUUAAUGAUCCACCACAUCCUAAAAUGGUGGAUUAUUCUUUAACUAAACCUCCUUGAAAAAUGAGGUGAAAUAGUCAAGCUAAUGACUGUAAAGAAGCACUCGUUGGGAGGCAACCCAGCGAUUUCUUGAUUUUAGUAAGUUUUAGUUGUUUAACUAGUGUUUUUGUGUGUUUUGUAGGUGGUAAUGACAAGGGUUCAUGCAAAUGAUCUCAAUGAAAAAAGUGUCAAUAUUGAGGCAAAAAGGAAGUUUUCAUGUUCAAUUGAUGCAUUUCAUGCAUUUAAAGUGUUUCAUGUUAAAGUUACAUUCAUGCAUGAUCAUGUAUUUUCAAGUGUAUUUGGUUUAGAAAGACACAUUUUCAAUGUUAAACUUGGAUUUUAUUCAAAGAACAUGAAAGUAGGUGGAAUGCGGAAGAUUGGCCAAGCAAAUUUGGAGGAAAAACUACAGAAAACAGCUUUUUCUGUAGCAAAUCCGGCCAUAAAUCCGGCCAAAUAUUGGCCGGAUUGAAGGCCAGAUAGUCAGGGGAGAAAGAAAAAUUUUUUCGGACUCACUGGCUAGAAUCCGGCAGUAAAUCCGGCCGGAUUGUAAAAAAAAAAAAACUUACUGUAGCAAUCCGGCCAAGAAUUCGGCCGGAAAUCCGGCCAUAAACUGGCCGGAUAUGCAACAGGAAAAAAAAAAUUCUGCCCAGAAUCCUUCCAGCAAUCCAUCCACGAAUCUCUCCAAUUUUUGGCCGGAUUGUGAACAGUAACCAGCGUAAGAUGAAUCCGUUUCACGGAUUCCUCACAAUUUUUCUCCCUUCUUCUUCAACCCAACUCAUACACUAACACCUCAAACACAUACCACUCACUAAAACACCACUUUUCACCAUUUAAUCUUCAAAUAACCUUCACCAAAUCACUUUCUCCCAUCCUCUAGAGUGAAUUUCAUAGUUCAUAUAUUUUCAAAAACAACUCUAAAGUGGUUUCAAGCUUACCAUUAGUUAGUUCUACCUUCUUGAAAUCACUCAAUCGAGGUCAAAUUGGAGUAAGUUUCUUGGGGGUUUUCACAUCAUAUUCAUCUCUAAACAUCACCAAACCACCUUGAGGCAACAAAUCUUCACCUAACUUUGUUAUUUGAAUUUUGCCAUGAUUAAAUAUUUUCUAUUUUUAGGCAAUUUUUAAUAUGUGAAGUUAGGUGCAUUUAUUUGAGUUUAUUGAUGCUAUUGGUGAUUGUUAGUGAUAAAUAUAUGUUGUGAUUUGCAUUUAUUGUAUUUAUUUGGUGAAUUCUUGCUAGUUUAUGCUUAAUUUGGCUUGGUGACGAAGUUGCAUAUUAAGUGGCCAAUGUAGCAUUUUAAUUAGUUUAGUGGGAGUUUUUGAUAUUCAUGUGAGUAAUUUAGAUUACCUAAUGAAUGAAAAGAUGCUUGGUUGAAUGAUUUCUUAAAUUCUUGGGUAAUUCUUAAAGAAAAGGUGAAUUGAAGAUGGCCUUAAUUUAUGAAAUUCAUAAAUGCACUUAUAAUCUUUGUGGUUCAAUGGUUUUUAGUAUUUCAUGAAUUCUCACGAAGGUCAUCUAUGAUUUGUUUUGGUGUGUUUGCCUUCAUUUUGAGAUUACUUUUGUACUUGAGGGGACUUGAUCAUUGAUGACAAAAUGUAUGAAUAGAACUUAUUUUGUUCAUGAUUGUGCAUUUAUUGUGUGAAAUUAGCUUCCCUUUGCUUUGGAUAAUAAUGCAUAUAUUUCAUUAGCAAAGAUUAGCUCAUUUCAUGUUUUUAUCCCAUGAACAUUGUAUGGUUCCACAUGCUCGAUCAUUUUUCCUUUUUCCUUGACUUGCAUGUUUUCUUCUAGUUGAUUGCAACCGUUUAUUUUUAAGAAAUUUAUUUGUUUUGAUUUUGUCUUUUUCAGGGUGCAAUAAGUGAACUCUCCAUUCUUUCUCAAAUACGGUUGGAAAUUUAUCACAUUGCUAUGGAUUUGGAUCGCGCAAGUCAUAAGGGGAGUAUUUUCUUUUACUCUUUAUUUAUUUUCCUUUCCUCACAUUGAGGACAAUGUGAAAUUUAAGUGUGGGGGGUGGGGGGAAAUACUGGACUUGCAUUUUAAUGCUAUGUGAUGAUAUUUUGUGAAUCUAAAUGCUUAGAAAUGUUGGAAUUGUGUUUGAAUUACUUGCCAUAUGGAUAAUUUGCUUAAAAUUGGGUUUGUUGGCAGGGAGUUUUCAUCCAUUUAUAGGUGGAAACUCUGUCAAAAUUUUUUAAAAAUCUUUUCCAAUAUUUCACUAUGGCCCAAAAGUUCUUCAAAUUUUUGCAUUUUCAUUCAAAAAGGGUUAAUUUGUUCCAACCUUAAGAGAUUAAUUCUUCCAAUUGUUGAAACUUUAUGUGUAUUUUGGAAAGUUUAGUUCUCAUUUAACUAGGAAAUAGUUAUUAUGCAAUUAGAAUUUUUACAUUUUAGAAAGUAUAUUUGGUAAAGUGAAGAAAAUUAUGCCUAUAAUUUUACAUGUUUAAUGAGAUUUCUUCUCUUUACUUAAUUUUACAACUAAGUGAUUGAUAUAGUCAAUAAAGGUUAUACUCCUCCUUUGAUUAUUUUUCUAUCAUUUUCUAUGAGGGAAAAUCUAUUUAUUUUCUUAUAAAAAAAAGAGAGAAAAAAAAUAUAUAUAUAUAAUAAAAAGAAAAAAAGGAAAGAAAAGAAAGUAAAUAAAAUUUAUUCUACUCCAAUGAUUCUCGUACCGAGUAACUGGGGAUUGGCAUCUAAAAAUGUCGAUUUUCACGUAAAAAGGUAUUUGAAUUAAGAGUAUGCAUAGCAACUUGAAUAGGUGAAAUGUUGAGUAACCGGGGAUCUUCACCUAAAAGUAUCGAUUUUCGCGUAAAAAGGCAUUCUCACUAUUUAAGUAAAAAUUAGUAUGAAUAAAUCCCUCUUAGUUAUAGAAUUUUGAGAAAAAGAUGAUUAUAGGAGGAUGAAGGAUAUAAAUUGACUAUGUGAUUUGCUUAUUUGUAAAAUUAAGUUAGGGUAAGAGAUUAAAUUUAACUUGUUGAAUUUAGGGUAUAAUUAUCUUUCCUUUACUUGAUAUUAUGAGUAUUUAGUGUAAUUUGAACAAUGAUAUAAUGAUUAUUUUCCAAGUCUUGAGGAAUUAAAUUGGACAAAGUGCAUAUCUUGUUUCACCUCUUGAAUCAUUGUAGUUGAUUAUGUGUGGAUUGCUUGAGCACAAGCAAUGAUUUAAGUGCAGGAGAGUUUGAUAAGUGACUAAUUUACGUAAUAAUUGUAUGAUAUUUUAUAUUAUUUUUAGUCACUUUAGUUAUAUUAUUGGAAGAAAAUAAAUCGUUUUGGCUAUAAUUGGUGAAAAAUGCUUUUAAGUGAUUAAAUGAGAUUUUUAUCACUUUUUAGUGGGAUUUUGUGCAUUUUGACACAUUUUUGUAUUUUGGUUAUAACUAGGGUUACAAUGAUCAGAUUGCGAUGAUUUUUAAACCAAUUUGAAGAUAAGAGAUAGAUUUACAACUUUGGUGAAGACAUCUAAAUCCAGUUUGAAGGUUUUCAAAGUCAAAAAUCUGAAUUACAAUAGCAAAUUUCUACUGGUCGAAGCUGAAACAGGGCAAUGAGCAGUCAAGGGUAUUUUGGUCAUUUCUCAGUCUAAACAGAUCCAAAUGAGGUGAUUCUUGAUGCAUUGGAAAGCUAAGUCAAAGGGAUACAAGUUUCAUGUUUUGGUCAAGAGCUAAAUCAGCUUUUAUCAUCAAGAAAAGUUCAGUGGAAGUUGAUACAAAAUCGGAGCAGAGCUGGAAAUUGAACCAGAAGUGACCAAAUGGUCACUGUACAAUCCGGCCAGAAUUUGGCCGGAUUUGUGGCUGGAUUGUGGUCAGAAAAGGCUGCUAUGUACGCAUAAAACUCAAUUUCAUCUCCACCAACUCACAUGUGAUGCUAGACUUGUGAGAAACAUUCCCAACUGUAAAAAAGAGGUGUAAACCUCAAGUCUUGACCAAUCUUUCAUCUAUAUAUAGCCAAAUUCAUUGCAAAAUUGAAUGAUAUAGAGAGACAUACGGGAGAACUUGGAGAGUGCAGAAAUGUAGCUCUUUCAUCUUCCUAGUGUUAGUUUAGCUUAGUGUAGAAUAGUAUAGAUCAUCCAUUCUUGUAUCUUGGCUAGAUUAGGAUGAAGAUGGAGAUGAAGAUGGAGGAGUUGAAGCUCAAGUGACAAGGGUUAUUUCUUCUCCAAUCUUUAUCCUUUGUAUCAGAUUCUUAAGUUUGUUUAAUAUACAAGUUCUGGAUUUUGUGUUUAUUAUAUAUUUUUAAAGUUUAUACCUUGGGUUUGGUUGAACUUUCUAUGAUUGUUAGUGUUUAUUAUUUGGUUAUUUGAUUGCUAUGAUUUGAGCAAGUUAUUUAGCACUUUGGCUCUAUAAAUCAUGAUUAAUCUGGUACCAUUAAUUGUGAUUAUCUAAGGUGUUGUUUCUGCAAUGAAAAUUGAGAUUUAACACUAGUUCAAGAAGUGCUAAACAUAGGGAGUACACUCACGAAAGUAGAGGUGCACCUAUAUGGUUUUUAGUGAUUCAUUUCAUGUAAUUUCACUGAAGAAAUGAACUUGUAGCUAAUUUCAUAACCAUGAGAAUAGGUUAUUCCCUAAUCGUCCAUAUCCCAUAUUCAAGGGGUUAUUCCCUAAUCUAAUCAAGCAAAUGAACUAACCUAGUUCUAAUGGUUAUAUGAAAUGCAAGUCUAAUGCCAUGUUUCAUACAAAAGGGGCAAAUAAUAUACAUAUAAGGGACAAUAUAGGGGAAGGGGUAUACAUAUAUAAGGAAAGUGUCAUGCGACAUGGUGAAAGAGGCCCUAAAAGUAAAAAUAUGCAUGAGAUGAAGUGAUUUUUCACACAAUCAUGGGCUAGCGUUGGACUAGCCCACAUCUACGCUCUCUCACAAGCAUUGGACUUGCAAGAGCUCGAGGGGACAACCAUGACUAGCAUUGGACUAGCCACGGUUACGUGCAUUUGCAUCCAUCAUACACAUAUAUAAGUAAUUGCAUAAUUAGAGCAAGUAGACAUGUGAGCACGUAAUUCACAUAACACAUAAGCAUGCAUAUCUAGAUGCCAAAACCUAGGAAAGCGAUUAAACACAUAGCACAUAGACAUGCAAAAAACACAUAAGGCAAUUAAGGCCCUAACUAUUACAUUUUUAGGGGGAAGGCCUACUACAAUCUAAAAGGGGGAAUAAGAAGGAAUAAAACAAUUAAAUCCCUAACUAUUACAAUUUUGGCAUUCGAGUGCCUUCCAAAUGAAAAAAUUGAAUUAAAAUUGAAGCAAAAACUACGCAACUAAAGAAAUAAAUAAAUAAAGUGAAAAUGAAAUAAACACUUAAAGUCAUGCAAUUGCACAUAUAAGACACAUAUACGCACGUAUGGUCAAAUAAAGUCAAAAAUAAAGGAUAGAGUGUACCUCCCUCGCAAUGGUAAGCAAAUGAAGGGAAAGUAGCUUCAAAACAAUAAAAGGGUCAAGGUACCACUUUAAUUGAGAAAAAUUAAAAGAAAUGCGCAAAUACAAAGCUCACUUGAUCAUAAAGCCCCUAAAGUCAUGACUUAAGUGCAAUUGAAACAAAGCAUAGUAGUCAAUUGAAGCAAACAAGCAAUGAAGUUGUUAAAUUAAAACUACCAAGGACCAAAUUGAGGAGAUUAUUCAAUUGAUUGGGUCAUAGUAGCAUUAGUUAGAAACAAGGGGUUAGAAUGCAAUUCUUGGGACAUUUCAUGCAAGUUUUCAUGCAACCUACGAAGACAAGAAGCUUCUGCAACUACUUUCUAUUAAGCUUCAAUCAACAAAAAAUGAAAACUGCUGCACUUUGCUUUCAAAUUAACUCAGAUUUUCCGAUUCAAAUACACAACUUUGAUUAGAUAUUUUUCAAUCACAACUUUAGAUUAAGCAACAAACUACAUAGCCGCCACAAUCCAAACAACAAAAACUUAGAAAAACAUCAUGCGAGAUUCUGGACAAAACAUUCAUACAAAUGACUCAAGCGCGUCCCCACUCAUUCAAACACAAACAGCAGAAACGAAAAAAAAAGGAUUCUAAAAUUCAGUCUGAUUUCCUUUCCUCUCUGCCACUACCAAUUCCUGCGGAUUCUGGCCAGCCUUAAGCUGGCCAGAUUUCCUCUUAAAUGCAUACAGAGAAAGGACAAAAUUUCCUCUUUUUGGUUCAGAAUCUCCAUUCAGGCAUUUCAUCAAACACUAUAUGGGCAUAAAGGAAUUCAGUAAUUCUCUGCUCGAAUGAUGUAAUUUAGCAUCCAAAAUUAUCAGAAAUCAAUGGACUUCGGUCCAAUUGACACAGAAAAACAUGUACAACCCAAAACCAUGAGCAACUAAUAAGAAAAUUGCAACAAACAAAAAUUCGGCAGACAUGCUCUAAAAGCUUGGGGAGGAACUGAAAUUCAAAGGAAAAGGGUCAACUUACAGAGCUCUUGCUUGAGCGGCGGCGAUUUGCUGAUGGCGGUGGAGGAUCCCGACGAGAUGGUAGCUGCGAAAAAUUCUGGAGCUGCCAACAAGAUGCAAUUCCUCCGCUCAGUUUUUCUGCUUGCCCGAAAUUCCUUUUCUUCUUGCUCGGUUUUUGCAACCCCCUUUUCUUGCUUUGUUUCUGUUUGCAGCCGCGGCCCUUUUUUCUGUUUUUUCCUUGGCUUUUCACCAAUUCUUUUCCUCAUUUAGUUCCUCCAGCCUGCAGCCUUUUGCUUUUUCUUGUUUCCCCUUUUCCUCCCCUGCCGAAACCUCCCCUAUUUUUCUUUUUGUUGCUCUGUUCUUUUUUCCAGUUCUCUUCUUCAACCGAGAGCCUCCCUCUCUGUUUUCUGUUUUCCCCCAAAAGAUCUCCGCCGCCACUUUCUUUCUCUUCCCUUGUUUUUCUAUUCUUUCGUUUAUUUCUUCCCGAAAAAACUUCCCCCAAUCUUUCAGAUUUUCCCUUGGCUCUUGCCCAAGACUCCCUCUCUGUUUUUCCAGUUUUUUUCUUCGGCCUGUCACUCUCUCCUUUUUGCCCAGAUUUUUCCUUGUUCAACCUCUUCUUGCCUUGUCCGCCGCCCCCUCAUUUUUACUCUGUUUUUUUUUUCCUUUUGUCGCAGCCUCCUCCCCUGCUCUUCUGUUUUUCUUUCCUUUUUCUUGACCGAAGCUCCCUCCAACCUAGCCGCCGUCAUUCUCUUUUUUUGUUCGCCUCCCCCCUUCCUUUUGACUCUCCCUAGCCGUCCCUCUUUUCUAAUUUCCUCACUCAACUAGCCGUCCACCAGAUUCUACUCCACACUCUCUCUCAAAACCUAGCCCUUUUCCUUUCAGCCGUCACUCAGUCCCCUGCCGUGAGCUUUUUCUUUUUCCUCUCCAAAGCUGCGUCUUUCUUUCCUCCCUAAACCCUAGCCACUCUCUGCUCCCUUCUAUUCUCUCAAACUCCCAGCCUGUUUCUGAACCUCCCAGCCGUCAACCUUUUUUUCUCCCCUCUGCCUUGCGGCUUCAUCUUAUGCCUUUUUAUAAGGAGCUAAAUCCCCAAACCCUCACACCUAAGGUUAGGAUGAUAGUGAGAUUUAUCCAAGAUUUUGGAGCCCUUGGAUGAUAGAUUUGAGCCGCUGUCCUUCCUCUGUUCGUUUCAUGCCUCUGCUUAAUAUGAAGAGAGAGCUCGGAUCUUGUGUGGCUCACGCAAGUUUGAGCUUGCCUUUUUCUUUUCUUAAUUAAUUAAUUAAAGCUGUAAAAGUCAAAUAAAAAUGAGAAUAAAACAAAUGAAAAUGCCCUAAAAAUUUAAUUUUUCUUGAUGAUUUUUUUUCUUUUUUUUCCUAUUAAUAAACAGUAAAACAUAUUUUUUAAGAAUAAUUUUCUCUUUUGACAAAUUUUACACUAAAAGUCUUAACAAAAAUAAACAGCUAAAAGGGAAAGAACGAAUACAAAAUAAAAAUAAAAACUAAAAUAAAAUAAUAGAUAAUAAUAAUAAUCUAAAAUGCUAUACAAAGGCUAAAAGUGUAAAACCAAAAUCAUGAAAUUAACAAAUAAAAAUAGAUAAGAAUUAUUACUAAAACAAAGAAUAAAAAUGGAAUGAAAAUUAUUCAAAAAUUUGGUGUCUACAGUUUGCCCCUCUUUGUCUGAGUUUUGAAAAAACUUGAGACAAAGAAGUAGACACCAAAUACUCACCUGUUAUUCGGCUGCGAACAACUCGAAUGAUUGACGCUUUCUGAAAUGGGGACUGACCCCUUUAACAAAAUUUUAAAAAGAAUGGGACUGACCCAAACAAAAUUUUAAAAUCAUGGGACUGACCCGAAUAGAAUUUAAAAUGGAAUGCACACUAGUGGGACUGACCCAUGUUUAGUGGCAACGAAAAUGAAAUGCACACUGGUGGGACUAACCCACGUUCAGUGGCAGUGUAAAUGAAAUGCACGCUAGUGGGACUGACCCAUGUUUAACGGCAACGAAAAUGAAAUGCGCGCUAGUGGGACUGACCCAUGUUUAGCGGCAAAGAAAACAAAAUGCACACUAGUGGGACUAACCCGUGUUUAGUGGCAAUGAAACAUGAAAUGCACGCUAGUGGGACUGACCCAUGUUUAGCGGCAAAGAAAAUAAAAUGCACACUAGUGGGACUAAUCCAUGUUUAGUGGCAAUGAAACAUGAAAUGCACGCUAGUGGGACUGACCCAUGUUUAGCGGCAAUGCAAAUGAAGUGCACACUAGUGGGACUGACCCACGGCUAGUGGCGAUGGAAAUAAAAUGCUCACCAGUGGGACUGACCCACGGCAAGUGGCGAUGCAAAAUAAAAUGCUGGUAUGUAUGAAGAAACUAUAUAAGAUUUACUUGAAGAAUCAUCCAAAAAUUUGCCCAAGUGAUGAAAUGGUCAGUGGGAUUAAACCCGAGCCUGCCUUGGUUGGUGGUACAAAAUCCAAGCCCAACGUGAACUUUGUGAUGUUGGCGGCACCAAGUCCAGGCCCAACGUGAUGUUUGUGAUGUUGGUGGCACGAAAACCAAGCCCAACGUGAUGUUGGUGAAGUUGGCGGCACAAAAUCCAAGCCCAACGUAAUAAAGUGAAGUUGGUGGCACAAAAUUCAAGCCCAACGUGAUAUUUGUGAUGUUGGCGGCACAAAAUCCAGGCCCAACGUGAUGUUUGUGAUGUUGGCGGCACAAAAUCCAGGCCCAACGUGAACUUUACGAUGUUGGCGGCACCAAUCCAGGCCCAACGUGAACUUUGUGAUGUUGGCGCACCAAGUCCAGGCCCAACGUGAUGUUUGUGAUGUUGGUGGCACGAAAAUCAAGCCCAAUGUGAUGUUUGUGAAGUUGCGGCACAAAAUCCAGGUCCAACGUGAUAAAGUGAUGUUGGCGCACAAAAUCCAGGCCAACGUGAUAUUUGUAAUGUUGGCGGCCCACAAAAAUCCAGGCCCAACGUGAUGUUUGUGAAGUUGGCGGCACAAAAUCCAGGCCCAACGUGAUGUUUGUGAGUGAAGUUGGUGGCACAAAAUUCAAACCAACGUGAUAUUUGUGAAAUUGGCGGCACAAAAUUCAGGCCCAACGUGAUGUUUGUGAAGUUGGCGGCACAAAAUUCAGGCCCAACGUGAUGUUUGUGAUGUUGGCGGCACAAAAUCCAGGCCCAACGUGAACUUUGCGAUGUUGGCGGCACCAAGUCCAGGCCCAACGUGAACUUUGUGAUGUUGGCGGCACCAAGUCCAGGCCCGACGUGAUGUUUGUGAUGUUGGUGGCACGAAAACCAAGCCCAACGUGAUGUUUGUGAAGUUGGCAGCACAAAAUCCAGCUCCAACGUGAUAAAGUGAUGUUGGCGGCACAAAAUCCAGGCCCAACGUGAUAUUUGUAAUGUUGGCGGCACAAAAUUCAGAUCCAACGUGAACUUUGUGAGGUUGGCGGCACAAAAUUCAGGCCCAACGAUUGUUAUAUCAUUCAUGAGUAGCUAAAUUUCUUUAUCUAGAGAGUAGAUGAAACUUAUGGCUAAAUGAUAUGAAUUGAAUGUGAUUUACACUUGUUAUAUCUUGUAUUAACUUGUCUAUUUGUGCAAUUGUAAUUACUUGUUGUUGUUUGAUCACCAAUAGCAUGUUUAUAGUUGUUAUUAGUCAAUGAGAAUUGAUAGUAACAAUGGAAAAAACAUGAGUAGAGCUUGAGUUGUAUGUUCAUGAAAAUAGAUGUACACUUAAGUGGAUUAGCUAGCAUUUCAUGAAGGAAAACAGAGUAGAACUAGUAGUUCACCAUGAAAAUAGGGAAAAUUGGAUUGCUCUAGGCCAUUUUAUCAUGAGAAUGAGAUUUGGUAAAUUGAAAUGAAUCCCUGGUUAAACAACAAUAAUAACAAGAGGUAAAUCUAUUCAUUUGUGUUGUUUAUGCCAUAAGUGGAAUCUACAUCCCUAGAUUUAUUCUUGAGUGAAAUUUAUCCAUUUGCAUUUAGCAUUUGUUAAACUAGAUUUAUAAACAAUAGCAUUAUAAUUUCUCUGCUCAAAUUCAUUUAUAAGUCUAAAUAAUAGAGAAAAUAAGGGUCUAGUACUUGUUUAAAUUGCUCCUCGUGGGAUCGACUCGAUACAUACCUUACAUUACGGUUUCGGCCUGUAUACUUGCAGUCAACGGGUAUAAAAUCGGAUUUAAACUUGCAUUGAUAUAAAAAUCCCGUCACAUAUGUGAGAUCGAAUUAUUUUACUUAUUUCUUUUAUUCAUUGGUAUUUGUACAUUUUCUGAUUUAACUUCAUAUACUUGUUAUGUUAUUUGAAUGUCAAGGGCCCGAUAUUCGAAUUAACCUAAUAAUCUACUGUCAGAUUAAUUGAUUGAAUCUGUAAUUGUUCAAUUGAUUAAUACUAGUGGCAACUAGCGUGAUUGGUUUUAUGUUAGGGAAACGUAUAAUCUAAUUUAAACGAACCCUCGUAGCGUGUUUGUUAAUUAGGGUUGGGCUUUUCUAAUUCUUAUUGCAAUUGAGAAAUUAAAUCCUAUAGUCGUACCUAGGGUUAUUUUUUGGUUAGGAAAAUAGUUAAUGGUCGUACCUUAACUAUCGAAAAAGUAAGGAAAGGUUGGUUGUUUAUCGCGUGUAUAACAACUAUAACCAAUCUAUUAAUUAGUAAUUGAAAUUAUCUUUGCAUCGAUGAUCAGUUGAAUGGACCGUGUCUGAAAAGUUGCACCUUUGGCUAGAGUUGUAUUGGUUAUUGAUUAAUUCCUGUUUAUUUCUAUUAGUUGUUUCAUUAGUUGAUUAAUUAGUUAUUUUAUAUUUUCCAAAAACCCCCAUACUUCGGACUCUGGAAGAAAUGAAUUAUCCCCAGUCCUGUGGAUUCGACCCUGCUCACCGCUAUAUACAAAUUUGUAUUUUUCUUGAGUAGGUAAUUAUUAUUGCACAUGUUCAACACCUGUCAUUCUAUAACUGUAUACAGAGUCAUCUUUUUCAAAGAUUUCCCAUGCUGCAAAAUGUACUCUACGAGCUUUAUUUCAUCUUCCUCCCCUAUAAAUUGUCUGAUUCCAAUCUGCCUAAGAUGUUCAACAAAGCGUAUUGGGAAAACUAUUUGGAAAUGUAGAUUCCAGGUCCUUGUAUAUGCAAAGUCCUUCUUACACAACUUUACAUAUUGAGAAGAUCAAAAAUUGCAAAACAUAAUAAUACUUGAAAUUAGUGAGAAUAUAUCCAAAAGAAACAAAAUAUUAAUACCUGAAAUCAGGUUUUACAAUCUGUGCACAAAAAGCACCUAAACCCAAAUGGCCCAUGUUGGAAUAGACCAAGUUUAGUUCAACUGCAGAAAUUCCUAGUACAAUGGAACUGCAACUUCAAAUUCAGUAAAUUGCAAACUGAUAUUAUGAUUCUAUAAAUCCUAAAAUCUCACCCAAGUCCUCUUGCCUCCAACACAAAGUAUGUACACAGAUGCUGACCUAUUCUAUACACUUGUAGGUAAAUUCAAAUCAGACGGCAUUCAAUAGAACUGCCUUGAUUGGCUCCAUAUCAGCACUACUGCUCUUUAAAUCUAAAUUGAUUAAGCUGCACAAAAAGGGAAGAUUACAUUAGAUGGAGAAAUUUUACUGAUUGCAUAUGAAAUAGGGGCUAAAAUCAACUAGGAAAAGCAGAGAAGUUAACCUCAAUGACCAGGAAACAAGAUGCAAAAGUCAGAAGUUGUGCUUAAACCUCAACCAAAAGAAAAAUGCAAUCUUUGAUAUUAAACACAUAACCCACAUAAGUUAGCUUCACAGAGUCCAGAAGGAUGGUUGGAACUCAAUUUUCCUAAAAUUGUGAGGAAAAUAAUGCAAUCUUAGAAAUCUAACACAAAUAAUGGUAAUAAAACACAAGAAGGGUAUAAAAACUUACAAAAUGGCGCCAAAAUAUAGAUCUAACAGUAUUUGAAGCAAAUGGAUGAAGCAUUGAAGUUGUUCUAAGAUUUUUGGACAGCAAUAAAACCUAAGCUCCUUCACGUUUAGCAAUUCUUAGGAGAUAGACAGGAGGCGGGUCUUCUUUUUUAGCAAUUCCUUAGAGGUCUCCUUCCCGUUUAGCAAUUCCCGCAUAUGUUCUUCUAUUUUUGGACUAAAAACCACCGAUGUUGGCCUUUGAGAGAAGAACAGAUGCGUGCUUCUCAAUUGACAGAGACAAGAGAGGACCAACCUUUCUAUGUAUAUAUCCCUCAGCCUCUAACAAGCCUUUGAAUUUUGACGGAAGGAUGUUGCGGGAAAAAUAAAAUUCUUGGAGGGAAUAAAACGCGCGUCCUAAAUUCUGAUUUAAGUGUUGUUGUUAAAAGUUUCUAAGAAUUGGAGUAUAUUAUAUAAUAUAUAGAAUGAAAUUGAGUAUUAGAAGUAUAUAAUUUGAAAGAAAUCAUGUAUGAGAAAAUGAAACUAAUGAAAAUAUUCAUGUGCAAUCAAUAUAAUAAAUUGUCAUCUUUAUAAUUUUUAAGUUUGCAAUUCAUAAAUAUGGUAACAAAUAAUGUAAUUCAUGUGCAAUCAAUAUAAUUAUAUUGUUAAUUAAGGUUAUAAUUGUGCUAUAUAAAGUAUUUGGGACAAUUUGAAAAAUAUCUAGAAAUUUGGGACUACUUAUAAUGUAUUUUGAUUAAACUAUACAACUUGUCCUUUCUUGUUGUAAAUCCAAAUUCAAUUAUGGAACAAUAUACAUGGAAAAUUUGACCUUAUAUGUGUAUAAAUCAUCUUAUUAAUAAAAUAGUUAAACACAAUACAUUUAGUUAACUAUGAUUUAGUGAUUGAUUAUUACAUCAUUUUUUAUAUAAUACGAUAAUUAAAUAUUACAUAUAUAAUAAAAUGUUUCAAAUAUAUUUUAAUUGAUCGAAAAAAUGGUAUACUUACAAUAAACAAAUAAUUAAAGAAAAUUUUGAGAGUAGAAUUUUGUGCUAAAAAUGUGUAUUUUGGGUUCAAAUUUAUAACCACCACUUAUCCACUUAGAAUUAGCAAAAGUAUUAAUUCAUUUCUAAAGACUCUAAACCAUACUAAUUUAUUAUAAUAAAGAUACAAAACACUAGCUCCAUGUGAUAACCUAUAGCAAAAAUCAUCUAUUCACUUUAGUAAAAUAUAUGAGUCAAAUUUAAAGAUUCAUCAAAUUUUCUAGGUUUUAAAAUUGGGGUGCGUUAUUUACAUGGAUUUAAAGCUGUCUGAAUAUAGUUUACUACGCAAUAAACGUCACUCAAUUUCGAGUUUUCUACACAAAGAUAUGACCAAAAUACUAAAAUUGUUACUUAAUUUUUUUAAAAAUAGUAGGAUCGUAUGAUCCGGAUUACGAUCCUAUUGAUCUUGUUAAUUUAAUGCUAAUUUUUUAUCCUACUUACAAUUUGGAUCGUUAGCCAUGAUCCGUAUCGUAGGAUCGUAGAUCGUGAUUCUAGCAACUAUGGUUGUAGUUAAAAGUUUCUAAGAAUUGAGUAUAUUAUAUAAUAUAUAGAAUGAAUAUUGAGUAUUAGAAGUAUAUAAUUUGAAAGAAAUCAUGUAUGUGAAAAAUGCAACUAAUGAAAAUAUUCUCAAUAUACAGCUGAAAAAAUAACUAAGUUUGAUAAAUUUGCAUUUAAUUUUUAGAUAGAAGUUUGUUGUAUGAUAUGUAAUUGCCAUUUCUUGAAAUUAUUCUUCACUCUUAUACCUUCACUAAACUUCAAAGAACUUAGCUACGCAUAAAAUAGAAUGAAAGGAAUGCUUUCAAGUGUGCUAGUAAGUUAAUAUUUAUAUUAUAUCUGUGCUAAUACGUGUCCAUAUGUAUAAUUCAAAAGUUUUAUGUAUUUCAUAUACGAAUGUCUUUUUUCAAGUAACCGCAUAGAACACUUGAUAGGUUGUAUUUUUGCCAUUAAUUUUAUGAUUAUUUCCCUCUUUAUUUUACCAAAUAUUGUAUUAAUUGAUAGAUUCUACUUAUAUUUGGUGCUUUAUGUUAAUUAUAGGACGUUGGGGUAAAAAGUGCUAAAAAAGGGUGAUUUUCUUGGAAUUGAUUGUCACUCGCAAGUUUCUCAAUUCAAGAUGAAGUCUACGUGGAUUAUUUGUGGAAGAUUAGGAAAUUACCAUUUUUCUUAGAUAUUUUAUUUAGAAAACAAUUGGCAUUAUUCUUGGAGUUAUCUUUUUCAAUUGACCCGCUUCCGAAGUUAUUUCCUUCGUUAGAGAUUGUUUAUCCUUGAUUUAAAUUUAAUCUAUUUUAGUUUAAUUAUUUUCAAUUUGCAUUGAUUAUUUAUUUUUAAUUGCAAUUUUCCAAACUCCCCCCAAUUAAUUGUCACUUGGAAAGAAGCAAAUUUUCACUCAAAACCUUGAGUUUAUAUCUUUUUGAGUAGGAAUUUAUUAUUACACAAGUCUGACACCUGUCAAUUAAACAAGGUUUCGAGCAAUGCAUAGUUUCUUUUGUACCUAGAAUAGCUAAUGUAGCAAGUCAUAUGCUAACACAUUUUGCAACAUAACUAGUUUAUGAUAUAGAAUGGGUACAUGAUUUCCCAAUUCGACUAAUAGAAGGGUGAAUGCCCCUUUUUGUAAUUAACUCUUGCACUUCAAGUGUUAACAUAUAUACUGAUAUUAUCAUUUGUUGAAAAAAAAAGGAAAGUGUUUAUUUGUUUAAUAAAAUAGUCAUGGUAGUGUUUAUAUAAUUUCGUAAACAUUGAAAAGUAAAUUACCUCGUUGAAUUUGUAUAAUUUGAUUAUGUUGAAGAAACAUAAUCUUGGAAAAGCAGAGAAAUUUUCUAGUAAAUAUUAGAUAAACAAACAAGUCAUUAUUUUAUUUUGAUAGCUAAUCAUUGUUCAUAUCAAUAUACUAGCUAUAAAGUUAUACUCGCAAUACUACUGUUACGGUAUAAAAUUUCUUGUUAGAGCAAUUUAUAAUUUAUAGAGCAAUUUCUUGUUAGAGCUAUAAAGUUAUACUCGCAAUACUACUGUUACGGUAUAAAAUUUCUUGUUAGAGCAAUUUAUAAUUUCAUCCCAUUUUUACCGUUGACUGUUAACCUCAAGUUCUUUAGAUAUCCAUGGGACAGUGUAACCCCUUUGAAGGUCAAUUCUUACUGUUGAUGUGGCGUGUCCCACAUCGGAGGCUGCAUAAGGAAGUUUUCUUCCUUUCGUCCCACAUCAGCAAUCAAGAAGGAAAGCCUCCCCUUGUUUACCUAUAAAUAAGGGGGUUUAGUGGUGAAGAAAAGUGUACCACAUUCAAGAGAGUUAUAUGGGCUAUUAGCUUUUUGAGUCAUUUAGCCCAUUUGUAGUCAAAUGUUUUAUGCUCUCUUGUUUUUAAUUUAGGAAUAUUUUCUAAACUUUUUAUAAGUGCCUUUUGGCCUAGGAACCACUUUUCUAUGGCUUUUGUAUAUCUUUUUCAUAGUGAAAGAUUUGUUCCUCCUUUGCCCGUGAACGUAGGUUAAUUUGACCGAACCACGUAAAUUUCUGUGUCUUUUAUUUUGUUUUGUUAUUUGUAUUUAUUGGGUUGCCACAACCCUUUUAUAUGGUCAGUUUUACCGCCUAAAAUAUUAUAUGGUCGGUUUUACCGCCUAAACAUUAUAUGGUCGGUUAUACCGCCUACUUUGUGCUAACUUCAGUUUGUUUAUUUCUGGACCAAUCCUAACACUUACACCCUCAUCAAAGUUUCUGGAGUUGCGUAUUAUAGGGGUGCAAACACAAAAACGAGACAUUCUUAAUCAAAUGGUGUUCCUUCUUUUUGCGAUUCAUUCCUCUGCAAACCUCCUCCUCCUCCGAUUUUAAUAUAUGCCACUGUUAAAAUAGGAUACUUUUGUGGGUUUAAUGAUUAGAUCUUUUUUUUUUUUUUUUUUGUCGACACAGGGGUGUCCGGGUCAAUCCUUACGGGGCCCGACUAAUCCCCUGCGGCCCGGGCCCGGCGCCCCAACCCAACUCUAGCACGAUAAGUGCGCGGAGGAAUCCAGCAGAGCAGAGACUCGAACUCGGUUUAAUGAUUAGAUCGAGACGAACUCUUUUGUGCAAAACAUUUGCCCCAGGCAUCGUUACUACAGAGUAUGUGAUCCAAUUACCUAUGUAAGGUCACAAUGUUAGAGAUGUGAAAUUAUAUUGCAAUGGUCCCUAAAAUCCAACUUGAUCUAUAGGAAUACUAAUUAGGUGAAUACGAGGACUCUGAUUCGACUCUCGAUCUUUCCUAUCAAAUUACAGUAAUAUUUUUAAUCAUACACUCAUCCCCUUACUAACUUCCUAUGGGCCCAAUAUGUUGAGUAGAAUUCGAUUGGAACAACCGAAAAAAAAAAAAGAAAAGAAAACAAAUACAAAACAAUGAAAUAGACACUUAGUCAAGUUGGAACCUAUGAGGAAGUGAGGAGCACAAGUGCGAACAGAUCACCAAGGAAAAAGAAACAAGUUUUUCGAGAAUGCAAUUUGAUUUCAAGCUCAAUCAUAUUCUAAGAGUCAAUGAUAAGAUAGAAAAAAUGUAGGUCCAUUGUUAAAAUAUAGACGGAGAUAGUUGCUUAUUGAGCGUUGGAAGUAUUUCAUAUGCUUGUAAUUAUAUCUCAACUUGUAUAAUUUUAAUUUAAUAAGAUUAAAUUAAUGACCAUGUCAAUGAUUUAUGCGUCAUGCAUGACAUUCUUUUUUCUUGUACUCUCCCAAAAGCUGAAAAUUCUCGUCUCAAUCUCCUCCUCCACCGAUGGCUGCAUGUCUGUACAUGUUCCCCCACAACAAGAAUAAUGAAUCAAUUGCCAUAAUUGCACGCAUUUAAAUUUUCUGAGCUGGUGAUAAAUUGCAUAGUUUUGAUUUUUUUCUAUUUCCGGUUCCCACUCUAGCUACUUCUAGAUUUAUUAAUUGGAAAAAAAAAAAGAAGAAGGAAUAAAUUAAACCUUAUUUAAUUACUUUUUUAGUCAGGAUAUCUAUAGUAGAUGUAAUUAUCUCUAUAGAAAUGAAUGAAGCAUCCUACCUUGUGAUCAUUAUCCUCUGUUGCAAUUCUCUUGUUCAAACUUCAAGUUAAGGUUUGUUUGCUAAUUUAAUGGAUUCAGAACUUAAAUUUAAUGGAUUCAGAUCUUAACAUGUUCAAAUGCUUUUGAUAACCAAAACUUGAAUAUUUGAAUUAAUUAAGUGACACUAAAUUUUCUAGACAAAACUUACUCCUAAAAAUAAGUGAUAAACUAUUUACUUAUCACUUAAUGUGAUAUAUACUCAAAUGUAUCAGAUGUAGUACAUAACAAUUUAAUAACUUAAUGAAUUCAGACUUCAGAUUUCAGAUUUCAGUUUUAUCAAACGCACCUUAACUCAGUGCAAACUAAAUAUGAAAUCCAAAGUUGAAAAUCCAAGAGGUUAGAACUUUGAAACCAUAGAGCCUCUAGGCAAAUUCAGCAUUUUUACAUUCUAACUGAUUUAGGGCAUCUUCAAUUAUCAGUUUCAACUCCAUGGUAUAAUAUAGAUAUUACCUCUAAUAGUUGAACACACUUACGCAACAAAUAUAGGGCCUGUUUGGCACCCUAGUUUUUUACCAAGUUUUUUAGCUACUAGUUUUUUAACAACUUUUGCUACAGGAACCCCAAAAAACUUUUCAAAGUUUUUUACCUACACACUUCAAAAAUCUAUACACAAAAAAUUUCUCAAAAACUUUUCUUCCUCCCUCACCCAACCCACCACACCAGACACCGCCUCCACCACCUCUCCCGGCGCCGGUCACUUAAUCCGCGCGCCGCCGGUAACCUCAAAAAAAAAUUUUGAAUUUCUGAGUCCCUCACCCUCAAAAAUUUAUUAUAUAUAUUAUAUAUUUAUAUAUUUAUUUAAACAUAUUAUAAAUAUUUUAUUUUAUUUAAAAUAUAUUUUUAUAUAUUUAUAUAAAUAUUAUAUACCAUAUAAAUUAAUAUUAAUAUAAAUAUGUAAUUAUACAUUUAUAUAAAUAUUAUAUAUUAUAUAUUUAAUAUAUAUUACACAUUUAUGUAUAUUUAUAUACAAUUAUAUUAUGUAUUAUGUAUAAUAUAAUACAUUUAUACAUAAUAUUAACACACAAUAUUAAUUAUACAUUUAUACAUAAUACUAAUACAUUUAUACAUUUAUAUUAAUUAUAUUAAUACAUUAAUACAUAAUAUUAUAUAUUUAUAUAUUUAUAAUAUAUUAAUUUAUAUAUUUAUAUAAUAUUCAUUUAUAAUAAUAUACAAUUAUUACAUUUGUAAAUAUAUUUAUAUUAUGUAUUAUAUAUAAUAUAAUACAUUUAUAUAUUUUUAUAUACCUAUAUAAAUAUAUUUAUUUAUAAAUGUAUUAUAAAUGCAUAAAUAUAUAUAAAUAUUUAAACAAUAAAAAUUAUAAAUUAUAAACAAUAUUAAUUAUACAUUUAUACAUAAUAUUAAUACAUUUAUACAUUUAUACUAAUUAUAUUAAUACAGUUAUACAUAAUCAUCAUAUAUAUUUAUAAAUUAUAAUUUAUACAUUUAUAUAAUAUUCAUUUAUAAUAUAUACAUUUAUAUUAAUUAUACAUUUAUACAUUUAUAAAUAUAUGUAUAUUAUGUAUUAUAUAUAAUAUAAUACAUUUAUAUAUUUUUAUAUAAAUAUAUAAAUAUAUUUAUUUAUAAAUAUUUAUAAAUGUAUUAUAAAUGCAUAAAUGCAUAUAAAUAUUUAAACAAUAAAAAUUAUAAAUUAUAAACAAUAUAAUUAUACAUUAUACAUACAUAUUAAUACAUAAUAUUAAUUAUAUUAAUACAUUUAUACAUUUAUACAUAAUCAUCAUAUACAUUUAUAAAUUAUAAUUUAUACAUUUAUCUAAUAUUCAUUUAUAAUUUAUAAUUUAUAUUAAUUAUACAUUUAUAAAUAUAUGUAUAUUAUGUAUUAUAUAUAAUAUAAUACAUUUAUAUAUUUUUAUACAAAUAUAUUUAUUUCUAAAUAUUUAUAAAUGUAUUAUAAAUGCAUAAAUGUAUAAAAAUUAUAAAUUAUAAAUUAUAAAAUACUCAAAAAUAUGUUUUAAAAAUACCUCUAAAAAUAAUCCAAAAAACGUCUACAGUAACAUUUCAAAAACUUCUACAAAAAAAUUUUUCACCUUACAAAAACUUCUACAAAAUUUUUUCAAAAAUUUCUACAGUGCUCUACAGUAAAGUUUUAGACAAACUCCCAAAAAACUCAGGUUCCAAACAGGCCAUAGAUUGUGAAAUUAAUUGUAUAAGUUUGAUAUUUUGUAGGUUUUGGGAUAUAAUUUUCACGUUUAGGAAAAAGAAAAUAUGUUAGUAAGUAAUAAUGUGAUACCCCUUGUCCCACGUUGGAAGUGGGAGAGGAAAAGGAUUGAUAUAUAUACAAGAUUUGGUCGCAUAAGUUACUAGUUACUUGGGCUAACCAUGUCGGGAAAGUGUAUUUCGAUACAAAAAUUACUUAGGCCAACCAUGGGCUUGGAUGGUGAUAAAUAACUUACUAGAAGCCAGGCAUAUUUAUGUUUAGAUGUCCUAAAAGCAGAGUAGUUCAUAAUCUAGAUAAUGGUAACGAUAUGAUUAGAAUGUGAAGUUAUUUGGUAAACUUUAUAGAUUAAUAAUUUCAUCAAAGCAUCAUAUACAAGCAUGAUGACACAAUCUCAACUUUCAUUCUUUUGUUAAAUCUUAGUUUUUUUCUCUUAAAUUUUUUCGAAUAAAGGAAGGAUGGAAUUUAAGCAGUAGAGGGGUGGAAGGGGAAUUUGAAGUCAAAAUCUCUAAUUUCUAAGUUUUCCCCUAAGCAAUCGUCAAAAUCAAAAAAAAAAUUAAAAGAAAAAAAAUGAGCACCUCAUGGUCAAUGCUCCUGUUCGAAGAUUUAUUCCUUUGGUUUGUCAUCAUCUCCCUCUAUGAAAUCUAAGUACCCUUGGUUGACAAUUUGUUUCCCUGAGCAUCCAUCAACACUUUUAUAUAGUAUUUUUUUUAAUAUAGUAUUAGAUUAGAUUAGAUUAGAUUAUCAAUGUGUUAAUGCGCAAAUUAGGCAGUUUAUUUGUUAAUAUUUUCCCCUUUAUUUUGACCAAAUGUUGUGAUAAUUUGCUAGAUUCUACUUAUAAUUGAAUUUUUGUGUGAUUUCUAGGAACUUCAAGUUAAUUGAGGCAGAAAAGGAGAAAUCGAAGCCUAAUUGAGGAAAUUCCAUUAAGAAAAUCUUGAUACAAGUUUCUUAGUUGAUACUAGAAAGCACGCAUCCCAUUUGAUAGGGAAUGAAGCAGAAAACUACAAAAAAGGAGGGACUUUAUGGAGAAUAUGGAGACUUCUAAGGGCUUCAAACCUUGGGCCCUUGAAUUGUGGGGACCACAAAGCUAGUGAAAGAUAUUUGGUCAUUUGGGCUCUUCAAAGAAAGCAACGUAGAGAGACUUGGAAGAAGAAGUAAUUUUGGAGACUUUGUCCACAUGUGGGGACCACCGGAGAUAGCUUUUAGUCAUCUUACUUUUGGCUUUUUAAAGUGAGGACGUACAGAAGCAAGAGGACACCGCUAGUUUAGCUUUUUAGUUUAGUUCUAGUUUCCUUUCUCUUGACUGGCCUCUGACACACGCCAGGUGUUCGACAAUAUUCCCCAACGGGAAAAACAUAUUUUAUUCCUUGCUUUCUAGUAAAACGCAAUGCCUUUGCAAUCCAUUACUUCGUGUGGUGAUUUAAUCAUGAGGCGUGGCUAAGUUUAUCUAGUCAGAGGUUAAAUCGAAGCUUUGGUUCGACAAAACUGUGAGAUCGAAUUUAUUUGCCUACGUUCUUUAAUUUGCAAGUAUUUAUAUAUUUCCUGUUCACUUAUGCAUAUGAUUAUUUCUUGCAAUUAAAUACUUGAUCACUGUUUAAUUGUGUGAGUAAUUAACAGCCAUCUACGAGUGCUCAAUCCGUAAUUUUGGGUAAUUUUAGUGCAUGUGGCAAGUGACAUGAUUCAAUUGUAGUAGAAACUUUUGAGUUGUUGUUGUGGAAAUAUAUGAUAUAGCCUAAAUAAACCGAGCAUGUGUGUUUGUUGGUUAUAAUUGGUGGCCAGUCUAAUGAUUAAUGCUGUCAAUAGGUUAAAUCCUAAGAGCGUGUUUAGGACUGCUUAAUUGGCUAGGGUAAUAACUACAGAGCUUGUUGUGGUUAUCGAAUCAGGAAGGUUAGGCAGGUUGUCAGAGCUUGUUGACAACCAUAACCAGUUUAUUUGUAAAUGAAAGAUUUUAUCUCUGCAUCUGUGAUCAGUGAUUCGAACCAUUAGUGGAGAUUAUACCUUUGACUAGAGAUUUUCCUUCCGUUAAUUUACUUUAUAUUUAUUGUUAUUUAUUUUAUCUGCGAUUGUCUUAUUUUUAAUUUGAGCAAUUAAAUUAGACAGUUCCAUAUCAAUUCCCCCCAUUUUUAUUUAAUGUUACAUUCAUUCAAAAUAAAUUCCCAAGUCGCUGGAUUCGACCCUGCUCACUGCUAUAUUCGAAUUUUGUCUUUCACGUAAUUAAUAUACUUUGGUAUAUCGGAUCAAGCAAACUCUGGCACCAGGGUGAAGCUAGUAACCCAUUGCACAGCCUAAGUCCCUGCUCCAGUACCAUAGUGGACUUAAUUCGUGACUUAAGAGUAGGAAUUUUAUUUUUGCUGGUUUGACACCCACCACAAUGCACCAUCAAAACACUUUUAUAUAGUAUUAGAUUAGAUUAGAUUAUCAAUGCACCAUCAAUAUCCUUAAAUAUAAAAGCUUAAGUAUAGUAAUCAAAAUACUGUUAGUAAUCUGUACGAUUAUUUUUUAUCCUUUAAUGUUUUAGUUUUAGGAAGAUCACAAAUGCUGCGUAUAAAGCAUGCCAUAGGCUAAAUUAAGCUAAAUUAAGUACAUUGCUAAAAUGGAGAGCAUUGGUAAAUUAAGUACUUUAAGAUAAAGACUUAAGCAGCCAGAUCCAUUUGAUGUCAGCUGCUUCAAUAUCCACCUCAAAAUAAAUUAGCCUUUGUUCUAGAUUUAGCUUAAUGCUAAGUCCCUUAACCAUUCUUAGUAAUAAUUCAACUCUGCCUCAAUUUUCUUCUGAUCUUCAAGGUAAAUGUACGAUAAAUUUCAAAAUAUAUCCCAAAUAUAUGAAUUUCUUGAAACCAUCCUUGAAUCUCAUUACCUACUCAACAAAAUGUUCCAUAAACACAAAGAAUUGACGAGAACAACAGGGCUCCUUAGAUUUAACAAUUUCAAAUAAGCCCAAGCUAGAAUUUUUCAUAUAUUCAAACAAGAAAUUGGAAAAAUCUGACUAAGCAAUACUGAAUUGUAUCGAAAACCUACUUUUUUUUUUUUUUCCUGCAACGAUAGAUUUUUGUAUUGAUUGGCAAAAAAACUUAUAUGAGCAAAGGCUCAAGGAAUUCUAUACAAGAGUGUUAGACACACUGAGGAUUAAUCCAUUCCUCAUCUUGAAAUAUGCCCAAAGCAUAAUCACUAAUCACUUCACAUCUAGAGUCUAAGCUCCUAUCUAAGCAAAAGGAGCAUUUCUGAAAUAAGGACCUGAGGUCGUUAAUAUCGUCUAUCAAAGUAGCCAUUUUGAUGUCCUUAGCCAUCCUUUCCUUUAUCAUCUUCAGUAGUUGGGGGCUGGGGAUGUGGACAACAAUUUCCUUCCAUUGCUGGUGUCUAGCCUUUAUGAUGGCCAUUUUCACAGCUUCUGCAGUAGACUGCAUCUGAUGCACUGUUUUUCUGUCAAUAAGUGCCCAGGCAGCCACCCACUGAUUGUUGAAAGUAGAUGCAAAAAUCCCCAUUCCAACUCUGUUGGUUUGGUCUUGCACCUUAGUUGAUAUUCUGAUCUGAAUUUCAUUCCUUCUUGCCUCCUCCGGAUCAACUUUCUCAUCUGCUCUUACCGCAUCUUCAGUGAAUAUUUUCUGCUUGCUCUGGACAGCUUUUUGUUCUUGCCAUUCCUGUUGAGCCUUUUGGAUUGUUUUCCAAGGGUGCCUGUGUUUGGCAUUGAACUGCCAUUCAUUUCUCCUUUUCCAGAGUUGCCAGAGGAUGUUCACAGUGAGCUCUAUAUGCUCCUUUCCUUCUGUCCUGCAUGUAGCUUCCAGAAGAGCAGUCCACCAAGCUUGAAAAUUCCCUGUCUGUUCCCUUAACCCAUCCCAUUGUAAUGGAGCCAUUUUCCACACCUCUUGUGCUUUGCUGCAUUGGAAAAACAUGUGUUCAAUUGACUCUUCUUGUUCACCACAGCCACCACAGAUUGGAUCACCUUUGUGUGUUCUUUUAAAAACCAGGCUGUUGACUGGUAAUAAACCAUGUAGGCACUUCCAAAGGAAAUGUUUGAUCUUACUCUUAACGUUCAGCCUCCACAUCCACUUCCAUUGCUUUUCAUAGGAACUUGCUAUACUAUUUCCGCCUCAUUCUCUCUUCUUCCUUUGUGUUGAACAGUUCCUCUACACAAUGCCUUGUAACCUGAGUUGACAGUGUAGAUGCCAUUGCCGCUAUGUAUCCAGUAAUUGCUAUCAUCCUUUCCUGAUAUACUAAUAGGAAUCUCCAGAAUUUCCUCUGAGUGAUAAGCAAUACUGAGUGAUGAUAUUUUUAGGGCAGUCCAAUUCACUCAAUACAAAAAUAUUUUUAAAUGAUGAUAUUCACAGGAACGUCUAUCUUACUUAAACAAACAAUAAAAAGGAGAUUGAUUGAGAAAUGGCCACAUUAUCUUAUCAUUCUUAAUUAUCAUUAGUUCAAUUAUCAACUUUAGCAGUCGAGAAAGGCUGCAACUUGUACAGGGACAAUAAAUUCUUUAGGGCCCAAUUCUUUAUUCCUGCGUCCGGAGAAUUGAGACGUGGACGCUUCAUUAGUCAAUAAUAAUAAAGUGUGGAAUUCGACUACUAUUCUUAGCUCGUUCAAGGAAACAGAGAGGAGACGCUCUUGCACAGCUACUUAAACUAUUGGAUAAUUUCAUAGACCUUUCCUGAAGUUUUGGACAAUUUCAGCUAGUACCCCUCUUAUUUUCAAUAUUACGCUGACCACUCUUACUUUAACCAGUGACCAAUUCAGCCCAUAUAUGUAAAAGAAAUGGAAUAAAUUGACAAGAAAUGGUGUCAUCACAUUUUAUUCCAUAUUUUCCCUUGGAGACCCUAAAAGAAAUAUUGUAACAUAGGACAAACUUCACUUUGUCCCUCCGAAGUUGAAUCACUUUUCUAUUCUAUACACUAAACUUCAAUUUUGGAUGCUUUGCAUGUGGUUGGAGGCAAAAGCAUGGCAGAGCCCUUUUUGAGUCUCUGAUCUUUAUUAUCACAUGACCAUUGCUAAUUAUACUAUUGCUUUUGAAUGGAAAUAGCAUAAAAGUCUUAGUGAAUGAACAAAUUGAAUAGACCAUUUCGCAGAGCAGUGAAAUAUUCCAAAGCCGUGAAGCACAGUGAUAAGCUACAAAUUACAGUGGUUUAUAUUUAUUAAUUGUCAAUGAAUGGUUGUAUUUGAGCUAUAUUUUGAAUGGAUGUUGCCUAAUUUAAGUAUAUGUUGGUUUUUGUGGGAAAAGCACGCGAUUGAGGAGGAAAUGAAUCGAAACGCAACAAAAGGGGAAGAAUGCCAAGACACAAGGAUCCGUGGGUGGAUCCUAUGUCCAACGCCAAACAUUGAAAGGGACUUUGCGAGGACUUCUUCUAGUUCUAAUGAUUGGAAAACCCACUCAAACUCGAUUUUUGGUAAGUUUUCAAGACCCAUUCUUACCAUAUUUCGGAUACAACUUUGAGAGACUAUAAGGACAAUCUAGGAUGUUUUUAGAUUGGAAAGCAUUUGGCUAAAGUUAGUUCAUCAUUUUUAUACCUUCUUUUCUUGAGAGAUCACAAUGGAAGUGUUGAAAAAUCAAAGGAGUUCAAGAUGGAGAUUGGAGCGGGGAAAAAUUGAGAAGUUUUCUUACUUUUAACUUCUUAAUUAUUUUGUCUUUCAUUUGAAUUCUUGGAUUUAUCUAUGAAUAUGUUGAACUCAUUUAUAUCCAAAGUUAGGAUUUUGUGAAGGAGAUUUAAUUAUUUGUUUUAGAUAAAUUAUUCGCUUUGCUUAGAUUUAUUUAUCUUGCCUUUAUUACAUGUUUAUGUUUUGCCACUAUAGAUAUGCUUUUAGGAUUUGUAUUGAGUUGAGAAGUGAUAUACAACCGUACAUUAGAUAGAUAAACAUACUUAGUAUAAUCAUGAAAGUGGGUUAAACAUUGUAUGGCAUAAUUAUAUCACCUAAUAUUUUAAAGGAUUUAAUUAAAUACUUAUAAUCUCGAGAGCAACGCGAGAUUUCAUUAGACAAAUUUAGAAAUAUCAACAGAUAAUCUAAAGUACUUUUACGUGAUACAUCUUUGACUUGUUAAGAAAAUAAUUGGAUAAAUAAUUCCAAUUCUGAAUCAAAAUUUAAAACUCUAGUCUUUUGCUAAUUGUUUUCUCACCUAUAUCUUGUUUGAUUUGAUUAUUUAUUUAAUUUCUUAAUUAGUGAUUAAAAAUCUCUGAAUUUAAAUUUUGUUAUUUUUAUUAGAGGAAUUAAAGUAGGAAAAAUUAACUCACUCCUGCAGGUUCGACCCCUGGAGUACUCCAAGGAAUUAUUAUUACGAUCGACCUUGUACAUUAUAGAAAUUCAUCGAUCACACAGCAACUAAAAAAAAUUAAUGCACAAUAAUGUCAUGAGCAGAAACAGUUCCCAUCUUAGUUGUUCAACAUUCACGGUGGAUUUCAAUUAGUGGUCAAUAGAUAAAGGCAUCGAAAAAAGUAAUCUAACUAGAUAAGUGAAUUUAUAUUGUACAACAUAUUUCUUUUUUCUACCGCAAAAACUUAACUAAUUUAAGACAAUGUAGUCCAAGCUAAUUGAAGAUUAAUUUUCCUAAAAAAUGUUCAUGAUAAAAACUCAACAAAGAGAUAAUACAACAGCUUACUUUUGGAGGUGAUCUUAUACGGUCUUUAUUAACAAACUAAUUAGCCACUUAAGCCUUUUUUUUUUUUUUGGGACUACAUGACAAAAUGAGGAGUGAAUCAGUCACUUAGUAUCUAAAAUUUUCCCUCCAUAUAAUUAGUUCAACCUGAUUUAAGACUAAAUUUUUACUAUAGGAAUGUUCGUGAUUCAACAAUGAAACACCAUAGAAACUUAUUUUGGGAGAUUGUCCUAGAAGAUAAAAAAUGAGCAACCAAUCAGAAAGUCGUACUCACAUAUCAAAAUCCAUUCAGUCUAAUUAAUUCACCAGCUAUGUAUAUUUCAUCCAUUUUCACAUUAUAGAAAGAACAAUAAUGCAUGGCAUUAUCCAUCAUAAAUUGCUCAUAUAACAUCAAGAUAUUCAUGGUGUGGACCUCAAAUGACUCGUCAUGUCUACUGGCUACAUUUAAACAUAUCUUAUGGCCAGAAUGUUCAUCUUAUCAACUUAACGAGUUUAUUCAUGGUACCAUACCAUUAAAUUAAAAAAUUUCCACCUUUACCUUUAUAGAUGUCAAGGAAUAUAGCUAAUAACGCACUUUUGGCAGCAAUCUUCCUUCACCAAUUAAAGAUUUUCGGAGCUUAAAGUUCAGCUCCUAAAGCUCUUCUCCAAGUCUCACAAACCAACAGAGAAAUUACUUUUAGGAAAGUUGUUAAAUUUUGGCUUUGAUGGUAUCUUGGUAAGAUUGGAAGAUUAUAUUGCGCUUCUAAGAUAAUGUUUAAAAAAGCUAUUUUAGUGAGAGCAUUAUGGUCAAUUUGCCCCUGAUGAUAUUGACAUUAGGUCCCAUCAACAUCAGAAGGGAGCUCAUUGUAUUAUUGGAUAUAACAAGGGUGGUAGUGAAAUUAUGAAAACCCUCAAGGGAGGUUUUUGAAAUUAACCCUAAAAUACUCAUUCCACGCAAGGCGUGGCGUUCCCCUCCUAGUUCCUAUAAAUAGGGCACCAACUCAAUGCACUUAUCACUCGACAUCAAUAAUUUAGCACAUUAUUUACAUUUUGAGUGAGAUUGUGAUAAAAAUGGCAUCUUCAAAAAAUUUGCUCUUUCUUAUUGGUGUUCUCUUUGCACUUGUGCUCCUCAUUUCCUCUGAUGCAACAGCUGCAGGUACCUAGUCCCUUUUUUUUUUCCUUUCUUCCUUUUUUUUUUUGGCUGCACCUAAAUACUUAAAUGAAUGGAGAUUUGGAGACUCAUUAUUGGGAUGUGAAUUUUUAUGGAAGGCUAUUUGUAUAUUAUCAAGCAAGUCAUAUUAAUGUGCUAAUAUCCUUUUCAUUGUUUAGCAAAAGUAAAUUGGGUUGCUUCUAUCAAUGGUUAGUGGCACAUCUGAUUUUUCAUGCAUCCUUAUAGUAUUGCUGUAAGGAUACACGUUCCAUAGUGUCGCACCAAAGGUUAAACUAACGUCGAAAACCAAAUUAAAUGCUUCUAAUUAUAAUUUAAAGCAAAUAAUUCAUAUCCAAGUCGCACCAUCUUAUAUGCCUGGACUGUUUUGUUUAAUCCAUAGUAUUCUUUUCUUUGCAUAUAUCUUGCAAAUUUUCAGCCUAGCCGGUCACCUAACGUUCGCAGCUUAAGAUAAAGCUCCAAAUAUUUAUGUCUCCUUGUGUCUUGAAACAGAUCAGAAGAGCGUGAAAACCACUGGUGUCCACGAUGCCAGUUCAGGCAAAGAUCGUUGCAGACAUGGUUGCUGCCAGUGGUACCAUGGACACUGCCAAAGAUGCUGUCGAACUGCCGAGGAGACCCCUGAAGCCACAUCUGGAGAUGAGGAUACCGUCACCGCAGAUCGUUGCAGAUAUGGUUGCUGCCGCUGGUACCAUGGAUAUUGCCAAAGAUGCUGUCCAUGCAGAUAUGGUUGCUGCCGCUGGUACUAUGGAUAUUGCCAAAGAUGCUGUCCACCUGCUGAGGAGACCCCUGAAGCUACAUCCGGAGAUGAGGUCAAAAAUUAAUGCUAAAUAAAUAAGGGUGUGACACAGGAUCCGUGACACCUAUAUUAUUACCUUAAUAUGUUAUGUUGUGUUUGC
This 204581-nucleotide long non-coding RNA is filed under the name Coffea arabica (coffee). RNAcentral's name for it is "long non-coding RNA (CARA_LNC002491)". Lineage: Eukaryota; Viridiplantae; Streptophyta; Magnoliopsida; Gentianales; Rubiaceae. The record is from RNAcentral.